UUAAUCCAAUCUCUUCUCCCUCUUCAUUAAUACUCUACCAUGUAAUCGUUUUUGCUGACGUGUUCACAUGGAUGAAACCCCUAAUUAAAAUCUUUACCAUACUUACAAGUAUCAAAUCAUUCUCCCCAGGCAUUUGAAUCAUUAGAACAAAUGCACCAGGAUUAGACCGCAUAGCUACAGAAUUAAAUAAAGAGAUUUGAAAAGAAAUAAAGUUCCCACGUUCUCCAAUUCAGAGGACCAGGAGUUCCUCAAGAACUAGCAGCAAAACGGCGACCUGCCUGUAAGAGGACAGAAUAGUUCAGUAGUGCCGUAGAAUCUCAGAAAAUAGAUAAGCGAGGUUGUUAUGUAAUGAUACAAAUAUAUACAGCACGAGAAACCCUCUACGAUGGUUACACACUGGUAAAUAAAAUAAUUUUUAUACUGGUUGCAUGUAAGGCUACAUGCAUUUUGCACAAUCAGCAAUGCAGCUCUGGUGGCUCUCUGUAUCACUGGAUCCACCCCUAGUACUACAUGUCGUUUCUUGACCACUCUUUGCCUUAGUGCUACAGGGUUCUGCAACUAAUGUGGAUAUCACACACUACUAAAACUCCCCGGCCGGGUUCCCUACCGUUUUUUUGGUUCCCUAGAAAAAAUAGAAGCACACUAGGGAGGUUUUCUUUUCCCUACAGCGAGUCACUAAAAUCGUAGGGAAACCGAUCAUUCCCUGAAACUAGGAUGUGAAUUGCAUGCAUGGUUCCUCAGGGUGAAUUCUCAUGAUAGAUUGCAAAUGGCAAAAUAGGCGUUUUGGUCCCCCAAUUUUACUCCGAGAGUCAAGUUCGUCCGUCAACUACUAAAUCGACCAAUCUAAUCCCUUAAGUUUCAUUUUUGGGUUAAACUUCUCCUUAUACUGAUAUGACACUUUAUACUGGCAUGAGACUAAUGCGAAAAGUCCUUUUUGCCCUUGCACUUUUUUCCCCUCAAUUUCCAUUGUCUCUGUCAUUUGCACUAGACAUAGUCAUGACACCACUAUUUUAUCGAGCGGACUUAGCUAGCUGUGCUACUAGAUGUGGCUCCUGCACCUUUAAACUCACGGACAAAUGGUUGCCAUAAAGCACCGUACGAUUGAUCAUGCAUUAUAUUCAUGCUAACUAAACAAUCAACCUUUUCCCCUCUCUUUUUUUGCUGGCGACCCAUCAUCUUCCACAACAGUAUACUUGUGGCCAAUACAAGCGAAUCAGUGUAGCGGCAUGUAUGCAUUUGGGAGCAGUACAUCACAUGUGUAUAAAUUGAGGAAUGAACUUGACCCUUACGGUAAAGUUGAGGGACCAAGACGCCUAUUUUGCCAUUGCAAAUUUAGUCAACAUCAUGUCAUACUCAAAACUUAAGUUUCCUAUCUUGCUACUAGCAGAAACCUGGCUGUGGUUUCAUACAUAGUGAAUAAUUCUUGAAAAUCCAUCACAAAAAAAGUACCAGACAUUUAGAUCAGCAUGGCUCACUAGUGCAUGCAGACCUGAAAACAGUAAGGCAUUUCAGAAUGAGAUUGUAUUAGCAGCAUUUUCUUGCAUUGGUGAUGAACAACUGAACUGAUCAGCAUGUAACUAGCUAGUUUCUACUGAAGAAAUUGACAUCAUGAAUGGAGGAACAAGUAGCAGGUAGGAAAUGGAUCAUUCCUUAUGUAGCAAUAUGAACUGAUAGUCCAUUGGCUUCAUAGUGUGGUGCAGGAAAUAUCCUCACUAAUUCAUAGUGGUGCUAUGAUGCCUGUUACCAAAUCAUUAGCAGUCUGAACUCACAGCCUAUUGUCUUAUUUACUAGUAUAGCAUAGCACUUUAUAUAGCAGAAUCAGUUUUUCUCUAAAUCAUCCACUUGUUCAAUUGCAUAGUUCCAUACAGUUGCCUCGGUCGUUCGAGAGGAAACCCGGGAUGAAACAAUCAGUAGGACCGCUAAUGGAGUAUUUCGCAGCCAUGCAAAUGCAACUACAAGUGGUGGUGGAAACUACUCUCCUCCUCCAGAAGUAUUUCCAUUCUUUUGAGCUAUAACUUAACCUCCAGAAGUAGUGGUGUUCACAGCCAUGCAGGGGCUAUGCUGGUUGUAACUUAUUAUCAACAAUUAUGGAGUUGUUCUUUUGGUGGUGGUCCUUUUGUUGGCUCUUACUUUAGGUAGGAUCUGAUCUUUUGUUGGAUAUAAGUUUGAGUAGGAUCUGAUCUUUUCUUGUGUGACAAUGAAUAUUUGUGGCAUUUCUAGACCAUUUAUAUGGAUCAAUUGAUGCCUAUCGGAUGGAAUCAAUGAUUAUGUGUACUGUUCAUGUUUUGCAUUUGAAUUACAAUAUAAAUUUUAUAUUUGUCAAAUACAUAUUCAAAAUUUGAAUUCAAAUAUAAAUUUCGUAUUUGAAUGUUUCAUACAAGUUAAUAGGAUUAUAGUCUACCAUGUUCACAACUUUCCCUACAGAUUUAAUUUCUAGGGAAACACCUUUCCAUGUAGGAUGCGUACUGCCAUGUCAAAAACUUUGCCUACGAAUCAAUAUCAUUGGGAAAGAUUAUUUCCCUACGGUUUCCAGCGUCAUGGUAGGUCACUUUCUUAUUUCCCAUCAAAUUCCUCCCUAGGUAUAUAUGUUCGUUACGAAAGUUUCUAGGGAACGUCUUUCCCUACUGUUUUACAUGAUCUUUCCCUAGGAUUUCGAACAGUAGGGAAGCCGGGGAGUUCUAGCUCGUCUGCAUGCCAACUAAAAAUGGGCGACGGUGACGAGAAAGCCUGCAAAGGCUGGGAGAAUGGAUGGAUAGAGAAAGGGAUUGGAGGGCGUUCCAAAUGCCCUAGUUGCUUCACCUGCAUGGAUCGAUUUUUUUUUUAUUUUUAACCUUUUUUUAUAUUUAUUUUUAAAAAUAACCUCAGCGGAACUUUAUUUGCGCCGUGUAACCCUUUUGGUCGCGCCAGACCGCCUGGCGCGGCAGGAAGCCGCUGCCGCGCCGCAUGCACUGGCGCGGCGGGCCCCUACCAUGCUGGCGCGGCGAGUCGCGGCGCCAGGUGGGCGCUGACGUGGGCGGGCUCUCGCCGCGCCAGACCGCCUGGCGCGGCAAGGCCUACACUACAGCCACGCGCCGGCUCCCUUCCUCCUUCCUCCCUCCUUUCUUCUUCCUCCAGACACACCAGCGCCCCUUAGCUUGUUGCGCCGCCCCCCGCCGCCCCACCCCCAAAUCCACCCAAAAUCCGGCGAUUUCGGUGGGGGAAAAUAGUGGAAAUCGAUCCCUGCUUCGUAUGGAAGGUAUCCCCAUACUUUUUCUCGUGUUUUACCGUUGCAUUUGGUAGAUCGGAGGAUGUUUAGGUGACUUAGGGUUAGGUUGGUGAUUUCAAUUUUGAAUGAAAGCACACACCCCCCCUCAAAUUUUCAGUAGGUUUGGGGGGUGUGUGCUAGAGUUUCACUGAUGAAACUUAAAUAGCUUUAUUUGUUCUGAUUUUUUUUAAACUAGUUUGAACCACAAAUACGCGAUAGCCUACCUACCAGUGCGAACAUUUACGAAAAAAAACACGAAACACAAGUAUAUCAUGGAGCAAUCAUAUAACAUUGUACGGACAGAACUAAACCUAACAUCCAACUUAGUCUUUUACACACGUGACAGAAAUAAACCUAACAACCAACUUAGUCUUUUACACACGUGACGGUUCCAAAAGUCUUGCACGCACAUAUAAUAUAAAUUGCACACCUAGUGCAUCACACUUGAGACAUGCAACGUUCAGUAUCGUGACCGCUGCUCAUCCGGAGGGCUAAAAGGAUCUCUUGGGCGACGCUCCCUCCUUGGAUGCGUGGGCAGCACAUUGGCGCUGCCAACGUCAAUGUGGUCUCGGGAACGACGCCGCCGGCGUGGCAUCCGGGUACAAGGUGCAAGCUCCUAUGGAAUAAUUGAGCACAAAGCAUAAAAUUUUUAUGACACUUCGGGAGUGAACAUUAAAAUCUAGAAUUGAAUUUGGGGAAACUUGUGAAUGUACCUGGAUGGACUCUCCCUGCGUCUGAGUCACACGUGGAGCAUCGAUCAUGCCGGAAAUCUCCAGUUCCUCACCAGGGUCGUCAUCCUCAGACUGCUCACCUUCAGAGUCCUCGCUUGCCUGAGGGGAUGCGGGUUCCUUGCCUCGUGAUCUCCUGCUAGGACCUGCAGCAGUGGACGGUGUUGCAGGCCUGGGGGUAGUCGCCAAUGGAGUCCGACGUGAUCCCGAAGAAGUACCCUGGCCAUUGUCCCCGUGGUGCACAUCUGAGAACGACAUGCAGUUCAUCCUCAUGGCCAUUCGCCUGCAGCUUUUCCGAACCCUCUGCCACAUGUAAGCAGCAUAUAUUCACGACUAUGAUAUUGAUGGUUACAAAGGUAGUACGAGUAUAAGUGGAAAUUAGUUUGGGCUUCUACCUCUGCAAACUAACGAAGCAGACCAUCACCUUCUCCGACGACGUGCUCCAUAAUCACGCCCGCCUCGUUUGAGAGCCUUGCAAGAUGUUGUCCCUGUACGCAUAGUUUUCAUUCCAUGAGUGAUCAAUGUUAUGAUACUAUGAUUACAAACCGAAAUCUUACCAUGUAGUCAUGGAGAGGUGCACGCUCAGGCUGUGUCCCAUAGCGUGUCACCGUGUCGUACACGUCAGCUAUGUCGGCGUCUGAUUCAGACGGUGCAUCCUCAAUGGGCACAUUACUCCAAGAUGGUUUCACUUUAGUUCUCGUCGAAGUACAGUACCAUCGUAUGUACUCAUUGUUUGGUCCUGGUCGCCAGUACGGUCCACCUUCAGGAUCGCAUCCUUGCUUAUUCUGCCACAUGACGAGGUACUGACCAUGCUUCACCCUCCAAUCAUUCUCCUUAUACCUCUUUCUGCGGUCGAUCCUGCAUCAGAAAUUAGUGAAGUAUUAGUAUAACAUGUUAAGUACGUUAAUUGAAUAGCCUCCAAUAGUUAUUUAUUCCUGCGUACCUGUGCAGUUGCUGCGAAGUCGAUAAUUCCAAACGAGGGCACGGUUGCAUCCUCCCAAACUGCCGCAUCACCCUAUGCGGCAUAUGAAACUCUACGAUGUAGUACAAUAUCAUUAGCGUCGUGCACCUCCACAGCUCUCUGUCUCUGUAGCACGUCGGUGAAAAUACGAUCUGGCUUAGCUGCUCACGAUCGUACGGUUUCCAUUUGACCUUCAAAAAUUUUCACGCAAUACUUAUUUCAUCUAUCAUUAUACGGAAGUGACCUUAAAAAAUAUGGUGAGCAAAUUACCUGGUGCUGCGUGAGAACAUCAAACUCGUUUGUGUAGGCCCUGUAGCGCCUAUCAGGAUUGCCAUGAACGGGCCGCACAUGCUUCCACACAUGAUAGAAUGUGGGACGAGCAUCGUCUCGAUGCCAUGGCUGAAAUUGCAAGGAAGUCCAAUUGGUCAAAUGAUACAAUAGUUUUCCGAACAUUAAAGUAGAAAAAGGAAUUAGCCGUUGUGACUUACAUCGACACGGAGACGGGAAGGUCGACCCACGGGCAUUCGCUCCCAAAUCCAAAUCUGCAGCAUAUAAGUGCACCCUCCAACAUUGGAAUCCCUCGCUGUGCGCCUGCAAGCCUCACAUAGCUGUCUGUGCAGCCAGGCAAGAGCCACUGAGCCCCAACUGUAAAGGGCUAUGUUGUCCCAGUGCUGACCCAAAAUGGGGAGAACCAUCCAAGAUACUGUGUUCCUAGCUGCAUCUGGAAGGAGGAAUGUGCUGACAAAGUGCCAUAGCCAAACUCGAGCAUAGCGCUGCACAACCUCGUCAUUUGCUCCCGGAGGACAGACGUUGAAGUGCUCCCUCAACCAUGCCGAGCUGACACUGGAGGUCUUCUUCGAGUUGUCUCCGUCCUCUGGCUCUGGCGGCCUAAUCCCAAUAUGCAUUUCAACCAUAUCACACCAAUUCUCAUUCUGUAUAAUUCCCGUAACUGGCUGCCCAUCCAGUGGAAGGCCGAGUAUCAUAGCCACAUCUUGCAUUGUGAUGGUCAUCUCUCCGAACGGGAGGUGGAACGUGUGAGUCUCCGGACGCCACCUGUCGACCAUAGCGGUCAACAGCAGUCCGUCCAUUAGAGGGAGACCCCCGACAACCUGAACAGCGAGAUCCAAAAAACCUGCUCUCUGCAGGUACUCUGCGUACCGCUCAUCCCACCUAAGUGGUGAGUGCACCCUAGCCCUGAGUGGUGUCAAAUUCUGCAAAACAUUAUAAGAUUAUUAAAAAAUGAGAUGUCAAUCCAUUUGAGAAUAACGGGCUACUAAAGUGGUAAGUAACACAAAUAUGAUACAAAUGACAUUUCCAGUAUGAAAUUGUUUACACUGUACACAAGCAAAUAGUAACGAUAGGCACAUCCUCAAUUUAUAAGAACAUUUCAUACAAAAAUCUUGCAAUUCUCAUCCUAAGGUAUGCAUUCAUCAGCAAAAAUUAGCAACCAUUGUUAGUAACUGAUGCAGUACCUCAUUUAGGUCCGUGAGGUGGUGGGCACGGUGCUGCAAGUCGUAAGCAGACUCAAGAAGAGGGUACACCGGGGCUGCCAUUCUAAAGAAACAACAAACAAGAUCGUUAGUAAAAAGCUUCAUUAUAUGAUAAGUACGGUAACUAUGAUAAUUUACUACUAUAAAAAAAGAUAAAAUGAUAACCAUGCAAAAUACAAGCAACGCACAUACGCUAUUGUUCGAAGAACGCGACCUAUUACUGCUCGCCCUAGAUUUAGUGCCUUUAGAUUUUCUAUUGCGGCACGUCCAAUUCCUAAUGAUCUUGUGGCACUUGGAGCAACAAUUUUCCGACUUGUCCACAUCAAAAUCACUAGUGUCAUAAUCUACAGAAAGCCUCCCUUCCGACAUGUCCAUGUCGCCUGUGAAACGCUUCUUCUGCCUCCUUCCUACUUUAUUUCUCAUCAAAUUGGGGUUAGGCACGUACCCUACACCUUCAUAUGCCGGCCAUUGUGACGGAUCAAGGUAAGGUUGAAAGUUUGAUUCCCAUAUUUUGAUGGUGUGCUCCCUAGAGUACAACGGUGACAUGUACAAGGGGCUUUCAUAGUUAAGACCUCUUGCCUUGCAAGCUGUAAUGAAGUGUGAACAUGGAAGGUGCAAUAAUUGAGGAACAUUGCAGGUGCACGAAACUUUGUUCAGAUCCACUCUGUAGUGUCGGCCUACAUGACUCUCACCCCCAAUGUUAGUCAUACCGUAACUUCUUAUAGAAUACACCAUCCUUUCUGGUCUGUACGGUUCUGCUAAGUGGUGCACGGAUCUAAGCUCAGCCUCUGAUAAAUAAUUAUCUGCAACUUUCCCAAUUCUAUAGCCUUCAUCCAACAUUUCACGUGCCUUUUGCCAUCGGUUCACAAAGUUCACGUGCCUUUCAGCGACGGGCCUAUUUCGGAUGCCUUUGAAAACUGCGUUGAGUGAUUCCGAGUAGUUCGUGGUCAUAAUACCCCAACGCAUCCCUUCCUCAUCAAAAGCCUGCGCCCGUUUAUCCUUGUCCUCCAUUUCACCCUUCAACCAUUCUUUUGCAUCAUCGUUCAAGUCCUUCACUAGAUCUUCUAACUUCUCACUAAAUUCUUUCUCUGUAUGAACCUUGCAUAAUAACUUCAGUUUUCCAAUCACACGAUUGCUCUUCUACUGACGCGACAUGUUGGCAGCAAAGUGCCUCGUGCACCACCUAUGCACAAGCAGUGAAAAACCAUCCAUGUGGUCCUGCGCACAAUUUAGGAGCCCAUGAUGCCUAUCUGAUAUCAUACACACUAUCCGUGAAGGUCCAAGAACAUGUAGCCGAACAAGUUUCAUAAACCAUGACCAACUCUCAUUAUUCUCACUCUCGGCCAAGGCAAAAGCAAGAGGCACAAGCUGUUAUUCUGGAUCUACACCAACUGCCAUCAUUAAUGUACCCUUAUACUUUCCAGUCAAGAAUGUACCGUCCACAAGUAUCACAGGACGGCAAUGUUGAAAUGCCUCACUACAUUCAGGGAAGCACCAAAAUACCCUUUGCAGUAUAUGCUUCAAAACUCCAUUGUCAGGAUGCAUCAUGCCACAUGAGUCGAUGCACCAUUUAACCCCGGGAUUGUAGUAGGUUAUAGCUGAGAGUACCCUAGGAACCAUGCCAUACGACUCCUUCCAGUCGCCCCAAAGUAGGGCAACGGCGUGUUGCUUCGCUCGCCAAGCCUUCGAAUACUUCACACGGUACCCACUAAAGGCGAAGAUGGACUCCACGAGUGAUGGCACCGAUGUCUCGCUGUCUUUACGGAUAAUGCCUAGGAUACACUGCCCAAGGUACUUUGCUGUGCACUGUACAUGCUCUCGCUUCGGCUAUGACGACCGACAAGUAUGCGGUUGCACAACAUUUGAAAUUCUCCAUUGUCCGGUGCUUGAUAUUAGCCGAGACCAUACACGCCAAUGGCAUCCUUGCUUGCACAUCACAUUGUAUCUUAAGUUCUUGUCAGAGUGAACUACGCUAAAAGGUCUAUGUAACCUCACUGCGUAGUCAGCCAAGAAAAACUUCAGCUCCUCAAGACUAUUGAACUUCAUCCCCUUCUUAAUCACUGGAGUCUCACCAACGGACGUCCCUUCGGCAUUCACCAUACUAGAUUCACAUAUUGCUUUGUGAACCAUAUUGAUGUCCUUAUCAUUGGGAACGGAUGGCAGUUCAACAUCACAUUCUUUUAACAACCGCAACUCGUACUGGGUGUAAGAAAAACAAUCGUCCAUACGACGAAUGCCUUCUACAUCAUGCACGGUUGCAGUGUCAAAUUGCGGUCCAUCCUCUUCAUUUUCUACCCCGUCGUCCUCAUAUUCAUGCCCACCACUGUCAAAUAGUGAUUCCUCCUCUACCUCCAUACAUACUACCCCAUCUUCCUCCAAUUCACAAUCUUCGGAACCCAUAGAGACAUUAUCAACAUCUAUAUUUGCUUCAUCCCUCUCAAAAAUGUUAUUGGGAAAAUCAUCAUUGGCAAUAGCCAAGUCAAAAUCACGUUCUGUUUCACCUAACACGUGAUGCAACAUUUCUGACUCCUGGGUACCAUUAUGGUUCACUACCGCCACUUCCUCCCUCAUGACAACAUUUGGGCCAGGCAUACGAACAAUUUCGACUAUAACCUCCAAACAUGCAACAUUAGCUUCGUGCACUACAUCCUUAUAGUGCUUCCAAUUCACAUCGGAUGCUAACUUCAUGAGAACAUAAUGAGCUCUAGCUUUCCCACAAUCAAAAUGACCUCUCAAACUGAUCUCAUCCACUCUACAUCCAUGCUUCCUCAUUACACGGUCAACUAAAUCACUAAAACUUGGAGGACCCUCGAAGAAUUCAAUUGACUCAUUCAUAUUCUCUAACUCCCUAUUUUGUUUCACAACACCACCAUCAAAAAAUCGAACUAACGAUCCAUCUACAAAAUACAAACAUUUCACCAUGUCAUAUACACUACACAUUGCACAUAUUCGACAUAUCAACUAGACACAUUACAUAUAUUGGACAAAUUGCAAACAAAAAAUAUACAUGUCAUAUCAACUAUACAAUUCAAUGAAUAUAUACCUAUAUCGAAGCAUUCAACAAGUUCUACACGUCAAUAUCGCGGGUAGAGACUCAAUUGCGUAUGAACUACGUAUCAUCUAACACAAAACACCAUUGCAUUUCAUUCAAAAUUGAAAUCACCAACCUAACCCUAAGUCACCUAAACAUCCUCCGAUCUACCAAAUGCAACGGUAAAACACGAGAAAAAGUAGGGGAAUACCUUCCACACGAAGCAGGGAUCGAUUUCCACUACUUUCCCCCCACCAAAAAUGCCGGAUUUUGGGUGGAUUUGGGGGUGGGGUGGCGGGGGGCAGCGAAGCAGCUUCGGGCUCGGGCGAGUCUGGAGGAAGAAGAAAGGAGGGAGGAAGGAGGAAGGGAGCUGGCGCGUGGCUGUAGUGUAGGCCGUGCCGCGCCAGGCGGUCUGGCGCGGCGAGAGCCCGCCCACGUCAGCGCCCACCAGGCGCCGCGACUCGCCGCGCCAGCGUGGCAGGGGCCCGCUGCGCCAGUGCAUGCGGCGCGGCAGCAGCUUCCUGCCGUGCCAGACGGUCUGGCGCGGUCAAAAGGGUUACACGGCGCAAAUUAAAUCCCGGUGAGGUUAUUUUUAAAAAUAAAUUAAAAAAAAGGUUAAAAAUAAAAAAAAGGCGCAUGGAUCUGGCUACACACGCUCCUGGCAGGGUUCGUCCAUUUUGUUGCCCACAUGAUCUUCCAGUUGAUCCCUGCAGGCCGCUCGUGGAACCAUUUUAGAGACAAUAAUUCACUGCCGUGAUUACAAAUCAGGAUCCAGUCAUUUUAUCUGACUGCGAUAUCAACAAGCCCAGGCUGCAAGCACCGAGCACAGGUGAGAGGCUGAGAUGUGAUAAUGCAAAGUCUAAUCUUCUAUAAAGGGGAGAGAAAGUAAAGGAGGCACCAUCACAAUGUAAAUCUACGAUCUGUUUCGUGUUUCCUCACGGAUUAUUCGAGUAGGAGCCGGCCAGUAGCCAAUUACGACAAUAUUAGACUCUGAACCCUCUGUCACUCGGGCGCGUAUUGCUCCCAAUUAUGACAAGCUGUUGCUAUAGACUUGGUGAGCUUUCAUCAACAAUUUAUCGUGUUUUAUACGAAGAGGUACAUACAUGUACAUAGUUGUGCCCUGAAAUUAACAUCUCACGUUCCAAAUGUAGUGAAUUAAUGUGAAUUAUUAUUGAGUACAUCUCAUGUCAUCUUGGUGGUACAUGUGUAUGCUGGUGGUUUAUAGCAGUAAUAAUUAUGAGGCAGGCAAGAAAAAUUUAUUACGAACUAUGAUAUCAGUGGUCAUAGUAGGUUUGCAUUGUACACAAAUUUGAUAACACACCACAAUUUUUCUUUUGCUUCUCUCUGUUGCAACCAGAACCUGUGUUAUGAGCAUGAGCCUCAGAUCACACUACCACUAUUUGCAAAUAUAUGACAUUUUAAAUAAACUAACUUAUCCUAAAUGACAUGUGUUUAAAAUCAGAGCGGACAAAAUUACCAUAUUUGAUUUGAGUCGAUAGUUCGGCUUGAACUCCACUUUAUGUCGCGGAAAGGGAACUGCUUUCUCUACAUAUACGCAGAGGCCACUGCUACGUGCAUUGUUGCAGACAGCCACAUGAUCGUAUUCAAAACCUGUAUACAGACUAGAUGGGCAAUAGAUGGCUCUUAUUCCGUGAGACUGAGACUGACACACUGAUUUUUCAUGGAAACUUGAUCUCCAACAUAUGAUUUCUCAUUUCCUGGUACCACUCAAUCACAAGCAGUGUAACGCUUGCGAAAUUGACAUCACUACUUAGGCGUUGUCAUUUCAGGGUCUAUGUUCAUAUAAGGGACAAGAACUGGAAUAAUGGGGACAUCUGGUACCACUCAAAGUUUGUCAUUUGCAAGCAGGGGCCGAGACUGUAAUAAGUUAUGGUUUCAUUUUCUAGGGAAAAUUGAUGCUCCAUUAUUGAGUCACUCCAAAAGCUGAAGUUUUCAAUUUGUAUUCGGAGUGUCAAUGAUCUCACCUAAUUUAAUUUGUAUUACUUGUUUUUAGGAUAUGGAACAUAUAAAAGUUGCGAUAUGAAACAAAUUUCCAACACUACUGGAAAACGCAAGUUUCCCUACAACUCCACAUCCUAGGGAAAGAUUGAAAAACCGUGGGGGAACGUUUUCCCUAGGAAUUUUUGUAGGAAUUUUCGUAGGGGAAACGUUUUCCCAAGGAAUUUUGAAAUAUCACUCUCGGGUAAUCAGCUUUCCUUAGAACACAUUAGCCUUUCCUAUGGAAAGUAAAUAACCCUAGGGACUUUCGGAUUCUAGUAGUGCAACAUAAAUCUAGCUUGUCAUAUUAUUUUCCAAAGUUCACCUGAAAUAUGAAAAAUAUAUUAGAAAUCAAAGCUUAAGUGUGUCGAACAUGCAUCUUUUCCACUAAUUAUUUUGCAUCACAUGUAGUAUGUUUCACGUGACCCAAUAACUCUCGGGCAACAAACUUGCUAGUAAGAGUUAGGUCCAAAAACUGGGAAAACGUUUGGCAUGCAUAUCUUGCUAGUAAUACCAGAGAUAGACAAAGUCCACGGAGGGGUUCGUCCAUUUUGUUACCUACAUGAUUUUCCACUUGACCAUUGUGGGGGUGAAUCAUUCGCUCCUGUAAUUUUCCAUCAUAUUAUCUGACUGCGAUGAAUAACCCCUCCACUCGAUUUCCCAGUUUUCCCAGCGUCUUACAUUCUGAAUCAAGACAAAGCUAAAUAUUCUCUUUUUGAAAUAGGCUCCUUUCUAAAUAUUUCCAUUGGUUUACCGGUCUGCGGUACUGAGCUUGAAAUGAGAGCCUGAGGGUGCAAAUUCUAAUAUCUGCUGUAAAUUGGAGCGGUUGCAAGUAGUUGAGGGAGGAGCACUUGUUCCCUCUCCACUGACAUGACUAAUUCUGUCAGGUCGUAGUUUGAACCCACCGCAUUAAUGCACAAUGAUUAGUUUUCUCUUGACUACCCAUGAACUGUAACACAAUCCCAAUUUAUUUUUUUUAUUAUGGCUAGUUCAUAUGCAAAUGAUCUCACAUAUGCAUGGCAUUGGUCUUAUUUUUUCGUAAUUACUUUGUAGGUUUGACAUCAAACUUUGACUUAGACCUCGUUUCCAUGUUUGGUGUGAGGUCGUAUAUGUGUAGCACGCCUAACAUGCUGCAUUUAGACCAUAAAAUGGUCAGAACCUAACUAAGCUUCCAAGAGGUACUAAUAACAACACACUAGAACACUCUUGGGCAAAAUGAUUACAGACAAUAACAUAAAUGGAUAAGUAUAUUCAAAUCUUGAUGAAAUUUUCUCCAUUUUUCCCCUUUAGUGGUUAAUCGUUAUUGAUGUGACUGUAACACCACCUGUUGUUUGCAUAUACCAUAAGUAGAUUCGAGGGAAGUCACUGUGCAUUUGAACGCACCACAAGUAUCCCGCCUAACACCAAGCUUAAUGUGCCUCAAGCCUUCCAGUCAGAGCCAGUCCAAAUAGAAGUCAGUGGCCCUGUUUGCUGAAGGCACUGGUUGGAUCAUGGAAAUGAUGGCGGCACACUUGCAUGCCCUUUCUUUCUUGGUGGUGUUUUUUUAAAUCCUUCCUCACGGUCCAAGUGUAGGUAUGGUGUAGCUAUGGUGGUGCACUGGUAGAAACACUAGAAGGUAGGAUCUUGAUAAACCCUCUAUGACAGCUACACAAUUCCAGAUAAAGUACUACGGGGAAAUGCCUAAAAGUAACAAAGCAAAUAAUAUACCAUACCACAUGGUUUUAAUCAUCUGGUACGAUGCUAUAUCCUGAUGCCUCCCAAUCCUCAUUGUCUUCAUUCUACUUAUUUUCCUUGCUUGAUGCCAAUCAAAUAUAGGCUAUAUGGGCAGAAGAAAAGCUGCAUAGGCUGAGAUUAGCGAUGGGAGAUGAGGAUGAGGAUGGGGUGUGUGCGUGUGUUGGGGGGGGGGGGGGGGGGGGGGGGGUAUUUCGUGUGUUUGUGGCAUGUAUACAGAACAUGUAAUUGGCGUGGUGCAUUUUUUUACAGGGCCUUGGAUAUAUUGAAAAUUCUAAUAACUAAUGAAGCUGAAAUGGUUUCCACCGAUGCCCUGUCCAGUCAUUAUGGAUGAGUCUAUUUUUUUUUUACAUUAUAACCUGUGGCAGCCUCAGACAUCUAAAAUUUCAGCUUGUUGCAUGUUGCAGAACUACUACGGACACUGUACCUUGUUUUGAUUUUAGGCAUUAAUUCCGUAGAGAAUUCUGAAGCCUAGAUUAUGUUUAUUAAAAUAAUAAGAUGUAUUGGACACGAAAUUUCCUAAUACUAAGCGUAACAUCUGACAUCGUAAUGUGUUCGUCAUACCAAUUCUUCUUAAAAUAUGAUUGCGAUCAAAAGAUACAAUAUCGAAGAGAACAAUAAAGAGCUGUUUGCCAUUGGCAUUUGCUCAGCUGAUACUAAUAGCUAUCACAACUGGGGUGCAGUUCAAAUCCAUCAUGACUUCUGAACUUGUGGCCACGUUAUCAUUCACUCUACUUGCUUGGAAAAUUACGUAGUGCCUUGUCUACACUCUUCAGCUCUUGCUUUACUAAACACAUUAAUUUGUGCCCUUUUAUAUUUUUUAUUACGUCAAGUAGCUUUUAGUUAAAGUUUACAAACUUUUCAAGAUUAGUCGAAAUAACAUCGUGACAUCUUCAUUGGAUAACGUUACAGCAUGCAUAUCUACCUAUAUACCCAAGCAGAGCAGUAUUUCUUUUCCUUUGUGUUAGUGAAAAUACUGAGUAGUGUGUUCCACGAGAAGGCAGCGUGCACUCAAAUUGCUAAAAUAGAUCCUUUGUCUAGUCCACAAAGUCGAAAAUUUAAAAUAAUUCAGUUAAACUUACACUACGGGAUACAGUAGGGCACUCGGCAAAGCCCCCAAAACACUCGGCAAACGUUUUGUCGAGUGUAGCACUCGGCAUAAAUGUUAACGGCAAAUGCUCUUUGCCGAGUGUUUUUUGUCGGGCACUCGGCAAAAACUUUGCCAAUUGCCCCAAAAACACUUGGAAAAUAGUUUUCAAGAAAAAUAGAAAAAAUAUGUCACCGGCACCACCACACCGUCGCCACGAUGCCCACCGGCACCACCACGCCGCCGCCACACCACCACGCCGUUGCCACCACGCCUGCUGCCGCCACGCCACCACCACACCGCCACCACGCCACAAAGCCGCCCGCCGCCGCCGCCACCACCACCACGUCGUGCCGCCACCACGCUGCCGCUGCAACCAACAUGCCCGCCACAACCACCACACCCGUCGCCGUCGGAUCCGGGAGGGCUUGGAGGGGGGCGGCGCCAACGGAUCCGGGAGAGAGAGGACCGUGAGGGGGGCAGUGGCACCGGGGAAGAAGGGGAGGGGGGGCAGCCCUGGAAGCAAGGGAGGUGGCGGCGCCGGGGAAGAAGGGGAAGAGGGGGCCACCAGGGAAGGAGGGGAGGUGGCGGCGCCGAGGAAGAAGGGGGCACCGGGGAAGAAGGGGAGGGGCGGCACCGGGGAAGCCGGGAGGGGGCGGCGCCGGGGAAGCAGGGAAGGGGACGGUGGCCGGGGAAGAAGGGGAGGGAGGCGGCCGAGGGAAGGAGGCACUGUUUUAUGUGUAAAAAGGUUUGCCGAGUUUGCCGAUAUGGCACUCAGCAAAGAUGAGGCUUUGCUGAGUGCUAGAUCGGGGGCACUCGGCAAAUUUUUUUUUCAUUUUUUCCCUUUUCCUCCUUUUCUUUCUUUUUCAUAACGUGUUCUUCUAUAUUUGUUCCGAUGCACUUUAAAAAUACCUUGUCAAAUUCACUCAACAAUAUAUAUUUGAUUGUUCUACUCAUAUUAUUCCAUUAUUUUAUGCAGUUAUAGCUCAAAUUCUAUAAUUGCACUUAAUAAAUUAAAAUUAUCAAAUGGUUCUAAAAAAUUACUAAAAUUUUACAUGAAACAAUCUAUAUUCUCUAUUGCUUAUACAAAAAGUUUUGUAGUUAAACCACAAUUCGACCAUCACUUUGACUCCAAAUCUUACCAAAUCCUUCUCAACGCUACGAUUCUUCUUUUAAGAUGCUUUGGUUUGUAAACAUCGUAUGUUACAAAAUGUGGGAAACAUUCUCAAUUGUUUACCACGGCCUUCACGUAUGAUAUCAUUACAUCAUGACAAAUCUCAUGAUUAUCACACUUCAUUUUCUUUUUUUAGAAUUUAAAAACCAUUCGGCCACACGUUCAUGGUCAUGUUUUUUGAACAAGAUGUUCAAAAUUUCUUUUCAUUUUCUUGGGUAAGGCCUCACACUGGACUCAAUAACAUGAAUAUCAUUUUUCUACACAUUUUAUUCUAUUAUUUCAAUCACAUGCAGUUCAAAUUUGACUUAUACCAGAAAAAUUCUUGAAAUGCAAUAAAUUAAUUAAAUUUAGCAAACAGAUCGAGAAAUAUACCAAAGUUUAACAUGGAGUACCACAUGUUGUAUGUGGAGAGUAGAAAAAGUUUCAAGGGAAGAAGAGGGAAAAAAUUAUUUUUUUGCCAAGUGUAAAAAAAACACUCGGCAAACCCCCUUGUUUGCCGAGUGCAAUUAUUUUGCCGAGUGUUUUUAGCUCAGCACUUGGCAAAGAGCUUAUUUGCCGAGUGCCCAAGGGAAUGCACUUGGCAAAUAUAAAAAUACUCGGCAAAUUUGAUGUGUCCGGUAGUGUUAGUGGCUCACCAAAGAUAUUGAUCAAACCAAUUUCCAACAGUUACACUGAAACUUAUUUGGGCCACUCAUCCAACAGUAGCUUUCUAUCUUCCUCAUCUCUCUGUCUUCUGUUCCCGAAGCAAUAAUAGCUUGGCUAUAGUGUCGAAGUUUCACACAAAAAAAUCUAUUUAUGUAUAAAAAAGGAUUUUUCUUGUGUCAAUGUGUGAUCGUUGACCGUAAUUAGUAUAUUCAUAUCACGUACAAAGGAGGAGUUCUUGUAUACGCCAUAUAGGCUCCCUUUGGUUGGGCUUUCCAACCUGCUUUUGCUUUUGCAAAAGCCAAAAGCCAACCAAAGGGCCUAAAAGCUCUACGUGCUUUUGCCCAAAAGCUACUUUUGCUCUAGUACAAAAUCAAAAGCACCUUCCCCCUGCUUUCAAGUGCUUUUGGGGUAAAAAAUUACCCACCUGCCACUGGUUAUGAUGUACCCUUUCAUCUAAUUUUUCUCUCCCGCACGCAUAGACCUCUCCUCUCCUCCGUUCACCUGCACAGCGCAUCUCGCCUCCCCUGGCCGCUGGCCUUCCUCCCCUUGCCGCCGGCCGGCCGUCCGCCUCCCCUGGCCGCCGGCGGGCCGUCCGCCGCCCCUGGCCACCGGGCCUCGUGCCGCCGCCCCCAUCGCCCCCGACGGCCGCCGCCUCCCCUGGAGCCCCCAACGGCCGCCGCCCGCUUGACCGCCCGCCGCCGCCGGCCCCAGCGCCCCCCGCCGUCCGCCACCCCCUUGACCGCCCGCCGCCGGCCGUCCUGCCCCUGCUCCUGGUGCCGGGCCCGCGUCGCCCGCCGCCGCCCCUUGACCACCCGCCGCCGCCGCCCCUUGACCGCCCGCCGCCGCCGCCCCUUGACCGCCCGCCGCCGCCGCCCCUUGGGGCCUCCUCAAGGAAAGUACGAGAUGUUGAAUUUUUUGCAUUCAUCUCUUCGUAAUGUCAUUGAAAGGUCUUUUGGAGUCUUAAAGCAGAAGUGGCGUAUUUUGAAGGACAUGCCAAGUUUCUCACCUCGUACUCAGAAACAUAUCAUUAUGGCUUGUCUUGCAUUGCAUAAUUUUAUUCGUGAUAGCAAUUUGUGUGAUAAGGAGUUCAAGAGAUGUGAUGAUGAUGAGGAUUACUUGGUACAACAUACAUGUGGUAUGAGACAAACACAAGGAGAUGAUAGUGAUGAUGUGGACAAUGAGGAUACCAUGAAUACCAUUCGCACUAGGAUAGCUGAUGCUUUGGUUAGUGCGAGAGGAGGAGAGUAAUGUUGAGGGUUGGCAUCCUUGUAUAGAACUUUUUGAUCGAUAUAGUUCUAUUUAUGUGGACCAAUUACUUUAAUGGAUGAAAAACAUAUAAAAUUUAUUUUUUGUUUCUUCCUAAAAUAGUGGUUUACAUUUGAACAAGUGAACGCAUUAUUUUGUUACGAGCAAUUUGCAUAUAAACACACUCACAAACCUUUAGGGGCAUUACAGGUAUUUCUUACACAGCCUACAGUUUCACAGCUCCUCUAACCAAACGGUCUUCUGCUUUUCCCACAGCUGCUUUCUCACAGCUGCUUUUCCACAGCCCACAGCUCACAGCAGCUUUUCCAAAAGCCACAGCCCAACCAAACACACCCAUAGUUUAAUUACUUGAUGUUUGACAAGAACUCAGUCGGUAGUCAUGAUAACAAAACUUCAGGUCCAGAGAAUUCUGAUCGACUAGCUGCAUGAACCAUCUAUCAGAGAAUAAAGGACGGAUCAGAUCAUUCUACCACAGCCAAAGCUUAAGUCUUCCCUGGCUUGCUCGAUUCCCCAUCCACAGGGUCGAAGACCGAGCUAGGCUCCACAGCGGGUUGGAGCACUUUGCUGGGACAAGAGCUUCCAGUUGAAUUCUGGCGUGCAGAAAUUGUGGGGCAACAAAUUCACGACCAUAAUUUUCCAUCUGAAUCCACCGGACUACGCAGCUAUGGUGAUGCCACUCCAUUAUUUGGCACUCUUUUCCAACGUCUCACAUUUUCAAUCAAGAGCAAGCUGAAAAUUGCUUUCCAAAACAAAAAAUAGUCCUUCCUCUCUCUCAGGCUCAUGUCUUACCCAGUAUGAAGGAACUGAGCUGGAAGCAGACUAGAGAGGGCGAGAGGGCAAUGACAUGUCUGUGUUGAACAGGAGAGGAAGGAGAUAGGGGAGGGAUUGGAUAUGUUGCCUCUAUUAUCAUUACGAGACGUGUUACGGUCUUACGGUGCUUCAGAGGUACCCAUGGUACCCUUCCCUCGAAAAUAUAGACAAACCCUUGAUCGUAAAAGGCAAUUUAGAAAAGGAAAUUAUUUUCUUUCAUAUGGGUAAAUUAGGAAAUGUCCAUAUGUGGUGAAUGCAGUGCGAAUCAUCUGGCCUGGCAGUGGGCUCUGCGAUAGAGCAACAUGGACUUUGCUGGUAAGAUGUCGGGCAACACAUCGACGUGGGAUUGAUUUUCCGCUAGGGAGAGUCACCAUUGCCGCGGUCCACGGAGGCACUCCCGGCAAACACCCGCUUAAGAACGCAGGCCAUUCGUGGGCUUGCGGGGUGGUGUAGAUCAGCGGGUUACCUGCAUAGUCUGCUCCACCUGCACCGCUACUACAAUCCAGAGCAGGCAUACCCAAGGUCGUCUGAAGGGUUUUCCCAAUGCCAUCCAUCCCUAUGGAAAGAUUGUAAAUUACACUAAGUAGAGAAUUGACCUUUAGUCCCGGUUGGUAGGGUGCAUAUCUCCCGAAAAUCCAUCCGAGAUAAACCAACUGGGAUAAAAGGGGGGGUCUUUAGUCCCGGGUCUUUUAACCGGGAGUAAAGGUCACCCUUUAGUCCCGGUUGGUGACAUAGUCCCGGUUGGGUUUCCCAACCGGGAGUAAAUGGUUACCCUUUAGUCCCAGUUGGAUUUCCCAACCGGGACUAAAUGGCGCCCUGCAUGACGCCUGAAAUUUUCAUGCAUCAGGUACGUAGUACCGCGGUCCUUUUGUUAACCUUUAGUAGUUGAGAUUUUUUUUAUAAUGAAAUCAACUAGUAUUUAAACGAAUGAAAUUUGUAAUUAUACAAUUACUAUAUAUAUACACAAUUCAACUAGUACAAAUCGAUCUUAAUUAGCGUGUAUUAUAUAUACAAAUAAAUAAAACUAUAUAUCUACAAUCUUCACGUCGAGGUGUUGCUCGGAGCGUCUAAUUGUCGUCCAUUAUAAUAAAAUUCUCCUUUUGAAUUUACCACCUCGUCCAUUAGGAAUCCAAUGAGACCUUCACAUAUUGCCGCUACUCUUUCUUCCUUCAAGACUCCUUGUUGAAUAUUGAACAUCUAUAAUUUGGAAAUUUGUGAAUAUAACACGAACAAUUAAAUAUAAGGAGCUAGAAAAUAAUUAACUAGUAAUAGUUUUAUUUUAUGUACUUUAAAGUUGUGCGGUGUCAUCUUUAGUCCCUUGGGUCCCAUAAAAUUGUGCAUGUGCUCACAGAUGUAGUAGCCACAUAGAUUAUUCUCGGGUUCCUGUCUUAAGCACUUCAGUGAGGAAAAAAAUAAGUUACGAAAUAUUCAUGUUAUACAAUGUAAUAAAUGUGCAGACUUCAUACAUACCAGGAAGUCUAUGUUCCAUGUCAGUUUUUCUUUGAAUGGACCUUUGUGUGUCCUUAUGAAUUGUUUCCAUGCGCUGCGGAUCAGAAUAAUGAAUGAUAUAGUGUAACAGGGAUAUUACAAGCCUAGCAAAAGGUCCAGAAUUAUUACAAGCCUAGCAUGUCUUGCAUGUCUUGGUACUCCCCCGGAUCUUUCCUCAACGAAUCGAAGACAGUGACGUGGCUUCUUUCAGGCUCAAUUAUAAUAAGGAUCCAGUGGAAGCUGCAUACGUAAAAUGUUCAUGCAUAUUAGAGCUAACUAACAUUAAUCAGGUAAGGAAAAAGACAACGAAAGUAGACGGUAUACACUCACUUACUUGAAGUUGUAUGGAAGUAGUAUGAAAUCCUUGAAUGUUUGUUUGUCUAGGAAAUUGUAUACUUCCACCAUGGUUUUUUCCGGCGAUAAUUGUAUCUAUUUUUGGUUAACUACAGAUGGAUCCAUGAAGCCUAUAUGUAGGUACGCCUCUCGUCGGCACGUCUGAAUUAGCAUCCUACAUAAAAUGGAAGACGAAGUUAGUACGAUGACGCACGCCAAAAUUUACAUGUAGAGAUAAACGGACACUUACAGAACCCAAGCGCUAAUCAGAGAGAUGUCCAGGGCAUCAUGAUGGUACACUUCAUAUAUAUCCUUGAAGUCUAGCCACAACACUUUCUCGCCUUCGCCGUAAAAAUCUAUCGAUUUUACCUUAAGGUCGAACAUCUCCCUUGAGUCAGCGGACGUCAUCAUGUACCAUUGAUGGAAUUCGUACAUCUUUGUUGAUAGCUUCCGUACCAACGAAGGCCUCACAAGAGGUUUGCCUAACUCAUAAGGCCAUCUCGGCUCAGGGGGUGAUGCAGUUGGCGUCUCAACAUGCCCUAAAGAUUCAUCAAGUCCCAGACAUGUUUCUUGCAUGAAUUUCAAUACUUCUGCUUGUUGAUCCAAGGGCAUUGCUACUAUCCUUUGAGUGUCUUAUUUUGAUAAAUGCCUGAGGUCGGGGACAGCACCACUAGAAGAUGACUUUCCUUUCCUUUUGUCCUUUUCAUUAGCCUUUACUAAAGCCCGUUCAUAGUUUGAUAAGAGUGGUAUCCUUUUCUUAGCUCCUUCUUCCAUCAUGAUAAAAAAGUUUAAAUCUCUUCGAUUUACUGGCGGUGGCUCCAUCUCCCUUGUUUUUUUUCUUCGGCUUGUUUCUUGAACCACUCACUAGCCUCUCGUUGGAUUUCUGCUCACUGUUCCACAUGAGUCAUUGCCUCCCAGCGUUCCUUAUGAGUCACUUCAGGCUCCUUUGUUUUCUUCUUUCUCUGUCUUUGCUUUGGAGGCUGUGCUCGUGACUUCUUUAGUGGUGUUGUAGGUUCCUUCAUGGGGGCUGCUCUUGGUCCCGGCGACUGUGAUCGGGGAGGGGUGUUGUUAUUAUCGUCGUCGCUCCCACCACCAGGAUGUGGUGGAGAUGGAGACCUUGAUAUAGCAGGAAGUGAUGGUCCUGGAGCAGGUUGUGCAGGAGAUGACGGUCUCGAGCUAUGAGGAGAAGGUCGCUGCUGGGGAUCUACGGGAAGCGGUCUUGAGCUCUGAGGAGAUGGCUCCGUGCCGGGAAUGAUGAUGUAGCAUUUUCGCCAUAGAAUGAUCCCAUGAAGAGCAUCUGCCAGUGUCCCUUCCCCGUCGCCUCCCGGGAGGUCAAGCUCUAGGCCUUCAUAUUAGCUAUCAACAAUUUGCUUUACGCGGACGCUGGUGUAGCCAGGUGGAAUCUCCAUGCCAUGACUGCUCUGCCCCGCUAGGGUUGCUAACGCACUCCUGUACGCUACCUGUACAUAUAGCAGAAGUAAACAAGUUAUUAAACUCCGAUCACGAGGCGUGGAUCAAUUGACAAGAUUGCAUAAAUAUUAUAUGUAAGUAUACCUUAAUAGUGAGGUUGCCGACCGGUGCAGCUCACAUGUGGUGCGUUGCGUGAUGGCAUCCACAGGGAACCGUUGCUCCUCCACGGGUAACCUGGGCGUCUGCGAAUCGGGGACCCCUGUACAAGCACAACUUCUCAAGAGGCGUUGAGAAGGGCUGGCGUAGUUUGGAUUCGGCAAUGCUCCAGAUUGGGCCAACUCCGCAACUACGUGGGCCACUCGACGAUUUAUUUCCUCCAACAUUCUUUCUUCUUGUGCCUGCACUUUGGAUUCUAGUAUCUGCUGCCAGCUCUCCUCGAUCUGUUCCUUUCUUUGCUUGCGGAUUCUGUACGAUGCGUUGUCGCCUCGGAAAGCAAACUUCCACGGAAUGACCCCGAACCCUCAGCAACGUCCUGGGUGCUCGGGAUUACCGAGGGCCAAUGUGAGCUCAUCAUUCUCUCGGUCCACCUUCAACCUCCCAGCCUUAGAAUCUUCAGUGUUCUUCAUAAGACGUUCGGCCUUCUCACGUAUUGUGUCAUUGAAAAUCAACGUCCCAUCCUCUUGGCUCAGGGAACCUCCAUGAGCGUAAUACCAAUUUUUUGAUUGUUUGGGCCAUUCAAUAGUUGCAGGUAGGAUUCCCCGUUCGAUCAGAUCUUGUUCCAUCUUCCUCCAUUUGGGAAUUGCUGUGCCAUAACCACCUCGCCCUAGAUGAUGAUGGUAGCCCUUCUGCCCAGCAUUUGUAGUGUUGGUCUGGAUCUUUUUCACACCGUCUUCACUCCUCUUAUAUUCAACAAAUGCCUCCCAGUGGUCCCUCAACUUUGGCCACACAUUGAAGUCUGGAGUUCGGCCCUUCUUAAUGUAGUUGGCAUCCAGCAUCUUCUUGAAUUUCUAGAAUUGUGUAGCCAUCUUCUUCAGCGUCCACGCUUUCACAUCCUUUUCAAUAUAUCCUUUGGGGAAUGUGAAAUGUCUCUUGACAUCUUCCCACAGCAUAUUCUUUUCUAUCUCUGGGAGGGUGUACGGAUUAGUUCUUCUGCCCUUCCAUUUUAUGAUGCUGAUAGGCACGUUGUCCCAGACGAUUGCUCCGAUCUCACUCACGUACUUCUUUGCUACUUUCUUCGGAGCAACCGGCCUGCCCUCUUCUGUCACUUCCAUGAUGACAAGCCUCCCUUCCAUCACCUUUGUACGACCUCGGGUCUUCUGCCCUUGCGUCGAUCCAGAGGGCUAACAGUUCAAGAUUCGUUAAUUAGUACGUAGUAGUAACGGUGGCGUGAAACAAUACAAUUUAUAUAUACCUCUCCGGAACCUUCCGCCAUGGCAAGGUGUUGCUGGGGCUCAUGCUCUUCAUUCCCAUCGGCGGACAUGUUGAGGAACAUGUCCGCCUGGGUGCCCUCUUCAUCGGUGUAUGAUAUUGGAAGGUUGUCGCCACUACCAUCACCAGCGAUUAUCUGCUCCAUGAGAUACCUUGCGGUCUCAUCGUCUGCCAUUUCAACUAUUGAUUGAAACAUACAUGGAAUCAUACAUGACAGUCAUAGAAAUCGCCUUAGCUACAUAAGGGUAUAUACAUGAAAUCAUAAAAUAACAUGAAUCCCACAAAGUCCGGAAUGUUUAUACAAAUUUCAACAAAUUAGUAGUACUUUGUACGAAUUUCUACCAAAUUUCUACUAAUUUAUACAUAUUUAUUGGAAUUUCUAGCAAAUUCCUAAUAAUUCCUACAAAUUUUACAAUAACAUGAAUCCCACAAAGUCCGGAGUGUUUAUACAAAUUUCAACAAAUUAGUAGUACUUUGUACGAAUUUCUACAAAAUUUCUACUAAUUUAUACAUAUUUAUUGGAAUUUCUUGCAAGUUACUACUAAUUACUACUAUUUAUUACUAAUUUGAUUUUCUAACUAAUAUACAAAUAUCUAUUGAUUUUCUAACUGAUUCGUUCCUAGCGCCACUACCGGCGGACCUCGCGCAGUCGACGGUGCCUAGGUUGGGCGACGAGGUGGCCAGGGCGGUGGGACGGCAGCGGCCGUGGCGGCGGGAUGGCGGAGGCGGGGACGGAGCGAGGUGGCCGCGGCAAUGACUAAUUUCUAACCUAGGCGGAGCCCUUCGUAACCCGGGACUAACUAAUUACUACUAAUUUCCACUAAUUUGAUUUUCUAACUAAUAUACAAAUAUCUAUUGAUUUUCUAACUAAUUACUACUAAUUUCUAUUUAUUUUCUAACUAAAAACUAAAAAAGGCCCUUGCUGACGCAAGCCGGUGGGCUUGCGUCAGCAAGAGGGGUACGUUCCCGGCGCCAGUGCCGGCGGACCUCGCGUGGUCGACGGUGGCCAGGGUGACGAGGUGGCUGGGGCGGUGGGACGGCGGCGGCCAGGGUGGCGGGACGGCGGAGGCGAGGACGGAGCGAAGCAAACGUCGAACGGAGGCGGCCGGCGACGAGGGGCGACGAGUCGGCGCGCGCGACAGAGGCAGUGACGAGGAGGCCCCGCGACGGACGAGGGCGCGGCGGCGACAGAGGAGGUGGUGUUGACGGAAGGCGGUGACGAGGAUGGAGGCGGCGACGAGGCCCCGCGAUGGAGGUGGCCAGCGGCGAUGAGCUCGAGGGGGCGCGAUGGAGGAGGAUUGAGGCGGGCCGGGGCGAUAGAGAAGGAGGCGGUCAGGUGGCGGGACGACGAUGGCCGGGGCAAUGGGGGACGACGACGACGGCGGCCAGCGAGGGAGGCGGACGGGCGGCGACGGAGCAGGAGCGCGGGAUCUUGGCGAAAUUUUGGCUAAGUGUAAAUGGUGUGGGGGGUAGAAGAGGCUACAGUGCCUUUUAUCCCCCCCCCUUUUAUCCCGGGACUAAAGGCACUUUUGUCCCAGGUCCCAUUACCAACCGGGACAAAAGGGUACAACCACUUGGCGGGACUGGAAACCUACCCUUUUAUCCCGGGUGCCAACACCAACCGGGACAAAAGGGCCCUCCUUUUAUCCCGGUUGCUAACUGUAACCGGAAUAAAAGGGUACGUCCCCGACGGGAAUCGAAAAAUACCCUUUUAUCCUGGUUGCAGUUGUCAACCGGGACAAAAGGGGGGCCUUUUGUCCCGGUUUCAAUUGGCACCCGGGAUAAAAUAUCCUUUUCCCAUACUUUCAUCUCCCGCCUAUUUUUUUGAAAAAAAAGAUUUUAUUUAUAUUUUCACUGCAUUUGAGGAUGCAAAAACAAAAAACUUCACAUAUUUUGUACAUGCAAAAAUAUAUUUAAUUAGCGAGUAUAUAGACAAUAAGUGUGAUUUAGUCAUUAAUUCUAUACCAGUUCGUUUAGCCUCUAAAAUAUUUAUUUUACUGCAUCACAGUGAUCAAGAAAUUAUUCAAUUAAAUAAUUUCAACGCAAAAAAAAUCCAUGUAUGUAUGUGGUUAACAUUGUUCAUGUUUAUCUAAUAAAUCCUCACCUAACAAAUUUAAGAACACAUGAAAUCAUACAUAGGGUAAAUUAAAAAUUGUAUCAAGUACUACACAAAGGACAUGUAAAUUUAGCGCAUUACAAUUGUAAAAUUUCUUCUUCACGAAAGUGCCUUGAUCAUGAUCGCGGCGUAAGUACGGAGGCUCUUCUUUGGAUAGCAGGAUGCUUGGAUCAACUUCAACUGCGAAUGGAGGCAUGCCAUCAAACUGAUCAUAAUCAUCUGAUUGGUCUGUUUUAUCCUCGACUCCCACGAUCUUUCUUUUACCUGGAAGAACUAUGUGGCACUUUGGCUCCCAUAUCUCUUCUGGAUUUCUCUUGGGUUUGCUACACAUGUCCUUCACAUAGAACACCUGAUGCACAUCAUUGGCAAGUACGAAUGGGUCAUCACUGUAUCCAGUCUUGCUGAGAUCUACUAUUGUCAUUCCGUACUGAUCUUUGGUUACGGCAAUUAGCUUCACCCAAUUGCAAAGAAAUAGAGGGAUGUACAGCGGUCCGUAUUCGAGUUCCCAUAUCUCCUGUAUGAAACCAUAAUACGACUCUUUGCUAUUAUUUCUAUCUAUAGCAUCUAUGCGGACACCACUAUUCUCGUUCAUGCUUUUUUGGUCCUGGGCUCUCGUGUAAAGUGUAUAACCAUUUAUCUCAUAGCCUUGGAAUUUCACGAUUGUGCUAGCAGGUCCCCUGGCUAACCAAGCAAGCUGUGGGUGAAUCUCAGAGUAACCCAUAAGUUGUUGGCGCAACCAGGAGGAAAAAGUUUCCAUGUGAUGAUGGGUAAGCCAAGCAUCGGAUUUGGUCGGGUUUUUGAAAACUACCAUCUACCUGUGCUCCUCGAUAUACGGAGACACAAAGGAUGACUGUUGUAGAAUAAUGUAGUGUGCCUUGUCGAACAAAUCAGUAUCAUUGCUGAAACUUGAUUUCCUUCCAAGGGUGCCCAUUCCCCGGAGCCUCCCCUCGUGGCGUGAAGUUGGAACCCCAAUCGAGUCAAUUGAAUCAAUAAAAUCAACACAAAACUCAAUCACCUCCUCUGUUCCAUAUCCCUUGGCGAUGCUUCCUUCUGGACGGGCGCGAUUAAGAACAUAGUUUUUUAGGACUGCCAUGGACCUCUCGAAAGGCCACAUAUUGUGCAGGUAUACAGGUCCGAGAAUAUACCAAUCUCUUUUACUAGGUGAACCAGUAAGUGCAUCAUAAUAUUGAAGACGGAUGGUGGAAAUAACAACUCAAAACUGACAAGACAUUGCACCACAUCGUUUUGUAGCUUUGAUAGCUUGGAUGGAUCGAUUGCCUUCUGUGAAAUCGCAUUGAGUAACGCGCAUAGCUUUACGAGCGGCAACUGGACAUUUUCUGGUAGAACACCCCUCAGUGCAACCGGAAGCAACUGGGUCAUCAACAUGUGGCAGUCAUGGGCCUUGAGAUUUGUAAACUUCUUUUUUUUCAUAUUUAUUAUUCCCUUUAUAUUCGAGGAGUACCUAGACGGGACCUUCAUACUAUUCAAGCAUUCAAACAUGCUAUCCUUCUCUUUCUUGCUGAGAGUGUAACUGGCAGGACGUAAGUAGUGCUGUCCAUUAUCUCUCUUUUCCGAAUGUAGGUCGUCUCGUUGCCUCAUGGCUUUCAGGUCCUGUCGUGCUUCCAAUGUAUCUUUCGAGGUCCCAUAAACACCCAUGAAGCCUAGCACGUUCACGCAAAGAUUCUUCGUCAGGUGCAUCACGUCUAUUGCGUUGCGAACCUCUAGGAUUUCCCAAUAAGGUAGCUCCCAAAAUAUUAACUUUUUCUUCCACAUGGGUGCAUGUCCCUUAUCGUCGUUCGGAACAGGUUGGCUACCAUGACCCUUUCCAAAGACUACAUUUACAUCCUUCAUCAUCUCGAAGACACGCUUUUCAUUAUGGUGUGCAUGUUUUUUACGAUGGUGUGGCGCCCCUUUGAAAUGCAUCCCGCUCUUUCUCAGCUGGUGGUGAGCAGAGAGAAAUCGAUGAUGACCCAUAUAGACGACCUUCUUACAGUGCUUCAAAUACAUGUUGUCUAUGUCGUCUAUAUAGUGGGUGCAUGCCCGAUAUCUCUUAUUUGUCUGUCCCGAAAGGUUACUCAGUGCAGGCCAAUCAUUGAUGGUUACGAACAACAGUGCUCAUAGAUUAAAGAUCUCUUGUCUAUCCUCAUCCCACACACGUACACCUUCUUCCUUCCAGAGCUAUAAAAGGUCAUCAACCAACAGUCUUAGGUACACGUCAAUGUCAUUGCCGGGUUGUUUUGGGCCUUAUUGAAUUGGAUAAGUUCAACAAGUAGCAGAAACCAUCCAUGUACAAAAAUUCUUUCCUUAGCACUGCGGAAGUUGUUGAACUUGAAGACCGUGAUCAUCUCGCAAGCAUGUUCUCAACUGGGCGGCACCGCACUUCAUCAUGAACGAGGUUCGAUGCUACGGAAAAGGGGACACGGUCAUGAUGUCUGUAUCCACUCUUUCUCGUAGAAUCGAACCUCCUUCUUGACAUACGUUGCUACUCAGCGGAGAACAUCCUCGCCGAGAUGAACACGGUUUGCAAGUUCAACAAGUAUGGAUUUGAAAAACGUUAUUGAAUUUGAUAAGAUAAACCGUCUAGACAAGGUAGCAUCAUUCUUAAACCACUGCAAGAAUACAUACUAUAUAUGACACAUCAAUCUCCCUCACAUUCUAGCUCAAAAUACCUCUCCAUUUUCUACUUCAUCACAUUCUAGCAAUUAAUCUUUCCAUCUCCAAAGCAUAAAUCAAAGCAUAACACGAGGAUGAAGUAGCAAACCUUCACAACACUUGUGUUGGCUGAGUGAAAUUCCCACGAAAAUGAGGGAAAAAACUUCGGGCAGCACCUCCCUUGCUUCGGCACCACCGGAGAGUAGGUGAAGCUCUGCUCUCUGUCUAUGUGCUGGACUGGCUCGGGCUGGAGAAGGAAGAAAGACCUCUGUCUUGGUAUAUAAUGGCGAUGAGUUUUUAUCCCGGUUCACGCCAUGAGGGAAGACUCCGAGGAAUGGGCACCCUUGGAAGGAAAUCAAGUUUGAGCAAUGAUACUGAUUUGUUCGACAAGGCACACUACACUGUUCUACAACAGUCAUCCUUUGUGUCUCCGUAUAUCGAGCAGCACAGGCAGAUGGUAGUUUCCAAAAACCCGACCAAAUCCGAUGCUUGGCUUACCCGUCAUCACAUGGAAACUUUUCCCUCCUGGUUGCGCCAACAACUUAUGGGUAACUCUGAGAUUUACCCACAACUUGCCUGGUUAGCCAGGGGACCUGCUAGCACAAUUGUGAAAUUCCAAGGCUAUGAGAUAAAUGGUUAUACAUUUUACACGAGAGCCCAGGACCAGAAGAGCACGAACCAGAAUAGUGGUGUCCGCAUAGAUACCAUGGACAGAAAUAAUAGCAAGUAGUCGUAUUAUGGUUUCAUACAGGAGAUAUGAGAACUCGAAUACGGACCGCUGUACAUCCCUCUAUUUCUUUGCAAUUGGGUGAAGCUAACUGCCGUAACCAAAGAUCAGUACGGAAUGACAAUAGUAGAUCUGAGCAAGACUGGAUACAGUGAUGACCCAUUCGUACUACCAACAAUGUGCAACAGGUGUUCUAUGUGAAGGACAUGUGUAGCAAACCCAAGAGAAAUCCAGAAGAGACAUGGGAGCCAAAGUGCCACAUAGUUUUUCCAGGUAAAAGAAAAAUCAUGGGAGUCGAGGAUAAAACAGACCAAUCAGAUUAUUAUGAUCAGUUUGAUGGCAUGCCUCCAUUCGCCGUUGAAGUUGAUUCCAGUAUCCUGCUAUCCAAAGAAGAGGCUCCGUACUUACGCCGCGAUCAUGAUCAAGGAACUUUUGUGAAGAAGAAAUUUUACAAUGUUGUAUUGUAAUGCGCUAAAUUUACAUGACCUUUGUGUAGUAAUUGAUACAAUUUUUAAUUUACCCUAUGUAUGAUUUGAUGUGUUCUUAAAUUUGUUAGGUGAAGAUUUAUUAGAUAAACAUGAACAAUGUUAACCACAUACAUACAUGGAUUUUUCUGCGCAUUGAAAUUAUUUAAUGGAAUAAUUUCUUGAUCACAGCGAUGUAGUAAAAUAAAUAUUUUAGAGGCUAAAUGAACUGGUAUAGAAUUAAUGACUAACUCACACUUAUUGUCAAUUUACUCGCUAAUUAAAUAUAUUUUUGCAUGUACAAAAUAUGUGAAGGUUUUUGUUUUUCAUCCUGAAUUGCAGUGAAAAGAUAAAUAAAAUCCAUUUCCAAAAAACAGGCGGGAGAAGAAAACUGGGAAAAGGAUCUUUUGUCCCGGGUGCCAACAGCAACCGGGACAAAAGGCCCCCCUUUUAUCCCGGUUGCAAACUGCAACCGGGAUAAAAGGGUACUUUUCGACACCCGCCGGGAUGUACCCUUUUAUCCCGGUUGGUGAGGGGACCCGGGACAAAAGGCCCUUUAGUCCCGGGUGCCAUUACGAACCGGGAUAAAAGGGGGGGUUAAAAGGCACUGUAGCCCCUUCUACCCCCCACGCCAGUUAUACUUAGCAAAUUUUUCACCAAGAUCCCGCGCGCACUCUGCUCCGUCGCCACCCGUCCGCCUCCCUCGCCGGCCGCCGCCGUCGUCGUCCCCCAUUGCCCCGGCCGUCGUCGUCCCGCCGGCCGACCGCGCCCAGACAGCCUCCUCCUCCAUCACCCCGGCCCGCCUCGAUCCUCCUGCAUCGCGCCCGGCCCCUACCUCAUCGCCGCCGGCCACCUCCAUCGCGGGGCCUCGUCGCCGCCUCCAUCCUCGUCGCCCCGGGUCGCCGCCUCGUCGCCCCUCGUCACCCCUCGUCGCCGCCUCAUCACCGUCCUGCCUCCGCCGUCUCACCGUCCCGUGCGCCUUCGCUCCGUCGUCGCCUCCGCCGUCCCGCCGCCCCGGCCGCCGCCGUCCCGCCGCCCUGGCCACCUCGUCGCCCCGGCCACCGUCGACCGUGCGCGAGGUCCGCCGCGCCGGCACUGACGCCGGGAGUACCGCCUUGCUGACGCAAGCCCACCGGCUUGCGUCAGGAAAGGCCUUUUUUUUGAAGUUAGCAAAUAAAUAGAAAGGAGUAGUAAUUAGGUAGAAAUUCAAUAGAUUUUUGUAUAUGUGUUAGAAAAUCAAAUUAGUGUAAAUUAGUAGUAAUUAGUAGUAAUUAGGUUCGUCGCUCCGCCUAGGUUAGAAAUGAAUCGUGUUUCGUCGUGGUUCCAUCCCCGCCUCCGCCGUCCCGCCGCCCUAACCUAGGCACCGUCUGUGGUUCCGUCCCCGCCUCCGCCGUUCCACCUCCGUCGCAAAUUCAUGUUAUUGCUAGAAAUUCCAAUAAAUAUGGACAAAUUAGUAGAAAUUUGGUAGAAAUUAAUCGUUGCUGCGGCCACCUCGCUCGGUCCCCGCCUCCACCGUUCCGCCGCCCCGGCCUCCACAAAUUCAUGUUAUUGCUAGAAAUUCGUAAAAAUUCAUGUUAUUGCUAGAAAUUUGUACAAAAUUCAUGUUAUUGCUAGAAAUUCGUACAAAUUCAUGUUAUUGCUAGAAAUUCAUCACAAAGUACUACUAAUUUCAGAAAUUUGUAAAAAUAUUCCGGACUUUGUGGGAUUCAUGUUAUUUUAUGAUUUCAUGUAUAUACCCUUAUGUACAUAUAACUAAGGCGAUUUCUAUGACUGUCAUGUAUGUUUCAAUCAAUAGUUGAAAUGGCAGACGAUGAGACCGCAAGGUAUCUCAUGGAGCAGAUAAUCGCUGGUGAUGGUAGUGGCGACAACCUUCCACUAUCGUACACCGAUGAAGAGGGCACCCAGGCGGACAUGUUCCUCAACAUGUCGUAACACCUUGCCGUGGCGGAAGGUUCCGGCGAGGUAUAUAUAACGAUUCUUGUAUUGUUUCACGCCACCGUUACUACUACGUACCAAUUAACGAAUAUUGAACUGUUAGCCCUCUGGAUCGACGCAAGGGCAGAAGACUCGAGGUCGUACAAAGGUGAUGGAAGGGAGGCUUGUCAUCACGGAAGUGACAGAAGAGGGCAGGCCGUUUGCUCCUGAGAAAGUAGCAAAGAAGUACGUGAGUCAGAUCAGGGCAAUCGUCCGGGACAACGUGCCUAUCAGCAUCAGAGAAUGGAAGGGCAGAAGCACUAAUCCGUACACCCUCCCGGAGACAGAAAAGAAUAUGCUGUGGGAAGACGUCAAGAGACAUUUCACAUUCCCCGAAGGAUAUAUUGAGAAGGAUGUGAAAGCGUGGACGCUUAAGAAGAUGGCUACACAAUUCCAGACAUUCAAGAAGAUGCUGGAUACCUACUACAUUAAGAAGGGCUGAACUCCAGACUUCAACGUGUGGUCAAAGUUGAGGGACCACUAGGAUGCAUUUGUUGAAUAUAAGAGGAGUGAAGACGGUGUGAAAAAGAUCAUGACCAACACAACAAAUGCUAGUCAGAAGGGCUACCAUCAUCAUCUUGGGCGAGGUGGUUAUGGCUCAGCAAUUCCCAAGUCGAGGAAGAUGGAACAAGAUCUGAUCGAACGGGGAAUCGUACCGGCAACUAUUGAAUGGCCCGAACGAUCAAAAAAUUGGUACUACGCUCAUGGAGGCUCCCUGACCCAAGAGGAUGGGACGUUGAUUUUCAAUAACACAAUACGUGAGAAGGCCGAACAUCUUGUGAAGAACAUUGAAGAUUCUAAGGCUGGGAGGUUGAAGGUGGACCGAGAAAAUGAUGAGCUCACAUUGGCCCUCGGUAAUCCGGAGCACCCAGGACGUUGCUGAGGGUUCGGGGUCGUUCCGUGGAAGUUUGCUUUCCGAGGCGACAACGCCUCGUACAGAAGCCGGAAGCGAAGAAAGGAACAGAUCGAGGAGAGCUGGUGGCAGAUGCUAGAAUCCAAAGUGCAGGCACAAGAACAAAGAAUGAUGGAGGAAAUCAAUCGUCGAGUGGCCCACGCAGUUGUGAAGUUGGCCCAAUCUGGAGCAUUGCUGAAUCCUAACAACGCCAGCCCUUCUCAACGCCUCUUGAGCAGUUAUGCUUCUACAGGGGUCCCCGAUGCGCAGACGCCCAGGUUACCCGUGGAGGAGCAACGGUUCCCCGUGGAUGCCAUCAUGCAACACACCACAUGUGAGCUGCAUGCACCGAUCAGCAACAUCACUAUUAAGGUAUACUUAUACAUAAUAUUUAUGCAAUCUUGUCAAUUGAUCCACGCCUCGAGAUCAGAAUUUAACUUGUUUACUUCUACUAUAUGUACAGGUAGCGUACGGGAGUGCGUUAGCAACCCUGGCGGGGCAGAGCAGUCAUGGCAUGGAGAUUCCACCUGGCUACGCUAGCGUCCGCGUAGAGCAAAUAGUUGAUAGCCAAUAUGAAGGUCUAGAGCUCGACCUCCCGGUAGGCGACGGGAAAAGGACACUGGCAGAUGCGCUUCAUGGGAUCAUUCUAUGGUGAAAACGCUACAUCAUUAUUCCUGGCACGGAGCCAUCUCCUCAGAGCUCAAGACCGCUCCCCGUAGAUCCCCAGCAGCGACCUUCUCCUCAUAGCUCGAGACCGUCAUCUCCUGCACAACCUGCUCCAGGACCGUCCCUUCCAUCUAUAUCAAGGUCUCCAUCUCCACCACAUCCUGGUGGUGGGAGUGAUGACGACAAUAACAACACCCCUCCCCGAUCACCAUCGCCGGCACCAAGAGCGGCCCCCAUGAAGGAACCUGCACCACCACUAAAGAAGUCACGAGCACCGCCUCCCAAGCAAAGACAGAGAAAGAAAAAAACAAAGGAGCCUGAAGUGACUCGUAAGGAAUGCUGGGAGGCAAUGUCUCAUGCGGAACAGUGGGCGGAAAUCCAACAAGAGGCCAGUGAGUGGUUCAAGAAACAAGCCGAAGAAAAAAAAGCAAGGGAGAUGGAGCCACCACCAGUAAAUCAAAGAGAUUUAAACUUUUUUAUCAGGAUGGAAGAAGGAGCCAAGAAAAGGAUACCACUCUUAUCAAACUAUGAACGGGCUUUAGUAAAGGCUGAUGAAAAGGAUAAAAGGAAAGGAAAGUCAUCUUCCAGCGGUGUUGUCCCCGACCUUAGCCAUUUAUCAAAAAAAGAUGCUCAACGGGUAAAAGCAAUGCCCUUGGAUCAACAAGCAGAAGUAUUGAAGUUCAUGCAAGAAACAGGUCUAGGACUUGAUGAAUGCCUAGGGCAAGUUGAGACGCCAACUGCACCGCCUCCUGAGCCGAGAUGGCCUUAUGAGCUAGGCAAACCUCUAGUAAAGCCUUCAUUGGUACGGAAGCUAUCAACAAAGAUGUACGCAUUCCAUCAAUGGUACAUGAUGGCAUCCACCGACUUGAGGGAAAUGCUCGGCCUGAAGGUAAAACCGAAAGAUUUUCAUGGCGAAGGCGAGAAAAUGCUGUGGCUAGACUUCAAGGAUAUAUACGAAGUGUACCAUCAUGAUGCCCUAGACGUCUCUCUAAUCCGCGCUUGGGUUCUAUAAGUGUCCGUUUAUCUCUACAUGUAAAUUUUGGCGUGCGUCACCGUACUAACUUCGUCUUCCAUUUCAUGUAGGAUGCUAAUUCAGACAUGCCGCCGAGAGGCGUACCUACAUAUAGGCUUCAUGGAUCCAUCUGUAGUUAACCAACAACAGAUACAAUUAGCGUCGGAAAAAACCUUGGUGGAAGUAUACAAUUUCCUAGACAAACAAACAUUCAAGGAUUUCAUACUACUUCCAUACAACUUCAAGUAAGUGAGUGUAUACCGUCUACUUUCGUUGUCUUUUUCCUUACCUGAUUAAUGUUAGUUAGCUCUAAUAUGCAUGAACAUUUUACGUACGCAGCUUCCACUAGAUCCUUAUUAUAAUUGAGCUUGAAAGAAGCCACGUCACUGUCUUCGAUUCGUUGAGGAAAUAUCCGGGGGAGUACCAAGACAUGCAAGACAUGCUAGGCUUGUAAUAAUUCUGGACCUUUUGCUAGGCUUGUAAUAUCCCUGUUACACUAUAUCAUUCAUUAUUCUGAUCCGCAGCGCAUGGAAACAAUUCAUAAGGACACACAAAGGUCCAUUCAAUGAAAAACUUACAUGGAACACAGACUUCCCGGUACCUAUGAAGUCUGCACAUUUAUUACAUUGUAUAACACGAAUAUUUCAUAACUUAUUUUCUUCCGCAUUGAAGUGCUUAAGACAGGAACUCGGGAAUAAUCUAUGUGGCUACUACAUUUGUGAGCACAUGCACAAUUUUAUGGGACCCAAGGGACUAAAGAUGAUGCCGCACAACUUUAAAGUACGUAAAAUAAAACUAUUACUGGUUAAUUAUUUUCUUGCUCCUUAUAUGUAUUUGUUCGUGUAACAUUCACAAAUUUCCAAAUUAUAGAUGUUAAAUAUUCAACAAGGACUCUUGAAGGAAGAAAGAGUAGCGGCAAUAUGUGAAGGUCUCAUUGGAUUCCUAAUGGAUGAGGUGGUAGAUCCAAAAGGAGAAUUUUAUUACGAUGGACGACAAUUAGACACUCCGAUCAGCAACACCUCGACGGGAAGAUUGUAGAUAGAUACUUUGAUUUAUUUGUAUAUAUAAUACGCGCUAAUUAUGAUCGAUUUGUACUAGUUGAAUUGUGUAUAUGAAUUGUGUAUAAGAAUUGUGUAUAUAUAUAGUAACUGUAUAAUUACAAAUCCCAUUCGUUUAAAUACUAGUUAAUUUCAUUCUAAAAAAAUCUCAACUACUACAGGUUAACAAAAGGGCUGCGGUACUACGUACGUGAUGCAUGCAUGAAAAAUUCAGGCGCCAGGCAGGUGCCAUGCAGGGCGCACUUUAGUCCCGGUUGGAAUCCCCGAUGGAUUUUCGGGAGAUAUGCACCCUACCAACCGGGACUAAAGGCCAAUUCUCUACUAGUGGAAGGUCCUUUCUCUAUCGUGAAUAUUGCCAGAAAGAAUUGAAAGAGACCGCUUGCUAAAAAUAUGUCAUAGAUGCAGACCAAGCUACCAAGGAGGUAGACCAAACAUGAUACACCCCAUGCGUACCUUGCUGUGCAGACUAUGCAUGGACAAGAUACCCGACCACAUGUUGGCCUCGGUCACAUCAAAAGAAUCAUGUAGGCCAUUAAUAAACUACUUGAAGCGUCAUUCCGUAUCUUAUAUCCAUCAUCUGCAUUACAUUACAUUAAAUAUUAUUAACUAUUUGAAUAAAAUGAACCAAUUUAAAAAUAAUGAGUUUUACAUUACUACAGAAAGCCCUAUCACUGCCAGUUCCAAAAACAUCAUUGUUGACGGCCGUUAAGUACCAAAUAUGACGGUCAAUAUCCUAAAGAAUAAAGGACAAUUGGCAUUUCUUACACACAUAUUUGGUUUCAAAUAAUGUAGUUCUACAUGUCCUUGGAGAUUAUUUGGGUGUGGGUGAAAUAAUACAAAAAGAAGGAGAAAACACACUCCCAUGGCAAAGAAACAUAACUCUGACCAAUGAGAGAUAGCCACAGGGGCAGCACAUGGAUCCAUGGGCCCACAAACUGCAUCAAACCAUCUUACAAGGUGGGUAGCACCCACAACUGUCAUUAGGACCCACCUGGAAGUCUAGCAAAGAAGAAGGUUGUGAGUGGGGCCACGAGGGGUUCGGUUGAAUCAUCUCUAGCUCCCUUCAUCCCCAGCUGGCGCGUGGUGGUGGUUCAUGGUGUCCCUGCAUCGAUUAGAGGAGAUUCCCCCAAAUAUUCCUCCUGUAAACCACCUCUAUGGACGUAUAAAUAGAGGGGUGUGCUCUCCAUUCCAACACACACCACAAGUUAAAGCACUCUCUCCCUCUUUAGUUUCCAAGUUUAUGGAGAUAGGCUGGAGUAGCUCUGCUCAAGGUUCCAAGUCCACUUGGAGUUAAGCGUAUGUCUCUUGUAUCAUUAUUUCCUAGAGAGACUUUAUGCUAUUCAAGUUAUUUAUCUUCUUCAUAUAGUGUUAUGCUUAGUUCUUAUAUGCAUGAGUUAGUCUAAUACCCUUGCUCUAUUGAUAUGCUCAACUUAUAUGCUCGUAUGCUAGUCAUGUACCCUUGCUGUCGGAGUAUAGGCUUAUAUGCUGUCAUGUGUGCCUAUAGACCUUGCUACAGUAUAUACUUGUUGUGUAUACAUACCAUUUGUAUAUACAUUAUUACAAGUUAAGGUAGUUGUAAAUAUCCUUGUGUUGACAACCAAAGCUUGAUCUUUUGUUUCCAUUGCCAGCGGAUUCAUUGGCUCAGAGUAGGAUCAAGACAUCAAGUUGAUGGAGUUCUUUAUAUUUCAAGAGGAGUCAUGGAAUUCUUUAUAUUUCAAGAGGAGUCGAUGGUGCUUUGAAUAUUGCAACCAGACGUCAUUGGCUCUAAAGAUACCGAAUCAUCGGACUUCUAUGAUCAGUUUCAGAACAUGAAGCCUUCAUACUCCGAAACUGGGGGGCCUGUGUUGACACCGAAUCAUCGGACUUCUAUAAUUAGUUUUGGAACAUGAAGCCUUCAUACUUCGAAACUGGGGGGCCUGUGUUUACACCAAAAUUUAGAAAUGUGCUCUAAAAGGAAGGUAUCGGCCGAUGAUGCAAAAAAAUAAUGAAAUCUCCUAAAUAAGGAUGAAGAAAGAAAAGCAAGAAAAGGAAAUCAACGCACGCCGCAAGAAUUGAAUAAAAUAUUCUGGAGAUAGAGUUGGUUAGGAUAAGCUUGAUUAGAGAUAGAGUUGGAUUAGUUAGAGAUAGAGUUUUGAUUAGAAAAGAUUAUGUACAUGGCUUGCCUUAUACGUGGUGCGUCAAAGGCCAUCCGUCCUAUAAAUAUAAAGGGUCCUGGCCAUUGUAAUUUUUAUCACACGAUCAAUAUACAACACAUUUAUCUUUACUUUUACCUUUUCGGCAUCAUACCAUUGCAUUAGGAGUAGGAGUAUUGUAGCUUCUCGACGAGUUCCUUCUAGCAAGCUGGGCUGCAUCGACCUCGAUCUUCGGUGAGCUGCAAGUUCCGUCACCAGGUGUUCUAGGCUUUAACCACUGGACGCAUCGCUAUGGUUUCGUCUAGUUUCUUCUACCAGUUAUCGAGUAUCCUGGAACUUUGACUUACGGCCCAUCGCUUCUGUCUCGAUCUACGGUAUUCACCAGUUAUCCCGCCUUGAUUAAGCUUGCAUCGGCUGAUAUGUAUCUGUUCUUUUGUCUUGCCGUUCAAUUUGCGUUAGUUAGCUUUAGAUCGGUUCAUCAUAGACAAUAGAUCAUUUAAUAGCAUGUUUGAAGCGUCCCCACAUAAGUAGAGACUAAAUGUGCUACAAAUAUCAAUCCCAGGAGGCUGAUAUCACAUUUAUUCGACAGAUAAUUCAGUUACCGUACAACUCCCGAGGGAGUGGGCGUGAAAGCCACGCAGCGAUAAGAAGUAAAUAAAGAACAGCGGCUAACCAAGCGACUGCCAAAAGACAACACUCGGGACUACACGGCAGCAGCAGCAUCUUGGAAAGGCCAGCACCACAGGCAGCGUUGGGUGCGGACACAAGCUCUACUCAAGGUCCUCAGCGAUGAAGUCCGGGUCCUCCUCUGUAGCAACGAAGCAAGGGUGAGUACGAACGUACUCAACAAGUCCAACCCCAUCCACGGAGGGGAAUACAAACAAAUAUAUGUACAGGAUACAACAAGGAUAGGCUAGAGUUUAAUUGCAAUAAAGCUAAAUUUUAACACAUGCAUAGGCUCGUUUUCAAAUAAAUUUUUGUAAAACUUUGUUUUAGUAACUGAGCAAGGAGUGGGGUUGAUCCUACACAAAGGAUCCAAGUUUUUAUCGCUAUCGGACUCCCCGUCCGCCAUAGCGCACGGCACCACUGCCGGACUCUUCCAAAAUCCAACACACACACACCCACACGUGACAUCCAUGCCCAAGUACUAGUUAUGUGACCAAGCCGUAACUCGUCCAAUGCCGUGGACACGGCUACCCGGAUAGGUUUUAACUCUGCAGAGGUUGUACACUUUUCCCACAAGUAGGGUACCGCUGCACGAUCACCUUAGUGCCGGUGCGGAUCCUAACAAAGCCAUUACCCACCUUAGCUAAGCCUGGCUAGCCCUCGCGGAAGCACCCAAGGGGUUCACAGCUCGUCCACGAGACCGUAACCGGGACCUAAGUCACCAAGUUCUCACUCCUUUUCCAUGGGCUCCCGUUGCUCACCAGCACCCCUGAGGACUAACAAUUCAGCUAGUGGGAUUUAUGCUAAGCCGUUGCCCAUACAACGGUCGAGUGGUUGCACGAUGGUGGAAUUAGGCAAGAUGACACAUCAACUCGGUCCUUAAUCACGACAAGAUGGAUAUCUCCCGACAUUGCUCAACCACCAAGGUACGAGCACAACAUUCUGGCAUCCCACACAAGGAAUACCCAUCCAUCCUGUCUACACAUCCUUUUCCCUUGAACCCAAAAAGCCAUUUUUCUCUCUUGAACACACACACACAUUUAUUUUCCGAAUACACCAUUGUAAGAAUGGUUGCAGUUAAGUAGUAAUUCUCUAAGCAUUCUAGCGGUGGUUAUCGACCAAAUAGAGUGAAUCAUAUUUAGGGACAACCAUAGGAUAACAAGGAAUGUUCAUAACAAUCAAGGGGUGGCUAUCCAACCAUGUCUGGCGAUGAAAUAAUAUGCAUUUUGUAAAACAGGCCAAUGGGUUGUGUUUGAAAAACUAGGUAUUAAAUAUGCAUCAAAGGGUGGGAUUGGACUUGCCGUCUUCAAAGCCUUCCGGGAGUUCCGGCUCGCGCUGCUAGUCCUUAGGCUCGGGCUCGCGGUCAAACUCCUCCUCGGGGUCCUCCUCGGGCAAUCCGCGAUCUACAGCACACACAAACGGACACACAAAUAAAUAAAAGAAAGAUUGGUUUUUAACCGUGAGCUCCGAACAGAAAACGUGAACGAAAAAUAGGUAGAAAGAUUAUUUUUGGGAAAUUUGGAUAUGGAUCGGCAAAAGCAUUCCGGAGGAUGACGUGGUGAAAUUUGGGAUAAAUUGGAGGAAGUUUGGCGCAUGAAAUGACGGGUUAAACAUGAAUUAGGGGCUUAAACGGAGGUUUAGGGCUGAUUUGUAAUAAACCAGGGACUUAUUUGCGAAUACUUUUGGGGGUGGAGGGGGCGAUCUGCGAAAUAGCCUUUGAGAGAGGUGGAAGGACCUAUGUGUAAAUUGGGGAAACUUGGGGGUCGGAUCGGAAUUGGAGAGCUUUUAUCUCCUCUUCUUCCAAGAAGGGAGAAAGAGAGUGGGGAGUUGGGGGUCCGGCGGCGGCCGGUCGGCGGGGCUUCGCCAGCGGCGAGCCAUGGGCCGGGGCGGCAGUGGAAGAGAGCUCCAUUUGGCCCCUCACCUUGGAGUUUCGGAGCGGGAAAUGGGGCGGCCGGCGGUGGUCGGGUGGAGGCAGCGUCCGGGCGGAGGGGCUCGGGUGGUGGCGGCGCUAUGUGGCGGCGGCGGGGCUCGGUGCGGGCAACCGGGUGGUGGUGGCGGUGUGUGGAGGAGAUGGCCGAGGCGCCCCUCCUUUUAUAGGCCGGCGGUGGCGUGCUAACCGGCGGGAAGGGUGGGGGACCGGGUCCGGCGGCGUACGGUGGAGGUAGGGGCCGGGCAGGCUGAGCCGGUGGCGUGGUCGCUAGGAGGUGGCGUCGCGGCGGUGGCACGGCAAAGGACGGGGGCCGGGUCCGGCGGCGUGCAGGGCGGAGUGGCCGGCGGGGCCGGACCGGGCGGAGUGGCUGGCGGCCCAAGUGGCCGGGGCCGGUUGGCGGGCGCUCGGCCCGAGGGGAGGCGCCAGGUGGCGCGAGUCCCGGGAGGGCCAGGCGGGAUGGCGCCAGUGGAGGUGGGGUGCGGUGGAGUGAAGGCGUUGGGGCUGGACGUGCGGCACUAGGAGGAAGAAGGAGAAGGAGAGAGAGAAGGAGGAAGAAGAAAGAAGAAGGAGGAAGAAGAAGAAGGAAAAGAAAAAAAAAGAAAAAGGGGAGGGAAAAAGUGAAGGAAAAGAGAGGGACCGGUGGCGAUUGCGGCACGCGGUCAGGGCACGCGCGCGGCGGUCUGACGACGGCACGCGGCGAGAUUUACGGGCACAGAUAAAAAGGUAGGGGUCGGCAUGGGUGCCGGGACGGCGAAAUCGCCGGAAAGAUUUUGGAAUUCCGGGAGCUCAGUGGUAAAAAGGUUUUAAAGACGGUUUUUUUUAACGGGUGAUUUUAGGGUGGUGAUUUCGCGGAUGUUACAAACCUACCCCACUUACAUUGAAUCUCGUCCUCGAGAUUCGACUGAGUCCUGAAGAGAUGGGGGAAUUCCUUCUUUAACACGUCCUCGCGUUCCCAUGUGACCUCUUCUUCGCCAUGUCUAGUCCAUUGUACUCUGCAGAUCCGGACUGCUGUAUUUCUUGUCGUUCUGAUGACGGUGUCCAAAAUCUUGAAGGGCACUUCUUGAUACAAAAGGUCCUUUUGUAGGUCUAUUGUCUCCACCGGUACUUGUUCCUCUGGUACUCUCAAACAUGUUGUCAGUUGGGAUAUAUGAAAUACCGGGUGUAUAUCUGACAUUUCUUCGGGUAGUUGGAUACGGUAAGCCACGACUCCAACUCUUUUUAUCACCUGAUAAGGUCCAAUAUACCGAGGGGCUAGUUUUCCUUGCACUUGAAACCUUCGAGUACCCCGAAUCGGGGAUACUUUGAGGUAGACAAAAUCUCCCUCACUGAAGCAUAAUUCCCGUCUCCUUUUGUCCGAGUAGCUCUUUUGUCUGGACUGUGCUGCUUUCAGCUUCUCUCGGAUUUCUGCCACACGGUCUUCUGCUUCCUUGAUGAAAGCUGGUCCGACUAGGGAGCGUUCUCCGACUUCUGACCACAUCAAAGGGGUUCGACAGUUUCUACCAUAAAGGGCCUCAAAUGGUGACAUGCUUAAGCUGGCUUGGUAACUAUUGUUGUAUGAGAACUCUGUAUAGGGUAAACUUUGUUCCCAAUCCUUUCCAUAGGUGAGGACACACGCUCUCAACAUAUCUUCCAUGAUUUGAUUUACCCGCUCUGUUUGGCCAUCGGUCUGGGGGUGAUAGGCUGAACUAAAAUCCAGUUUGGUGCCCAUGGCUUUAUGCAAACUCCCCCAAAACCUAGAGGUGAACUGAGUUCCUCUAUCCAAGACGAUCCUGCUAGGCACCCCAUGCAGCUUUACUAUGUUGUCGACGUAGAGUCGGGCUAGUCUUUCUCCACCAUAGGUGGUCCGUACGGGUAGGUAGUGAGCGACUUUAGUGAGUCGGUCCACUAUUACCCAUAUGGAGUCAUUUCCCUUUUGAGUUCUGGGCAAGCCUACUACAAAAUCCAUGCCGAUCUCGUCCCACUUCCAAACCGGGAUAGGCAAUGGUUGCAGCAAGCCAGCUGGUUUUUGGUGCUCGGCCUUGACCCUUUGGCAAGUAUCAUAAUGGGCGACAAACUGAGCUAUGUCUGCCUUCAUUCCAUUCCACCAGUAUUUCUGCUUUAAGUCCAUAUACAUCUUGGUGGAUCCGGGGUGAAUGGAGUAUGCCGAGUUAUGGGCUUCAUCCAUGAUGGUCUGUCGGAAUUCUCCGUCCUUGGGGACACAAAUUCUGUCCUUGUACCACAAGGUUCCCUUGUCAUCUACUCUGAAAUCCGGGGCUUUAUUUUCUCCGGUUUGCUUGCGGAUUUUUACUAAGUCUUGGUCUGAACCCUGGGCUUCUCGGAUUUUAUCCUCCAAGGUGGGCUGGACACUUAGCCUGCGGCUAGUAUUCUGGGGAAUGAUAUGCACAUUCAACCGGGCCACUUCCUCUUGUAGAUGGGCAUUCUCGGGUCCGGGCUGUCCAUAGGACUUUCUGCUUAAGGCAUCAGCUACAACAUUAGCUUUGCCGGGGUGGUAAUGGAUUUCUAGGUUGUAGUCCUUUACCAGUUCUAACCACCGCCUUUGCCUUAAAUUCAGAUCGGGCUGGGUGAAAAUGUACUUUAGGAUUUUAUGGUCGGUGUAGAUUUCACACUUAUUCCCAAUCAGAUAAUGUCUCCAGAUCUUGAGGGCAUGCACUACGGCUGCAAACUCUAAGUCAUGGGUUGGGUAGUUCUGCUCAUGGGGCUUGAGUUGUCGGGAAGCAUAUGCCACAACCUUCCCGUCCUGCAUGAGGACACAUCCUAAUCCUUGUUGGGAUGCAUCACAGUAGAUGACGAAGUCUUGCUGGAUAUCUGGUAAGGUUAAUACUGGGGCUGUCGUCAACCUCUUCUUCAACUCUUGGAAACUCCGUUCACAUGACUCGGUCUAGGUGAACUUCUUCUCCUUCCUGAGCAACUCUGUCAUGGGCUGGGCUAUCUUGGAGAACCCCUCAAUAAACCUCCGGUAAUACCCAGCUAAACCCAGGAAACUCCUGAUUUCACUAACAUUGGUGGGUUGCUGCCAGUUGGAGACGGCUUCAACCUUCUCAGGAUCAACUGCUACUCCUUCCACGGUCUAGAUAUGACCAAGGAAUGCCACUUUCUCAAGCCAAAAUUCGCACUUGCUGAAUUUACCACAGAGUCGGUAGGCUCUCAAUUUUUCUAAUACCACCCGUAUAUGUUGUUCAUGCUCCUGAACACUCUUGGAGUAAAUAAGUAUGUCGUCAAUAAAGACUACGACAAACUUAUCUAACUCGUCCAUAAACACCUUGUUCAUUAGAUUCAUGAAAUAAGCAGGUGCAUUGGUCAAUCCAAAGGACAUCACUGUAAACUCAAAUUGACCAUAACGGGUGACAAAGGCUGUCUUCGGGAUGUCGCUCUCCUUGAUCUUGAGCUGAUGGUACCCUGAUCUCAGAUCUAUCUUGGAGAAAUACUUGGCUCCUUUCAGCUGGUCGAAUAGGUCAUCUAUCCUGGGAAGAGGGUACUUGUUCUUAAUGGUGACUUCAUUUAGUGCGCGAUAAUCUACGCACAUCCUCAUACUCCCAUCUUUGUUCUUGACAAAAAGUACGGGGGCUCCCCACGGGGAUGAGCUAGGCCUGAUAAAACCACUCUGCUGCAAUUCCCCCAACUGUUUCUUCAGUUCGGCUAACUCUGAGGCUACCAUCCUAUAGGGUCUCUUGGCUAUAGGGGAGGUUCCGGGGAUGAGGUCAAUUACGAACUCUAUAUCCCUAUCAGGGGGCAUUCCAGGUAGUUCCUCGGGAAAGACGUCCGGAUAUUCACUCACUACCGGGACUUCUUCUAUAGUCUUUGUCUCCAUGGUAACACCAUGGGGUCUGGGCCACUUCCUCGAGUGUGACCGGCCACUUGCACACCAUCCCGAUUGGUCAGGUGCACUACCUUAUCAGCACAACCUAUAUGACUAUCAUGCAGGCUCAACCAGUCCAUUCCAAGAAUCACAUCUAUCCCCUUAGACUUAAGUACUACUAGAUCCGCUAGAAAUUCUACCCCACUUAAAUUGAUCCUUACCCGAGAACAACCUAGUCGACACUGAAUGUCAGCCCCAGGUGUCCGGGUUAAUAGGGGUAACUUUAGUAGUACUGUAGGUAUAUGGUGUUCUUCCACAAAACUUGAGGAUAUGAAAGAAUGUGAUGCCCCAGAAUCAAAAAGUACUGUUGCCAAGACUGAGCUGACUAGAAACUCACCGAGUACCAAGCCCUGAGCUUCGCGAGCCUCCUGUGCGCCGAUGUGGUUGACGCGGGCUCGUCCGAAUGAUUGCUGGGGCGGCCUCACCUGCUGACUGUUGUUGUUGCUGGAGUGGUUGUUGCUGCGGACUGGCACACGGUUGGCUCCUGACAAUGCGGCCCUGGGCCCAGCUACUGAGUUGGAGAAGGCUGAUGCUGCUGGCUUGUUGCCAUAGGGGCAAUUGGCGAUGAAAUGCCCUCGUUCCCUGCAGUUGAAGAAUGCCCUACCGUUGCCAGUGACUUGGCUGGCGCUGCUCUGUGGGGCCUUGGUAGGGUUCUGGCUCCUGAACGGGGCAGCGGCCUGGUGCGAACCGGGUGCUUGGGACUGGGUCCGAUAAUGCAUGGGAGCUUGGGAUCUGGGCAAGGGGUGACCGAAGCUUCUUGGCUUCUGGAAUCGGUCCUGCUGGUGCGCCUUGCUCUCCAGGAACCGGCACUUAUUGUCCCUCCGCUCUUCUGCCUUGGCCCUCUCAAUCAAGAUGGCCAUGUUCAUCAAGGUGUUGAAGUCGGGGUAGAUCUGGGGAGUGAGCAGGGUCCUUAGUUCCGCGUUCAAGCCUUUCUUGAACAUGUCCUGCUUCUUCUCAUCCUUGUCCACCUCCUCUGGAGCAUAACGGGCCAGCUCCAUGAACUGGAAGGUGUACUCUUCCACAGAUCUGUUUCCUUGGCGGAGUUCGUGGAACUCAUCCACCUUGCGCUUCAUGAUGGCUGCGGGGAUAUGGUAGCGACGGAAUUCCGUCACGAACUCAUCCCAGGUGAUAGUGGAGGCAUCCUGGGCGGCAGAGCAGUAGUUCUCCCACCAAGCUAGGGCAGUCCUAGUGAGCUGGUGGGCAGCCAAGACAACCAUGUCCCUGCCCUCACAGCCAAAUGGUUCCAGCUUCCUCUGGAUGAUGCGCAGCCAGUCAUCUGCAUCCAGAGGGUUGACGGACCCGCCAAAAGUGGGUGGCUUGGUCCGGAGGAAGUCCAUCAACUUCUCAUUCAUGUUCUGCCCGCGGGGCCUCUGGCGAGUAAUGGCGUUGGCUAGAGCUUCCAUCAGAAGGGUCUGGUUGGUCAUCACUUGAACCAGAUCAAUGACUGGUGGGGGUGGUGGCUGCUGUGUCCCCACUUGGCUUUCUCCCCUUCCUUCUGGCUGGCUCACUUCUUGCUCCUCAGGUUGUGCUACCGGGGGUGGUUCUUGCCUUUCUGGCUGCCUCUCAGCACUGGGGGUGGCAUGGGCCUGACUUGGGGAAGUUCUGGUGGUACGCUUGGGCGGCAUCUGCAGAUUGAGUGAGACUUUAUGAGAGUGUGAUUUGGAUUUUAGUGAUCUUUAAAGUGGUUAAUUCGUACUUUCGAAGAGACAGAAUCCACCUCCUGUCGACAAACACACAGACUAACAAGCAACAAACACAAGCGAUUUUAUUUAUUUUGCCACGGGGGGGGGGGUACAACACUGCUGGGGUAAGGCCAAAACACGUACUACACGACCGGUUACAGCAACACAACUGGAGGGGUACAACUCUAAACUGCGGACCAUGUCGGCUUCUUUCCUUGGGCAACUCUGGCUGGGUAUACUACUCGUGGGGUGAGUCUUCUCCCUGGACUGAGUGGUCUUCUAAUGGAAGGAGAAGGGCCAGCACCUCAUCCUUCAGAGUCCUACCCACUGGAGGGGUCUCGGGCACUACUCCAUCCGACACCUCGGAGUUCCUUUCCGAAGGCGGUGGUGCCGGGGUGGCAUCCGGGCUCUUCCGCUUACUGGGCCCUGGGGCAAUGGGGAUUCCUUCAAGGAUCGGGGCCUCUUCGUCCUCGAUGGCCACCAUCCUCCUUCUAGCACGGAUGGUGAGGUGGGCAUCCUUCAGUUCCUUAGAGUGCCGAUCCUCAGCUUCCUUGAGAGCCUCAACGGCAAUGGCCUCGUUGCUUUGGGCGGCUGCGCCUCGAGCUUCGGCGGCGGCUAACUUCACUUGAAGCCUCCUCACCAUAACCUCUGUGUUCUCGGCCCUAUGAGUCUGCUACUUCAACUUAGCAGCCUGCUCGUCGUAGAGCUCGUCCAAGGUGAGAAGGUAGGCAGCCAUGUGCAGCACGGUGGGGUCAUCCUCACGCUGUCCAUGUCCUUCCAAAGUCCUUAUCCUGACCAGCCAAACCGGGCGGUUCUUCUUGACAGGCGGGUAGAAGCUCAUCGAAGUGUGGCCGAUGUGCCUCUCAUAGAUCUGGCAUAGGAAACGGAGGGCUUUCCGGGCUGCCACUUGAUAAGUGUCCUUGUGCCGGAAACCGGUGGCAGUCACAUUCCAUGGCUGGAUGUCGGGGUAGCGGCUACUCCGCCCGAUGUAGAUAAUCAUCUCACACCGAGGGGUCCCGCGGUCCUCGUACUCCCUACUGGUGUACUCCGGACGCUCGUAAAUUCCAAGGCGGUCCAUGCAGGUGAACAGCAACCGGGGAAAACCGGGCUCCUCCAGGCAGUGGCUGUUAACCCAUCCUUCCUCGGCCAUCUGGAAAAGAUCCGGGGCACAAAUUAGUUUUGCAAUAGAGCAGGGGUAGGCAGAAAUUUUGUAAGUCCUUUAUUUUGGUCAAAAAGGGCUAAUCCGGUCCUAAGGUCGCGUCCUACAGCCAACCACGGCUCUGAUACCACCUGAAGCGUCCCCACAUAAGUAAAGACUAAAUGUGCUACAAAUAUCAGUCCCAGGAGGCUGAUAUCACAUUUAUUCGAUAGAUAAUUCAGUUACCGUACAACUCCAGAGGGAGUGGGCAUGAAAACCACGCAGCGAUAAGAAGUAAAUAAAGAACAACGGCUAACCAAGCGACUGCCAAAAGACAACACUCGGGACUACACGGCAGCAGCAGCAUCUUGGAAAGGCCAACACCACAGGCAGCGUUGGGUGCGGACACAACCUCUACUCAAGGUCCUCGGCGAUGAAGUCCGGGUCCUCCUCUGUAGCAAUGAAGCAAGGGUGAGUACGAACAUACUCAACAAGUCCAACCCCAUCCACGGAGGGGAAUACAAACAAAUAUAUGUACAGGAUACAACAAGGAUAGGCUAGAGUUUAAUUGCAAUAAAGCUAAAUUUUAACACAUGCAUAGGCUCGUUUUCAAAUAAAUUUUUGUAAAACUUUGUUUUAGUAACCAAGCAAGGAGUGGGGUUAAUCCUACACAAAGGAUCCAAGUUUUUAUCGCUAUCGGACUCCCCGUCCGCCAUAGCGCACGGCACCACUGCCGGACUCUUCCAAAAUCCAACACACACACACACCCACACGUGACAUCCAUGCCCAAGUACUAGUUAUGUGACCAAGCCGUAACUCAUCCAAUGCCGUGGACACGGCUACCCGGAUAGGUUUUAACUCUGCAGAGGUUGUACACUUUUCCCACAAGUAGGGUACCGCUGCACGAUCACCUUAGUGCCGGUGCGGAUCCUAACAAAGCCAUUACCCACCUUAGCUAAGACUGGCUAGCCCUCGCGGAAGCACCCAAGGGGUUCACGGCUCGUCCACGAGACCGUAACCGGGACCUAAGUCACCAAGUUCUCACUCCUUUUCCAUGGGCUCCCGUUGCUCACCAGCACCCCUGAGGACUAACAAUUCAGCUAGUGGGAUUUAUGCUAAGCCGUUGAACAUACAACGGUCGAGUGGUUGCACGAUGGUGGAAUUAGGCAAGAUGACACAUCAACUCGGUCCUUAAUCACGACAAGAUGGAUAUCUCCCGACAUUGCUCAACCACCAAGGUACGAGCACAACAUUCUGGCAUCCCACACAAGGAAUACCCAUCCAUCCUGUCUACACAUCCUUUUCCCUUGAACCCAAAAAGCCAUUUUUCUCUCUUGAACACACACACACAUUUAUUUUCCGAAUACACCAUUGUAAUAAUGAUUGCAGCUAAGUAGUAAUUCCCUAAGCAUUCUAGCGGUGGUUAUCGACCAAAUAGAGCGAAUCAUAUUUAGGGACAACCAUAGGAUAACAAGGAAUGUUCAUAACAAUCAAGGGGUGGCUAUCCAACCAUGUCUGGCGAUGAAAUAAUAUGCAUUUUGUAAAACAGGCCAAUGGGUUGUGUUUGAAAAACUAGGUAUUAAAUAUGCAUCAAAGGGUGGGAUUGGACUUGCCGUCUUCAAAGCCUUCCGGGAGUUCCGGCUCGCGCUGCUAGUCCUUAGGCUCGGGCUCGCGGUCAAACUCCUCCUCGGGGUCCUCCUCGGGCAAUCCGCGAUCUACGGCACACGCAAACGGACACACAAAUAAAUAAAAGAAAGAUUGGUUUUUAACCGUGAGCUCCGAACAGAAAACGUGAACGAAAAAUAGGUAGAAAGAUUAUUUUUGGGAAAUUUGGAUAUGGAUCGGCAAAAGCAUUCCGGAGGAUGACGUGGUGAAAUUUGGGAUAAAUUGGAGGAAGUUUGGCACAUGAAAUGACAGGUUAAACAUGAAUUAGGGCCUUAAACGGAGGUUUAGGGCUGAUUUGUAAUAAACCAGGGACUUAUUUGCGAAUACUUUUGGGGGUGGAGGGGGCGAUCUGCGAAAUAGCCUUUGAGAGAGGUGGAAGGACCUAUGUGUAAAUUGGGGAAACUUGGGGGUCGGAUCAGAAUUGGAGAGCUUUUAUCUCCUCUUCUUCCAGGGAGAAAGAGAGUGGGGAGUUGGGGGUCCGGCGGCGGCCGGCCGGCGGGGCUUCGCCGGUGGCGAGCCAUGGGCCGGGGCGGCGGUGGAAGGGAGCUCCAUUUGGCCCCUUACCUUGGAGUUUCGGAGCGGGAAAUGGGGUGGCCGGCGGUGGUCGGGUGGAGGCGGCGUCCAGGCGGAGGGGCUCGGGUGGUGGCGGCGCUAUGUGGCGGCGGCGGGGCUCGGUGCGGGUAACCGGGUGGUGGUGGCGGUGUGUGGAGGAGAUGGCCGAGGCGCCCCUCCUUUUAUAGGCCGGCGGUGGCGUGCUAACCGGCGGGAAGGGUGGGGGACUGGGUCCGGCGGCGUACGGCGGAGGUAGGGGCCGGGCGGGCCGAGCCGGUGGUGUGGUCGCUGGGAGGUGGCGUCGCAGCGGCGGCACGGCAAGGGACGGGGGCCAGGUCCGGCGGCGUCCGGGGCGGAGUGGCUGGCGGGGCCGGACCGGGCGGAGGGGCCGGCGGGGCCGGGAGGGGGCGGCCCAGGGGGCCGGGGCCGGUUGGCUGGCGCUCGGCCCGAGGGGAGACGCCGGGCGGCGCGAGUCCCGGGAGGGCCAGGCGGGAUGGCGCCAGUGGAGGUGGGGUGCGGUGGAGUUAAGGCGUUGGGGCCGGACGUGCGGCACUAGGAGGAAGAAGGAGAAGGAGAGAGAGAAGGAGGAAGAAGAAAGAAGAAGGAGGAAGAAGAAGGAGGAAGAAGAAGAAGGAAAAGAAAAAAAAAGGAAAAGGGGAGGGAAAAAGUGAAGGAAAAGAGAGGAACCGGCGGCGAUUGCGGCACGCGGUCGGGGCACGCGCGCGGCGGUCUGACGACGGCACGCGGCGAGAUUUACGGGCACAGAUAAAAAGGUACGGGUCGGCAUGGGUGCCGGGACGGCGAAAUCGCCGGAAAGAUUUUGGAAUUCCGGGAGCAUAGCGGUAAAAAGGUUUUAAAGACGGUUUUUUUUAACGGGUGAUUUUAGGGUGGUGAUUUCACGGAUGUUACAAUGUUGCAUCUUGAUCUUGGCUAUCCUUCGAGUGUUGUUGGGAGUAAGUUCCGUUGUGAUUGGAUCCAUCGGCUAGCCGGGUUUAGAUUAACGUCCUGCAAAAUAUUUCUAAACUGCAACUACCGGGCACAUUGUUGUUGUUUCACCUAGAGAUAUUGGUGGUGAUGUUAGUUUAGAUCUCAUCGGCUUGUGGCUCUAGCUAUGGCGGGGCAACAACUCAACAGCAUCAUAUUUUCAAUCGACCGUCUAAUUGAUAGUUAUUGUAAAUUAUAUUAAAUCGGCUGGAUGGCCGAUGAAUCACUCACAUUCAUCAAGGUACUGGAAUCGGCUUCACAGCCGAUAUAUUUGUCAUGAUUUAUUUUGUUGCACCAUUAUCGCUACUGUGCUAGGAUUAUAUCGGCCUAAUCGGUUGGUUGCCUCGGACAUCACAACGACUAUCAUCUCCUUGUCAGUUGAAUGGUCAAACUGACUGGCACGCCCGCGCACACCACGCGUGCCGAUUUGGAUUCUGCACUGGAGUUAAGCAGAUCUCCCAGGUUCUCAUGUGCUGAUGCAGGGUCCUCCACCGUUAGGAUUUUGUGUCAACACCUUGUAAUCUUCCUUUGAUUUCCUCAAUGAUUCGAAGACAAUAACCUUGCUUCUAUCAAUGAUAAUUAUAAGGAGAACCCAGUGGAAACUGUGUAUUCAUAUUAGAACUACCUAAGGUUAAUUAGGUUAGGAAAGGAAAUCGAAAAUAGACCGUACCCACACUUACUUAAAGUUGUCGGGCAGUAGUAUGUAAUGCUUGUAAUUCUGUUACUCCAAGAAUUUGUAUAUGUGGUCCAAUGUAGACUUUGGUUGAUCCCAUAUCUGCUGUUGGUUAAAUAAGUGUUUCUAGCUAUUUCUAGCCGUUAGAACUGGAACUAAAGGGGGCUCUUUAGUAUGGGUUGAUAUUACUAACCGGGACUAAAGAGCCCCCAUUAUAGUUGGUUUUUGGACGCGGAACUAACAACUCCUUUAGUCCCGAGUCCAAAAACGACUAAGAUAGAAGGUCCUUUCUCUACCGUGAAUAUUGCCAGAAAGAAUUGAAAGAGACUGCUUGCUAAAAAUAUGUCAUAGAUGUAGACCAAGCUACCAAGGAGGUAGACCAAACAUGAUACACACCAUGCGUACCUUGCUGGGCAGACUAUGCAUGGACAAGCUACCCGACCACAUGUUGGCCUCGGUCACAUCAAAAGAAUCAUGUAGGCCACCAAUAAACUACUUGAAGCGUCAUUCCAUAUCGUAUAUGCAUUGCCGGUUCAUCUGCAUUACAUUACAUAAAGUAGUAUUAACUAUUUGAAUAAAAUGAACCAAUUUAAAAGUAAUGUGUUAACUCUACUAUAGAAAGCCCUAUCACUGCCGGAUCCAGAAACAUCAUUGUUGAUGGUCGUUAAGUACCAAAUAUGACGGUCAAUAUUCUCAAGAAUAAUGGAGAAUUGGCAUUUCUUACACACAUAUUUGGUUUUGAACAAUGUAGUUCCACAUGUCCUUGGAGAUUAUUUGGGUGUGGGUGAAAUAAUACAAAAAGAAGGAGAAAACACACUCCCAUGGCGAAGAAACAUAACUCCGACCAAUGAGAGAUAGCCACAAGGGCAGCACACGGAUCCAUGGGCCCACAAACCGCAUCAAACUGUCUUACCAAGGUGGGUAGCACCCACAACCAUGAUUAGGACCCACCUGGAUGUCUACCAAGAAGAAGGUUGUGAGUGGGGCCAGGAGGGGUUCGGCUGAAUCAUCUCUAGCUCCCCUCAUCCCUAGCUGGUGCGUGGCGGUGGUUGAUGGUGUCCCUACAUCGGUUAGAGGAGAUUCCCCCAAAUAUUCCUCCUGUAAACCACCUCUAUGGACCUAUACAUAGAGGGGUGUGCUCUCCAGUCCAACACACACCACAAGUUUAAUCACUCUCUCCCUCUUUAGUUUCCAUGUUUAUGGAGUUAGGCUAGAGUAGCUCUGCUCAAGGUUCCAAGUCCACUUGGAGUUAAGCAUAUGUCUCUUGUAUCGUUAUUUCCCAUAUUGACUUUAUGCUUAGUUCUUAUAUGCAUGAGUUAGUCUAAUAGCCUUGCUCUAUUGAUAUGCUCGGCUUAUAUGCUCGUAUGCUAGUCAUAUACCCUUGCUGCCGUAGUAUAGGCUUAUAUGCUCUCAUGUGUGCCUUUAGACCUUGCUACAGUAUAUACUUGUUGUGUAUACAUACCAUGUAUAGGCUAGUCGAUCUAUACCAUGGCAUUGGUUCAAUAGCCAUGUUUUUGGUGGCUCCAACCCUAGUCACAAUAGCUCGGGACAGCUGGAGUGUUGUUAAAAAUGCAAGAGUGAUGGUUGGGUUGUUUAGCAUCGUUGGAUAUGGGUUUUCCCCACGGGUUUCUAAGAGUAGGCAGCAGCUAGUGACAGCCCUGUCCGUCCUUCGUAAUCCCCCCACAUUCAAGUACGCCAUAGAAGUUCGUAAAUUAGCAGUAACUACACCGGUAGACCGAUAGGGUAUUGUCUCGCUAUAGUACCUUGGUGCAUAGAACUAGGUCAUAUACACUGUGUGUCUAUGUUUACGCUGAUAUGAUCUGUGUAGUAUAUAGGAUGUAUAUAUGAACCUAGAGCUAACUCCUAGUCCAUUCUCCGUAGCUUAGUUAUCUUGAGAUGAUUCUUCUGUGUGUGUAACACUACCCAUCUUAUCAUUAUCCUUAAUCCUGUCUUGUGUAAUAUAUCUACUCAUCCUAUGAUAUACUCAUAUGCAUAGUAAACUAUUUUGACCUACCCGCCUUCUUUUGGGAAAUACGAUACCCUGGAAUAAUCCUAGGUGAAAUGCUACAACGGUAUAUCCAUGUGCUUGCGGAAUUAUUCAUGACCAUUAAAUAUACCAACAAUCAUCACUGUCGGUUUUGGGCAUCGUUAGUGAAGGGUCGGCAGUGAUGGGCAUCCCCUUCACCAAUGGAGCUUGAACCAGCAGUGAUGGCCAUUAAAAAAAUGGGACCCCACCCAGCGUACCCCGCGACCCGGCCGGCCGCGCCUCCCAUCAUCCCCGCCGGCCGCCCUUCCUCUUUGCUGGCCGAGCAUGGUUCCGGCCCUCGUCCCUACCGCCUCGCCUCCAUCGCGACCCCCUGCCGAUGCCCUCAUGCCUGGCCCCCCUCGUCUGGCCGGCCACCCUCCCGAUGCAUCCACCGGGGCCCUCGCACCACCAACCACCCUAGCCUAGAGAGAGAGAGGAGGAGGGAGGUGAGGCCACGCACCUCGUCCUACAACGCCGCUGUUGCUCCUCGGCCCACCGCGCCUCACCCCACACCACAGCCGCACCUCGCCAUCUUACCGGCCGCGACGCCCCAUGUCACCGGCCACCGUUCCUCACCCCCACAUCGGUCAUCGCUGCUCCUUGCCCUACUGCUGCUCUUUGCAGCCGCGAAUGAGGGGCGAGUGGAGGGGGAGGGGCGGGGCAGGAGGAGGGCAAGAUCCGGGAGGAAGGGAGAGAUUUUGGGAGGUGGAGAUGGAAGGAUAUGGCGGAAGGUAGAGAUCUAGAGGGAGAGAGCGGGGGGGGAGAGGGGGGCAUGUGGGGAGAGAGCGCAUGUGGGGUGGGGCCGGGCUGGUGGGAUGGAAGGUAGAGGGGCCGGAGGGCGCAGUGCAUUCAACUGGAUUAAGUAAAUAUUUCGGAUUCGAGACCCCAGCUUUAUUAUCACCGCUGGUCCGUAGUACCAUUCGGUGCCGGCUCAUAAUUUAAUUUGAACCGGUGGUGAUGUUUUAUUAUCACUGCUGGUUUCAAUUUUCACCAUCGGAUCAUAUAAAAAUCCGGCGGUUAAAAAUCCGCUGGUUUCGAUGAAAACCGACAGUGAUAGGACGACUGUGAUAGUCUCUUCUCUAGUAGUAGUAUAUUAGUACCGGCUGCCGGAUGGUGUUGCCGACGAGUACUUCUCCAGGGGCGAUUCAGUACUGAUGUUAGCAAAGCUUGUUCUCUAUGAAUUUGGGGAUGGAAAGCUAGUUCUCUAGUUGUGAUUUGUUACAUAUAUCUCUAUGAUAGUCUAGAAAUUGCAUGUCCUUCGUUGACAUAGUUGAAGCUGCUUCAAGAAUUUACUUCGUGCAGUCGUGCAGCAUAUUGGAUUAUCACCUAGACAGGAUACAUAGGUGAAGCAUUGCAUGUGAUUGUGGCUGAUAAUUAUGCAGGACGCUGUUGCAAUCAACCAUCAAGAAGACUGGAGCGAUGGGGUUGCCUCAUCAACAAUUUUUAUAUAUGGCUGCAGUAUUAUUAAGCCCACGUCAAUAAUUUUUUCUCCGCAGCAUAUAUAUGGUUACUCAGUUCGCUGGAGUAUCGCUGUGGAAAAACAUACGUACUGCGCCUCGGAACUAACUGGCAUUCAGGCCAUCAACGACCAGAUAUUUGGGACAACCAACAAAUAGUAGGUGGUUCCUAAGUUGUAGUCGUAUGUACUAAUGCGCCUCGAUGGGGUUUUCUUCAGAUAUUUUAUUGCCGUUCAAUGAACAAGCAGAUACAUAACCUGUGCAGAAAAUUCCAUCUCCACGCAUGCCACUGCACCAACAAGAUCCUCAGUCGACGAUGAUGGCUCAGCCUGUUCCUUCUGCCACCAAAUCCUCAAUCUUCCCUCCAGCAACGGAGAAUGCACCUUUAGUACCUUCAGUAUCAGAUGUUGCAAUCGGUACCGUGAAACCGAGACUAAAAUCCUUACUUUGCAGGGGGCAAAACAAUCUUGCAAAUAUAUAUUUUGAAUUCCAACAAAAUUUAAGAAAUGUUAAAGAUGACUAGCUGAGAGUCAACAGACAAGAUAUGAUAUUAGGAAUGUGGGAGGAUGAAUGCAUUUGUACAGGGGUCAUACUAUUUCCAGACUCUUCUAUAUUUCCAUAUGACUACCUACUUCAAUGUCACGCGAGCCAUUCAAAAAGAUACAUGGUACACUUGUAUGUCUAAUCCAUUAUUGAUUAUUUCCUCUUGUCAUCUCUUACAAGUAUUUCUCCAUACUAUAGAAACGUGCAACACAUUUUUAGGAUAUGGACACGCAUGAUUAAUAUGCUUGGACUAGUAUACAGGUCAUCUUUGGAUGAGUACAUAUGAAUGCCAGGGAGGGACUGAUGGAUAUAAGGAAAAGGGACCAUGCAUAAAUAAUGACAUAUGUAACAUGGCAAUCUUCAUUGCCAUGCAACUCCUAUCAACAAUCAUGGAAUACAUACUACUGCUCCAGAAGGGUGGUGUGCAAAUUUAUUUUACCUCGCGGUGAAAAUCUCCAGAGCAGGCCUGAAGUUAAAAUAAGAGGCAGUCACUAUCGAUCAUGACAGUCUCGAAACUGUACAGCACUAUGCUAGUCCUAGUCCUCAUGUCGUUCGUGCUGUCGUGUAGCAUGAUGGAUUAUUAACUGGGCAGGACACGGAGAUGGCUAGCGAUGACAGAGGAUGACGUACAUGAUAUUCACCUCUGAAAUGAAGCGUAGGCUAAUGAAGCACAAUUGCAUGUGAGUGUGGCAGAUAUUUAUACAGGACAGUGAUUGCAAUAAUCGACCAUCGAGAUCGAAGACAGGGGCGAUGGGGUUGCCUCAUCAAUAAUUCGCGCAACCAGACAAGCUGCAGACUCAAUAUGGUACGAAGCUAUUUGGUCAGCCCACAUGCUCUGAUAUAACAUUGGCAUCUGCUGAUCUACAGUAUAUAUGACCAGAAAUAUUGUGCCACCUCAAUAAUUUUCCGAAGUAUCGUUGGGGAAGCACCUACAUACUAUGCCUCGGAACUAACUGACAUGUUGGCCUAGGCGGUCCAGGCCGAUUGGACAGGCUCUUCCUUAUGGCUCCUCACGUCCCCUUCGUUUCCGAGUAAUCUCAGGUGUUCUGAAGUUUUCUUUUCACUUGCAUGUGGACCUUAUAUAUCAAUAGCUUCGGGAUAAGAAUGCCUCUUGAUAACCUUCCAAAUCGUCGCUUGAUUCACUUUGAUUCCAAAAUCAUCUUGCCAUAUCUUUUGAGACUUAGGCCCUAAGGCAUCAUGGAGGAUUGCUCGCCAAGAAUGAGCACCAUUGGGCUCCUGAGGACCCUAGGCCGAUCAGCCUGGGCUCUAUAGGUUGAUUGGCCCAGGCCCUCUCUGGGCCCAUUGGCCUUCAUCUUUCUCUGAGUCGACGCUUAUUGAGGGCUUUGUCCAAUUAUAGUCCAUUAUAGUCUAAUUUCCAAAAAAAAUAGAAUAUCCUCCAAAAUACAAUACAUUUGUGAAAACAGCCCAAUUAUUAGGUAUGAUCAAUAGUCUAGGUAUUAAAUUAAUGUUAUUAUUUAAGAUAAAUAGGGAUAAAGGGUGUCAUUAAUAACGAGCACCAACCAGCGUACCAGCUGUUAACACUAACCGAUGCUAAUAUGUACCCUUUAGUACCGGCUAUUUCACCCGGUACUAAACGAGACAAGAGCACCCUAACAGAGGUUAAUAUCAUCCAUUUCAUGAGUAAAAUACUAUGAUUCAAAAAUAAUUCAAAUCCCUUAAGACAAUACCUAUCAAAUGAGUAGAUUGUAAAUAGAGUAAAACAAUGUCCUAAUGAAACGGAACACUUCUGGUUCGUGUAGAGCACAAUAUAGAAAACAGUAGGGUAGCUGUACGAUUGACACGUGGUCCAUUAAUUAUUGAGCCAUCACUAUGGACAUGUCUUCAUGAGUAGUGUACUAGUCAUGACACAUGGUAUGUAGUAGGUCGAGGUAUUGAGUUAGCCAUGCCAUGAGCACUUAGUUACAACAAACACUUUGCCAUUAUCGAGCAUCCCAAAUCACUACAAAAUCCAUAGUUUACCAUAUACUACAAAAUCUGAGUUAAAAUAAGAGCAUACACGGAAGAGUCCGAAUGCACCGGUUUAGGACCAGGCACAUUGAAUUACUAGAAAAAGUUAUCGGACAAGGUUUUGGGUAACCGCAUGAAAAAUGUUGGAUUUUACUGAACACUUAGUUACAAUUACCAUGCCGUGAGCACUUAGUCACCACAAACAUUUAACCACUUUAGAUCAUCCUGAAUCCCUAUAAAUUCUGUACCUUACACCGUACCAUGAAAACGACAAGAACAGAGACAGAUGCAGUGAAAAUCUCCAGAGCAGGCCUGAAAUUAAAAUAAGAGGAGGCAGUCUCUAUCGAUCAGGACACGGAGAUUGCUAGCCAUGACAGAGGAAGACAUGAUAUGAUAUUCACCUCUGAAAUGCAGCGUAGACUAAUGAAGCACAAUUGCAUGUGAGUGUGGCAGAUAAUGGACCAUCGAGACCAUCGAAUGGUAUGAAGCAUGAUUAUCACCUAGACAUGAUAUCCUAGACAGGACGGUGAAUUGUAAAAAGAGUAAUCUUGAUCAAAGAAUGUCCUAAUGAAACGGAACAUUUUUGGUACGUGUAGAGCACAAUAUAGAAAACAGUAGAGUAGUUGUACGAUUGAAACUGCAUCCAUCCACGUGGUCCAUGAAUUGUUGAGCCAACACUGUGGACAUGUCUUCAUGAACACCAUCUAGUGAGGACAGGAUGCAGAAAAAUAUAAAAACAUGUCAUAGGGAGGCAGACCAAUCUUGCAAGGAGGUAGACGAAACGUGAUACACGAUCUGCCUACCUUGUCGUGGAUACCCCAAGAGAAGAUGUCAUAGAGGUGCAGACCAAGCUAGCAAGGAGGUAGAUGAAACGUGAUACACGGCCUGCCUACCUUGCCGUGGAUAUUAGCCCUGAUAUCAUUCUAUUGUUCAAGGAAUAACACUCAAUGCUGCUGCUGCUGCUGACCUGGCUCCAUAAAGUUGUAUUCCUCUAGCCGCUUGCACUAACUUUAUCUGAAGUAUUAUUCUCUCUGCCCUGAUAUCUGAAGUAUUAUUCUCUCUGCUGACUUUGCUGAAGAACCUACAUAAUAUGUCUUGGAACUAACUGACAUUGAUUCACAGACAAACUCUACAAGGUGCUGUUGUUGCCAUAUUUUAGAGCAUCCCAAAGGACUAUAAAUAAUAUAGUUUACCAUAUACCGUAUACCAUUAUAUGUUAGCUAAAAUAAGAGCAUAACAUGUCGCAGGAGUCCAAAAGCACCGGUUGAGGACCAGGUACAUUGAAUUACUAGAAAAAGACAGGGGGCAAUGUUUAGGUAGCCACAUGAAAAACAUUUGAAUUUACUGUUCCAUGAACACUUAGUUACCAUGCCGGGAGCACCUAGUUAACACUAACAUUUAGCCACUUUAGAUCAUCCCGAAACACCAAUGACCCUCAAUAGCGACAAAUUUUGAUUUAAAUGCCGUCACCAAUGAUCCUCAAUAGCGACGUGUUUAGGUUUAAAUCCCGUCACUAAUAACCCUUGGUAGUGACGUGUUUUGGUUUAAAUCUCAUCCCACUUAUCCUCAAUAGUGACGUGUUUUUAGCAACACACGUUAUGAAUGACUUGUCAUUGGUGACAUGUUAAAUGCGUUAUCUCAAUGGCAAAUCAUUGGUGACGUGUUUUAAAAAAACAUGUCACUGUGAGAGUUAUUGGUGAAGGGUAAUUAAAAUGCAUCACUAAUUUUGUAGCAUUAGUUAUGAUAUAAUUUAGUAACGCAAAAAUCUACCAUCAGUAAUGAGGUUUAGAGCCGUCGCUAAUGUGGGUUUCUUACGAGUGAUGCAAGCUCUACAAGGUGCUGUUGUUGCCAUUUUAAAGCAUCCCAAGUGACUACAAGUUAAUAGCAUAGUUUACCAUAUACCAUAAAAAUAUUAGUUACAAUAAGCACAUCCGCAUGUGGAAGAGUCCGAAUGCACCAGUUGAGGACUAAACACAUUGAAUUACUAGACCCAAAUGUAAGACAAAGAAAGGGGUCAAGGUUUGGGUAACCGCAUUAAAAACAUUGCAUUUUACUGUACCAUGAACACUUAGUUACCAUUACCAUACCUUGAGCAUCUAGUUACCACAAACAAUAAUUUAGCCACUUUAGAGGUUCCAGAAUCACUAUAAAUAAUAUACCAACACCGUACCAUGAAAACAUCAAGAAGAGAGACGGGUACAUGGACCACCAUCAAGUGAGUAGUGACAGCACGCACAAGAAUACCCGGAACCUGUUAGCUUGUCUGUAGUGAUCUGUUUUCUUCCCCAUAAAAUCCAUGAGUAUUGCCACAAAUAAUGAAAGAGGCUGACCAAGCUAACAAGGAGGUAGAGAAAACGUGAUACACAUAGGUUUCAUUCAAGACAUCCAUGUAAGAUUCAUUCAAAACAUUCAUGGAAAUUUCUUGUAAGUUUUCAUGUAAAUUUCAUUCAAGAAGUUUGUUAGAGGUGUUGUAUAUAUAUACCUUAACGUACAUAUAUCUAUGAUUUCAUGGUUGUUAGUGAUGGCAAAUGAGGAGCAUGCAAGGUAUUUAAUGGAGCAGAUUAUUGCUAGUGGUAGUGGCUACAACCUGCCCGUAACGUACAGCGACGAAGAGGGCAGCCAGGCGGACAUGUUCCUCAACAUGUCCGGUGAUGGCAAUGAAGAGCCCGAGCCUAAGCCCGAGCAAAACCUUGCCAUGACGGAAGGUUCUGGUGAGGUAUAUAUCAUUUCCAUUAUUUUACCCUAUCUAUAAUUUCAUAUUCAUUAUUACUAUGUACUAAUUAACGAAUCUUGAACCGUUAGCCCUCUAGAUCAAUGAACCAAAAUAAGCCCUGAGUUCUUACAAAGAUAAUGCAGGGAAGGCUUCACAUCACGGAACUCACAAAAGAGGGCAUGCCGGUUGCUCCCGAACAUGUGGCAAGAAAAUACGUGAGUCAAACCGAGACAAUCAUGAGGGACAACGUGCCCAUCAGCAUUAGGGAAUGUAAGGGCAAAAGAAAUGAUCUAUACGUGCCCCCGGAUAUACAAAAGGAUAUGAUGUGGGCAAAUAUCAAGAAACACUUCACAUUUCCCAAAGGAUAUGUUGAAAAAGAUGUGAAAGCGUGGAUGCUGAAGAAGAUGGUCACCGAAUUCCAGACAUUCAAGAAGAUGUUGGAUGCCAACUUCAUCGAGAAGGGUCGAACUCCGGGUUUCGAUAAGUGGCCAAAGUUAAGGGACCACUGGGAGUCAUUUGUUGAAUACAAGAUGAGCGAAGGUGGUGCGAGUAAGGUUCGCAUCAAUGUUGCCAAUGCUAGCAAGGAGUACCAUCAUCAUCUAGGGCGAGGUGGUUACAGCACUGCAAUUCCCAGAUGGCGCAACAUGGAACAAGACCUGAUCGAUCGGGGUAUCGUACCAGCAACUCUUGACUGGCCUGAUCGGUUGAAAAAUUGGUAUUACGCUCAUGAAGGCAAUCUGAGCCAAGAGGAUGCGACAUUGGUCUUCAAUAAAACUAUACGUCAGAAGGCCGGAAGGCUUAUCAGGAACAUUGAAGAUGCUAAAGUUGGGAGGUUCAAGGUGGAUAGAGAGAAUGAUGAGCUCACAUUGGCCCUCGGGACUAUCAUCUCUAGCACUUCCAGCUCCAGGACUAUCGUCACCACCGAGACCGUCGCUUCCUGCUCGAUCACAGUCUCCAUCUCCAGCACAUCCUGGUGGUACGAGCGACGACGACAACAACACCCCUCCCUGCCCACCAUCGCCGGGACUAAGACCCGCAUUGAGUAAGGAACCUGCAGCACUACUGAAGAAGUCGCAACCACCGCCUUCCAAGCCAAGUCAGCAAACUAAGAAAGCAGAGAAGCCUAAACCCACUGAGAAGCCGGCGACCGAUAUGACUGAUGCGGAAAGAUGGAAGGCAGUCAAACAAGAAUGCAGGGGGUGAUUUAGAAAAAGGACCGAAGAAAGAAAAAGAAAGGAGAUGGAGCCACCGCCAGUAGAUCCAAGAAAAUUAUAAUUUUUUAUUAAGAUGUCAAAAGAAGCCAAGAAGAUGAUGCCACAAUUAUCAAACUACGACCGGGCGUUAGUCAAGGCUGAUGAGAGGAAAAAAAGGAAAGGAAAGUCAUCUUCAAGUGGUACUGUCCCCCACCUCGAGGAUCUACCAGAAAAUGAUGCUAAAAAUAUAGUAGCAAUGCUCUUGGAUCAACAAACACAUAUAUCAUGAGAUUCAUGCAAGAAACAAGUAUGUCCCUUGCUGAAUGUCUAGGGCAAGUUGAUAUGUUAGCUCCAGAGCCAGUUGUACCGAAAUGGACCUUUGAGCUAGGCAAGCCUCUAGUAACACCUGAGUUGGUACAGAAGCUAUCCACAUAGAUGUACAAAUUCCAUGAAUGGUACAUGAAGCAGUCUGCCAAUGAGAGGGAAAUGUUCGGUCUUGGGGAAAAACUGAUAAUUUUUUUCGGCGAAGGUGAGAAAGUCGUGUAGAUGUAAUUCAAGGAUAUAUAUGAAGUGUACCAUCAGGAUGCCCUUGAUGUCUCUCUCAUUAGCACCUAGGUUCUGUAAGUGUAUGUUUAUCUAUACGUAAAUUUUAGCUCGUAUCAUUAUUUUUUUCCGUGUGUCGCCCUACUAACUUUGUCUUCCAUUUUAUGUAGGAUGCUAAUUCCAUGUUGGUUUCAUGGAUCCAUCCCUAGUUAACCAAAAGCAGAUAUGGAAGCAGCUAGAGAAAACAUUGGAGGUGGUAUACAACUUCCUGGACAAACAAAACUACAGGAGUUACAUACUACUGCUAUACAACUUUGAGUAAGUGUGGGUACCAUCUAUUUUCAUUUUAUUUUUCGUUACCUGAUUAAUGUUAGUUAGCUCUAAUAUGAACAUUUACGUACGCAGUUUCCACUAGAUCCUCCUAAUAAUUGAGACUGAUAGAAGCCACGUCCAUGUGUUCGAUUCGUUGAGGAAACCACCAACGGAUUACCAAGACAUUCAAGAUAUCCUAAACUUGUAAUAAUUCUGGACCAUUAUCUCUAUGCAAAAGUUUGUUUCCUAAAUUUUCACCUAACACUGUAUCAUUCAUUAUUUUAAUUUGCAGCGCAUGGAAACAAUUCCUCAAGAAACACAAAGGUCCAUCCAAAGAAAAACAAACAUUCAAAACAGACUUCCCAGUACAUAUACACUUUGCACAGUUUGUACAUUCUAUAACAUGAAUAUUUCAUAACUUGAUUUUUUCCCCACUGAAAUGCUUAAGACAGGAACCAGAGAAUAAUAUAUGUGGAUACUACGUUUGUGAGCACUUGUACAGUUUUGAGGGAUCCAAGGGCGUGACGACGCCGCAUAAGAUGAAAGUACGUAAAAUAAAAUUAUUAAUAGUUAAUUGUUUUCUAGCUCCUUAUAUUUAUCUAUUCGUGUAACAUUCACAUAUUUCCAAAUUACAGAUGUGGAGUAUUCAACAUAGCAUCUUAGAGAAGGACAGAAUAGGAGCAAUAUGUGAAGGUCUUGUACGAUUCCUGGUGGACGAGGUGAUAAAUUCAUAAGGAGAAUAUCAUUACAACGGACGAGCAUUAGACACACUGAGCAACACCUAGACGGGAGGAUCCUAGGAAUGACCUGGACAAAUUUUAGUAUAUAUAGUAAUUGUGUAAAUACUAGUUUGAUUUGUAUAAAUACUAGAUUGAUUUUAUUAAAAAAAGUUUUAAGUCGUACGUGCAUGCGCCUACAAAGGCGCGUCUGCCCUUUAGUCCCGGUUGGAAAAAUAAACCUGUACUAAAGGGGCCCGUGCCGCACCUGGCAUGACCACCCCUUUAGUCCUGGUUGAACGACCCAGGACUAAAGAUCUCCCCCGUCUCAAAAAUUUUAUCCCGGAUGCCUUUUAGAGAGAUUUUAGGCCUAUCAACCAAGACUAAUACCGAGUUUUCUACUAGUGGAACUAACUAACAUUCACAUGCAACAUCCACAAGUUGUUGUUAUGCUUUUGACAUUCCCCUGCCAUUUGGUGUAUACAAGGGCACCCUAACAUAUGGUUAAUAUUAUUCAUGAAAGAAAAUCCUUUGAUUCAAAAAUACUUGAAACCCAAUAAUACAAUACUUCUCACAUCUGAAAAAUAUGAGACGGCCUGAUAGUAUUCUAACCGGCGCAAUAAUAUUUUGAGGGCAGCACUACUACAGCGACCCUCAUUCGUGCCAGUGCUGGGACCCCUAUCAUGACCCUGAUACAAAUGAGGGUACAUUAUUGGUGCCAGUGCUAGAACAGCUAGGAAUAACUUGCUAAACGUGCUGUUACACUCACUACUAGAAAAAUAACCUCUUGUCCUGAGGCUUACUAAUGUUAGCAUUAGUACCGGGUCCAAAUUUAGGAUCCCCCGAAGACCCUUUAGUACCGGGUGGAGCCUCCACCCGAUACUAAAGGCUUCGUUACUGGGUGAAGGAUUCUCCCGGUACUAAAGGGGGAUUUUUAGUAUCGGGUGGGAACCCCACCCGAAACUAAAAUCUCCCGUGCGGACCCCUCCCCCCCCACGUGUUGCCUCUCUCCUCCCUCCUCCUCCUCUGAGUCAUUAUCCCUUCCUCAUUCCUCCUCCUCCUCCCACACGUGGGGCGAGCUGAGGUGGCGGCAGCAACAACGGGUGGUGUGGUAGGUCGUGGUGGGGCGGAUGCGGAGCGGCGACGGUGGGCAGCGGGAUGGGGUGGGGAAUAGCGGCGUGGCAGGGUGGAGCGGCGGGAUGGGGUGGAGGUGGAGGGCGGAGGUGGAGUGGCAGGAUGGAUGUGGAGGCGGAGCGGCGGGGCGGCGGGCGGGCGGACGGCAGUGACGGUGGGGCAGGCGGAGGCAGAGUGGCGGGUGGAGGGGCGGCGGGGUCCACCGGCAGGGGGGGAGAGGGAGGUGUGGGGGGUGCGGUCGGUGAUUUCAAUUUUCUUUUAAUUUUUUAACACCUUUCAGUACUAGUUAUUUUAACCGGUUCUAAAGGACCCCCUCUUGUACCGAAUUGCUAGUCUCGAAUGUACAACCAGUAUUAGAGGGAGGUUCCUAACCGGUACUUGAGCCACUUUCCUAGUAGUGACUUUUUCACCGGUUAGAAUAUGUUAUUAUUCUAAUCAGCUUUUGUUGAUCUCCUGUAUGAUUUAGUACCUAAUUCUACUGGCGAUUGUUAACGCCGACGCGUAUUGGGUAUAGUCCUAACAGUGUCUAACUAGGGCACUACAUUUGUUAACCUAUAACUACUUGUAUCGAUUAGCCCUGGUUAGAAUAAUGUCAAGGCAGCCAGAAAAAAUUGUUUGCCAAUUCUGCUAUCCAUCAGAUCCAUGACUAGUACCGCAUUGUAAUAAACGAAUUACACAAAUAACUGAUGCACACAAAGGAAUAUGCACUUGCACCUGCUAGACGUUCGUAACAACAACAAAAUACUCUCAUCAUCAAUUAAACAUAAUAGAUUAAACAUUAACUGAACAUAGUUCAACACAUACAUCAACACGACAAAGCAGUUUAAACAUCAACUGAACAGAACCGAACACAUACAUCAUUUGAUGAUAAACUUCGACAUGACAGAACACAUAAACAUCAACAUCAAUAGAACUUAAUAGAGCAUAUUAAACAACAACAUCGACAAAACAUAUAAACCCAGCUCAGUAGCUCAGGCAUCAACUAAAACUGCUGAAUUAAAAUAACACAACAUAGUGUAGUUCAUCAUGAUGAUAACUAACAGAACCGAAAAGCCUAACUUGGUAAAAGAGCAAUUCGUUCAUAAUGCUUCGGCACUUACAUCACCGGAGUAUGCAACUGGCGGCGUCGCUUACGUCACCAUCACCGCGCUGGCUGUACCUCUGACACCCCUACCACGGCACACGGAGGUGAUGGCGGAAGGGGAGGCAACGACAGCAGCUGGUGAGCUCCCGCUCCAAAGCCUGGCGAGUAAAGGAGGAGGAGGUGGCAUGGGAAUCGAAGAGGAGGCUGCUGCCGGCGGGUUUAGACUACGUGGAGGUGUGGGUAGGGUUAAGGUGGCGGUGUGGACGAGUAUAUAUAAGAGGUCUAGGCUUGUUAGAAUAAGAUAAUAUUCUAACCGUCUAAAUUCGGAUCCGGUUAGAAUAAAUUGAUAUUCUAACCGGCCCUAAUUCGAGGCGGUAAGAAUAAGUUAACAUUCUAAUCGGCUCUAUUUGGAGCUCGAUUGAAUCUUCUUGUUAUUCAAAAAAAGAUCAAGUUCAUCAAUUUUUUCUAGGAAAACAUCAAGAUAAUUUAAACAUGAUAUAUAACAAGAUUAAUACAUUUAAAAAUUGUUUUAUCCACAAAUUAACGAUAUUUAACAAAUUUAAAAAAAAUCCAAAUUAACAGAACACAAUAACCAAUUGUUCGAAAAAAUCAAAAUAAUCCACACAUUAAUAUAUUACAAAUUCAGAAAAAUAUCAAAAUAAUCCCCGAUCCACUCGAUACCAUCGUAGGACUUUUAAAUACUGAGCUUCUUGAUUCAUCUGAGGUCCACGUACUCGUCUCAGUAACACUAGUGGUGGCCAUACAUCUUGUAGAUGUCUUCUAACGAAUCAAGCUUGACAUACAAGGUCGUGCCUUCCGCUCCUUGAGCAUAAACAUCUUUGGUGAUCUUGAAAUGGCAGACGGUGGAUGUGCCAAAGGUAUGUAACGAUCCUUCUAAAUAAAUGCCACCACAACUUCCGUCUGAUCGCCAUGGGUGACACCAAGAAGAGCUACCAUGCGGCAAGGGACGAACAAUUUAUCAAUUAGUGCCGCCGUCCAUUCGCCAUCAUCUAAUCCAGCCAUAUCUUGAUGUAUAUUUAAGUAUAGAAAUUAAGAUUUAAAACUAAACAGAAUAAAUUGAGAUCGAUUAUGUAUGUAUAUCAGAACAUUAGCUUUUGGAAAAAGGGCUUCGAUGGAAGAGAGGCACGGGGCAUAGAGACAACAACGAGUGACAUGAUGAUCACAAUUAUUGGCUACAGGACGGGCACACACAGCCGAUAAUACAGUAGUCAAUACCCCUGGUAAUUAACCACACCAUCAAGUAAAUAGUGACAAUAUGCACUAUACACGACAUAGCCUUGGUUGCCGUGGAAGCGCCAAGAAGGGAGACAAAUUACAGGGACCACACCAUCAAGUAAAUAGUGACAAUAUGCAGAAGAAUACCCGCGCCUGCUAGCAUGUGUGAACCGACCACACCACGAAACGUGAUACACGGCAUGCGUACCAAGGCCUUGCUGUGCAGACUAUGCAUGGACAACACAUGGUACCUGACCGCUUUUGGCCUCAGACACAUCCAAAAACUACAUCGUUCCGCGUUGUACAUCCAUUGCUAGUUCAUCUACAUUACAGAAUAUAUUAUUAGCUAUUUGAAUAGAAUGAACCAAUUAAAAAAUUGUGUUGUAUAUUAGUACCUGCUGCCGGAUGGUGUUACCAACCAGUACUAAUUGGCAUGUAGGAGCGAUGGUUAUUAGACUUGGAACUGUUGUUAGCAUCAUUAACGGUCCUAAUUGUGCGCGGUAUGAAUUUGGGGAUGCAAAGCUAGUUCUCUAGUAGUCAUUAGCUAUAUAUAUAUGACAGUUAAGAAAUCGAACACUAUGCUGCUACGAGUCACCAUCAUUUCCUUCAUUGACAAUUUGACUUAGGUGAAGCUGCUUCAAGAAUUUCCUUCGCGCACUCGUGGAGCUUAUUGGAUAAUCACCAGGACGGGACACGGAAAUGGCCAGCAAUGAAGCUGAUUGCCGCCUGAGGAAGACUACAUACUUACCUAUGAAAUGAAGCGAUUGCAUAUUUGCAUGUGAGAAGACUGGGGCGAUGGGGUUGCCUCAUCAAUAAUCACGUGGAUGCAUGCAUGUAUGUUCCCGCAACCGGACAAGCUGCAGACUCAAUGGCUCAGCCGACAGGGUCUGAUAUAUGGCUUAUAGUAUUACUGAGCCCACAUCAAUAAUUUCCACUGGUGUAUUGGGGGUGUUCGGGAGGAGGGGGUUAAAUUUUAGCCCCCGUCACCUCGAAUGUUUGGAUACUAAUUAGGAGUAUUAAACUUAGACUAAUUACAAAACUAAUUACACAACCCCUAGGCUAAAUCGCGAGACGAAUCUAUUAAGCCAAAUUAGUCCAUGAUUUGAUAAUAUGGUGCUACAGUAACCAUUCACUAAUGAUGGAUUAAUUAGGCUUAAUAGAUUCGUCUCACGAUUUAGCCUAGGGGUUCUGCAAUUAGUUUUGCAAUUAACUUAUAGUUAGUCCUCCUAAUUAGUAUCGAACAUCCGAUGUGACAGGGCUAAAGUUUAGCCCCCUCCUCCCAAACACCCUACACCUCGAGUUCUUGGAACUAACUGACGUUCACAUGCAACCUCCACAAGGUGCUGUAUGCUUUUGACAUUCACCUGCCAGUUCGUGUAGACAAGGGCACCCUAACGUAUGGUUAAUAUUAUCCAUUUCAUGAGUAAAAUACUGUGAUUCAAAAAUACUUCAAAUCCCUUAAGACAAUACUUCUCACUUGACUAACCACUAACCAACCCUGAAACCCUAACUCAACCACGAACCCUAACCCUUAACGGCCUAACCACUCCGUUUUGUCGGCGAGAUGGAGGAACUGGCUGGGUGGGAGAGAGGGCAGCGGUCCAAGGUUGAAAACGACGGGCGAGCGCAGUAACAUGUGGAGGAGGAAGUGCCGCGUAUUGGUUCACCGCUAUUGGGCAGCAACACGCGACACGCCCAAUAAAAUUUUCGCACGGUAGAAGGACGUCAUGUAUUCAAUAAUGUUAUUGGUCCCCCAUGUGCAGAAGGGCACGCAUGAAAUGUCUGGCCCACGGUAAACAAGUACGGACGCUUCUACUCUGCUCGUCCAGUCCCUAGCCUAUAAAUAGAUGCCAUGCUAGCUCUUGUUGUGCUCACAAUUAAUCCGACUACACACGAGCUUCUCUCCCUGGCCAAGACACAAUCAUAGUAUGAUGAAGAACAUGGCACUAGCCGGCAAUGGUAUGAAGAAGUUAAUCCUCGCUGUUCUCUUACUCUGUCUAGUUAUAGGGCAGAUACAAGUGGAAGCUAAGAGCUGCUGCCCAUCCACCACUGCAAGAAAUAUCUACAAUACCUGCCGUUUCGGGGGUGCAUCCCGUUCAAUGUGUGCAAAACUGUCAGGCUGCAAAAUUAUCAGUGGGAACAAAUGCAAGCCCCCUAACGACCACCUCACCCUUGACCCGGACACUGGUAAAUAAUAAAUUUAUCUCACUUGAUUUCUUCGUGAUUUGAGUCGUUAAUGUAUUUUCCAUCUGAUGAAACGUAUUGGUUUUGCAUUGAAGAGGAAGUUAAUGUGCUUAACUUCUGCAAGUUGGGGUGUGCGUCGUCUGUGUGCAACAACAUCAACGCUGGUAAGCACCUUUUGCUCAGACGGAGAAAACAAUAAUCAUUAAUUAGCGGCAGCUAGAAUCCUAUAAUCUAAUAUAUUUAUAUAUAUAUAUAAUUUUAUCAGCUCUGGGAAAUGAAGAGGCGAACGAUGCCGUUGAGAGUUGCGACCAAGCCUGCUCUAGCUUCUGCAGCGUGCAUGUUGGCAGCGCCACCGUGGUUGCUUAAGCAAAUGCAUGCAACUAGAUCGUCCUUGUGCUGAAUAAUUGGAUAUCGUAUCCACUUAAAGCUGCCUUGUGUAGUACGUCUUUGUUUGUGUCUCUCUUUAUAUUCCACUAAGGUCGGUGAUCUUGAUGCCACACACACUCAGAUGUGUGUUCAUCUCCAGAUACUACUCCAUGCUACCUGCCCUUUUUGUUUUGUUCAAUAACUGGGUAUCAUAUCCCGGCCAGUGUGCCAUCUAUUUUGUGUUUGUUUCCUUCUAGUUCCAAAGGGGUCAUCAUGAUGUUACCUUCUUUCGAUAUGGUGCUUUGCAUGACAACUGUUGUAUGGUACCAUCUUGUUGGCCAAUAAAUACAUCUUAUCCUAUGACCCUUUGCUAUGACCCUUUGCAAAUAAGUACAAGAUUGUUAUAAGCGUCAAUACUCAGUAUAAUUGAUCGCUGCUGUGAGUUCCCUUUCAGCUUAUCGUAGGCACACAUUAUUGCUAGCACGGUAAAGACAACCAACACGAAUGAUGAAGUAAACGUAGCGGUACUUUUGUAUACCAACACCCUUACUUAAAUGUACUGGUGUCAUUCCCUACUGGCACAUAUAUUCUUAUAUGCUAGCCAGAUUGGAAAAUUAACCAAUUAAAAUAAUUAUUUCAAGAUAGAAAUAACUUAUCGGCUUCUCGAAGCAUGUGUAAUUUUAAUUCAAGGACUCAAUGGAAGUUGAAUCACUUCAUCUAGAUUGCCUUCUGGAUUUUGGUUAACUAAAUUUAACAUUUGUGUCGGGGGGAAAUAUUAACGAUUUUCUUACGCUCUCUAAUUAACGGAUACAAGGGCUAGGGCCCACCCCUAAUACCCAUAAUCUCCGCUAACAACACAUCCCAGAGGCACUCCGCUCCGCCUCGCCCGACUUCAGGGUCGCAGGGUCGGACGUGCCCGACCCCCCAAGGCCUCGCCUCGUCUCAGCCGAUGGAGUUCCGCCUCGCCCGACCCUGAGCCCAACGGAUCGGACGCGCCCGACCCCUCGAAGCAGGACUCCGCCUCGCCCGACCCUGAGCGCAAGCGGUCGGACGUGUCCGGUCCCACCUGACAGAGCUCCGCCUACCCGAAGGUACGAGCAGGUCAUCAGACGGAAGCGCGGGCUCUGUGAGUCCCCCUGGGCUCACCCAACCGAUGGGACCGCGCAAGCUUCCAGAUACAGUUCUGACACAUGGAGAGGCGCCCGCGUUCCUCGACAUGACCUGUCAAAAUGUUGGUCUGCGCACUGCUGCCACGACUGCACAGGGCUACACCUGCACCGUCCUACCCCACUGUGACAUCUGUCAUAGGGCACUCAUCGCUCAUACCAUCUAAUGGAGGAGGGAAAACCGCCUAGUUUUCCACGUGGGCUAGCAAGAAGAGCACGUCAGCCACGCCGCCCCGUCAGGGUGCAUGGCUACAGUGGUUGACCAUCACCCGCGACGUGCACAGUCACAGUGGCCAGUCGUCACCACCAACUUGCACAGCUACAGUGGUCGGCCGCCAUGCACGACUCGCGUGUCCGGCUACAGUGACCGACCGCCGAGUCACCGAUGGGACCCAACGGCAACCCCUAUCCCUUGGUAGCAGUACCGACAAGACGCAGAGACAAGAAGGGAAGACGACGUCUCUAGUAGCCCCACUUGCUUCCCUUUUUACCUUUCUACCUGUUUACCUUCCUUACUCCCGGCUCAUUUGUAACCUCUGUAUCCUCCUUGCACUAUAAAAGGAGACCAGGGGGUCUGAGGGCAAGGGACCCUCGGAGNNNNNNNNNNNNNNNNNNNNNNNNNNNNNNNNNNNNNNNNNNNNNNNNNNNNNNNNNNNNNNNNNNNNNNNNNNNNNNNNNNNNNNNNNNNNNNNNNNNNNNNNNNNNNNNNNNNNNNNNNNNNNNNNNNNNNNNNNNNNNNNNNNNNNNNNNNNNNNNNNNNNNNNNNNNNNNNNNNNNNNNNNNNNNNNNNNNNNNNNNNNNNNNNNNNNNNNNNNNNNNNNNNNNNNNNNNNNNNNNNNNNNNNNNNNNNNNNNNNNNNNNNNNNNNNNNNNNNNNNNNNNNNNNNNNNNNNNNNNNNNNNNNNNNNNNNNNNNNNNNNNNNNNNNNNNNNNNNNNNNNNNNNNNNNNNNNNNNNNNNNNNNNNNNNNNNNNNNNNNNNNNNNNNNNNNNNNNNNNNNNNNNNNNNNNNNNNNNNNNNNNNNNNNNNNNNNNNNNNNNNNNNNNNNNNNNNNNNNNNNNNNNNNNNNNNNNNNNNNNNNNNNNNNNNNNNNNNNNNNNNNNNNNNNNNNNNNNNNNNNNNNNNNNNNNNNNNNNNNNNNNNNNNNNNNNNNNNNNNNNNNNNNNNNNNNNNNNNNNNNNNNNNNNNNNNNNNNNNNNNNNNNNNNNNNNNNNNNNNNNNNNNNNNNNNNNNNNNNNNNNNNNNNNNNNNNNNNNNNNNNNNNNNNNNNNNNNNNNNNNNNNNNNNNNNNNNNNNNNNNNNNNNNNNNNNNNNNNNNNNNNNNNNNNNNNNNNNNNNNNNNNNNNNNNNNNNNNNNNNNNNNNNNNNNNNNNNNNNNNNNNNNNNNNNNNNNNNNNNNNNNNNNNNNNNNNNNNNNNNNNNNNNNNNNNNNNNNNNNNNNNNNNNNNNNNNNNNNNNNNNNNNNNNNNNNNNNNNNNNNNNNNNNNNNNNNNNNNNNNNNNNNNNNNNNNNNNNNNNNNNNNNNNNNNNNNNNNNNNNNNNNNNNNNNNNNNNNNNNNNNNNNNNNNNNNNNNNNNNNNNNNNNNNNNNNNNNNNNNNNNNNNNNNNNNNNNNNNNNNNNNNNNNNNNNNNNNNNNNNNNNNNNNNNNNNNNNNNNNNNNNNNNNNNNNNNNNNNNNNNNNNNNNNNNNNNNNNNNNNNNNNNNNNNNNNNNNNNNNNNNNNNNNNNNNNNNNNNNNNNNNNNNNNNNNNNNNNNNNNNNNNNNNNNNNNNNNNNNNNNNNNNNNNNNNNNNNNNNNNNNNNNNNNNNNNNNNNNNNNNNNNNNNNNNNNNNNNNNNNNNNNNNNNNNNNNNNNNNNNNNNNNNNNNNNNNNNNNNNNNNNNNNNNNNNNNNNNNNNNNNNNNNNNNNNNNNNNNNNNNNNNNNNNNNNNNNNNNNNNNNNNNNNNNNNNNNNNNNNNNNNNNNNNNNNNNNNNNNNNNNNNNNNNNNNNNNNNNNNNNNNNNNNNNNNNNNNNNNNNNNNNNNNNNNNNNNNNNNNNNNNNNNNNNNNNNNNNNNNNNNNNNNNNNNNNNNNNNNNNNNNNNNNNNNNNNNNNNNNNNNNNNNNNNNNNNNNNNNNNNNNNNNNNNNNNNNNNNNNNNNNNNNNNNNNNNNNNNNNNNNNNNNNNNNNNNNNNNNNNNNNNNNNNNNNNNNNNNNNNNNNNNNNNNNNNNNNNNNNNNNNNNNNNNNNNNNNNNNNNNNNNNNNNNNNNNNNNNNNNNNNNNNNNNNNNNNNNNNNNNNNNNNNNNNNNNNNNNNNNNNNNNNNNNNNNNNNNNNNNNNNNNNNNNNNNNNNNNNNNNNNNNNNNNNNNNNNNNNNNNNNNNNNNNNNNNNNNNNNNNNNNNNNNNNNNNNNNNNNNNNNNNNNNNNNNNNNNNNNNNNNNNNNNNNNNNNNNNNNNNNNNNNNNNNNNNNNNNNNNNNNNNNNNNNNNNNNNNNNNNNNNNNNNNNNNNNNNNNNNNNNNNNNNNNNNNNNNNNNNNNNNNNNNNNNNNNNNNNNNNNNNNNNNNNNNNNNNNNNNNNNNNNNNNNNNNNNNNNNNNNNNNNNNNNNNNNNNNNNNNNNNNNNNNNNNNNNNNNNNNNNNNNNNNNNNNNNNNNNNNNNNNNNNNNNNNNNNNNNNNNNNNNNNNNNNNNNNNNNNNNNNNNNNNNNNNNNNNNNNNNNNNNNNNNNNNNNNNNNNNNNNNNNNNNNNNNNNNNNNNNNNNNNNNNNNNNNNNNNNNNNNNNNNNNNNNNNNNNNNNNNNNNNNNNNNNNNNNNNNNNNNNNNNNNNNNNNNNNNNNNNNNNNNNNNNNNNNNNNNNNNNNNNNNNNNNNNNNNNNNNNNNNNNNNNNNNNNNNNNNNNNNNNNNNNNNNNNNNNNNNNNNNNNNNNNNNNNNNNNNNNNNNNNNNNNNNNNNNNNNNNNNNNNNNNNNNNNNNNNNNNNNNNNNNNNNNNNNNNNNNNNNNNNNNNNNNNNNNNNNNNNNNNNNNNNNNNNNNNNNNNNNNNNNNNNNNNNNNNNNNNNNNNNNNNNNNNNNNNNNNNNNNNNNNNNNNNNNNNNNNNNNNNNNNNNNNNNNNNNNNNNNNNNNNNNNNNNNNNNNNNNNNNNNNNNNNNNNNNNNNNNNNNNNNNNNNNNNNNNNNNNNNNNNNNNNNNNNNNNNNNNNNNNNNNNNNNNNNNNNNNNNNNNNNNNNNNNNNNNNNNNNNNNNNNNNNNNNNNNNNNNNNNNNNNNNNNNNNNNNNNNNNNNNNNNNNNNNNNNNNNNNNNNNNNNNNNNNNNNNNNNNNNNNNNNNNNNNNNNNNNNNNNNNNNNNNNNNNNNNNNNNNNNNNNNNNNNNNNNNNNNNNNNNNNNNNNNNNNNNNNNNNNNNNNNNNNNNNNNNNNNNNNNNNNNNNNNNNNNNNNNNNNNNNNNNNNNNNNNNNNNNNNNNNNNNNNNNNNNNNNNNNNNNNNNNNNNNNNNNNNNNNNNNNNNNNNNNNNNNNNNNNNNNNNNNNNNNNNNNNNNNNNNNNNNNNNNNNNNNNNNNNNNNNNNNNNNNNNNNNNNNNNNNNNNNNNNNNNNNNNNNNNNNNNNNNNNNNNNNNNNNNNNNNNNNNNNNNNNNNNNNNNNNNNNNNNNNNNNNNNNNNNNNNNNNNNNNNNNNNNNNNNNNNNNNNNNNNNNNNNNNNNNNNNNNNNNNNNNNNNNNNNNNNNNNNNNNNNNNNNNNNNNNNNNNNNNNNNNNNNNNNNNNNNNNNNNNNNNNNNNNNNNNNNNNNNNNNNNNNNNNNNNNNNNNNNNNNNNNNNNNNNNNNNNNNNNNNNNNNNNNNNNNNNNNNNNNNNNNNNNNNNNNNNNNNNNNNNNNNNNNNNNNNNNNNNNNNNNNNNNNNNNNNNNNNNNNNNNNNNNNNNNNNNNNNNNNNNNNNNNNNNNNNNNNNNNNNNNNNNNNNNNNNNNNNNNNNNNNNNNNNNNNNNNNNNNNNNNNNNNNNNNNNNNNNNNNNNNNNNNNNNNNNNNNNNNNNNNNNNNNNNNNNNNNNNNNNNNNNNNNNNNNNNNNNNNNNNNNNNNNNNNNNNNNNNNNNNNNNNNNNNNNNNNNNNNNNNNNNNNNNNNNNNNNNNNNNNNNNNNNNNNNNNNNNNNNNNNNNNNNNNNNNNNNNNNNNNNNNNNNNNNNNNNNNNNNNNNNNNNNNNNNNNNNNNNNNNNNNNNNNNNNNNNNNNNNNNNNNNNNNNNNNNNNNNNNNNNNNNNNNNNNNNNNNNNNNNNNNNNNNNNNNNNNNNNNNNNNNNNNNNNNNNNNNNNNNNNNNNNNNNNNNNNNNNNNNNNNNNNNNNNNNNNNNNNNNNNNNNNNNNNNNNNNNNNNNNNNNNNNNNNNNNNNNNNNNNNNNNNNNNNNNNNNNNNNNNNNNNNNNNNNNNNNNNNNNNNNNNNNNNNNNNNNNNNNNNNNNNNNNNNNNNNNNNNNNNNNNNNNNNNNNNNNNNNNNNNNNNNNNNNNNNNNNNNNNNNNNNNNNNNNNNNNNNNNNNNNNNNNNNNNNNNNNNNNNNNNNNNNNNNNNNNNNNNNNNNNNNNNNNNNNNNNNNNNNNNNNNNNNNNNNNNNNNNNNNNNNNNNNNNNNNNNNNNNNNNNNNNNNNNNNNNNNNNNNNNNNNNNNNNNNNNNNNNNNNNNNNNNNNNNNNNNNNNNNNNNNNNNNNNNNNNNNNNNNNNNNNNNNNNNNNNNNNNNNNNNNNNNNNNNNNNNNNNNNNNNNNNNNNNNNNNNNNNNNNNNNNNNNNNNNNNNNNNNNNNNNNNNNNNNNNNNNNNNNNNNNNNNNNNNNNNNNNNNNNNNNNNNNNNNNNNNNNNNNNNNNNNNNNNNNNNNNNNNNNNNNNNNNNNNNNNNNNNNNNNNNNNNNNNNNNNNNNNNNNNNNNNNNNNNNNNNNNNNNNNNNNNNNNNNNNNNNNNNNNNNNNNNNNNNNNNNNNNNNNNNNNNNNNNNNNNNNNNNNNNNNNNNNNNNNNNNNNNNNNNNNNNNNNNNNNNNNNNNNNNNNNNNNNNNNNNNNNNNNNNNNNNNNNNNNNNNNNNNNNNNNNNNNNNNNNNNNNNNNNNNNNNNNNNNNNNNNNNNNNNNNNNNNNNNNNNNNNNNNNNNNNNNNNNNNNNNNNNNNNNNNNNNNNNNNNNNNNNNNNNNNNNNNNNNNNNNNNNNNNNNNNNNNNNNNNNNNNNNNNNNNNNNNNNNNNNNNNNNNNNNNNNNNNNNNNNNNNNNNNNNNNNNNNNNNNNNNNNNNNNNNNNNNNNNNNNNNNNNNNNNNNNNNNNNNNNNNNNNNNNNNNNNNNNNNNNNNNNNNNNNNNNNNNNNNNNNNNNNNNNNNNNNNNNNNNNNNNNNNNNNNNNNNNNNNNNNNNNNNNNNNNNNNNNNNNNNNNNNNNNNNNNNNNNNNNNNNNNNNNNNNNNNNNNNNNNNNNNNNNNNNNNNNNNNNNNNNNNNNNNNNNNNNNNNNNNNNNNNNNNNNNNNNNNNNNNNNNNNNNNNNNNNNNNNNNNNNNNNNNNNNNNNNNNNNNNNNNNNNNNNNNNNNNNNNNNNNNNNNNNNNNNNNNNNNNNNNNNNNNNNNNNNNNNNNNNNNNNNNNNNNNNNNNNNNNNNNNNNNNNNNNNNNNNNNNNNNNNNNNNNNNNNNNNNNNNNNNNNNNNNNNNNNNNNNNNNNNNNNNNNNNNNNNNNNNNNNNNNNNNNNNNNNNNNNNNNNNNNNNNNNNNNNNNNNNNNNNNNNNNNNNNNNNNNNNNNNNNNNNNNNNNNNNNNNNNNNNNNNNNNNNNNNNNNNNNNNNNNNNNNNNNNNNNNNNNNNNNNNNNNNNNNNNNNNNNNNNNNNNNNNNNNNNNNNNNNNNNNNNNNNNNNNNNNNNNNNNNNNNNNNNNNNNNNNNNNNNNNNNNNNNNNNNNNNNNNNNNNNNNNNNNNNNNNNNNNNNNNNNNNNNNNNNNNNNNNNNNNNNNNNNNNNNNNNNNNNNNNNNNNNNNNNNNNNNNNNNNNNNNNNNNNNNNNNNNNNNNNNNNNNNNNNNNNNNNNNNNNNNNNNNNNNNNNNNNNNNNNNNNNNNNNNNNNNNNNNNNNNNNNNNNNNNNNNNNNNNNNNNNNNNNNNNNNNNNNNNNNNNNNNNNNNNNNNNNNNNNNNNNNNNNNNNNNNNNNNNNNNNNNNNNNNNNNNNNNNNNNNNNNNNNNNNNNNNNNNNNNNNNNNNNNNNNNNNNNNNNNNNNNNNNNNNNNNNNNNNNNNNNNNNNNNNNNNNNNNNNNNNNNNNNNNNNNNNNNNNNNNNNNNNNNNNNNNNNNNNNNNNNNNNNNNNNNNNNNNNNNNNNNNNNNNNNNNNNNNNNNNNNNNNNNNNNNNNNNNNNNNNNNNNNNNNNNNNNNNNNNNNNNNNNNNNNNNNNNNNNNNNNNNNNNNNNNNNNNNNNNNNNNNNNNNNNNNNNNNNNNNNNNNNNNNNNNNNNNNNNNNNNNNNNNNNNNNNNNNNNNNNNNNNNNNNNNNNNNNNNNNNNNNNNNNNNNNNNNNNNNNNNNNNNNNNNNNNNNNNNNNNNNNNNNNNNNNNNNNNNNNNNNNNNNNNNNNNNNNNNNNNNNNNNNNNNNNNNNNNNNNNNNNNNNNNNNNNNNNNNNNNNNNNNNNNNNNNNNNNNNNNNNNNNNNNNNNNNNNNNNNNNNNNNNNNNNNNNNNNNNNNNNNNNNNNNNNNNNNNNNNNNNNNNNNNNNNNNNNNNNNNNNNNNNNNNNNNNNNNNNNNNNNNNNNNNNNNNNNNNNNNNNNNNNNNNNNNNNNNNNNNNNNNNNNNNNNNNNNNNNNNNNNNNNNNNNNNNNNNNNNNNNNNNNNNNNNNNNNNNNNNNNNNNNNNNNNNNNNNNNNNNNNNNNNNNNNNNNNNNNNNNNNNNNNNNNNNNNNNNNNNNNNNNNNNNNNNNNNNNNNNNNNNNNNNNNNNNNNNNNNNNNNNNNNNNNNNNNNNNNNNNNNNNNNNNNNNNNNNNNNNNNNNNNNNNNNNNNNNNNNNNNNNNNNNNNNNNNNNNNNNNNNNNNNNNNNNNNNNNNNNNNNNNNNNNNNNNNNNNNNNNNNNNNNNNNNNNNNNNNNNNNNNNNNNNNNNNNNNNNNNNNNNNNNNNNNNNNNNNNNNNNNNNNNNNNNNNNNNNNNNNNNNNNNNNNNNNNNNNNNNNNNNNNNNNNNNNNNNNNNNNNNNNNNNNNNNNNNNNNNNNNNNNNNNNNNNNNNNNNNNNNNNNNNNNNNNNNNNNNNNNNNNNNNNNNNNNNNNNNNNNNNNNNNNNNNNNNNNNNNNNNNNNNNNNNNNNNNNNNNNNNNNNNNNNNNNNNNNNNNNNNNNNNNNNNNNNNNNNNNNNNNNNNNNNNNNNNNNNNNNNNNNNNNNNNNNNNNNNNNNNNNNNNNNNNNNNNNNNNNNNNNNNNNNNNNNNNNNNNNNNNNNNNNNNNNNNNNNNNNNNNNNNNNNNNNNNNNNNNNNNNNNNNNNNNNNNNNNNNNNNNNNNNNNNNNNNNNNNNNNNNNNNNNNNNNNNNNNNNNNNNNNNNNNNNNNNNNNNNNNNNNNNNNNNNNNNNNNNNNNNNNNNNNNNNNNNNNNNNNNNNNNNNNNNNNNNNNNNNNNNNNNNNNNNNNNNNNNNNNNNNNNNNNNNNNNNNNNNNNNNNNNNNNNNNNNNNNNNNNNNNNNNNNNNNNNNNNNNNNNNNNNNNNNNNNNNNNNNNNNNNNNNNNNNNNNNNNNNNNNNNNNNNNNNNNNNNNNNNNNNNNNNNNNNNNNNNNNNNNNNNNNNNNNNNNNNNNNNNNNNNNNNNNNNNNNNNNNNNNNNNNNNNNNNNNNNNNNNNNNNNNNNNNNNNNNNNNNNNNNNNNNNNNNNNNNNNNNNNNNNNNNNNNNNNNNNNNNNNNNNNNNNNNNNNNNNNNNNNNNNNNNNNNNNNNNNNNNNNNNNNNNNNNNNNNNNNNNNNNNNNNNNNNNNNNNNNNNNNNNNNNNNNNNNNNNNNNNNNNNNNNNNNNNNNNNNNNNNNNNNNNNNNNNNNNNNNNNNNNNNNNNNNNNNNNNNNNNNNNNNNNNNNNNNNNNNNNNNNNNNNNNNNNNNNNNNNNNNNNNNNNNNNNNNNNNNNNNNNNNNNNNNNNNNNNNNNNNNNNNNNNNNNNNNNNNNNNNNNNNNNNNNNNNNNNNNNNNNNNNNNNNNNNNNNNNNNNNNNNNNNNNNNNNNNNNNNNNNNNNNNNNNNNNNNNNNNNNNNNNNNNNNNNNNNNNNNNNNNNNNNNNNNNNNNNNNNNNNNNNNNNNNNNNNNNNNNNNNNNNNNNNNNNNNNNNNNNNNNNNNNNNNNNNNNNNNNNNNNNNNNNNNNNNNNNNNNNNNNNNNNNNNNNNNNNNNNNNNNNNNNNNNNNNNNNNNNNNNNNNNNNNNNNNNNNNNNNNNNNNNNNNNNNNNNNNNNNNNNNNNNNNNNNNNNNNNNNNNNNNNNNNNNNNNNNNNNNNNNNNNNNNNNNNNNNNNNNNNNNNNNNNNNNNNNNNNNNNNNNNNNNNNNNNNNNNNNNNNNNNNNNNNNNNNNNNNNNNNNNNNNNNNNNNNNNNNNNNNNNNNNNNNNNNNNNNNNNNNNNNNNNNNNNNNNNNNNNNNNNNNNNNNNNNNNNNNNNNNNNNNNNNNNNNNNNNNNNNNNNNNNNNNNNNNNNNNNNNNNNNNNNNNNNNNNNNNNNNNNNNNNNNNNNNNNNNNNNNNNNNNNNNNNNNNNNNNNNNNNNNNNNNNNNNNNNNNNNNNNNNNNNNNNNNNNNNNNNNNNNNNNNNNNNNNNNNNNNNNNNNNNNNNNNNNNNNNNNNNNNNNNNNNNNNNNNNNNNNNNNNNNNNNNNNNNNNNNNNNNNNNNNNNNNNNNNNNNNNNNNNNNNNNNNNNNNNNNNNNNNNNNNNNNNNNNNNNNNNNNNNNNNNNNNNNNNNNNNNNNNNNNNNNNNNNNNNNNNNNNNNNNNNNNNNNNNNNNNNNNNNNNNNNNNNNNNNNNNNNNNNNNNNNNNNNNNNNNNNNNNNNNNNNNNNNNNNNNNNNNNNNNNNNNNNNNNNNNNNNNNNNNNNNNNNNNNNNNNNNNNNNNNNNNNNNNNNNNNNNNNNNNNNNNNNNNNNNNNNNNNNNNNNNNNNNNNNNNNNNNNNNNNNNNNNNNNNNNNNNNNNNNNNNNNNNNNNNNNNNNNNNNNNNNNNNNNNNNNNNNNNNNNNNNNNNNNNNNNNNNNNNNNNNNNNNNNNNNNNNNNNNNNNNNNNNNNNNNNNNNNNNNNNNNNNNNNNNNNNNNNNNNNNNNNNNNNNNNNNNNNNNNNNNNNNNNNNNNNNNNNNNNNNNNNNNNNNNNNNNNNNNNNNNNNNNNNNNNNNNNNNNNNNNNNNNNNNNNNNNNNNNNNNNNNNNNNNNNNNNNNNNNNNNNNNNNNNNNNNNNNNNNNNNNNNNNNNNNNNNNNNNNNNNNNNNNNNNNNNNNNNNNNNNNNNNNNNNNNNNNNNNNNNNNNNNNNNNNNNNNNNNNNNNNNNNNNNNNNNNNNNNNNNNNNNNNNNNNNNNNNNNNNNNNNNNNNNNNNNNNNNNNNNNNNNNNNNNNNNNNNNNNNNNNNNNNNNNNNNNNNNNNNNNNNNNNNNNNNNNNNNNNNNNNNNNNNNNNNNNNNNNNNNNNNNNNNNNNNNNNNNNNNNNNNNNNNNNNNNNNNNNNNNNNNNNNNNNNNNNNNNNNNNNNNNNNNNNNNNNNNNNNNNNNNNNNNNNNNNNNNNNNNNNNNNNNNNNNNNNNNNNNNNNNNNNNNNNNNNNNNNNNNNNNNNNNNNNNNNNNNNNNNNNNNNNNNNNNNNNNNNNNNNNNNNNNNNNNNNNNNNNNNNNNNNNNNNNNNNNNNNNNNNNNNNNNNNNNNNNNNNNNNNNNNNNNNNNNNNNNNNNNNNNNNNNNNNNNNNNNNNNNNNNNNNNNNNNNNNNNNNNNNNNNNNNNNNNNNNNNNNNNNNNNNNNNNNNNNNNNNNNNNNNNNNNNNNNNNNNNNNNNNNNNNNNNNNNNNNNNNNNNNNNNNNNNNNNNNNNNNNNNNNNNNNNNNNNNNNNNNNNNNNNNNNNNNNNNNNNNNNNNNNNNNNNNNNNNNNNNNNNNNNNNNNNNNNNNNNNNNNNNNNNNNNNNNNNNNNNNNNNNNNNNNNNNNNNNNNNNNNNNNNNNNNNNNNNNNNNNNNNNNNNNNNNNNNNNNNNNNNNNNNNNNNNNNNNNNNNNNNNNNNNNNNNNNNNNNNNNNNNNNNNNNNNNNNNNNNNNNNNNNNNNNNNNNNNNNNNNNNNNNNNNNNNNNNNNNNNNNNNNNNNNNNNNNNNNNNNNNNNNNNNNNNNNNNNNNNNNNNNNNNNNNNNNNNNNNNNNNNNNNNNNNNNNNNNNNNNNNNNNNNNNNNNNNNNNNNNNNNNNNNNNNNNNNNNNNNNNNNNNNNNNNNNNNNNNNNNNNNNNNNNNNNNNNNNNNNNNNNNNNNNNNNNNNNNNNNNNNNNNNNNNNNNNNNNNNNNNNNNNNNNNNNNNNNNNNNNNNNNNNNNNNNNNNNNNNNNNNNNNNNNNNNNNNNNNNNNNNNNNNNNNNNNNNNNNNNNNNNNNNNNNNNNNNNNNNNNNNNNNNNNNNNNNNNNNNNNNNNNAGGCUUGUUAGAAUAAGAUAAUAUUCUAACCGUCUAAAUUCGGAUCCGGUUAGAAUAAAUUGAUAUUCUAACCGGCCCUAAUUCGAGGCGGUAAGAAUAAGUUAACAUUCUAAUCGGCUCUAUUUGGAGCUCGAUUGAAUCUUCUUGUUAUUCAAAAAAAGAUCAAGUUCAUCAAUUUUUUCUAGGAAAACAUCAAGAUAAUUUAAACAUGAUAUAUAACAAGAUUAAUACAUUUAAAAAUUGUUUUAUCCACAAAUUAACGAUAUUUAACAAAUUUAAAAAAAAUCCAAAUUAACAGAACACAAUAACCAAUUGUUCGAAAAAAUCAAAAUAAUCCACACAUUAAUAUAUUACAAAUUCAGAAAAAUAUCAAAAUAAUCCCCGAUCCACUCGAUACCAUCGUAGGACUUUUAAAUACUGAGCUUCUUGAUUCAUCUGAGGUCCACGUACUCGUCUCAGUAACACUAGUGGUGGCCAUACAUCUUGUAGAUGUCUUCUAACGAAUCAAGCUUGACAUACAAGGUCGUGCCUUCCGCUCCUUGAGCAUAAACAUCUUUGGUGAUCUUGAAAUGGCAGACGGUGGAUGUGCCAAAGGUAUGUAACGAUCCUUCUAAAUAAAUGCCACCACAACUUCCGUCUGAUCGCCAUGGGUGACACCAAGAAGAGCUACCAUGCGGCAAGGGACGAACAAUUUAUCAAUUAGUGCCGCCGUCCAUUCGCCAUCAUCUAAUCCAGCCAUAUCUUGAUGUAUAUUUAAGUAUAGAAAUUAAGAUUUAAAACUAAACAGAAUAAAUUGAGAUCGAUUAUGUAUGUAUAUCAGAACAUUAGCUUUUGGAAAAAGGGCUUCGAUGGAAGAGAGGCACGGGGCAUAGAGACAACAACGAGUGACAUGAUGAUCACAAUUAUUGGCUACAGGACGGGCACACACAGCCGAUAAUACAGUAGUCAAUACCCCUGGUAAUUAACCACACCAUCAAGUAAAUAGUGACAAUAUGCACUAUACACGACAUAGCCUUGGUUGCCGUGGAAGCGCCAAGAAGGGAGACAAAUUACAGGGACCACACCAUCAAGUAAAUAGUGACAAUAUGCAGAAGAAUACCCGCGCCUGCUAGCAUGUGUGAACCGACCACACCACGAAACGUGAUACACGGCAUGCGUACCAAGGCCUUGCUGUGCAGACUAUGCAUGGACAACACAUGGUACCUGACCGCUUUUGGCCUCAGACACAUCCAAAAACUACAUCGUUCCGCGUUGUACAUCCAUUGCUAGUUCAUCUACAUUACAGAAUAUAUUAUUAGCUAUUUGAAUAGAAUGAACCAAUUAAAAAAUUGUGUUGUAUAUUAGUACCUGCUGCCGGAUGGUGUUACCAACCAGUACUAAUUGGCAUGUAGGAGCGAUGGUUAUUAGACUUGGAACUGUUGUUAGCAUCAUUAACGGUCCUAAUUGUGCGCGGUAUGAAUUUGGGGAUGCAAAGCUAGUUCUCUAGUAGUCAUUAGCUAUAUAUAUAUGACAGUUAAGAAAUCGAACACUAUGCUGCUACGAGUCACCAUCAUUUCCUUCAUUGACAAUUUGACUUAGGUGAAGCUGCUUCAAGAAUUUCCUUCGCGCACUCGUGGAGCUUAUUGGAUAAUCACCAGGACGGGACACGGAAAUGGCCAGCAAUGAAGCUGAUUGCCGCCUGAGGAAGACUACAUACUUACCUAUGAAAUGAAGCGAUUGCAUAUUUGCAUGUGAGAAGACUGGGGCGAUGGGGUUGCCUCAUCAAUAAUCACGUGGAUGCAUGCAUGUAUGUUCCCGCAACCGGACAAGCUGCAGACUCAAUGGCUCAGCCGACAGGGUCUGAUAUAUGGCUUAUAGUAUUACUGAGCCCACAUCAAUAAUUUCCACUGGUGUAUUGGGGGUGUUCGGGAGGAGGGGGUUAAAUUUUAGCCCCCGUCACCUCGAAUGUUUGGAUACUAAUUAGGAGUAUUAAACUUAGACUAAUUACAAAACUAAUUACACAACCCCUAGGCUAAAUCGCGAGACGAAUCUAUUAAGCCAAAUUAGUCCAUGAUUUGAUAAUAUGGUGCUACAGUAACCAUUCACUAAUGAUGGAUUAAUUAGGCUUAAUAGAUUCGUCUCACGAUUUAGCCUAGGGGUUCUGCAAUUAGUUUUGCAAUUAACUUAUAGUUAGUCCUCCUAAUUAGUAUCGAACAUCCGAUGUGACAGGGCUAAAGUUUAGCCCCCUCCUCCCAAACACCCUACACCUCGAGUUCUUGGAACUAACUGACGUUCACAUGCAACCUCCACAAGGUGCUGUAUGCUUUUGACAUUCACCUGCCAGUUCGUGUAGACAAGGGCACCCUAACGUAUGGUUAAUAUUAUCCAUUUCAUGAGUAAAAUACUGUGAUUCAAAAAUACUUCAAAUCCCUUAAGACAAUACUUCUCACUUGACUAACCACUAACCAACCCUGAAACCCUAACUCAACCACGAACCCUAACCCUUAACGGCCUAACCACUCCGUUUUGUCGGCGAGAUGGAGGAACUGGCUGGGUGGGAGAGAGGGCAGCGGUCCAAGGUUGAAAACGACGGGCGAGCGCAGUAACAUGUGGAGGAGGAAGUGCCGCGUAUUGGUUCACCGCUAUUGGGCAGCAACACGCGACACGCCCAAUAAAAUUUUCGCACGGUAGAAGGACGUCAUGUAUUCAAUAAUGUUAUUGGUCCCCCAUGUGCAGAAGGGCACGCAUGAAAUGUCUGGCCCACGGUAAACAAGUACGGACGCUUCUACUCUGCUCGUCCAGUCCCUAGCCUAUAAAUAGAUGCCAUGCUAGCUCUUGUUGUGCUCACAAUUAAUCCGACUACACACGAGCUUCUCUCCCUGGCCAAGACACAAUCAUAGUAUGAUGAAGAACAUGGCACUAGCCGGCAAUGGUAUGAAGAAGUUAAUCCUCGCUGUUCUCUUACUCUGUCUAGUUAUAGGGCAGAUACAAGUGGAAGCUAAGAGCUGCUGCCCAUCCACCACUGCAAGAAAUAUCUACAAUACCUGCCGUUUCGGGGGUGCAUCCCGUUCAAUGUGUGCAAAACUGUCAGGCUGCAAAAUUAUCAGUGGGAACAAAUGCAAGCCCCCUAACGACCACCUCACCCUUGACCCGGACACUGGUAAAUAAUAAAUUUAUCUCACUUGAUUUCUUCGUGAUUUGAGUCGUUAAUGUAUUUUCCAUCUGAUGAAACGUAUUGGUUUUGCAUUGAAGAGGAAGUUAAUGUGCUUAACUUCUGCAAGUUGGGGUGUGCGUCGUCUGUGUGCAACAACAUCAACGCUGGUAAGCACCUUUUGCUCAGACGGAGAAAACAAUAAUCAUUAAUUAGCGGCAGCUAGAAUCCUAUAAUCUAAUAUAUUUAUAUAUAUAUAUAAUUUUAUCAGCUCUGGGAAAUGAAGAGGCGAACGAUGCCGUUGAGAGUUGCGACCAAGCCUGCUCUAGCUUCUGCAGCGUGCAUGUUGGCAGCGCCACCGUGGUUGCUUAAGCAAAUGCAUGCAACUAGAUCGUCCUUGUGCUGAAUAAUUGGAUAUCGUAUCCACUUAAAGCUGCCUUGUGUAGUACGUCUUUGUUUGUGUCUCUCUUUAUAUUCCACUAAGGUCGGUGAUCUUGAUGCCACACACACUCAGAUGUGUGUUCAUCUCCAGAUACUACUCCAUGCUACCUGCCCUUUUUGUUUUGUUCAAUAACUGGGUAUCAUAUCCCGGCCAGUGUGCCAUCUAUUUUGUGUUUGUUUCCUUCUAGUUCCAAAGGGGUCAUCAUGAUGUUACCUUCUUUCGAUAUGGUGCUUUGCAUGACAACUGUUGUAUGGUACCAUCUUGUUGGCCAAUAAAUACAUCUUAUCCUAUGACCCUUUGCUAUGACCCUUUGCAAAUAAGUACAAGAUUGUUAUAAGCGUCAAUACUCAGUAUAAUUGAUCGCUGCUGUGAGUUCCCUUUCAGCUUAUCGUAGGCACACAUUAUUGCUAGCACGGUAAAGACAACCAACACGAAUGAUGAAGUAAACGUAGCGGUACUUUUGUAUACCAACACCCUUACUUAAAUGUACUGGUGUCAUUCCCUACUGGCACAUAUAUUCUUAUAUGCUAGCCAGAUUGGAAAAUUAACCAAUUAAAAUAAUUAUUUCAAGAUAGAAAUAACUUAUCGGCUUCUCGAAGCAUGUGUAAUUUUAAUUCAAGGACUCAAUGGAAGUUGAAUCACUUCAUCUAGAUUGCCUUCUGGAUUUUGGUUAACUAAAUUUAACAUUUGUGUCGGGGGGAAAUAUUAACGAUUUUCUUACGCUCUCUAAUUAACGGAUACAAGGGCUAGGGCCCACCCCUAAUACCCAUAAUCUCCGCUAACAACACAUCCCAGAGGCACUCCGCUCCGCCUCGCCCGACUUCAGGGUCGCAGGGUCGGACGUGCCCGACCCCCCAAGGCCUCGCCUCGUCUCAGCCGAUGGAGUUCCGCCUCGCCCGACCCUGAGCCCAACGGAUCGGACGCGCCCGACCCCUCGAAGCAGGACUCCGCCUCGCCCGACCCUGAGCGCAAGCGGUCGGACGUGUCCGGUCCCACCUGACAGAGCUCCGCCUACCCGAAGGUACGAGCAGGUCAUCAGACGGAAGCGCGGGCUCUGUGAGUCCCCCUGGGCUCACCCAACCGAUGGGACCGCGCAAGCUUCCAGAUACAGUUCUGACACAUGGAGAGGCGCCCGCGUUCCUCGACAUGACCUGUCAAAAUGUUGGUCUGCGCACUGCUGCCACGACUGCACAGGGCUACACCUGCACCGUCCUACCCCACUGUGACAUCUGUCAUAGGGCACUCAUCGCUCAUACCAUCUAAUGGAGGAGGGAAAACCGCCUAGUUUUCCACGUGGGCUAGCAAGAAGAGCACGUCAGCCACGCCGCCCCGUCAGGGUGCAUGGCUACAGUGGUUGACCAUCACCCGCGACGUGCACAGUCACAGUGGCCAGUCGUCACCACCAACUUGCACAGCUACAGUGGUCGGCCGCCAUGCACGACUCGCGUGUCCGGCUACAGUGACCGACCGCCGAGUCACCGAUGGGACCCAACGGCAACCCCUAUCCCUUAGUAGCAGUACCGACAAGACGCAGAGACAAGAAGGGAAGACGACGUCUCUAGUAGCCCCACUUGCUUCCCUUUUUACCUUUCUACCUGUUUACCUUCCUUACUCCCGGCUCAUUUGUAACCUCUGUAUCCUCCUUGCACUAUAAAAGGAGACCAGGGGGUCUGAGGGCAAGGGACCCUCGGAGACCGAACCCCGAAUUCACCCAAGUACAAACCAACCGAACCACCAGACGAGAAAGACUCACAGAGAUCUGGGAACCAGCUUCCCUCUCUCACCUAUUUGUAGCCUCUACUCCAGACUUGGUACGAGUAACACGAGCAGCCACCCGCACUGGACUCCUCCGCCAGAAACUGGUCCAACCAGUCGGGUCCCUCCCCCUGCUCUUCGUCCUCAUCAUCCUCAUCAUCGUCGUCCUCAUCCGUUGCCGUGUCUGGCCCCUCCGCAGCCUUCAGAACUCCGCUGCAGCUUUCUUUUUCUUCCUCACCGUCUCCUUGUCCUUCCUCUUCUUCUGUGCUUCGUCGAGGAGGCGGUUCCGCUGCCUCUGCACCACGUCCUCUGGCACCGGUGGACGGGAGGCUGUGACAUGGUUUAAGUUACCCUGCAGAUUCGAAGACUCCGCGUCAGAAUAGCAAACCAGGAAAUGCAGGAAAGAAGAACGAGAGUGCAAAUUUCUAACCAGCAGGACAUAGGCCUCGUCCGGGCGCAUCGGAGGGUGCCCCGGCACCGGGAACACGACAUCCCUGUCACCCAAUGCAUCCCGGACACGCUGCUCGAUCUCGGCGUCGGCAAUUGCACCCGUCGCAAGGACGGUGCUGUGGUACGCCCCAACAACUCCGGCCCCGGUCAGGCCCUCCUCCUUCAGAAGGUUGAUGGCUUCGAGGAGACCCCGGAUAUUCUUCUUCUCCUUCUCAACAGGGCCAUAUGUCCACGUUCCCGGUGCCUCCACGAUGACGCGGCCAGUGAACUCCGUCAAGAGGACAUCGGGGCGGUUCUUCACAUAGAGCCACUGCUGAUGCCACCCUUUGUGGGAUGACGGGGUCUUCAUCGAUGUAUACUCCUUGGGCCGAUGGCCACAGAGGUGGAUGCCGGCACACCCCAUCAGCAUCGGAAUCGUCCGCGUCUGGUUUCCUCUCUUCUCGGUCCUCUGAUGAAGAGUGACAGCGAAGAAGUACUUCCACAGGGCGAAGUUGGGCUCGAUCCCCAGGUAUCCCUCCCAAAGCACGACGAACGCCGCGAUGUGCUGGAUUCCGUUGGGGUUGAGGUGCUCCAGCUCAAUGCUAUAGUAGUGCAGCAGCCCCCGGAAGAAGCGACUUGGGGGAACCGCGAACCCCCUCUCGUGGAAGUGCGCGAAGGAGACGAUGUACCCGUCCUCCGGCUGUAGCACGGCCUUGUUCCCGGGAUACCGCCACUCGUUCUCGGCGAUCCUAUCGCGAAGAAGGCCCUUCUUCACGAGACCGAUCACGCGCGCGGUGUUGAAGAUUGACCAAGACCUUGAAUCCAUCGCCGAGGAAGGGGAAGGCUCGACGGCGGUGGUGGAAAGGUGAAUGCUCUGGCUCGAAAGAGGAUGAAAAGUGAACAAGGAGGCGAGAAAGGCUGAAGACGAGUGCGGAGCGGAGCAAGCAAGGUAAGCUCUCUCGUUUUACAGGGGGCGUGCGAGAAACGAAAGGCGAACCGAACGCAUUUAUUGCGACGUCAGGUAUGCCCCAUCGCCUCCGCCUUUCUUCGGAAACCGUACGCAUGAUUUCUUUUUAACCGCAGGGAACGCUACGCCCCCUCGCCCCACGAGCCCGGUGUUUUUUGCCGCUUCGUCUCCUGGAGGUCAUGCGCACAACUUCCUCCACAAGCGGCCCAGGGCCCGCUUCAGGUAAAAAAGGGAUACAGAGCUGAAAACACUCUAACGGCCCAUUACGGUCCAGGGGUUCGAAGGCUGGCCCUCUAGAGGGUUCGACAUCCACCCCAGGACAUUUCUUGAGCAAGGGGUGAGAAGGGACGGGUCCGCUAGCGACCACUACCCUGGUGAACAAAAGCCAAGGGCGUCCCGACCUCACAUUUGAGUCUCGAUUGGCGUUUAAGUUCAUGGUUUUUCCCCGAAGAAAGGCAAAGUGCCCCCGGAUCCGGUUGAACAGACCUGGGAACUAUAUGAACUGGCCGUCCGAAAUCUGGAGUACGCCACCAGCUUGGCCCAAGCCGGACCCGCCCGAACAGGGACCGGGACUCCACUCGAACUGACCCGUUAGCAGCUCACCGAGCACCAUGGUUCGUCCGAUGAGGAUAACAUGGCACGGCUCACCCCCUCCGUCCCAACGAACGGACGCUGAGGGGUAACGACUAAAAGACGAUCCGACCUCUCGAUCGGUCCCCUGCAAUGCGCGGGGGCUCGAGGGCUGGAAUCACAACGAAACGACCAUGCGCAUGGUUACGACUCGGAAUUUUGAGGCAGGAAUGGUCAUUGAAACAAUAGGGAAUCUUCCCAAACCGUACCAUCCUCAGAACACUCUGGCUACCCAAAACUCCCCGGCCAGGCCAAACAAGCAAAACUUUUCUCCUGAUCAAAUCAAGGUACAUGUUAAACAAGACCCCUGACAAACACUCUGCCGAGAGCCAAUCACAGCCUCUGGAGGAGCACCUUGCUCCACCAAAGGCUCGGGGCCUACUGUCAGGGGGAAAUAUUAACAAUUUUCUUACGCUCCCUAAUUAAUGGACACAAGGGCCAAGGCCCACCCCUGACACCCGUAAUCUCCACCAACAACACAUCCCAGAGGCACUCCGCUCCGCCUCGCCCGACUACAGGGUCACAGGGUCGGACACGCCCGACCCCCCGAGGUCUCGCCUCAUCUCAGCUGAUGGAGUUCCGCCUCACCCGACCCCAGGCGUAAGGGGUUGGACGCGCCCAACCCCUCAAAGCAGGACUCCGCCUCGCCCGACCCCGAGCGCAAGGGGUUGGACACAUCGGAUCCCACUAGACAGAGCUCCGCCUCGCCCGAAGGUAUGAGUAGGUCAUCAGACGGAAGCGCGGGCUUUAUGAGUCCCCCCAGGCUCACCUAACCGAUGGGACGCGCACAAUUCUAGAUACAGUUCUGACACGUGGAGAGGUGCCCGCGUUCCUCGACAUGACCUGUCGGAAUGUUGGUCUGCACACUACUGCCACGACUGCACAGGGCUACAACUGCACCGUCCUACCCCACUGUGACAUCUAUCAUAGGGCACUUAUCGCCCAUGCCGUCUAACGGAGGAGGGCAAACCGCUUGGUUUUCCGCGCAGCCUAGCAACUACAGCACGUCAGCCACGCUGCCCCGUCAGGAUGCAUGGCUACAGUGGUUGACCGUCGUCCGCGACGUGCACAGCUACAAUGGCCAGUCGUCACCACCAACUUGCACAGCUACAGUGGUCGGCCGCCAUGCACGACCCGCGUGUCCGGCUACAGUGGCCGACUGCCGAGUCACCAAUGGGAUCCAACGGCAACCCCCAUCCCUCAGUAGCAGUACCGACAAGACGCAAAGACAAUAAGGGAAGACGGUGUCUCCAGUAGCCCUACUUGCUUCGCUUUUUACCUUUCUACCUUUUUACCUUCCUUACUCCUGGCUCAUUUGUAACCCCUGUGUCCUCCUUGCACUAUAAAAGGAGACCAGGGGGCCCGAGGGCAGGGGACCCCCGGAGACCGAACCCCGAAUUCACCCAAGUACGAACCAACCGGACCACCAGACGAGAAACACUCACAAAGAUCUGGGAACCAGCUUCCCUCUCUUGCCUGUUUGUAGCCCCUACUAUAGACUUGGUACGAGUAACACGAGCAGCCACCCGCACUGGACGUAGGGCUAUUCCUGCCCGAACCAGUAUAAACCUCGCGCCCUCUCGUACAACCAUCCAAGCCUUACGCGUAGAGAAACAAAUUUACUAAGCCGGUAGUCUUGACCCGUGAUUCGUGAGACCGACAAUUUGCACAUACAAAUGUUAAAGUACAAAUGUUAAAUCUAGUUACCAAGCAGAAUACGAAAUAGCGGGCUAUAGUGAGGCUAUAGCGGCGCUAACUGCUGCAACAACAGUGUUGUACUAAUUAGCAGGCUAUAGCGGAGCUAUAGCGGUUGAGCACAGCUCUACGCUAAAUAUCAUAGCCCUCAAUUUUGUACAUUGUAUAUACUAUAUAAAUCUAGUUAACAUUUAGUCUAAAUGUUAAAUCGAGUUACCUAAAAUCCUGAAAGCAAAAUGUAUAAAUAUAUAUCUUUUAGGGUAGUAUAAGCUUCGAUUCCUUUUGCUGCUCUGUUAAAUCUCAUCUUUCGUUGUAGCCCAACACUCUAGUAUUGAUUUUGCACCAAGCUUCUUUGAGCCGCUCUGCCCUCUGAUUUUGCUGCGUAGGGGAAUCUUUAUCAGGUUGGGCUACUUCCAGUCGUGCGAUGUAUACCUUUGUAUCUUCUAGAAGGUAGACAGAAAACCCGCGUUCUCUUAAGGCAACAACCAGAAGAUUCUGCAGCGCACGGGGCAUAUCAUUGUUGUAGAAACGACCUUUAGUAUCGAUCUCCAACCCCUUAUAGUACUGGUUUUGCAACCAGUACCGUUAUGUCGGACCUUUAGUACCAGAUCAAAUAACCGGUUCUAAAGGGACUCCUUUAGUACCGGUUGGUAACCAGUAUCAACUUGUUUUGCGGCCAAAAAAAUAAAGAAAAAAAUAGCCAGAAGGCUAGCACACACACACAUCCCACGAAAUAUGCGCGUGCGCGGUCCAUGGGAUUCGAACCCAUGAAAUCAAGCUGCGCGCAACCCUUCGUUACCAUCUCACCUUCAGUACCGGGUCAUAACACCACCCGGUACUAGUAUCGGAUGCUGUAAUGACUCGAUACUAAAAGGCCUCUAGGGACCCUCAAAUUUGGACCCGAUACUAAUGCUAACAUUAGUACCGGGUCAAAGUGCAGCCAGUACUAAAGCAUGGGACGAAAGGUCAUAUUUCUAGUAGUGUAUAGUUGUUGUGUAGGACUGACUUGGCUGUCCUCUCUCUUCUCCAUCCCAUUGGUCUUACGCCGCCGCUCGCACGCGAGCCGGCACCCAACCAGAGGAGUGAGAGCUAGGGGCGGGUUGGGAGGUGGGGGUAGCGACUGGUGGCUAGGGUGAUGGUUGAUGUUGGCGGGGUUAGGGUUUCAUGGUUUUCAAGCUACCUACGGCCGGCGAACCUAGAGGAGGAGGUCGACAUCAGCUGCAACCCGCGGUGGUGGUGGUUUGGCCGGCGCCCCAGGCGAGGCAGCGUGGGAGUGCUGCUGGCGGGUUGGUGUUGGCGCUCAUUAUUGACACAUUUUUAGUACUAUUUUGUUCAUGGAAUAACACUCAAACGUGCUGGUGCUGCUGCCGCCAUCGCCGCCCUAGCCAUAAUAUAAAGGCAAAAUUUGCUAGAGGACAUGCAAAAUGAUGCUAGUUUGCUGGAGGGCACCGUUGACCAUGUAAUAUGCUACAAGACACUCUAGUUGUUCUAGAGUGUAUCAAUUUGCUGAAAGACAUUGCUACGACUAAAAUAAUGUUUCUGGACUGAGUUGGAGAGAGAGAUGGAGUGAAAUGUCUGUUUUGCCCAUGACCCCACUGAUCAGAUCCUUCUUCUUCCACCCUCCUUUCUUCUUUCUUCAACCAUUACCCAGCUCUAGUGUGUUGCAGAUCUACGAGGGUGGCGGCCCGGGGCGAGGGGCAUCGCUUGCCCUCAGACGAGCGCCGCGAGCGACGGCGCGGGGGCAGCAACGGCGCGUCGGAACCUGACCGUUCGUUAGCUCCUCUCGCUGCUGGGGAAGGAGGGGGAGGGGCCAUGGACGGGGUUCCCUCGAAAACCUUAGCCUCGAGCUCAGGCGGCUACGCGCAGGCAGCACUAGGCUCUUCGCGGGGAGGGGGCGCGGCCAAUCAUUGGCACCCCACUGGUCCAAUGCUGAUGAAGAUGGUGCCAGCGUCGUGAAGAUGGUGCCAGCGUCGUGUGAGGACCUCUCAUCUCCUCGAGUUCCAUGGCCAGCACAGGUGAGCGUCCGCUACCACAAAACAGAGGUGUCGUGAGAGUCAAAAAAACUCAUGAAAAUAGCUAAAACCAUCAUGAAAAUAAUCCAUGACACGACACUCUAACGAAAAUCCUCUCACAAAUAUGGUGCCAUCAAAAUACCAUUUUCAUGAGAGUGAACUGUCAUGAUUUUAUUUCGUGAGAGUAUUUCCUAUCAAUGACCUCCACGAAAUACUUUGUGCCACCAGGUCUUCAAGAUCAUUUUCAUGAGAGCCGAACGUCACGAAAGGUCCGCCACAAAUGUUUUUCCUGGGAGCCUCUAACUCUCAUCAAAAGCAUGUGGGCCGCCGCGAAAAACAGCCUGACCAAAUGACAAUUUUCAUUUUCAUGUGCUCUUACCGCCAUGAAAAUGGUCAUUUUCAUGAGAGUUGAUGAAACAAAAAAAUAGUGCCAUUUUCAUGAGAGUUCAAGCAACCAGGAAAAGGCACUAAUAAACAUCCAGAUCCCAUCCAGCACACAUCCAUGCACAUAUAUAACCCACAUAUUGCUCCAGCAACAUCCAUGCAUAUACAAGAUCCAAAUGUCUUGGUAUGAACCUACAUGCAUGUGAUGAACCAGUAACCUGCAAAAAGAGCUCAUAGGAUCUUGUCCUCAUAUUGUAGCUGUGAAAUUCUUGCAAGUAGUGUUGCAAUCAGUUCACUUUGAACCAAAAGAGCUCAAAGGAUCAUGUCCUCAAAGUUCCUCUUAAAGCUUAUGGGUUUGCUGGUGGAACUGGAAGGGCUUGAUGCAGCAUGCCAUUCUGCAAUAGAGAAAAAUUUAGAAAGCUGUACUAGUUAAAAUUGGAUGCAGCAGAGACACAUGAAACUAGUAUUUAUACAAUUCUAUAUAUAUAAUAAUUUGUCCCCUAAAUUUUUAGGAUCCUCUCGACGGUGGUGAGUCUUCCAGUAAGGCAAUUGAAUGUCCAUCGUGAUAAAAUUCUCCUUUGGAUUUAUCAUCUUCUCAACCAGAAAUCCUAGGAGUUCAUCCUUAAGCCUUACCAGUUGUAAUUUGGAAAUAUGUGAAAGUUAAACGAACAAUUAAAAUCUAAGGAUCCUUAUCAUCAUUUCCAUACGUUUGCGAAUUAAAAUAAUGAAGGAUACAAUGUUAGGUGAAAAUUCAAGAAACAAAAUUUUGUAUAGAGAUAAUGGUCCGACAUUAUUACAAGUUAAAGUUGUUUUAAAUAUCCUUGUAAUCUUCCUUUGGUUUCCUCGACGAUUCCAAGACAGUAACCUUGCUUCUAUCAAUGAUAAUUAUAAGGAGAACCCAAUGAAAACUGUGUAUUCAUAUUAGAACUAACUAAGGUUAAUUCGGAUAGGAAAGGAAAUCAAAAAUAGAUGGUACCCACACUUACUUAAAGUUGUAGGGUAGUAGUAUGUAAUGCUUGUAAUUCUGUUGCUCCAAGAAUUUGUAUAUGUGGUUCAAUGUAGACUUUGGUUGAUCCUGUAUCUGCUGUUGGUUGAAUAAGUGUUUCUAACCAUUUCUAGCCGUUAGAACUGGGACUAAAGGGAGCUCUUAGUGCUGGUUGAUAUUACUAGUCGGGACUAAAGAGCCCCCGUUAGAGUUGGUUUUCGGACGUGGAACUAACCACUCCUUUAGUCUCAAGUCCAAAAAUGAUUGAGACAUUUGUUGCUGGAUGGAACACUAGUAGAGAAUUGGCUUUCGAUGCGCCCCCUUUUGUCCCGGUUUAAAGUUGGACUGGGACAAAAGAGGGUGCGCCACGGUAGGUAAAAAUGGAGGGGGGAGUUAGUCCCGGUUGGUAAUUGCAACCGGGACUAGAGGCCCCCCUUUAGUCCCGGUUGCAAUGGCUAGCUGGGGGGCGUCGGUGGCGGCACCUUUUUGUCCCGGUUGGAGUCUCCAACCGGGAUAAAAGGUCCACCCUUUUAUCCCGGUUGGAGGCUCCAACCGGGACAAAAAGUUUAGUCCCGGUUGGAGCUUCCAACCGGGAUAAAAGGGUGUCCCUUUUGUCCUAGUUGGAGCCUCCAACCGGGACUAAACUUUCAACCGGGACAAAAGGUGUGGUUGGAGUUUUUAACUGGGAUAAAAACUCAUCCCCCAUUAUAUACCAAGACAGAGGACUUUCUUCCUCCUCCAGCCCGAGCCAGUCCAGCACAUUCACAGAGAGUUGACCUUCACCUACUCUCCGGUGGUGCCGAAGCAAGGAGGUGCUGCCCGAAGUUUUUUCCCUCAUUUUCGUGGGAAUUUCACUCAGCUAACACAAGUGUUGUGAAGGUUUGCUACUUCAUCCUCGUUUAUGCUUUGAUUUAUGCUUUGGAGAUGGAAAGAUUAUUUGUUAGAAUGUGAUGAAGUAGAAAAUGGAGAGAAUAUUUUGAGCUAGAAUGUGAGGGAGAUUGAUGUGUCAUAUAUAGUAUGCAUUCUUGCAGUGGUUUAAGAAUGAUGCUACCUUGUCCAGACAAUUUAUCUUAUCAAAUUCAAUAUAGUUUUUCAAAUCCAUACUUGUUGAACUUGCAUACCGUGUUCAUCUCUACGAGGAUAUUCUCUGCCGAGCAGCAACGUAUGUCAAGAAGGAGGUUCGAUUCUACGAGGAAGAGUGGAUACGGACAUCGUGACCGUGUCCCCUUUUCCGUAGCAUCUAACCUCUUUCAUGAUGAAGUGCGGUGCCGCCCAGUUGAGAACAUGCUCGCGAGAUGAACACAGUAUGCAAGUUCAACAACUUCUGCAGUAGUAAGGAAAGAAUUUUUGUACAUAGAUGACUUCUGCUACUUGUUGAACUUAUCAAAUUCAAGAAGGUUUUUCAAAUCCAUACUUGUUGAACUUGCAUACCGUGGUCAUCUCGCAGAGGAUGUUCUCCGCCGAGCAGCAACGUAUGUCAAGAAGGAGGUUCGAUUCUACGAGGAAGAGUGGAUACAGACAUCGUGACCGUGUCCCCUUUUCCGUAGAAUCGAACCUCUUUCAUGACGAAGUGCGGUGCCGCCCAGUUGAGGACAUGCUCGCGAGAUGAUCACGGUCUUUAAGUUUAACAACUUAUGCAGUGUUAAGGUAAUAAUUUUUGUACAUAGAUGGCUUCUGCUACUGGAGAAAGUGGCGAUGGUGGGGGUGAUCGUGGUUCCUCUUUCGGCAAGGGGAAAAUCAUAGUUGGCCCUCAGCAUAAGCCAAAGAAAAAGAGCGCACUGGAAAAAGCAAUGCUUCGUUAUUUGCAGCAACGUCAUGAAGAAGUUGUUGCCGCGGGUCAGGAACCUCCUUUUGGUCGUCGUUAUGCUCCACCCUUAGUCCCGGGUGUUUCACAUCCACUUAGUACUACCGUUUCAGGCGGCACAAAUAAACCUAAGGAUGAGGCUAGGUCAGCGGAACUUUCGUCUUCACUGUCCAAGGAUGCUUAAAGUCCUCCUAGAUAAUAACCAGUGGAUGGCUUGUUGUAUUGUAUCAUGUUGUUUGGAUCUUUAAUUUAAAUAUGUGUAUUUGGAUCUUCAUGUUGUUGUAUUGUACCAUGUUGUUUGGAUCUUUAAUCAAUUUUCACACGUAAUCCAUUGUCAAGUGUAAUCCAUUUUCAUGCAUAAUAAGAUGCAGAUGGACCGGCAAUGGAUGUAUAAUGCAGACAGGCAGAGCAAGGUGUUUAUUGAUGGCUUGCAUUAUUGUCUCGAAGUGGCCAAAGCGAACAAGCCAGAGAAUGGGUUCGUAUGUUGUCCAUGCUUCCAAUGCAAUAACAAGAAGGAGUAUUCAUAGGAUUCCUGGGGGACUAUUCACAGCCACUUGUUUAAAUACGGUUUCAUACUUAACUAUUUGGUUUGGACCAAGCACGGUGAACGAGGGGUCGUAAUGGAAGAUGGCGAGAAGGAGGAGGAAGAUGACACCAUUCCAGACUGGGUUGUAGGCCAAGCUUUUGCAGGUACUACAAUGGGCGAGGCUCAUGAAGAUGAGUUUGCAGAAAAUGGCCCUAUUGAUGACUUUGGUCAGGUGAUACGAGAUGCAUACAGAGAUUGCGAAAUUGAGAAGGAAGCAGCAAAGUUGCAGCGCAUGAUAGAUGAUCACCAAAAAUUAUUGUACCCAGGUUGCCAGCUGGGCCAUAAAAAACUAGGUACGACACUAGAAUUUGUGCAAUGGAAGGCAAAAAAUGGUGUGUCCGAUAAGGCAUUUCAGGGGAUGUUGACCAUUGUCAAGAAGAUUCUUCCCGAGAAUAAUGAAUUACCGUCCACAACAUAUGAAGCUAAACAGAUUAUUUGCCCUCUCGGAUUGGAUGUUCAGAAGAUACACGCAUGCCCUAAUGACUGUAUCCUCUAUCGUGGUGAUGACUACGAGAAAUUGGAUGCUUGUCCCGUGUGCGAAGCCCUGCGGUAUAAGAUUAGGUGAGAUGAUCCUUGUGAUGUCGAGGGGCAGUCUCCCAAUAAGAGAGUUCCCGUGAAGGUGAUGUGGUAUUUCCCUAUAAUACCACGCUUGAAGCGCUUGUUCAGGAAAAAGGCGAAUGCUAAGUUGAUGUGAUGGCACAAAGAAGACCGUAAGGAAGAUGAGAUGCUGAGACACCCCGCAGAUGGGGCACAGUGGAGAUCAAUUGAUAGAGCAUUCUCGGACUUUGAAAGUGAAGCAAGGACAUAAGGUUUGGUUUAAGUACUGAUGGAUUCAAUCCAUUCGGUGAGUUGAGUAGUGGCCAUAGUACUUGGCCUAUGACCCUAUUUAUGUUGAACCUUCCUCCUUGGCUAUGCAUGAAGUGGAAGUUCAUUAUGAUGCCGGCGCUUAUCCAAAGUUCAAAACAACCCGACAACGACAUUGACGUGUACCUAAGACUGUUGGUUGAUGACCUUUUACAGCUCUGGAAGGAAGAAGGUGUACGUGUGUGGGAUGAGGAUAGACAAGAGAUCUUUAAUCUACGAGUAUUGUUGUUUGUAACCAUCAAUGAUUGGCCUGCACUGAGUAACCUUUCGGGACAGACAAAUAAGGGAUAUCGGGCAUGCACCCACUGUUUAGACGACACAGACAGCAUGUAUUUGAAGCAUUGUAAGAAGGUCGUCUACAUGGGUCAUCGUCGAUUUCUCCCUGCUCACCACCAGCUGAGAAAGAGCAGGAUGCAUUUCAAAGGGGCGCCAGACCAUCGUAAAAAACCUGCACACCAUAAUGGAAAGUGUGUCUUCAAGAUGAUGAAGGAUGUAAAUGUAGUCUUUGGAAAGGGUCUUGGUAGCCAACCUAUUCCAAACGACAAUAACGGACAUGCACCCAUGUGGAAGAAAAAGUCAAUAUUUUGGGAGCUACCUUAUUGGGAAAUCCUAGAGGUUCGCAAUGCAAUAGACGUGAUGCACCUGACGAAGAAUAUUUGCAUGAACGUGCUAGGCUUCAUGGGUUUUUAUGGGACCUCAAAAGACACAUUGGAAGCACGACAGGACCUGAAAGCCAUGGGGCAACGAGAUGACCUACAUCCGAAAAAGAGAGAUAAUGGAUAGCACUACUUACGUCCUGCCAGUUACACUCUGAGCAAGGAAGAGAAGGAUAGCAUGUUUGAAUGCUUGAAUAGUAUGAAGGUCCCGUCUAGGUACUCCUCGAAUAUAAAGGGAAUAAUAAAUAUGAAAAAAAAGAAGUUUAUAAAUCUCAAGGCCCAUGACUGUCACAUGUUGAUGACCCAGUUGCUUCCGGUUGCACUGAGGGGUGUUCUACUAGAAAAUAUCCAGUUGCCGCUCGUAAAGCUAUGUGCGUUUCUAAAUGCGAUUUCACAGAAGGCAAUCGAUCCAUCCAAGCUAUCAAAGCUACAGAACGAUGUGGUGCAAUGUCUUGUCAGUUUUGAGUUGUUAUUUCCACCAUCCUUCUUCAAUAUUAUGACGCACUUACUGGUUGACCUAGUAAAAGAGAUUGGUAUUCUCGGACUUGUAUACCUGCACAAUAUGUGGCCUUUCAAGUGUUCAUGGCAGUCCUAAAAAACUAUGCUCUUAAUCGUGCCCAUCCAGAAGGAAGCAUCGCCAAGGGAUAUGGAACAGAGGAGGUGAUCGAGUUUUGUGUUGAUUUUAUUGAUUCAAUUGACUCGAUUGGGGUUCCAACUUCACGCCAUGAGGGGAGGCUCCGAGGAAUGGGCACCCUUGGAAGGAAAUCAAGUUUGAGCAAUGAUACUGAUUUGUUCGACAAGGCACACUACACGGUUCUACAACAGUCAUCCUUUGUGUCUCCAUAUAUUGAGCAGCACAGGCAGAUGGUAGUUUCCAAAAACCCGACCAAAUCCGAUGCUUGGCUUACCCGUCUUCACAUGGAAACUUUUCCCUCCUGGUUGCGCCAACAACUUAUGGGUAACUCUGAGAUUCACCCACAGCUUGCCUGGUUAGCCAGGGGACCUGCUAGCACAAUUGUGAAAUUUCAAGGCUAUGAGAUAAAUGGUUAUACAUUUUACACGAGAGCCCAGGACCAGAAAAGCACGAAACCAGAAUAGUGGUGUCCGCAUACAUGCCAUGGACAGAAAUAAUAGCAAGGAGUCGUAUUAUGGUUUCAUAUAGGAGAUAUGGGAACUUGAAUACGGACCGUUGUACAUCCCUCUAUUUCUUUGUAAUUGGGUGAAGCAAACUGCCGUAACCAAAGAUCAGUACGGAAUGACAAUAGUAGAUCUGAGCAAGACUGGAUACAGUGAUGACCCAUUCGUACUUGCCAACAAUGUGCAACAGGUGUUCUAUGUGAAGGACAUGUGUAGCAAACCCAAGAGAAAUCCAGAAGAGACAUGGGAGCCAAAGUGCCACAUAGUUUUUCCAGGUAGAAGAAAAAUCGUGGGAGUCGAGGAUAAAACAAACCAAUCAGAUGAUUAUGAUUAGUUUGAUGGCAUGCCUCCAUUCGCCGUUGAAGUUGAUCCAAGCAUCCUGCUAUCCAAAGAAGAGGCUCCGUACUUACGCCGCGAUCAUGAUCAAGGAACUUUCGUGAAGAAGAAAUUCUACAACGUUGUAUUGUAAUGCGCUAAAUUUACAUGACCUUUGUGUAGUAAUUGAUACAAUUUUUAAUUUACCCUAUGUAUGAUUUGAUGUGUUCUUAAAUUUGUUAGGUGAAGAUUUAUUAGAUAAACAUGAACAAUGUUAACCACAUACAUACAUGGAUUUUUCUGCGCAUUGAAAUUAUUUAAUGGAAUAAUUUCUUGAUCACAGCGAUGUAGUAAAAUAAAUAUUUUAGAGCCUAAAUGAACUGGUAUAGAAUUAAUGACUAACUCACACUUAUUGUCAAUUUACUCGCUAAUUAAAUAUAUUUUUGCAUGUACAAAAUAUGUGAAGGUUUUUGUUUUUCAUCCUGAAUUGCAGUGAAAAGAUAAAUAAAAUCCAUUUCCAAAAAACAGGCGGGAGAAGAAAACUGGGAAAAGGACCUUUUGUCCCGGGUGCCAACAGAAACCGGGACAAAAAGCCCCCCCCCUUUUAUCCCGGUUGGUGGUGGCACCCGAGAUAAAAGGGUAGGCUCCAAGCCCCACUUGGCGGACGCACCCUUUUGUCCCGGGUCCCGUCACCAACCGGGAUAAAAGGGGGGGCCUUUUAUCCCGGUUGGUGAGGGGACCCAGGACAAAAGGCCCUUUAGUCCCGGGUGUCAUUACGAACCGGGAUAAAAGGGGGGUUAAAAGGCACUAUAGCCCCUUCUACCCCCCACGCCAGUUACAGUUAGCAAAAUUUUCACCAAGAUCCCGCGCGCACUCUGCUCCGUCGCUGCCCGUCCGCCUUCCUCGCCAGCCGUCAUCGUCGUCGUCCCCCAUUGCCCCGGCCGUCGUCGUCCCGCCGGCUGACCGUGCCCAGAUAGCCUCCUCCUCCAUCGCCCCGGCCCGCCUCGAUCCUCCUGCGUCGUGCCCGGCCCCUACCUCAUCGACGCCGGCCACCUCCAUCGCGGGGCCUCAUCGCCGCCUCCAUCCUCGUCGCCACCUCGACGCCCUGGGUCGCCGCCUCGUCGCCCCUCGUCGCUGCCUCGUCGCCGUCCUGCCUCCGCCGUCUCGCCGUCCCGCGCGCCUUCGCUCCGUCGUCGCCUCCGCCGUCCCACCGCCCCAGCCACCGCCAUCCCGCCACCCCGGCCACCUCGUCGCCCCGACCACCGUCGACCGCGCGUGAGGUCCGCCGCACCGGCACUGGCGCCGGGAGUACCGCCUUGCUGACGCAAGCCCACCGGCUUGCGUCAACAAGGGCCUUUUUUAAGUUAGAAAAUAAAUAGAAAGGAGUAGUAAUUAGGUAGAAAUUCAAUAGAUUUUUGUAUAUGUGUUACAAAAUCAAAUUAGUGUAAAUUAGUUGUAAUUAGGUUCGUCGCUCUGCCUAGGUUAGAAAUGAAUCGUGUUUCGUCGUGGUUCCGUCCCCGCCUCCGCCGUCCCGCCACCCUGACCGUCGCCGUCCCAACCUAGGCACCGUCUGUGGUUCCGUCCCCGCCUCCGCCGUUCCGCCUCCAUCGCAAAUUCAUGUUAUUGCUAGAAAUUCCAAUAAAUAUGAACAAAUUAGUAGAAAUUUGGUAGAAAUUAAUCAUUGCUGCGGCCACCUCGCUCCACAAAUUCAUGUUAUUGCUAGAAAUUCAUAAAAAUUCAUGUUAUCACUAGAAAUUCGUACAAAAUUCAUGUUAUUGCUAGAAAUUCGUAAAAAUUCAUGUUAUUGCUAGAAAUUCGUACAAAAUUCAUGUUAUUGCUAGAAAUUCGUACAAAUUCAUGUUAUUGCUAGAAAUUCGUCACAAAGUACUACUAAUUUGCAAAAAUUUGUAUAAAUAUUCCGGACUUUGUGGGAUUCAUGUUAUUUUCUGAUUUCAUGUAUAUACCCUUAUGUACAUAUAACUAAGGAGAUUUCUAUGACUUUCAUGUAUGUUUCAAUCAAUAGUUGAAAUGGCAGACGAUGAGACCGCAAGGUAUCUCAUGGAGCAGAUAAUCGCUGGUGAUGGUAGUGGCGACAACCUUCCACUAUCGUACACCGAUGAAGAGGGCACCCAGGCGGACAUGUUCCUCAACAUGUCCGCCGAUGGGAAUGAAGAGCAAAAGCCCCAGCAACACCUUGCCGGGGCGGAAGGUUCCGGCGAGGUAUAUAUAACGAUUCUUGUAUUGUUUCACACCACCGUUACUACUACGUACUAAUUAACGAAUCAUGAACCGUUAGCCCUCUGGAUCGACGCAAGGGCAGAAGACACGAGGUCGUACAAAGGUGAUGGAAGGGAGGCUUGUCAUCACGGAAGUGAUAGAAGAGGGCAGGCCGGUUGCUCCCGAGAAAGUAGCAAAGAAGUACGUGAGUCAGAUCGGGGCAAUCGUCCGGGACAACGUGCCUAUCAGCAUCAGAGAAUGGAAGGGCAGAAGCACUAAUCCGUACGCCCUCCUGGAGACAGAAAGAAUAUGCUGUGGGAAGAUGUCAAGAGACAUUUCACAUUCACCGAAGGAUAUAUUGAGAAGGAUGUGAAAGCGUGGACGCUUAAGAAGAUGGCUACACAAUUUCCAGACAUUUAAGAAGAUGCUAGAUACCCACUACAUUAAGAAGGGCCGAACUCCAGACUUCAACGCGUGGUCAAAGUUGAGGGACCACUAGGAUGCAUUUGUUGAAUAUAAGAGGAGUGAAUACGAUGUGAAAAAGAUCACGACCAACACAACAAAUGCUAGUCAGAAGGGCUACCAUCAUCAUCUGGGGCGAGAUGGUUAUGGCUCAGCAAUUCCCAAGUCGAGGAAGAUGGAACAAGAUCUGAUUGAACGGGGAAUCGUACCGGCAACUAUUGAAUGGCCCGAACGAUCAAAAAAUUGGUACUACGCUCAUGGAGGCUCCCUGUGCCAAGAGGAUGGGACGUUGAUUUUCAAUAACACAAUACGUUAGAAGGCCAAACAUCUUGUGAAGAACAUUGAAGAUUCUAAGGCUGGGAGGUUGAAGGUGGACCGAGAAAAUGAUGAGCUCACAUUGGCCCUUGGUAAUCCAGAGCACCCAGGAUGUUGCCGAGGGUUCGGGGUCGUUCCGUGGAAGUUUGUUUUCCGAGGCGACAGCGCCUCGUACAGAAGCCGGAAGCGAAGAAAGGAACAGAUCGAGGAGAGCUGGUGGCAGAUGCUAGAAUCCAAAGUGCAGGCACAAGAACAAAGAAUGAUGGAGGAAAUCAAUCGUCGAGUGGCCCACGCAGUUGUGGAGUUGGCCCAAUCUGGAGCAUUGCCGAAUCCUAACAACGCCAGCCCUUCUCAAUGCCUCUUGAGCAGUUAUGCUUCUACAGGGGUCCCCGAUGCGCACACGCCCAGGUUACCCGUGGAGGAGCAACGGUUCCCCGUGGAUGCCAUCACGCAACACACCACAUGUGAGCUGCAUGCACCGGUCGGCAACCUCACUAUUAAGGUAUACUUAUACAUAAUAUUUAUGCAAUCUUGUCAAUUGAUCCACGCCUCGAUAUCGGAGUUUAACUUGUUUACUUCUACUAUAUGUACAGGUAGCGUACGGGAGUGCGUUAGCAACCCUGGCGGGGCAGAGCAGUCAUGGCAUGAAGAUUCCACCUGGCUACGCUAGCGUCCGCGUAGAGCAAAUAGUUGAUAGCCAAUAUGAAGGUCUAGAGCUCGACCUCCCGGGAGGUGACAGGGAAAGAACACUGGCAGAUGCGCUUCAUGGGAUCAUUCUAUGGCGAAAACGCUACAUCAUUAUUCCCGGCACGGAGCCAUCUCCUCAGAGCUCAAGACCACUCCCCGUAGAUCCCCAGCAGCGACCUUCUCCUCAUAGCUCGAGACCGUCAUCUCCUGCACAACCUGCUCCAGGACCGUCCCUUCCAUCUAUAUCAAGGUCUCCAUCUCCACCACAUCCUGGUGGUGGGAGCGACGACGACAAUAACAACACCCCUUCCUGAUCACCAUCGCCGGCACCAAGAGCGGCCCCCAUGAAGGAACCUGCACCACCACUAAAAAAGUCACGAGCACCGCCUCCCAAGCAAAGACAGAGAAAGAAGAAAACAAAGGAGCCUGAAGUGACUCGUAAGGAACGCUGGGAGACAAUGUCUCAUGCGGAACAGUGGGCAGAAAUCCAACAAGAGGCCAGUGAGUGGUUCAAGAAACAAGCCGAAGAAAAAAAAGCAACGGAGAUGCAGCCACCGCCAGUAAAUCGAAGAGAUUUAAACUUUUUUAUCAGGAUGGAAGAAGGAGCCAAGAAAAGGAUACCACUCUUAUCAAACUAUGAACGGGCUUUAGUAAAGGCUGAUGAAAAGGAUAAAAGGAAAGGAAAGUCAUCUUCCAGCGGUGCUGUCCCCGACCUCAGCCAUUUAUCAAAAAAAGAUGCUCAACGGGUAAAAGCAAUGCCCUUGGAUCAACAAGCAGAAGUAUUGAAGUUCAUGCAAGAAACAGGUCUGGGACUUGAUGAAUGCCUAGGGCAAGUUGAGACGCCAACUGCACCGCCCCCUGAGCCGAGAUGGCCUUAUGAGCUAGGCAAACCUCUAGUAAAGCCUUCAUUGGUACGAAAGCUAUCAACAAAGAUGUACGCAUUCCAUCAAUGGUACAUGAUGGCAUCCGCUGACUCAAGGGAGAUGCUCGGCCUGAAGGUAAAACCGAUGGAUUUUCACGACAGAGGCGAGAAAGUGCUGUGGCUAGACUUCAAGGAUAUAUACGAAGUGUACCAUCAUGAUGCCAUAGACGUCUCUCUGAUCCGCGCUUGGGUUCUGUAAGUGUCCGUUUAUCUCUACAUGUAAAUUUUGGCGUGCGUCACCGUACUAACUUCGUCUUCCAUUUCAUGUAGGAUGCUAAUUCAGACAUGCCGCCGAGAGGCGUACCUACAUAUAGGCUUCAUGGAUCCAUCUGUAGUUAACCAACAGCAGAUACAAUUAGCAUCGGAGAAAACCUUGGUGGAAGUAUACAAUUUCCUAGACAAACAAACAUUCAAGGAUUUCAUACUAUUUCCAUACAACUUCAAGUAAGUGUGUGUAUACCGUCUACUUUCGAUGUCUUUUUCCUUAUCUCUACAUGUUAGUUAGCUCUAAUAUGCAUGAACAUUUUACGCACGCAGCUUCCACUGGAUCCUUAUUAUAAUUGAGCCUCAAAGAAGCCACGUCACUGUCUUCAAUUCGUUGAGGAAAGAUCCAGUGGAGCACCAAGAAAUGCAACACAUGCUAGGCUUGUAAUAAUUCUGGACCUUUAUCUCUAUGCAAAAGUUUGUUUCCUAAAUUCUAUCCCUGUUACACUAUAUCAUUCAUUAUUCUAAUCCACAGCGUAUGGAAACAAUUCAUAAGGACACAAAAAGGUCCAUUCAAAGAAAAACUUACAUGGAACACAGACUUCCCGGUACAUAUGAAGUCUGCACAUUUAUUACAUUGUAUAACACGAAUAUUUCAUAACUUAUUUUUUUCCGUAUUGAAGUGCUUAAGACAGGAACUCGGAAAUAAUCUAUGUGGCUACUACAUCUGUGAGCACAUGCACAGUUUUAUGGGACCCAAGGGACUAAAGAUGACGCCGCACAACUUUAAAGUACGUAAAAUAAAACUAUUACUAGUUAAUUAUUUUCUAGCUCCUUAUAUGUAUUUGUUCACGUAACAUUCACAAAUUUCCAAAUUAUAGAUGUUAAAUAUUCAACAAGGACUCUUGAAGGAAGAAAGAGUAGCGGCAAUAUGUGAAGGUCUCAUUGGAUUCCUAAUGGACAAGGUGGUAGAUCCAAAAGGAGAAUUUUAUUUUGAUGGACGACAAUUAGACACUCUGAUCAGCAACACCUCGAUGGGAAGAUUGUAGAUAGAUACUUUGAUUUAUUUGUAUAUAUAAUACGCGCUAAUUAUGAUCGAUUUGUACUAGUUGAAUUCUGUAUAUGAAUUGUGUAUAAGAAUUGUGUAUAUAUAUAGUAACUGUAUAAUUACAAAUCCCAUUCGUUUAAAUACUAGUUAAUUUCAUUCUAAAAAAAUCUCAACUACUUAAGGUUAACAAAAGGGCUGCGGUACUACGUACGUGAUGCAUGCAUGAAAAAUUCAGGCGCCAGGCAGGUGCCAUGCAGGGCAUCAUUUAGUCCCGUUUGGAAUCCAGCCGGGACUAAAGGGUAACCCUUUACUCCCGGUUGGGAAACCCAACCGGGACUAAAGGGGGACCGUUACUCCCGGUUAAAAGACCCGGGACUAAAACCCCCCCUUUUGUCCCGGUUGGCUUAUCCCGGAUAAAUUUUCGGGAGAUAUGCACCCUACCAACCGGGACUAAAGGCCAAUUCUCCACUAGUGGAAGGUCCUUUCUCUACCAUGAAUAUUGCCAGAAAGAAUUGAAAGAGACCGCUUGCUAAAAACAUGUCAUAGAUGCGGACCAAGCUACCAAGGAGGUAGACCAAACAUGAUACACACCAUGCGUACCUUGCUGUGCAGACUAUGCAUGGACAAGAUACCCGACCACAUGUUGGCUUUGGUCACAUCAAAAGAAUCAUGUAGGCCAUUAAUAAACUACUUGAAGCGUCAUUCCGUAUCUUAUAUCCAUCAUCUGCAUUACAUUACAUUAAAUAUUAUUAACUAUUUGAAUAAAAUGAACCAAUUUAAAAAUAAUGAAUUGUACAUUACUACAAAAAGCCCUAGCACUGCCAGUUCCAAAAACAUCAUUGUUGACGGCCGUUAAGUACCAAAUAUGACGGUCAAUAUCCUAAAGAAUAAAGGACAAUUGGCAUUUCUUACACACAUAUUUGGUUUCGAAUAAUGUAGUUCUACAUGUCCUUGGAGAUUAUUUGGGUGUGGGUGAAAUAAUACAAAAAGAAGGAGAAAACACACUCCCAUGGCAAAGAAACAUAACUCCGACCAAUGAGAGAUAGCCACAGGGGCAGCACAUGGAUCCAUGGGCCCACAAACUGCAUCAAACCAUCUUACAAGGCGGGUAGCACCCACAACUGUCAUUAGGACCCACCUGGAAGUCUAGCAAAGAAGAAGGUUGUGAGUGGGGCCACGAGGGGUUCGGUUGAAUCAUCUCUAGCUCCCUUCAUCCCCAGCUGGCGCGUGGCGGUGGUUCAUGGUGUCCCGACAUCGGUUAGAGGACAUUCCCCCAAAUAUUCCUCCUGUAAACCAGCUCUAUGAACCUAUAAAUAGAGGGGUGUGCUCUCCAUUCCAACACACACCACAAGUUGAAGCACUCUCUCCCUCUUUAGUUUCCAAGUUUACGGAGAUAGGCUGGAGUAGCUCUGCUAAAGGUUCCAAGUCCACUUGGAGUUAAGCGUAUGUCUCUUGUAUCAUUAUUUCCUAGAGAGACUUUAUGCUAUUCAAGUUAUUUAUCUUCUUCAUAUAGUGUUAUGCUUAGUUCUUAUAUGCAUGAGUUAGUCUAAUACCCUUGCUCUAUUGAUAUGCUCAGCUUAUGUGCUCGUAUGCUAGUCAUGUACCCUUGCUGUCAUAGUAUAGGGUUAUAUGCUGUCAUGUGUGCCUAUAGACCUUGCUACAGUAUAUACUUGUUGUGUAUACAUACCAUUUGUAUAUACAUUAUUACAAGUUAAGGUAGUUUUAAAUAUCCUUGUGUUGACAACCAAAGCUUGAUCUUUUGUUUCCAUUGCCAGCGGAUUCAUCGGCUCAGAGUAGGAUCAAGACAUCAAGUUGAUGGAGUUCUUUAUAUUUCAAGAGGAGUCAUGGAGUUCUUUAUAUUUCAAGAGGAGUUGAUGGUGCUUUCAAUAUUGCAACCAGACAUCAUUGGCUCUGAAGACACCGAAUCAUCGGAGUUCUAUGAUCAGUUUCGGAACAUGAAGCCUUCAUACUCCGAAACUGGGGGGCCUGUGUUGACACCGAAUUAUCGGACUUCUAUAAUUAGUUUCGGAACAUGAAGCCUUCAUACUUCGAAACUGGGGGGUAUGUGUUUACACCAAAAUUUAGAAAUGUGCUCUGAAAGGAAGGACCUGGGAGAUCUAUUGGCUGAAAUACAAAUCCAUCGAAACUAGCCUUAUGCUAAGAGAUCAGAAUAUUGUACAAAGUCUAGAAAGUUCUAUUUACAUCUAAGUAACUCGAUAACUAGCCUUACGCUAAGAGAUCAGAAUAUUGGACAAAGCCUACAAAGUUCUAAUAUAGGUAACGUAAUGACCAGGUGAGGAUAGUUACAAGCUCGCUUGAGAUCGAAGCCGAUGUAGCCCUGCGCGCAAGAAGAAACUCACCUAUUUCUACUCUACUCUUACUCCUAGGGUUUGAUGGCGUGGCGUCAAAAGAUUGUAUUGAUUGAUUGAUUAUUUGAUACAAAGCUCAUGGGCCUAUAUUUAUACCCUUGAGAAAGCUAAAAUCCUAAUCAGUUAUGACAUGAAUCGUGACAGAAAAUCUAACUAAAGAUAGAUCUCCAUGCUUUCCCUUAUUUGGUGGAGUCGAUUUCACUUCAUAUCGGAUCCCUCCCGAUCUUCUAUCGGCUUCUAGCAUCCGGUCAUCUGCGACUGGCCUUGGUCAACAUCAGGUGUCAACAGACUUAUUUCUUCUACAAGUUCAUCGGCUGUCAGAGCCUUGUCUUAGUCAGUUGACUCUAGUAAAAAAUCGAUGUCAAUACAUGCCCCCCAAUUUUUGAAUAAAAUAUUAUAUUUCAAAAUUCUCUUCUCUUGUCAACAGCUUUUGAAAGAAAAAGAGUCACUGCUGCAAUCAUAAUCUUUUUCCCCGGGUUUUGUGAUAGCACCCUCCUCAUUUUAAGGGAUUCACCAUGUGGAAAUUAUAAUAUAACUGCUUCACCCAUUUCGUUUUCUUCACCAAACCAACUAUUGUCAGCCGCUACAACCAAAAAUCAAUUAUUCCCUUCACAUGCCUAGCGACUGCAUCCAUCACUCAUCGUCACCAUUAGUCUCCAUGUGUCAAGGCUUCUUCAACCAGCAAUGGCGACAUUAUCUUCCAUUCCACAGGUACCAUGUAUCCUAGCCAUUCCUUUCCCCUUUCAACCUGAAAUCCAAUCUAGUCACUAUAUAUCAAACCUGUGUUCUUAAUCAAUACUUGCCCCCUUGUACUUAGAAACACCCUUUUGAUCCCCAUAUCCGAUACGCAAGCAGAAUACUUUCUAGGCCCCAUGGGUAGUGAAGACCCAAUAGAAUCUAUUAAUGCUGAAAUACUUGGACAAAGUCUAGAAAGUUCUAUUUACAUCUAAGUAACUCGAUAACUAGCCUUACGCUAAGAGAUUUAAAUAUUGGAUAAAGCCUAGAAAGUUCUUAUAUAGGUAACUGAAAAGUGUGUUGACGCAAAAAUUGGAUGGUUGACUCCUGCGUACUAACACACGGAACCAGGGAGAAUCUGCUUAGCUACUGUUCGGGUUAUAGCCCUCUCGAUCCGUAGCGUGCCAGUUAAUCUGACCUGCUGAUUGACAAGUAAAAAUGUCAAAUUAAGAGCAAAUCAGCUGGUGUUCCGAAUCGCUCCACGGGACGUAUCAGUAGACAGCCGAUACGGGCAAACGACAAUCAGCUAGAUCAGCCGAUUUGCUCUUGUAUUUGACGUUUUACUUGUCCUUCUCAAUCAGCAGGUCAGAUUGACUCGCACGACGCAGAUCGAGAGGGCUAUAACCUAAACAAGAGCUAAGCAGAUUCUCCCGGGUUUCAUGUCUUAGUACACAGAAGUCAACCGUCUGAUUUUAUCAUCAACACGCUUUUUGGCACGCUCAGUGGGACCCGAUUCAUAUCUUAAUGGUAAUUGGUGAUCAAGUUUCAAACAACGUAUCCACUGGUAGAAAACUGAGCAUUAGUCCCGGUUGGUAAGGGUCAUAUCUCUCGGAUAUCCAUCCGGGAUAAACCAACCGGGACAAAAGGGGGGGGUCUUUAGUCCCGGGUAUUUUAACCGGGAGUAAAGGACCCCCUUUAGUCCCGGUUGGUGUCACCAACCGGGACUAAAGGGCCUGCCACGCCAGGCGCGGGACAGGCCCUUUAGUCCCGGUUGGUGACACCAACCGGGACUAAAGGGGGUCCCUUUAGUCCCGGUUGGAUUUCCCAACCGGGACUAAAGGGGUCCCCUUUAGUCCCGGCUCAAUUCCAACCGGGACUAAAUUGCGCUUGCAUGGCACUGGUGACGCCUGAAUUUUUCAUGCAUGCAUCACGUAUACGUAUAGUAGUACCGCGGCCCUUUUAAUUUGUUAACCUUGUAGUUGAGAUUUUUUUAGAAUGAAUUAAAUCAACUAGUAUUUAAACGAAUGGGAUUUGUAAUUACACAACUACUAUAUAUAUACACAAUCCUUAUACACAAUUCAUAUACACAAUUCAACUAGCUUAAUUAGUACAAAUCGAUCAUAUAUACAAAUAAAUCAAAGUAUCUUCCUACGAUCUUCCCGUCGUGGUGUUGCUGAGAGGAGUGUCUAAUUGUCGUCCAUCGUAAUAAAAUUCUCCUCUUGGAUUUACCACCUCGUCCAUUAUGAAUCCAAUGAGACCUUCACAUAUUGCCGCUACUCUUUCUUCCUUCAAGAGUCCUUGUUGAAUAUUUAACAUCUAUAAUUUGGAAAUUUGUGAAUGUUACAUGAACAAAUACAUAUAAGGAGCUAGAAAAUAAUUAACUAGUAAUAUAUUUAUUUUACGUACUUUAAAGUUGUGCGGCGUCAUCUUCGGUCCCUUGGGUCCCAAAAAACUGUGCAUGUGCUCACAGAUGUAGUAGCCACAUAGGUUAUUCCCGGGUUCCUGUCUUAAGCACUUCAGUGCGGAAAAAAAAUAAGUUAUGAAAUAUUCGUGUUAUACAAUGUAAUAAAUGUGCAGACUUCAUACGUACCGGGAAGUCUGUGUUCCAUGUAAGAUCUUCUUUGAAUGGACCUUUGUGUGUCCUUAUGAAUUGUUUCCAUACGCUGCGGAUUAGAAUAAUGAAUGACAUAGUGUAACAGGGAUAAAAUUUAGGAAAUAAAUUUUUGCAUAGAGAUAAAGGUCCAGAAUUAUUACAAGCCUAGCAUGUCUUGCAAUUCUUGGUAGUCCACCGGAUCUUUCCGUAACGAAUCAAAGACAGUGACGUGGCUUCUUUCAGGCUCAAUUAUAAUAAGGAUCCAGUGGAAGCUGCGUGCGUAAAAUGUUCAUGCAUAUUAGAGCUAACUAACAUGUAGAGAUAAGGAAAAAGACAUCGAAAGUAGACGGUAUACACACACUUACUUGAAGUUGUAUGGAAGUAGUAUGAAAUCCUUGAAUGUUUGUUUGUGUAGGAAAUUGUAUAUUUCGGCAAAGGUUUUUUCCGGCGCUAAUUGUAUCUGUUGUUGGUUAACUACAGAUGGAUCCAUGAAGCCUACAUGUAGGUACGCCUCUCGGCGGCAUGUCUGAAUUAGCAUCCUACAUGAAAUGGAAGAUGAAGUUAGUACGGUGACGCACGCCAAAAUUUACAUGUAGAGAUAAUAAACGGACACUUACAGAAUCCAAGCGCUGAUCAGAGAGACGUCCAGGGCAUCAUGAUGGUACACUUCGUAUAUAUCCUUGAAGUCUAGCCACAGCACUUUCUCCCCUUCACCGUGAAAAUCUAUCGGUUUUACCUUCAUGCCGAUCAUCUCCCUCGAUUUGGCGGAUGCCGUCAUGUACCAUUGAUGGAAUUCGUACAUCUUUGUUGACAGCUUCCGUACCAUUGCCGGCUUCACUAGAGGCUUGCCUAGCUCAUAAGGCCAUCUCGGCUCAGGGGGCGGUGCAGUUGGCGUCUCGACUUGCCCUAUGCAUUCUUCAAGUCCCAGACCUGUUUCUUCCAUGAACUUCAAUAUAUUUUCUUGUUGAUCCAAGGGCAUUGCUUUUACCCGUUGAGCAUCUUUCUUUGAUAAAUGGCUGAGGUCGGGGACUGAACCGCUGGAGGAUGAUUUUCCUUUUCUUUUAUCCUUUUCAUCAGCCUUUACUAGAGCCCGUUCAUAGUUUGACAAGAGUGGUAUCCUUUUCUUGGCUCCUUCCUCCAUCCUGAUAAAAAAGUUUAAAUCCCGCCGACUUACUGGCGGUGGCUCCAUCUCCCUUGCCCUUUUUAAUUCGGCUUGUUUCUUGAACCACUCACUGGCCUCUCGUUGGAUUUCUGCCCACUGUUCCGCAUGAGACAUUGCCUCAAAGCGUUCCUUGCGAGCCACUUCAGGGUCGACCUUUGUUUUCUUCUUUCGAGGCUGUCUUUGCUUGGGAGGCGGUGCUCGUGACUUCUUGAGUGGUGCUGCAGGUUCCUUCGAGGGGGCCGCUCUUGGUGCCAGCGACGGUGAUCGGGGAGGGGUGUUGUUAUUGUCGUCGUCGCUCCCAGCACCAGGAUGUGGUGGAGAUGGAGACCUUGAUAUAGAUGGAAGCGACGGUCCUGGAGCAGGAGAUGCCGGUCUCGAGGUAUGAGGAGAAGGUCGCUGCUCGGGAUCUACGGGGAGCGGUCUUGAGGUCUGAGGAGAUGGCUCCGUGCGGGAAAUAAUGAUGUAGCGUUUCUUCCAUAGAAUGAUCCCAUGAAGCGCAUCUGCCAAUGUCUUUUCCCCGUCGCCUCCCGGGAAGUCGAGCUCUAGACCUUCAUACUGGGCAUCUACUAUUUGCUCGACGCAGACGCUGGCGUAGCCUGUUGGAAUGUCCAUGCCAUGACUGCUCUGCCCUGCCAGCGUUGGUAACGCACUCCCAUACGCUACCUGUACAUAUAGCAGAAGUAAACAAGUUGAACUCCGAUCUCGAGGCCUGGAUCAAUUGACAAGAUUGCAUAAAUAUUAUGUAUAAGUAUACCUUAAUAGUGAGGUUGCCGACCGGUGCAUGCAGCUCACAUGAGGUCCGUUGCGUGAUGGCAUCCACGGGGAACCGUUGCUCCUCCACGGGUAACCUGGGCGUCUGCGCAUCGGGGACCCCUGUAGAAGCACAACUGCUCCCGAGGCGUUGAGAAGGGCUGGCGGUGUGAGGAUUCGGCAGUGCUCCAGAUUGCGCCAACUCCGCAACUGCGUCGGCCACCCGCCGAUUGAUUUCAUCCAUCAUUCGUUGUUCUAGCAUCUGCCGCCAGCUCUCCUCCAUCUGUUCCUUUCUUCGCUUCCGGCUUCUGUAAGAGGCGCUGUCGCCUCGGAAAGCGAACUUCCACGGAACCACCCCGAACCCCCGGCAACGUCCUGGGUGCUCUGGAUUACCGAGGGCCAAUGUGAGCUCAUCAUUUUCUCGGUCCACCCUCAACCUCCCAGCCUUGGAAUCUUCAAUGUUCUUCAUGAGAUGUUCGGCCUUCUCACGUAUUCUGUCAUUGAAAAUCAGCGUCCCAUCCUCUUGGCUUAGGGAGCCUCCAUGAGCGUAGUACCAGUUCUUUGAUCGUUCGGGCCAUUCAAUAGUUGCAGGUAUGAUUCCCCGUUCGAUCAGAUCUUGUUCCAUCUUUCUCCACUUGGGAAUUGCUGAGCCAUACCCACCUCGCCCCAAAUGAUGGUGGUAGCCCUUCUGACUAGCAUUUGCAACGUUGGUCGUGAUCUUUUUCACACCUUCUUCACUCCUCUUGUAUUCAACAAAUGCAUCCCAGUGGUCCCUCAACUUGGGCCACGCGUUGAAGUCUGGAGUUUUGCCCUUCUUGAUGUAGUGGGUGUCCAGCAUCUUCUUGAAUGUCUGGAAUUGAGUAGCCAUCUUCUUAAGUGUCCACGCUUUGACAUCCUUCUCGCUAUAAUCUUCGGGGAAUGUGAAAUGCCUCUUCACGUCUUCCCACAGCAUAUUCUUUUCUGUCUCUGGAAGGGCGUACGGAUUAUCGCUUCUGCCCUUCCAUUCUCUGAUGCUGAUAGGCACGUUGUCCCGGACAAUUGCCCCGAUUUGACUAACGUACUUCUUUGCGACUUUCUCGGGAGCAACCGGCCUGCCCUCAUCUGUAACUUCGGUGAUGACAAGCCUCCCUUCCAUCACCUUUGUACGACCUCGGGUCUUCUGCCCUUGUGUCGAUCCGGAGGGCUAACAGUUUAAGAUUCGUUAAUUAGUACGUACUAGUAGCGGUGGCGUGAAACAAUACAAGAAUGGUUGUAUAUACCUCGCCGGAACCUUCCGCCACGGCAAGUUGUUGCUGCGGCUGUUGCUCUUCAUUCACAUCGGCAGACAUGUUGAGGAACAUGUCCGCCUGGGUGCCCUCUUCAUCCGUGUAUGAUAGUGGAACGUUGUCGCCACUAUCAUCACCAGCGAUUAUCUGCUCCAUGAUAUACCUUGCGGUCUCAUCGUCUGCCAUUUCAACUAUUGCUGCAAACAUACAUGGAAUCAUACAUGACAGUCAUAGAAAUCGUCUUAAUACAAAUUUGUAUAUAAUCACAGUUCGGAAUCAUACAUGUAUAUAAUGAAAUCAUAAAAUAACAUGAAUCGUACAAAGUCCGGAAUCUUUAUACAAAUUUCUAUGAAUUUAUACAAAUUUCUAUGAAUUUAUACAAAUUUCUAUGAAUUUCUAUGAAUUUCUAUGAAUUUCUAUGAAUUUCUAUGAAUUUCUAUGAAUUUAUACAAAUUUCUACGAAUUUCUAUGAAUUUCUAUGAAUUUCUAUGAAUUUAUACAAAUUUCUACGAAUUUCUAUGAAUUUCUACAAAUUUCUACGAUUUUCUAUGAAUUUCUACAAAUUUCUACGAAUUCCUACGAAUUUUGACGAAUUUCUACGAAUUUUGACGAAUUUCUACGAAUUUCUACGACGGCGAUAAGGGCGGCGAAGGCGGGACGGCGGCGGUCAGGGCGGCGGAGGCGGGACGGCGGCGGUCAGGGCGGCGGAGGCGGUUCACCGGAACCACGGGCGGUGCCUAAGCUACUACGUUGUGAUGGGCGGCAGGACGGCGGCGAUCACGGCGGCUACUCGGCGGCGAUCACGACGGCUACAAGGCGACUGUCACGGUAGCUACUCGGCGGGACGGCGGCGAUCACGACGGCGGGACGGUAGUUAACAACCUAACUACAAAUCUAACUUAACAAACUAACUAGAAAUCUAAAAAUCUAACUUAACAAAAUUAGAAAUCUAAAAAUCUAACUUAACAAAAUUACAAUUCCAUCUAAAAAAACAAAAUUAAAAAUUAAAAGAAAACGGCCAGCUCUCCCGGCGCACCGGCCGGCGCGGCAGACCUCUCGCGCGCGGGGCGGCGGCCGGGGCGGCGGGACGGCGGCGGCCGGGGCGGCCUGACGGCGGCGGCUGGGGCGGCGACGAGGACGAAGACGACGACGGCGGGAUGACGGCGGCCGAGGCGAAGACGACGACGGCGGCCGGCGAGGGGCGACGAGGAUGGAGCUGGCGACGAGGGGCGAUGCAGCCGGCGAGGGAGGCGGACGGGCGGCGACGGGCGGAGAGGGAGGCGGACGGGCGGCGACGGGCGAGGGAGGCGGACGGGCGACGACGACGGCGCAAUGCGGGACUUCGACGGCGCAAUGGGGGACGACGACGGCGGCGGCCGGCGAGGGAGGCGGACGGGCGGCGACGGGCGGAGAGCGCGGGACUUGCGAAAAUUUCGCUAAGUGUGGAACUGGCGGGGGGUAGAAGGGAGUACAGUGCUUUUAACCCCCCCCCCCUUUUAUCCCGGUUCGUAAUGGCACCCGGGACAAAAAGGGCCUUUUGUCCCGGGUCCUGUCACCAACCGGGACAAAAGGCCCCCCCUUUUAUCCCGGUUGGUGACGGGACCCGGGAUAAAAGGGUGCGCUCCCAGCCCCACCUGGCGGGGGCACCCUUUUAUCUCGGGUCCCGUUACCAACCGGGACAAAAGGCCCCCCCUUUUAUCCCGGUUGGUAACGGGACCCGGGACAAAAGGGUGCCCCCGCCAGGUGGGGCUGGGAGCGCACCCUUUUAUCCCGGGUCCCGUCACCAACCGGGAUAAAAGGGGGGGGCCUUUUAUCCCUGUUGCAAAUGGCAACCGGGAUAAAAGGGUACGUUCGGGCGGGAGACGAAACGUACCCUUUUAUCCCGGUUGCCGUUUGCAACCAGGAUAAAAGGGGGGCCUUUUAUCCCGGUUGCUGUUAGCACCCGGGACAAAAGGUCCUUUUUCCUAUUUUUCUUCUCCCGCCUGUUUUUUGGAAAUGGAUUUUAUUUAACCUUUUCACUGCAUUCCAGGAUGAAAAACAAAACCUUCUCAGAUUUUGUACAUGCAAAAAUAUAUUUAAUUAACGAGUAAAUUGACAAUAAGUAUGAAGUAAUCAUUAUUUCUAUACCAACUCAUAUAGCCUGUAAAAUAUUUAUUUUACUGCAUUGCUGUGAUCAAUAAAUUAUUCAAUUAAAUUUUUUGAAUGCGCAGAAAAAUCCAUGUUAGUAUGUGGUUAACAAUGUUCAUGUAUAUCUAAAAAAUCUUCACCUAACAAAUUUAAUUACAAAUUUUAUCAAUUAAUACACAAAGGUCAUGCACAUUUAACGCAUUACAAUACAACGUUGUAAAAUUUCUUCUUCACGAAAGUUCCUUGAUCAUGAUCGCGGCGUAAGUACGGAGCCUCUUCUUUGGACAGCAGGAUGCUUGGAUCAACUUCAACGUCGAAUGGAGGCAUGCCAUCAAACUGAUCAUAAUCAUCUGAUUGGUCUGUUUUAUCCUCGACUCCCACGAUUUUUCUUUUACCUAGAAGAACUAUGUGGCACUUUGGCUCCCAUGUCUCUUCUGGAUUCCUCUUGGGUUUGCUGCACAUGUCCUUCACAUAGAACACCUGAUGCACAUCAUUGGCAAGUACGAAUGGGUCAUCACUGUAUCCAGUCUUGCUCAGAUCUACUAUUGUCAUUCCGUACUGAUCUUUGGUGACGGCAGUUAGCUUCACCCAAUUGCAAAGAAAUAGAGGGAUGUACAGCGGUCCGUAUUCGAGUUCCCAUAUCUCCUGUAUGAAACCAUAAUACGACUCCUUGCUAUUAUUUCUGUCCAUGGCAUCUAUGCGGACACCACUAUUCUGGUUCGUGCUUUUCUGGUCCUGGGCUCUCGUGUAAAAUGUGUAACCAUUUAUCUCAUAGCCUUGGAAUUUGACGAUUGUGGUAGCAGGUCCCCUGGCUAACCAAGCAAGCUGUGGGUGAAUCUCAGAGUUACCCAUAAGUUGUUGGCGCAACCAGGAGGGAAAAGUUUCCAUGUGAUGACGGGUAAGCCAAGCAUCGGAUUUGGUCGGGUUUUUGGAAGCUACCAUCUGCCUGUGCUGCUCGAUAUACGGAGACACAAAGGAUGACUGUUGUAGAACAGUGUAGUGUGCCUUGUCGAACAAAUUAGUAUCAUUGCUCAAACUUGAUUUCCUUCCAAGGGUGCCCAUUCCUCGGAGCCUCCCCUCGUGGCGUGAAGUUGGAACCCCAAUCGAGUCAAUUGAAUCAAUAAAAUCAACACAAAACUCGAUCACCUCCUCUGUUCCAUAUCCCCUGGCGAUGCUUCCUUCUGGACGAGCACGAUUACGAACAUAGUUUUUUAGGACUGCCAUGAACCUCUCGAAAGGCCACAUAUUGUGCAGGUAUACAGGUCCGAGAAUACCAAUCUCUUUUACUAGGUGAACCAGUAAGUGCGUCAUAUUAUUGAAGAAGGAUGGUGGAAAUAACAACUCAAAACUGACAAGACAUUGCACCACAUCGUUCUGUAGCUUUGAUAGCUUGGAUGGAUCGAUUGCCUUCUGCGAAAUCGCAUUGAGAAACGCGCAUAGCUUUACGAGCGGCAACCGGACAUUUUCGGGUAGAACACCCCUCAGUGCAACCGGAAGCAACUGGGUCAUCAACAUGUGGCAGUCAUGAGCCUUGAGAUUUGUAAACUUCUUUUGUUUCAUAUUUAUUAUUCCCUUUAUAUUCGAGGAGUACCCAGACGGGACCUUCAUACUAUUCAAGCAUUCAAACAUACUAUCCUUCUCCUCCUUGCUGAGAGUGUAACUGGCAGGACGUAAGUAGUGCUGUCCAUUAUCUCUCUUUUCCGGAUGUAGGUCAUCUCGUUGCCCCAUGGCUUUCAGGUCCUGUCUUGCUUCCAAUGUAUCUUUUGAGGUUCCAUAAACACCCAUGAAGCCUAGCACGUUCACGCAAAGAUUCUUCGUCAGGUGCAUCACGUCUAUUGCGUUGCGAACCUCUAGGAUUUCCCAAUAAGGUAGCUCCCAAAAUAUUGACUUUUUCUUCCACAUGGGUGCAUGUCCGUUAUCAUCGUUCGGAAUAGGUUGGCUACCAAGUCCCUUUCCAAAGACUACAUGUACAUCCUUCAUCAUCUCGAACACACGCUUUCCAUUACGGUGUGCAGGUUUUUUACGAUGGUCUGGCGUCCCUUUGAAAUGCAUCCCGCUCUUUCUCAGCUGGUGGUGAGCAGGGAGAAAUCGACGAUGACCCAUAUAGACGACCUUCUUACAGUGCUUCAAGUACAUGCUAUCUGUGUCAUCUAAACAGUGGGUGCAUGCCCGAUAUCCCUUAUUUGUCUAUCCUGAAAGGUUACUCAAUGCAGGCCAAUCGUUGAUGGUUACGAACAACAGUGCUCGUAGAUUAAAGAUCUCUUGUCUAUCCUCAUCCCACACACGUACACCUUCUUCCUUCCAGAGCUGUAAAAGGUCAUCAACCAACGGCCUUAGGUACACGUCAAUGUCGUUGCCGGGUUGUUUUAGGCCUUGGAUAAGCGCCGGCAUCAUAAUGAACUUCCGCUUCAUGCACAGCCAAGGAGGAAGGUUGAACAUACAAAGGGUCACAGGCCAAGUACUAUGACCACUACUCAACUCACCGAAUGGAUUGAAUCCAUCAGUGCUUAAACCAAACCUUAUGUUCCUUGCUUCACUUUCAAAGUCUGGGAAUGUUCUAUCAAUUGAUCUCCACUGUGCCCCAUCUGCGGGGUGUCUCAGCAUCUCAUCUUCCUUACGGUCUUCUUUGUGCCAUCGCAUCAACUUAGCAUUCGCCUUGUUCCUGAACAAGCGCUUCAAGCGUGGUAUUAUAGGGAAAUACCACAUCACCUUCACGGGAACUCUCUUCUUGGGAGACUGCCCCUCGACAUCACCAGGAUCAUCUCGCCUGAUCUUAUACCGCAGGGCUUCGCAGACGGGACAAGCAUCCAAUUCCUCGUAUUCAUCACCACGAUAGAGGAUACAGUCAUUAGGGCAUGCGUGUAUCUUCUGAACAUCCAAUCCGAGAGGGCAAAUAAUCUGUUUAGCUUCAUAUGUUGUGGACGGUAAUUCAUUAUUCUCGGGGAGAAUCUUCUUGACAAUUCUCAACAUCCCCUGAAAUGCCUUAUCGGACACACCAUUUUUUGCCUUCCAUUGCACAAAUUCUAGUGUCGUACCUAGUUUUUUAUGGCCCUGCUGGCAACCUGGGUACAACAAUUUUUGGUGAUCAUCUAUCAUGCGCUGCAACUUUGCUGCUUCCUUCUCAGUUUCGCAAUCUCUGUAUGCAUCUCGUAUCACCUGACCAAGGUCAUCAGUAGGGUCAUUUUCUGCAAACUCAUCUUCAUCAGCCUCGCCCAUUGUAGUACCUGCAAAAGCUUGGCCUGCAACCCAGUCCGGAAUGGUGUCAUCUUCCUCCUCCUCCUCGCCAUCUUCCAUUACAACCCCUAGUUCACCGUGCUUGGUCCAAACCAAAUAGUUAGGCAUGAAACCGUAUUUAAACAAGUGGCUGUGAAUAGUCCCCCAGGAAUUCUUUGAAUACUCCUUCCUGUUAUUGCAUUGGAAGCAUGGACAACAUACGAACCCAUUCUCUGGCUUGUUCGCUUUUGCCACUUCGAGAAAAUAAUGCAAGCCAUCAAUAAACACCUUGCUCCGCCUGUCUGCAUUAUACAUCCAAUGCCGGUCCAUCUGCAUCGUAUUACGCACGAAAAUGGAUUACACUUGACAAUGGAUUACGCGUGAAAAUCGAUUAAAGAUCCAAACAACAUGGUACAAUACAACAACAUGAAGAUCCAAAUACACAUAUUUAAAUUAAAGUCCCAAACACUGCAUAAGUUGUUCAACUUGAAGACCGUGAUCAUCUCGUGAGGAUGUCCUCAACUGGGCGGCACCGCACUUCGUCAUUAAAGAGGUUAGAUGCUACGGAAAAGGGGACACGGUCACAAUGUCCGUAUCCACUCUUUCUCGUAGAAUCGAACCUCCUUCUUGACAUACGUUGCUGCUCGGCGGAGAACAUCCUCGGCGAGAUGAACACGGUAUGCAAGUUCAACAAGUAGCAGAAGUCAUCUAUGUACAAAAAUUCUUUCCUUACCACUACAGAAGUUGUUGAACUUGAAGACCGUGUUCAUUUCGCGAGGAUGUCCUCAGCUAGGCGGCACCGCACUUCGUCAUGAAAGAGGUUAGAUGCUACGGAAAAGGGGACACGGUCACGAUGUCCGUAUCCACUCUUUCUCGUAGAAUCGAACCUCCUUCUUGACAUACGUUGCUGCUCGGCGGAGAACAUUCUCGCCGAAAUGAACACGGUAUGCAAGUUCAACAAGUAUAUGGAUUUAAAAAACCAUAUUGAAUUUGAUAAGAUAAACCGUCUAGACAAGGUAGCAUCAUUUUUAAACCACUGAAAUAAUGCAUACUAUAUAUGACACAUCAAUCUCCCUCACAUUCUAGCUCAAAAUACCUCUCCAUUUUUCUACUUCAUCAUCACAUUGUAGCAAAUAAUCUUUCCAUCUCCAAAGCAUAAAUCAAAGCAUAACACGAGGAUGAAGUAGCAAACCUUCGCAGCACUUGUUGGCUGAGUCAAAUUCCCACGAAAAUGAGGGAAAAAAGUUCGGGCAGCACCUCCCUUGCUUGGGCACCACCGGAGAGUAGGUGAAGCUCAGCUCUCUAUCAAUGUGCUGGACUGCUCGGGCUGGAGGAAGAAGAAAGUCUCUGUCUCGGGGUAUAGUGGGGGAUGAGUUUUAAUCCCGGUUAAAAACUCCAACCGAGACAAAAGGAAACACCUUUUGUCCCGGUUGGAAAGUUAGUCCCGGUUGGAGGAUCCAACCGGGAUAAAAGGGACACCCUUUUAUCCCGGUUGGAGGCACCAACCGGGACUAACCCUUUUAUCCCGGUUGGUGCCUCCAACCGGGAUAAAAGGGUGUCCCUUUUAUCCCGGUUGGAUCCUCCAACCGGGAUAAAAGGGUCCCGCCACCGACGGCCCCCGCUAGCCGUUGCAACCGGGACUAAAGGGGGGCCUUUAGUCCCGGUUGCAAUUACCAACCGGGACUAAUGCUCCCCUCCAAAUUCCCGCACCCCGGCGCACCCCCUUUUGUCCCGGGCCACUUUUAAACCGGGAUAAAAGGGGGUUGAUCGAAAGUCAGUUCUCUACUAGUGAUCGGUGACUCCGCUCGAGGAGAAUUGUUUAUAUCAAGCAUAGAAAUGACAACGUUGGAAGUGGAGGAUAUAUUUUGCUCUGUUGAUUUAAUUGCCGCGAGAGUGGCGGACAAGUUCUAAUGAUUGAAGAUCAGAAGCGUCUCGUGGAGAAUUUUUCAGAAGCUAUAUUUGGAAUUAUUAUAUUAUCUCAGGAGCAGAUUAAAUAUAACGCCACCACUGAAAGCCGAUGAGAUGUAUCUAUCGGCUACAUGCUAUUCAGAUGAAUUUGAUGACAGAUUAAUUACGGAGGAGACCGACCGAUACAACAUUAUGGUUUCUUACUGCUGAUCUGUUAUGAAAGAGGAUGUGAGAAGCUGAUAAUCAAGCAACAAUAAAAUGAUAUACACGCAGGGCAUUAAAUAUUGAGUUAAUGAUUGGGAGUACUACCAUUAUCUUAUGAAAAGUCCAUCGGCUAACCAAACAGCGUCAGCCGAUGGAAGCAAAUAGUGUCAGCCGAUAGAAUGAUGUUAUAUAAGUAUAUAUAUCGGCCUCCGAGCCAAUGGGAAGUAGGAACUAUCAGCCGAUGCACACAUCCAUGGACAUAGCCGAUAAGACAUUGUAUCGGCUGCUUGGCAAAUAAAAAUAGCAUCGGCUGACCGCUUGUUAAAAUAUUAUCGGCCGAUUGCUUGGCAAAAUAGUAUUGGCUGACUGCUUGGCAAAUAAAAAAAUAAUAGGUUGACCAAAAAAGGAUAGCAUUGCCUGAUUGCUUGGCAAAUAAAAAAAAUUACGUCGGCUGAUUGGUUCCAGCAAAAUAGUAUCGGCUGCUUGUUGAUCAGAAAAAGCCGAUACUGUUACAGCUCCCGCAACUGUGCUUUGCUGUCAUCGGCUGGGUUGUUCGUGCUCCAUCUGCAAAUAUUUGUCCCGGCUAGAAAGUAUCGUACGUGCAUUGGGAUUCGGCAGUACAAAUCACGUACACGCGUAUGGUCUGCUCAGAAGCUGUCUGUUCGACGAAGUUCCAGGCCAAUGGUGGAGACUUGAUGACCAUGGUGACCUGCAUUAAUCAACAUGAAGUAUGUAUCGGCUGUUCGGUGAUUGGUAGCAAAUCAGCUUUCUCAUAGCCGGUGACAUAUGGGGCAAGAAAUAUCAGGCUUAAAAAAGGACAGUACGAUCAAUGUCGAAAGUUGUAGCCGACGGUUCUAUUAUUGUGCAGUCGAUGGAACAUAGAAGAUGCAUCUGAAUGAGCAAAAGGAAGGGAGCCGAUAGAAGGGAAUUUAAGUUGCAUGAGAUCCAAUUAAAUUAAGAUGACGAGAGGUGUUGACAUCGAAUCAUCGGACUUCUACGAAGUCUUCAUACUCCGAAACUAGGGAGUCUGUGUUAACACCAAAAUUUAGAAAUAUGCUGAUGCAAAAAAAUAAUGAAAUCUCCUAAAUAAGGCUCAAGAAAGAAAAAGCAAGAAAAGAAAAUCAAUCGCACGCGGCAAGAAUUGAAUAAAAUAUUCUAGAGGUAGAGUUGGUUAGGAUAAGCUUAAUUAGGGAUAGAGUUGGAUUAGUUAGAGAUAGUAUUUUGAUUAGAAAAGAUUGUGUACAUGACUUGUACGUGGUGCGUCAGAGGCCAUCCGCCCUAUAAAUAUAAGGGGUCGUGGCCAUUGUAAUUAUCAUCACACGAUCAAUAUACAACAUAUUUAUCUUUUACCUUUUCGGCUUCACGCCAUUGUAUUAGGAGUAGGAGUAAUGUAGCUUCCUGACGAGUUCCUUCUAGCAAGCUGUGCUGCAUUGACCUUGAUCUCUGGCGAGCUGCAAAGUUCCGUCACCAGGUGUUCUAGGCUUUAACCACCGGGCGCAUCGCUUGUGGUUUCGUCUAGUUUCAUCUACAAGGUAUCGAAUAUCAUGGAUCUUUAACUUACGCAUCGCUUCUGUCUUGAUCUACGGUAUUCACCAGUUAUCCUGCCUUGGUUAAGUCUGCAUCGGCUGAUAUUUAUCUGUUCUAUCAUCUUGCCGUUCAGUUUGCUUUAAUUAGCUUUAGAUCGGUUCAUUAUAGAUGAUAGAUCGCUUAAUAGCCUGUUGCAUCUUAAUCUUGGUUACCCCUUCAAGUGCUGUUGGGAUUAAGUUUCGUUAUGAUUGGAUUCAUCGGCUGGUGGGGUUGGUGGGGUUCAGAUUAACAUCGUGCUAAAUAUUUCUAGACUGCAACUACUGGACGCAUCGCUGUGGUUUCAUCUAGAGAUAUUGGUAGAGAGUUUAGUUUAGAUCUCAUCGGUUCGUGGCUCUAGCUAUGGUGGAGCGGCAGCUGAAUAGCAUCCUGUUUUCUAUCGGUCGCCUGGCCGAUAGUUAUUGCAAAAUAUAUUAAAUCGCCUGGAUGGCCGAUGGAUCACUCACGCUCGUCAAGGAUCAUAUCGGCCUGAUCGGCCAGUUGCCUCGGACUUCAAAGGAUUAUUUUCACCUUGUCAGUUGAAUGGUCAAACUGGCUGGCACGCCCGCGCACACCAUGCGCGCCGAUUUGGAUUUUGCACUGGAGUUAAGUAGAUCUUCCAGGUCCUCAUGUGGUGACGAAGGAUCCACCACCAUCAGGAUUUUGCGUCAACACAUUUUGGCACGCCCAGUGGGACACGGUUAUAAGGUUCAUAUUUUUAUUCAUAUAAAAAAGCAUCUUCGGCAUCAUCGGCCAAAUGAGUGUUCAUCGGCUUGUUAGAAUUAAUUCAAUAUAAUAUUUCAGCAAAAGCAGCCGAUGUAGCGAUUGGAGAUAAGGCCAAGUCAAGUCUGCGUGUAUACGCAUGUUCCGGUGGGAUCAUCUUCAUAAAUGCCAAUGACGAUUAGAGAUGAAGCUUCCUGCAAAAUGAUUGGCUACUCUAUCCGGGAAGAAUUGCUUUUUUAUGAGGCAUAUAUAGAGACCCAUGUUGCAAUUAGGGGGCGUAUUCGUGCAUUGGCUGAAAUAAAAAAAUGCAUCGGCAUAUUGAAAAUUGCAUCGGCCGAUUGACAGUCGUAUCAGCUGAUUGGAAAAAUAAAAAGGGAUCAGGGAUCCGCCGAUUGAAAAUUGCAUCAGCUGAUGGAAAAUGAGAGCAACAGUUACAAUAUUUUUUUUAAAAGAAAGCAAGUAUCGGCAAGCAGUAGCCGAUGGAUUUGUAUUUCAGCCAAUGGGGUUUUUGUUUCAGCUGAUAGUACUACUGGCUGAUGGCAAGUCCAAUGGAGUUAAAAUUGCAUUGACUGAUUGAAAUAAAAAUUAAGUAUCGGCUAAUUUAUGGCCAAGUAGCAUCUGCUGAUUUGUUGCAAAGUAGUUUCGGCUGAUUUAUGGCAAAAUAGAAUCGGCCGAUUUAUGGCAAAGAAGCCAAUAGACAAAAGCAUCGGCUGGUAGAGAAGCCGAUUGAGCAAGCAUCUGUUGAUGAGCUAUGUAUGGGAAAAAGUAUUGGCUGCUUAAACAAUUGACAAAAGCCAAUUGGUCAGACUGAGAAGCCAACUGGGAAAGCAUCGAUCGAUGGAUUGCGUAUGGGAGAGAGUAUCGGUUGAAGUCUUUAGUAUUGACUGCUAGAUAUUUGAGCAAGCGUCGGCCGAUUGACUGCUUGGUAAAAAAAACAUCGGGCUGAUUGCUUGGUUAAUAAAAAAAUUGCAUCGUUCAAGCAAAGAUUGCAUGGGCUGAUUGGUUCAAGCAGAAUAGUAUCGGUUGCUUAUAGAAUAUAUCGGAUAUUAAUUUCGAAGCAUGAAAAUAUUCAUACUCCGAAACUGGGGGGCCUGUGUUGACAACAAAAGCUUGCUGGUUACUGCAUCAAGUUUUGGUGUCAACAUACUUGAUCUUUUGUUUCCAUUGCCAGCGGAUUCAUCGGCUCAGAGUGGGAUCAAGACAUCAAGCUGAUGGAGUUCUUUAUAUUUCAAGAGGAGUCAUGGAGUUCUUUAUAUUUCAAGAGUAGUCGAUGGUGCUUUGAAUAUUGCAACCAGACGUCAUUGGCUCUAAAGAUACCGAAUCAUCGGACUUCUAUGAUCAGUUUCGGAACAUGAAGCCUUCAUACUACGAAACUGGGGGCCUGUGUUGACACCGAAUCAUCGGACUUCUAUAAUUAGUUUUGGAACAUGAAGCCUUCAUACUUCGAAACUGGGGGGCCUAUGUUAACACCAAAAUUUAGAAAUGUGCUCUGAAAGGAAGGUAUCGGCCGAUGAUGCAAAAAAAUAAUGAAAUCUCCUAAAUAAGGCUGAAGAAAGAAAAGCAAGAAAAGGAAAUCAACGCACACGGCAAGAAUUGAAUAAAAUAUUCUGGAGAUAGAGUUGGUUAGGAUAAGCUUGAUUAGAGAUAGAGUUGGAUUAUUUAGAGAUAGUAUUUUGAUUAGAAAAAAUUGUGUACAUGACUUGCCUUGUACGUGGUGCGUCAGAGGCCAUCCGCCCUAUAAAUAUAAGGGGUCGUGGCCAUUGUAAUUAUCAUCACACGAUCAAUAUACAACAUAUUUAUCUUUUACCUUUUCGGCUUCACGCCAUUGCAUUAGGAGUAGGAGUAAUGUAGCUUCUCGACGAGUUCCUUCUAGCAAGCUGGGCUGCAUCGACUUCGAUCUUCGGUGAGCUGCAAGUUCCGUCACCAGGUGUUCUAGGCUUUAACCACUGGGCGCAUCGCUGUGGUUUCGUCUAGUUUCUUCUACCAGUUACCGAGUAUCUUGGAUCUUUGACUUAUGGCACAUCGCUUCUGUCUCGAUCUACGGUAUUCACCAGUUAUCCCGCCUUGAUUAAGCUUGCAUCGGCUGAUAUGUAUCUGUUCUUUCAUCUUGCCGUUCAAUUUGCUUUAGUUAGCUUUAGAUCGGUUCAUCAUAGACAAUAGAUCAUUUAAUAGCAUGUUGCAUCUUGAUCUUAGCUAUCCUUCGAGUGUUGUUGGGAGUAAGUUCCGUUGUGAUUGGAUCCAUCAGCUAGCAGGGUUUAGAUUAACAUCCUGCUAAAUAUUUCUAGACUGCAACUACCGGGCACAUUGUUGUGGUUUCACCUAGAGAUAUUGGUGGUGACGUUAGUUUAGAUCUCAUCGGCUUGUGGCUCUAGCUAUGGCGGGGCAACAACUCAACAACAUCCUGUUUUCAAUCGACCGUCUAACUGAUAGCUAUUGUAAAUUAUAUUAAAUCGGCUGGAUGACGAUGAAUCACUCACAUUCAUCAAGGUACUGGAAUCGGCUUCACAGCCGAUAUAUUUGUCAUGAUUUAUUUUGUUGCACCAUUAUCGCUACUGUGCUAGGAUUAUAUCGGCCUAAUCGGCCAGUUUCCUCGGACUUCACAACGACUAUCAUCUCCUUGUCAGUUGAAUGGUCAAACUGACUGGCAUGCCCGCGCACACCACACGUGCCGAUUUGGAUUCUGCACUGGAAUUAAGCAGAUCUCCCAGGUUCUCAUGUGCUGAUGCAGGGUCCACCACCGCCAGGAUUUUGUGUCAACACCUUGUAAUCUUCCUUUGAUUUCCUCAAUGAUUCGAAGACAAUAACCUUGCUUGUAUAAAUGAUAAUUAUAAGGAGAACCUAGUGGAAACUGUGUAUUCAUAUUAGAACUACCUAUGGUUAAUUAGGUUAGGAAAGGAAAUCGAAAAUAGACCGUACCCACACUUACUUAAAGUUGUUGGGCAGUAGUAUGUAAUGCUUGUAAUUCUGUUACUCCAAGAAUUUGUAUAUGUGGUCCAAUGUAGACUUUGGUUGAUCCCAUAUCUGUUGUUGGUUAAAUAAGUGUUUCUGGCCAUUUCUAGCCGUUAGAACCGGAACUAAAGGGGGCUCUUUAGUACGGGUUGAUAUUACUAACCGGGACUGAAGAGCCCCCAUUACAGUUGGUUUUUGGACGCGGAACUAACAACUCCUUUAGUCCCGAGUCCAAAAACGACUGAGAUAGAAGAUCCUUUCUCUACCGUGAAUAUUGCCAGAAAGAAUUGAAAGAGACCGCUUGCUAAAAAUAUGUCAUAGAUGUAGACCAAGCUACCAAGGAGGUAGACCAAACAUGAUACACACCAUGCGUACCUUGCUGUGCAGACUAUGCAUAGACAAGACACCCGACCACAUGUUGGCCUCGGUCACAUCAAAAGAAUCAUGUAGGCCACCAAUAAACUACUUGAAGCGUCAUUCCGUAUCGUAUAUGCAUUGCCGGUUCAUCUGCAUUACAUUACAUAAAGUAGUAUUAACUAUUUGAAUAAAAUGAACCAAUUUAAAAGUAAUGUGUUGUACUCUACUAUAGAAAGCCCUAUCACUGUCGGAUCCAGAAACAUCAUUGUUGAUGGUCGUUAAGUACCAAGACGGUCAAUAUUCUCAAGAAUAAUGGAGAAUUGGCAUUUCUUACACACAUAUUUGGUUUUGAACAAUGUAGUCCCACAUGUCCUUGGAGAUUAUUUGGGUGUGGGUGAAAUAAUACAAAAAGAAGGAGAAAACACACUCCCAUGGUGAAGAAACAAAACUCCGACCAAUGAGAGAUAGCCACAGGGGCAGCACACGGAUCCAUGGGCCCACAAACCGCAUCAAACUGUCUUACCAAGGCGGGUAGCACCCACAACCAUGAUUAGGACCCACCUGGAUGUCUACCAAGAAGAAGGUUGUGAGUGGGGCCAGGAGGGGUUCGGCUGAAUCAUCUCUAGCUCCCCUCAUCCCCAGCUGGUGCAUGGCGGUGGUUAAUGGUGUCCCUACAUCGGUUAGAGGAGAUUCCCCCAAAUAUUCCUCCUGUAAACCACCUGUAUGGACCUAUACAUAGAGGGGUGUGCUCUCCAAUCCAACACACACCACAAGUUUAAUCACUCUCUCCCUCUUUAAUUUCCAUGUUUAUGGAGUUAGCCUAGAGUAGCUCUGCUCAAGGUUCCAAGUCCACUUGGAGUUAAGCAUAUGUCUCUUGUAUCGUUAUUUCCCAGAUUGACUUUAUGCUUAGUUCUUAUAUGCAUGAGUUAGUCUAAUAGCCUUGCUCUAUUGAUAUGCUCGGCUUAUAUGCUCGUAUGCUAGUCAUAUACCCUUGCUGCCGUAGUAUAGGCUUAUAUGCUCUCAUGUGUGCCUUUAGACCUUGCUACAAUAUAUACUUGUUGUGUAUACAUACCAUGUAUAGGCUAGUCGAUCUAUACCAUGGCAUUGGUUCAAUAGCCAUGUUUUUGGUGGCUCCAACCCUAGUCAGAAUAGCUCGGGACAGCUAGAGUGUUGUUAAAAAUGCAAGAGUGAUGGUUGGGUUGUUUAGCAUCGUUGGAUAUGGGUUUUCCCCACGGGUUUCUAAGAGUAGGCGGCAGCUAGUGACAGCCCUGUCCGUCCUUCGUAAUCCCCCCACAUUCAAGUACGCCAUAGAAGUUCAUAAAUUAGCAGUAACUACACCGGCAGACCGGUAGGGUAUUGUCUCCCUAUAGUACCUUGGUGCAUAGAACUAGGUCAUAUACACUGUGUGUCUAUGUUUACGCUGAUAUGAUCUGUGCAGUAUAUAGCAUGUAUAUAUGAACCUAGAGCUAACUCCUAGUCCAUUCUCCGUAGCUUAGUUAUCUUGAGAUGAUUCUUCUGUGUGUGUAACACUACCCAUCUUAUCAUUAUCCUUAAUCCUGUCUUGUGUAAUAUAUCUACUCAUCCUAUGAUAUACUCAUAUGCAUAGUAAACUAUUUUGACCUACCCGCCUUCCUUUGGGAAAUACGAUACCCUGGAAUAAUCCUAGGUGAAAUGCUACAACGGUAUAUCCAUGUGCUUACGGAAUUAUUCCUGACCAUUAAAUAUACCAACAAUCAUCACUAUCUAUUUUGGGCAUCGUUAGUGAAGGGUCGGCAGUGAUGGGCAUCCCCUUCACCAAUGGAGCUGGAACUGGCGGUGAUGGCCAUUAAAAAAAAUGGGACCCCACCCAGCGUACCCCGCAACCCGGCCGGCUGCGCCUCCCAUCAUCCCCGCCGGUCGCCCUUCCUCUUUGCCGGCCGAGCAUGGUUCCGGCCCUCGUCCCUACCGCCUCGCCUCCAUCGCGACCCCCUGCCGAUGCCCUCAUGCCUGGCCCCCCUCGUCUGGCCGGCCACCCUCCCGAUGCAUCCACCGGGGCCCUCGCACCACCAACCACCCUAGCCUAGAGAGAGAGAGGAGGAGGGAGGUGAGGCCACGCACCUCGUCCUACAACGCCGCUGUUGCUCCUCGGCCCACCGCGCCUCACCCCACACCACAGCCGCACCUCGCCAUCUUACCGGCCGCGACGCCCCAUCUCACCGGCCACCGUUCCUCACCCCCACAUCGGUCAUCGCUGCUCCUUGCCCUACUGCUGCUCUUUGCAGCCGCGAAUGAGGGGCGAGUGGAGGGGGAGGGGCGGGGCAGGAGGAGGGCAAGAUCCGGGAGGAAGGGAGAGAUUUUGGGAGGUGGAGAUGGAAGGAUAUGGCGGAAGGUAGAGAUCUAGAGGGAGAGAGCGGGGGGGAGAGGGGGGCAUGUGGGGAGAGAGCGCAUGUGGGGUGGGGCCGGGCUGGUGGGAUGGAAGGUAGAGGGGCCGGAGGGCGCAGUGCAUUCAACUGGAUUAAGUAAAUAUUUCGGAUUCGAGACCCCAGCUUUAUUAUCACCGCUGGUCCGUAGUACCAUUCGGUGCCGGCUCAUAAUUUAAUUUGAACCGGUGGUGAUGUUUUAUUAUCACUGCUGGUUUCAAUUUUCACCAUCGGAUCAUAUAAAAAUCCGGCGGUUAAAAAUCCGCUGGUUUCGAUGAAAACCGACAGUGAUAGGACGACUGUGAUAGUCUCUUCUCUAGUAGUAGUAUAUUAGUACCGGCUGCCGGAUGGUGUUGCCGACGAGUACUUCUCCAGGGGCGAUUCAGUACUGAUGUUAGCAAAGCUUGUUCUCUAUGAAUUUGGGGAUGGAAAGCUAGUUCUCUAGUUGUGAUUUGUUACAUAUAUCUCUAUGAUAGUCUAGAAAUUGCAUGUCCUUCGUUGACAUAGUUGAAGCUGCUUCAAGAAUUUACUUCGUGCAGUCGUGCAGCAUAUUGGAUUAUCACCUAGACAGGAUACAUAGGUGAAGCAUUGCAUGUGAUUGUGGCUGAUAAUUAUGCAGGACGCUGUUGCAAUCAACCAUCAAGAAGACUGGAGCGAUGGGGUUGCCUCAUCAACAAUUUUUAUAUAUGGCUGCAGUAUUAUUAAGCCCACGUCAAUAAUUUUUUCUCCGCAGCAUAUAUAUGGUUACUCAGUUCGCUGGAGUAUCGCUGUGGAAAAACAUACGUACUGCGCCUCGGAACUAACUGGCAUUCAGGCCAUCAACGACCAGAUAUUUGGGACAACCAACAAAUAGUAGGUGGUUCCUAAGUUGUAGUCGUAUGUACUAAUGCGCCUCGAUGGGGUUUUCUUCAGAUAUUUUAUUGCCGUUCAAUGAACAAGCAGAUACAUAACCUGUGCAGAAAAUUCCAUCUCCACGCAUGCCACUGCACCAACAAGAUCCUCAGUCGACGAUGAUGGCUCAGCCUGUUCCUUCUGCCACCAAAUCCUCAAUCUUCCCUCCAGCAACGGAGAAUGCACCUUUAGUACCUUCAGUAUCAGAUGUUGCAAUCGGUACCGUGAAACCGAGACUAAAAUCCUUACUUUGCAGGGGGCAAAACAAUCUUGCAAAUAUAUAUUUUGAAUUCCAACAAAAUUUAAGAAAUGUUAAAGAUGACUAGCUGAGAGUCAACAGACAAGAUAUGAUAUUAGGAAUGUGGGAGGAUGAAUGCAUUUGUACAGGGGUCAUACUAUUUCCAGACUCUUCUAUAUUUCCAUAUGACUACCUACUUCAAUGUCACGCGAGCCAUUCAAAAAGAUACAUGGUACACUUGUAUGUCUAAUCCAUUAUUGAUUAUUUCCUCUUGUCAUCUCUUACAAGUAUUUCUCCAUACUAUAGAAACGUGCAACACAUUUUUAGGAUAUGGACACGCAUGAUUAAUAUGCUUGGACUAGUAUACAGGUCAUCUUUGGAUGAGUACAUAUGAAUGCCAGGGAGGGACUGAUGGAUAUAAGGAAAAGGGACCAUGCAUAAAUAAUGACAUAUGUAACAUGGCAAUCUUCAUUGCCAUGCAACUCCUAUCAACAAUCAUGGAAUACAUACUACUGCUCCAGAAGGGUGGUGUGCAAAUUUAUUUUACCUCGCGGUGAAAAUCUCCAGAGCAGGCCUGAAGUUAAAAUAAGAGGCAGUCACUAUCGAUCAUGACAGUCUCGAAACUGUACAGCACUAUGCUAGUCCUAGUCCUCAUGUCGUUCGUGCUGUCGUGUAGCAUGAUGGAUUAUUAACUGGGCAGGACACGGAGAUGGCUAGCGAUGACAGAGGAUGACGUACAUGAUAUUCACCUCUGAAAUGAAGCGUAGGCUAAUGAAGCACAAUUGCAUGUGAGUGUGGCAGAUAUUUAUACAGGACAGUGAUUGCAAUAAUCGACCAUCGAGAUCGAAGACAGGGGCGAUGGGGUUGCCUCAUCAAUAAUUCGCGCAACCAGACAAGCUGCAGACUCAAUAUGGUACGAAGCUAUUUGGUCAGCCCACAUGCUCUGAUAUAACAUUGGCAUCUGCUGAUCUACAGUAUAUAUGACCAGAAAUAUUGUGCCACCUCAAUAAUUUUCCGAAGUAUCGUUGGGGAAGCACCUACAUACUAUGCCUCGGAACUAACUGACAUGUUGGCCUAGGCGGUCCAGGCCGAUUGGACAGGCUCUUCCUUAUGGCUCCUCACGUCCCCUUCGUUUCCGAGUAAUCUCAGGUGUUCUGAAGUUUUCUUUUCACUUGCAUGUGGACCUUAUAUAUCAAUAGCUUCGGGAUAAGAAUGCCUCUUGAUAACCUUCCAAAUCGUCGCUUGAUUCACUUUGAUUCCAAAAUCAUCUUGCCAUAUCUUUUGAGACUUAGGCCCUAAGGCAUCAUGGAGGAUUGCUCGCCAAGAAUGAGCACCAUUGGGCUCCUGAGGACCCUAGGCCGAUCAGCCUGGGCUCUAUAGGUUGAUUGGCCCAGGCCCUCUCUGGGCCCAUUGGCCUUCAUCUUUCUCUGAGUCGACGCUUAUUGAGGGCUUUGUCCAAUUAUAGUCCAUUAUAGUCUAAUUUCCAAAAAAAUAGAAUAUCCUCCAAAAUACAAUACAUUUGUGAAAACAGCCCAAUUAUUAGGUAUGAUCAAUAGUCUAGGUAUUAAAUUAAUGUUAUUAUUUAAGAUAAAUAGGGAUAAAGGGUGUCAUUAAUAACGAGCACCAACCAGCGUACCAGCUGUUAACACUAACCGAUGCUAAUAUGUACCCUUUAGUACCGGCUAUUUCACCCGGUACUAAACGAGACAAGAGCACCCUAACAGAGGUUAAUACCAUCCAUUUCAUGAGUAAAAUACUAUGAUUCAAAAAUAAUUCAAAUCCCUUAAGACAAUACCUAUCAAAUGAGUAGAUUGUAAAUAGAGUAAAACAAUGUCCUAAUGAAACGGAACACUUCUGGUUCGUGUAGAGCACAAUAUAGAAAACAGUAGGGUAGCUGUACGAUUGACACGUGGUCCAUUAAUUAUUGAGCCAUCACUAUGGACAUGUCUUCAUGAGUAGUGUACUAGUCAUGACACAUGGUAUGUAGUAGGUGGAGGUAUUGAGUUAGCCAUGCCAUGAGCACUUAGUUACAACAAACACUUUGCCAUUAUCGAGCAUCCCAAAUCACUACAAAAUCCAUAGUUUACCAUAUACUACAAAAUCUGAGUUAAAAUAAGAGCAUACACGGAAGAGUCCGAAUGCACCGGUUUAGGACCAGGCACAUUGAAUUACUAGAAAAAGUUAUCGGACAAGGUUUUGGGUAACCGCAUGAAAAAUGUUGGAUUUUACUGAACACUUAGUUACAAUUACCAUGCCGUGAGCACUUAGUCACCACAAACAUUUAACCACUUUAGAUCAUCCUGAAUCCCUAUAAAUUCUGUACCUUACACCGUACCAUGAAAACGACAAGAACAGAGACAGAUGCAGUGAAAAUCUCCAGAGCAGGCCUGAAAUUAAAAUAAGAGGAGGCAGUCUCUAUCGAUCAGGACACGGAGAUUGCUAGCCAUGACAGAGGAAGACAUGAUAUGAUAUUCACCUCUGAAAUGCAGCGUAGACUAAUGAAGCACAAUUGCAUGUGAGUGUGGCAGAUAAUGGACCAUCGAGACCAUCGAAUGGUAUGAAGCAUGAUUAUCACCUAGACAUGAUAUCCUAGACAGGACGGUGAAUUGUAAAAAGAGUAAUCUUGAUCAAAGAAUGUCCUAAUGAAACGGAACAUUUUUGGUACGUGUAGAGCACAAUAUAGAAAACAGUAGAGUAGUUGUACGAUUGAAACUGCAUCCAUCCACGUGGUCCAUGAAUUGUUGAGCCAACACUGUGGACAUGUCUUCAUGAACACCAUCUAGUGAGGACAGGAUGCAGAAAAAUAUAAAAACAUGUCAUAGGGAGGCAGACCAAUCUUGCAAGGAGGUAAACGAAACGUGAUACACGAUCUGCCUACCUUGUCGUGGAUACCCCAAGAGAAGAUGUCAUAGAGGUGCAGACCAAGCUAGCAAGGAGGUAGAUGAAACGUGAUACACGGCCUGCCUACCUUGCCGUGGAUAUUAGCCCUGAUAUCAUUCUAUUGUUCAAGGAAUAACACUCAAUGCUGCUGCUGCUGCUGACCUGGCUCCAUAAAGUUGUAUUCCUCUAGCCGCUUGCACUAACUUUAUCUGAAGUAUUAUUCUCUCUGCCCUGAUAUCUGAAGUAUUAUUCUCUCUGCUGACUUUGCUGAAGAACCUACAUAAUAUGUCUUGGAACUAACUGACAUUGAUUCACAGACAAACUCUACAAGGUGCUGUUGUUGCCAUAUUUUAGAGCAUCCCAAAGGACUAUAAAUAAUAUAGUUUACCAUAUACCGUAUACCAUUAUAUGUUAGCUAAAAUAAGAGCAUAACAUGUCGCAGGAGUCCAAAAGCACCGGUUGAGGACCAGGUACAUUGAAUUACUAGAAAAAGACAGGGGGCAAUGUUUAGGUAGCCACAUGAAAAACAUUUGAAUUUACUGUUCCAUGAACACUUAGUUACCAUGCCGGGAGCACCUAGUUAACACUAAAAUUUAGCCACUUUAGAUCAUCCCGAAACACCCUCAAUAGCGACAAAUUUUGAUUUAAAUGCCGUCACCAAUGAUCCUCAAUAGCGACGUGUUUAGGUUUAAAUCCCGUCACUAAUAACCCUUGGUAGUGACGUGUUUUGGUUUAAAUCUCAUCCCACUGAUCCUCAAUAGUGACGUGUUUUUAGCAACACACGCUAUGAAUGACUUGUCAUUGGUGACAUGUUAAAUGCGUUAUCUCAAUGGCAAAUCAUUGGUGACGUGUUUUAAAAAAACAUGUCACUGUGAGAGUUAUUGGUGAAGGGUAAUUAAAAUGCAUCACUAAUUUUGUAGCAUUAGUUAUGAUAUAAUUUAGUAACGCAAAAAUCUACCAUCAGUAAUGAGGUUUAGAGCCGUCGCUAAUGUGGGUUUCUUACGAGUGAUGCAAGCUCUACAAGGUGCUGUUGUUGCCAUUUUAAAGCAUCCCAAGUGACUACAAGUUAAUAGCAUAGUUUACCAUAUACCAUAAAAAUAUUAGUUACAAUAAGCACAUCCGCAUGUGGAAGAGUCCGAAUGCACCAGUUGAGGACUAAACACAUUGAAUUACUAGAACCAAAUGUAAGACAAAGAAAGGGGUCAAGGUUUGGGUAACCGCAUUAAAAACAUUGGAUUUUACUGUACCAUGAACACUUAGUUACCAUUACCAUACCUUGAGCAUCUAGUUACCACAAACAAUAAUUUAGCCACUUUAGAGGUUCCAGAAUCACUAUAAAUAAUAUACCAACACCGUACCAUGAAAACAUCAAGAAGAGAGACGGGUACAUGGACCACCAUCAAGUGAGUAGUGACAGCACGCACAAGAAUACCCGGAACCUGUUAGCUUGUCUGUAGUGAUCUGUUUUCUUCCCCAUAAAAUCCAUGAGUAUUGCCACAAAUAAUGAAAGAGGCUGACCAAGCUAACAAGGAGGUAGAGAAAACGUGAUACACGUAGGUUUCAUUCAAGACAUCCAUGUAAGAUUCAUUCAAAACAUUCAUGGAAAUUUCUUGUAAGUUUUCAUGUAAAUUUCAUUCAAGACAUUUGUUAGAGGUGUUGUAUAUAUAUACCUUAACGUACAUAUAUCUAUGAUUUCAUGGUUGUUAGUGAUGGCAGAUGAGGAGCAUGCAAGGUAUUUAAUGGAGCAGAUUAUUGCUAGUGGUAGUGGCUCCAACCUGCCCGUAACGUACACCAACGAAGAGAGCAGCCAGGCGGACAUGUUCCUCAACAUAUCCGGUGAUGGCAAUGAAGAGCCCGAGCAAAACCUUGCCGUGACGGAAGGUUCCAGUGAGGUAUAUAUCAUUUCCAUUGUUUUACCCCAUCUAUAAUUUCAUAUUCAUUAUUACUAUGUACUAAUUAAUGGAUCUUGAACCAUUAGCCCUCUAGAUCAACGAACCGAAAUAAGCCCCGAGGUCUUACAAAGAUAAUGCAGGGAAGGCAUCACAUCACGGAAGUCACAGAAGAGGGCACAUCAGUUGCUCCCGAACAUGUGGCAAGAAAGUACGUGAGUCAAACCGGGCAAUGUGCCCAUCAGCAUUAGGGAAUGAAAGGGCAAUAGAAAUGAUCUAUACACGCCCCCGGAUACACAAAAGGAUAUGCUGUGGGCAAAUAUCAAGAAACACUUCACAUUUCCCAAAGGAUAUGUUGAAAAAGAUGUGAAAGCGUGGAUGCUGAAGAAGAUGGUCACCGAAUUCCAGACAUUCAAGAAGAUGUUGGAUGUCAACUUCAUCAAGAAGGGUCGAACUCCGGGUUUCGAUGAGUGGCCAAAGUUAAGGGACCACUGGGAGUCAUUUGUCAAAUACAAGACGAGUGAAGGUGGUGCGAGUAAGGUUCGCAUCAAUGUUGCCAAUGCUAGCAAGGAGUACCAUCAUCAUCUAGGGCGACGUGGUUACAGCACUGCAAUUCCCAGAUGGCGCAAGAUGGAACAAGACCUGAUCGAUCGGGGUAUCGUACCAGCAACUCCUGACUGGCCUGAUCGAUUGAAAAAUUGGUAUUAUGCUCAUGAAGGCAAUCUGAGCCAACAGGAUGCGACAUUGGUCUUCAAUAAAACAAUACGUCAGAAGGCCGGAAGGCUUAUUAGGAACAUUGAAAAUGCUAAAUCUGGGAGGUUCAAGGUGGAUAGAGAGAAUGAUGAGCUCACAUUGGCCCUUGGGACUAUCAUCUCUAGCAUUUCCAGCUCCAGGACUGUCGUCACCACCGGGACCGUCGCUUCUUGCUCGAUCACAGUCUCCAUCUCCAGCACAUCCUGGUGGUGCGAACGAUGACGACAACAACACCCCUCCCUGCCCACCAUCGCCGGGACUAAGACCCGCAUCGAGUAAGGAACCUGCAGCACCACUGAAGAAGUCGCGACCACCGCCUUCCAAGCCAAGUCAGCAAAAGAAGAAAGCAGAGAAGCCUAAGCCCACUGAGAAGCCAACAACCGAUAUGACCGAUGCGGAAAGAUGGAAGGCACUCAAAGAAGAAUGCAGGGAGUGGUUCUGUAAAAAGAACCAAAGAAAGAAAAGGAAAGCAGAUGGAGCCACCGCCAGUAGAUCCAAGAAAAUUAUAAUUUUUUAUUAAGAUGUCAAAAGGAGCCAAGAAGAUGAUUCCACAACUAUCAAACUACGACCGGGCGUUAGUCAAGGCUGAUGAGAGUUAAAAAAGGAAAGGAAAGUCAUCUUCAAGUGGUACUGUCCCCCACCUCGAGGAUCUACCAGAAAAAGACGCUAAAAAGAUAGUAGCAAUGCUCUUGGAUCAACAAACACAUAUAUCAUGAGAUUCAUGCAAGAAACAGGUAUGUGCCUUGCUGAAUGUCUAGGGCAAGUUGAUAUGCUAGCUCUAGAGCCAUUUGUACCGAAAUGGACCUUUGAGCUAGGCAAGCCUCUAGUAAGGCCUGAGCUGGUACAGAAGCUAUCCACAUAGCUAUAUGAAUACCAUGAAUGGUACAUGAAGCAGUCUGCCAAUGAGAGGAAAAUGUUCGGUCUCAGGGAAAAACUGAUAUUUUUUUUCGGCGAAGGCGAGAAAGUCUUGUGAUGGAAUUCAAGGAUAUAUAUGAAGUGUACCAUCAGGAUGCCCUUGAUGUCUCUCUCAUCAGCGCCUAGGUUAUGUAAGUGUAUGUUUAUCUAUACGUAAUUUUUGUCUCAUAUCAUUAUUUCUUUUGCGUGCGUCACCCUACUAACUUCGUCUUCCAUUUUAUGUAGGAUGCUAAUUCAGAUGUGCCGCAUAGAAGCGCACUUCCAUGUUGGCUUCAUGGAUCCAUCCCUAGUUAACCAAAAGCAGAUACGGAAGUAGCUAGAGAAAAUGUUGGAGGUGGUAUACAACUUCCUGGACAAACAAAACUAUAGAAUAGGGGCAAUAUGUGAAGGUCUUGUAGGAUUCCUAGUGGACAAGGUGAUAAAUCCAUAAGGAGAAUAUCAUUACAACGGACGAGCAUUAGACACACUGAGCAACACCUAGACGGGAGGAUCCUAGGAAUGACCUAGACAGAUUUUGGUAUAAAUAGUAAUUGUGUAAAUACUAGUUUGAUUUGUAUAGGAAUAUACUAAGAAUUGUAUAUAUAGUAAUUGUACAAAUACUAGUUUGAUUUGUAUAAAUACUAGAUUGAUUUUAUUAUAAAAAAGUUUUAAGUCGUACGUGCAUGCGCCUACAAAGGCGCGUAUGCCCUUUAAUCCCGGUUGGAAAAACAAACCGGUACUAAAGGGGCUCGUGCCGCACCUGGCAUGACCGCCCCUUUAGUCCCGGUUGAACGACCCAGGACCAAAGAUCUGCCCCGUCUCAUAAAUUUUAUCCUGGAUGCUUUUUAGAGAGAUUUGAGGCCUAUCAACCAAGACUAAUAUCGAGUUUUCUACCAGUGGAACUAACUAACGUUCACAUGCUUCUGACAUUCACCUGCCAUUUGGUGUAGACAAGGGCACCCUAACAUAUGGUUAAUAUUAUUCAUGAAAGAAAAUCCUUUGAUUCAAAAAUACUUCAAACCUAAUAAUACAAUACUUCUCACAUCUGAAAAAUAUGAGAUGGCCCGACAGUAUUCUAACCGACGCAAUAAUAUUUUGAGGGCAGCACUACUACAGCGACCCUCAUUCGUGCCGGUGCUGGAACCCCUAUCACGACCCUGAUACAAAUGAGGGUACAUUAUUGUUGCCAGUGCUAGAAUAGCCACGAAUAACUUGCUAAACAUGCUGUUACACUCACUACUAGAAAAAUAACCUCUCGUCCUGAGGCUUAGUACCGGUCACUUUUUUGCCCAGUACUAAUGUUAGUAUUAGUACCGGAUCCAAAUUUGGGAUCCCCCAGAGACCCUUUAGUACCAGGUGGAGUCUCCACCCGAUACUAAAGGCUUUGUUACCGGGUGAAGGAUCCUCCCGGUACUAAUGGGGGAUUUUUAGUACCGGGUGGGAACCCCACCCGAAACUAAAAUCUCCCAUGCGGACCCCUCCCCCCCCCACGCGUUGCCUCUGUCCUCCCUCCUCCUCCUCUGAGUAGUUAUCCCUUCCUCAUCCCUCCUCCUCCUCCCACACGUGGGGUGAGGUGAGGUGGCAGUAGCAACGACAGGUGGUGUGGCGGGUCACGGCGGGCCGGAUGCGGAGCCGCAACGGUGGUCGGCGGGAUGGGGUGGGGCAGAGCGGCAUGGCAGGGCGGAGCGGUGGGACGGGGCCGAGGUGGAGGUGCCGGGCGGAGGUGGAGUGGCAGGACAGAGGCGGAGGCGGAGCGGCGGGUCGGCGAGCGGGUGGAGGGUGGCGACGAUGGGGCGGGCAGAGGCAGAGGGGUGGGUGGAGGGGCGGCGUGGUCCACCGGCGGGGGGGGGGGGGGGAGAGGGAGGCGUGGGGGGUGCGGUUGGUGAUUUCAAUUUUCUUUUAAUUUUUUAACACCCUUCAGUACCAGUUAUUUUAACCGGGUCUAAAGGGAUCCCCUCUUGUACCGAAUUGCUAGUACAGGAUGCACAACCGGUACUAGAGGGAGGUUCCCAACCGGUACUAGAGCCACUUUCCCCGGUAGUGACUUUUUCACCGAUUAGAAUAUGUUAUUAUUCUAAUCAGCUUUUGUUGAUCUCCUGUAUAAUUUAGUACCUAAUUCUACUAGCAAUUGUUAACGCCGACACGUAUUGGGUAUAGUCCUAACAGUGUCUAACUAGGGCACUACAUUUGUUAACCUAUAACUACUGGUAUCGAUUAGCCCUGGUUAGAAUACUGUCAAGGCAGCCAGAAAAAAUUGUUUGCCAAUUCUGCUAUCCAUCAGAACCAUGACUAGUACCGUAUUGUAAUAAACGAAUUACACAAAUAACUGAUGCACACAAAGGAAUAUGCACUCGCAUGUGCUAGACGUUCGUAGCAACAACAAAUUACUCUCAUCAUCAAUUAAACAUAAUAGAUUAAACAUUAACUGAACAUAGUUCAACACGUACAUCAACAAGACAAAGCAGUUUAAACAUCAACUGAACAGAACUGAAAACAUACAUCAACUGAUGAUAAACUUCGACAUGAACACAACACAUAAACAUCAACUUCAAUAGAACUUAAUAGAGCAUAUUAAACAACAACAUCGACAAAACAUAUAAACCCAGCUCAGUAGCUCAAGCAUCAACUAAAACUGCUGAAUUAAAAUAACAUAACAUAGUGUAGUUCAUCAUGAUGAUAACUAACAGAACCGAAAAGCCUAACUGGGUAAAAGAGCAAUUCAUUCAUAAUGCUUCAGCACUUACAUCACCGGAGUAUGCAACUGGCGGCGUCGCUUACGUCACUAUCACCGCGCUUGGCGAGUAAAGGAGGAGGAGGUGGCAUAGUAAUCGAAGAGGAGGCCGCUGUCGGCGGGUUUAGACUACGUGGAGGUGUGGGUAGGGUUAAGGUGGCUCUGUGGACGAGUAUAUAUAAGAGGUCUGGGCUUGUUAGAAUAAGAUAACAUUCUAACUGGCCAAAUUCGGAUCCGGUUAGAAUAAAUUGUUCUAACCAGCCUUAAUUCGAGGUGGUAAGGAUAAGUUAACAUUCUAAUCAGCUCUAUUUGGAGCCCGAUUGAAUGUUCUUGUUAUUCAAAAAAAGAUCAAGUUCAUCAAUUUUUUUCUAGAAAAACAUCAAGAUAAUUUAAACACGAUAUAUAACAAGAUUAAUACAUUUAAAAAUUGUUUUCUCCAAUAAUUAACGAUAUUUAACAAAUUCAAAAAAAAUCCAAAUUAACAGAACAUAAUAACCAAUUGUUCGAAAAAAUCAAAAUAGUCCACACAGUAUCAUAUUACAAAUUCAGAAAAAUAUCAAAAUAAUCCCUGAUCCACUCGAUACCGUCGUAGAACUUUGAAAUACUGAGCUUCUUGAUUCAUCUGAGGUCCACGUACUCGUCUCAGUAACACUAGUGGUGGCCAUGCAUCUUGUAGAUGUCUUCUAAUGAAUUAAGCUUGACAUACAAGGUCGUGCCUUCCACUCCUUGAGGAUUGCUUAUGACGUUUCUGCAAAUAACGAAGCAUUGCUUUCUCCAACAUGAUUAUUUUCUUCGGCUUAUCCCAAGGGACAACUAUGGUUUUCCCCUUGCCGGAAGAGGAACGAUGAUCGCCCCCACCAUCGCCACUUCCUCCAGUAGCAGAAGCCAUCUAUGUACAAAAAUUCAUACCUUAGCACUACAGAACUUGUUGAACUUGAAGACUGUGAUCAUUAGGCGAGCAUGUUCUCAACUAGGUGGCACCGCACUUCGUCAUGGAAGAGCUUCGAUUUUACAAAAAAGGGGACAUGAUCUUCCAUGAUGUCCGUAUCCGCUCUUUCUCGUAGAAUCAGAGCUCCUCCUUGAUAUACGAUGCUGCUCGGCGGAGAACAUGCUCACCGAGAUGAACACGGUAUGCAAGUUCAACAAGUAUGGAUUUGAAAAACCAUAUUGAAUUUGACAAGACAAACUAUCUAGAUAAGCGUAGCAUCAUUCUUAAACCACUGCAAGGAUACGUACUAUAUAUGACACAUCAAUCUCCCUCACAUUCUAGCUCAAAAUACCUCUCCAUUUUCUACUUCACAUUCUAGCAAAUAAACUAUCUAUCUCCAUUCUACACAUCAAGUUGUUUUAACUAAUACAAAUCGUAUAUAACAAGCAAAAUAUCCAUCACAUUCUAGCUCAAAAACAUGUAUAAAUACAAAUCCUCUUCAUUCUCCCUUUUUCUAACAAACAAACUCAUUUUUCUCCCUCUCCAAAGCAUAAAUUAAAGCGUAACAUGAGGAUGAGGUAGCAAACCUUCACAACACAUUGGAUGAGUGAAAUUCCCACGAAAAUGAGGGAAAAAAAUUCGGGCAGCACCUCCCUUGCUUCGGCACCUCUAGAGAGUAGGUGAAGCUCAGUUCUCUAUUUUUGUGGUGGACUAGCUUGGGCUGGAGGAGGAAGAAAGGCCUCUGUCUUGGUAUAUAAUGGGGGAUGAGUUUUUAUCCCAGUUAAAAGCUCCAACUGAGACAAAACGGCCAAUCUUUUGUCCCGGUUGGAGCCUCCAACCGGGACAAAAGGGGCACGCCAUCGACGCACGGGAGCUAGCCGUUACAACCGGGACUAAAGGGGGGCCUUUAGUCCCGGUUGCAAAUACCAACUGGGAUUAAAUCUCCCCUCCAUUUUUGCCUACCGUGGUGCGCCCCCUUUUAUCCCGGGUCAACUUUAAACCGGGACAAAAGGGGGCGUCGAAGAUCAGUUCUCUACUAGUGACCCCUCCCCACCUAUCUCUCUCCCUCCAUGCUCCUCGAUCUGUGCCUCCCCUCCCCUCCCCUUCCACUCGCCCCUCACCGACGGUAAGGAGCAGCGGCGGGGCGAGGUGAGGUGGCAGCAGCAAUGGCAGGUGGUGGGUCGCAGCGGAGCGGCUACGGUAGGCAGCCGGACGGGGCAGAGCGGCGGGGCGGGGUGGAGGCGGAGGUGGCGGGUAGAGGCGGAGCGGCGAGGCGGAGGCGGAGGUGGAGGCGGAGUGGUGGGACGGCAGGGCCGGGCGACUAGUAUAGGUGGGCGGGCGGAGGGCGGCGACGGCGGAGCGGGCGGAGGCAGAGGGGCAGCGGGGGCCGCCGGCGGGGGGUGUGAUCGGGGAUUUCAAUUUUUUUUAAAUUUUUUAACACCUUUUAGUCCAACUGGUUCUAAAGGGACCCCUCUAGUAUCAAAAUUGCUAGUACCGGUUGCACAACCGGUACCAGAAGUGGUUCCUAACUGGUACUAGAGCCACUUUCCCUGGUAGAGACUUUUUUACCAGUUAGAAUAUGUUAUUAUUUUAAUCAGCUUUCGCUGAUCGCCAGUAUGAUUUAGUACCUAAUUUUACUGGCGAUUGUUACCGCUGACACGGAUUGGGUAUAGUCCUAACAGUGUAUAACUACGGCACUACAUUUGUUAACCUAUAACUACUUGUAUCGAUUAGCCCUGGUUAGAAUACUGUCAAGGCAGCCAGAAUUUUUUUUUUUUGCCAAUUCUGCUAUCCAUGAGAUCCAUGACUAGUACCGCAAUGUAAUGAAUGAACUGCACAAAUAACUGAUGCACACAAAAGAAUAUGCACUUGCACGCUAGACGUUCGUAACAACAAAUUACUCUCAUCACCAAUUGAACAUAAUAGAUUAAACAUUAACUGAACAGAAUUCAACACGUACAUCAACACGACAAAGCAGUUUAAACAUCAACUGAACUGAACUGAACACAUACAUCAACUGAUGAUAAUUAUCGACAUCAACAGAACACAUGAACAUCAACAUCAAUAGAACUUAAUAGAGCAUAUUAAACAACAACAUCGACAAAACAUAUAAACCCAGCUUAGUAGCUCAGGCAUCAACUAAAAUUGCUGAAUUAAAACAACACAACGUAGUGUAGUUCAUAAUGCUUCGGCGCUUACACCACUGGCGGGUCGCUUACGUCGGCAUCACCGCGCUGGCUGAACCUCCGACACCCCCACCACGGCAAACGGAGGUGAUGGCGGAAGGUGAGGCAACGACAGUAGCUGGUGAGCUCCCGCUCCAAUGUCUCGCGAGUAAAGGAGGAGGAGGUGGCAUGGGAAUCGAAGAGGACACUAGUAGAGAAACGACUUUCCAUCCACCCCCUUUUGUCCCGGUUUAAAGUUGGCCCGGGACAAAAGGUUCACCAACCGGGAUUAAAACUCGGUCACUGGUGGGGGGCUCACCAACCGGGACCUUUUAUCCCGGUUGCAAAGGCUAGUGGGAAAAAAUUACUCUGAGAGGCCUUUUAUCCCGGUUUGAAACACCAACCGGGAUAAAAGACCCCCCCUUUUAUCCCGGUUGGUAACACCAACCGAGAUAAAAGGGUCAAGAGCCUUUUAUCCCGGUUGGAAACACCAACCGGGAUAAAAGGGGGUCUUUUAUCCCGGUUGGUGUUUCCAACCGGGAUAAAAGGGUCCCCCACGAGUUAAUACAAAAGGAUAGUAUCCCCUACAUAGUCAGAUGUGGUGUGUAGGUGGGAUGGUAAGGAAGCUACGCGCGAGGCUGGAGGUUGUGGGUUCGAAUCCCACGAACCGCGCACGCGCAUAUUUCGCGUGAAAAAUCGCGUGACUUGCGACUUGCGCGUGUGGGGGGGCCUCCUGGGAGCUCGGGAAUUUUUUUUUUUUGCAGCGCCGGCCGUGGGUGAACCCUUUUAUCCCGGUUGGUAUUACCAACCGGGAUAAAAGGGGGUCUUUUGUCCCGGUUGAGUGACCCGGGAUAAAAGACCCCCCCUUUUGUCCCGGUUGGUUUAUCCCGGAUGCAUUUUCGAGAUCUUUGCACCCUACCAACCGGGAUAAUAGGUGAGUUCUCCACCAGUGGGAGGCCGCCGCUGGCGGGUUUAGACUACGUGGAUGUGUGGGUAGGGUUAAGGUGACGGUGUGGACUAGUAUAUAUAAGAUGUCUGGGCUUGUUAGAAUAAGAUAACAUUCUAACCGGCCAAAUUCGGACCCGGUUAGAUUAAAUUGAUAUUCUAACCGGUCCUAUUUCUAGGUGGUAAGAAUAAGUUAACAUUGUAAUUGGCUUUAUUUGGAACCCGAUUGAAUCUUCUUGUUAUUCAAAAAAACAUCAAGUUCAUCAAUUUUAAUCCAGGAAAACAUCAAGAUAAUUUAAGCACGAUAUAUAACAAGAUUAAUACAUUUAAAAAUUGUUUGAUUCACAAAUUAACGAUAUUUAACAAAUUCAAAAAAUCCAAAUUAACAGAACACAAUAACCAAUUGUUCGAAAAAAUCAAAAUAAUCCACACACAUUAAUAUAUUACAAAUUCAGAAAUAUAUCAAAAUAAUCCCCGAUCCACUCGAUACCGUCAUAGGACUUUUAAAUACUGAGCUUCUUGAUUCGUCUGAGGUCCACCUACUCGUCUCAGUAACACUAGUGAUGGCCAUGCAUCUUGUAGAUGUCUUCUAACGAAUCAAGCUUGACGUACAAGGUCAUGCCUUCCGCUCCUUGAGGAUAACCAUCUUUGGUGAUCUUGAAAUGGCAGACGGUGGAUGUGCCAAAGGUACGUGACGAUCCUUCUAAAUGUAUGCCACCACAACUUCCGUCUGAUCGCCAUGGGUGACACCAAGAAGAGCUACCAUGCGGCAAGGGACGAACAAUUUAUCAAUUAGUGCCGCUGUCCAUCGCCAUCAUCUAAUCCAGCCAUAUCUUGUUGUAUAUUUAAGUAUAGAAAUUAAGAUUUAAAAAUAAACAGAAUAAAUUGAGAUCGAUUAUGUAUGUAUAUCAGAACAUUAGCUUUUGGAAAAAGGGCUUCGAUGGAAGAGAGGCACGGGGCAUAGAGACAACAACGAGUGACAAUAUGUCAGAAGAAUACCCGAUCACAAUUAUUGGCACACACAGCCGAUAUUUACAGUAGUCAAUACCCCUGGUAAAUAACCACACCAUCAAGAGUAAAUAGUGACAAUAUGCAGUAUAUACACGACAUAGCCUUGGCUGCCGUGGAAGCACCAGAAGGGAGACAAAUAACAGGGACCACUACAUCAAGUAGAUAGUGACAAUAUGCAAAAGAAUACCCGCGCCUGUUAGCAUGUGUGAACUGACCACACCACGAAACGUGAUACACGGCAAGCGUACCAAGGCCUUGCUGUGCAGACUAUGCAUGGACAACACAUGGUACCUGACCGCUUUUGGCCUCAGACACAUCAAAAACUGCAUCGUUCCACGUUGUACAUCCAUUGCUAGUUUAUCUAUAUUACAUAAUAUAUUAUUAGCUAUUUGAAUAGAAUGAACCAAUUAAAAAAUUACGUUGUAUUUUAGUACCGGCUGCAGGAUGGUGUUACCAACCAGUACUAAUUGGCCUGUAGGAGUGAUGGUUAUUAGACUUGGUACUGUUGUUAGCAUCAUUAACCUAAUUGUGCGCCGUAUGAAUUUGGGGAUGCAAAGCUAGCUCUCUAUGAAUGUGAGGGAUGGAAAGCUAGUUCUCUAGUAGUAAUUAUAUAUAUGACAGUCAGGAAAUCGAACACUAUGCUGCUACGAGUCACCAUCAUUUCCUUCAUUGACAAUCUGACAUAGGUGAAGCUGCUUCAAUAAUUUCCUUCGCGCAGUCGUGGAGCUUAUUGGAUUAUCACCAGGACGGGACACGGAAAUGGCCAGCAAUGAAGCUGAUUGCCGUCUGAGGAAGACUACAUACUUACCUAUGAAAUGAAGCGAUUGCAUAGACUAAUGAAGCAUUGCAUAUUUGCAUGUGAGUGUGGCAGAUAAUUCUGCAGGACAUGAUUGCAAUCCACGCACCAUCGAGAAGACUGGGGCGAUGGGGUUGCCUCAUCAAUAAUCACGUGGAUGCAUGCAUGCAUGUUCCCUCAACCGGACAAGGGUCUGAUAUAUGGCUAUAGUAUUACUGAGCCCACAUCAAUAAUUUCCGCUGGUGUAUCGUGUGGGAAGAAUCAACAUACUACACCUCUGAGUUCUUGGAACUAACUGACGUUCACAUGCAACCUCCACAAGGUGCUGUAUGCUUUUGACAUUCACCUGCCAGUUCGUGUAGAGGACACCCUAACGUAUGGUUAAUAUUAUCCAUUUCAUGAGUAAAAUACUGUGAUUCAAAAAUACUUCAAAUCCCUUGAGACAAUACUUCUCACUUGACUAACCACUAACCAACCCCGAAACCCUAACUCAACUCCGAACCCUAACCCCUAACGGCAUAACCACUCCGUUUUGCCGGCGAGAUGGAGGAACUGGCUGGAAGGUAGAGAGGGCAGCGGUCCAGGGUUGAAAACGACGGGCGAGCGCAGUAACAUGUGGAGGAGGAAGUGCCACGUAUUCGUUCACCGCUAUUGGGCAGCGACACACGACACGCCCAAUAAGAUCUUCGCACGGUAGAAGGACGUCAUGUAUUCAAUAAUGUUAUUGGUCCCCCAUGUGCAGAAGGGCGCGCGCGUAUGGAAUAACAAGUAGGGACACUGCAACUAAUCUACUCUGCUCGUCCAGUCCCUAGCCUAUAAAUAGAUGCCAUGCUAGCUCUUGUUGUGCUCACAAUUAAUCCGAUUACACACGAGCUUCUCUCCCUGGCCAAGACACAACCAUAGUAUGAUGAAGAACAUGGCACUAGCCGGCAAUGGUAUGAAGAAGUUAAUCCUCGCUGUUCUCUUACUGUGUCUAGUUAUAGGGCAGAUACAAGUGGAAGCUAAGAGCUGCUGCCCAUCCACCACUGCAAGAAAUGUCUACAAUACCUGCCGUUUCACGGGUACAUCCCGUCCAACGUGUGCAAAACUGUCAGGCUGCAAAAUUAUCAGCGGGAACAAAUGCAAGCCCCCUAACGACCACCUCACCCUUGACCCGGACACUGGUAAAUAAUAAAUUUAUCUCACUUGAUUUCUUCGUGAUUUGAGUCGUUAAUGUAUUUUCCAUCUGAUGAAACGUAUUGGUUUUGCAUUGAAGAGGAAGUUAAUGUGCUUAACUUCUGCAAGUUGGGGUGUGCGUCGUCUGUGUGCAACAACAUCAACGCUGGUAAGCAACUUUUGCUCAGACAGAGAAAACAAUAAUCAUUAAUUAGCGGCAGCUAGAAUCCUAUAAUCUAAUAUAUAUAUAUAUAUAUAAUUUUAUCAGCUCUGGGAAAUGAAGAGGCGAACGAUGCCGUUGAGAGUUGCGACCAAGCCUGCUCUAGCUUCUGCAGCGUGCAUGUUGGCAGCGCCACCGUGGUUGCUUAAGCAAAUGCAUCCAACUAGAUCGUCCUUGUGCUGAAUAAUUGGAUAUCGUAUCCACUUAAAGCUGCCUUGUGUAGUACGUCUUUGUGUCUCUCUUUAUAUUCCAAUAAGGUCGGUGAUCUUGAUGCCACACACUCAGAUGUGUGUUCAUCUCCAGAUACUACUCCAUGCUACCUGCCCUUUGUGUUUUGUUCAAUAACUGGGUAUCAUAUCCCAGCCAGUAUGCCGUCUGUUUUGUGUUUGUUUCCUUCUAGUUCCAAAGGGGUCAUCAUGAUGUUACCUUCUUUCAAUAUGGUGCUUUGCAUGACUACUGUUGUAUGGUACCAUCUUGUGGCCAAUAAGUACAUCUUAUCCUAUGACCUUUGCUAUGACCCUUUGCAAAUAAGUAGAAGAUUGUUAUAAGCGUCAAUACUCCGUAUAAAUUGAUCGCUGCUGUGAGUUCCCUUUCAGCUUAUCGUAGGCAUACAUUAUUGCUAGCACGGUAAAGCCAACCAACACGAAUGAUGAAGUAAACGUAGCGGUACUUCUGUAUACCAACACCCUUACUUAAAUGUACCGGUGUCAUUCCCUACUGGCACAUAUAUUCUUAUAUGCUAGCCAGCUUGUAAAAUUAACCAAUUAAAAUAAUUAUUUCAAGAUAGAAAUAACUUAUCGGUUUCUGGAAGCAUGUGUAAUGUGAAUUCAAGGACUCGACGGAAGUUGAAUCACUUCAUCUAUAUUGCUUUCAGUAUUUUGGGUAACUAAAUUUAACAUUUGCACAUACAAAUGUUAAAGUACAAAUGUUAAAUCUAGUUACCCAAGCAGAAUAUGAAGAUAGUUUAUAGUAUAUAUAUACUAUAUAAAUCUAGUUAACAUUUAGUCUAAAUGUUAAAUCUAGUUACCUAAAAUCCUGAAAGCAAAAUGUAUAAAUAUAUAUCUUUUAAGGCAGUAUAAGCUUCGAUUCCUAUUGCUGCUCUGUUAAAUCUCAUCUUUCGUUGUGGCCCAACACUCUAGUAUGCAUGUUGCACCAAGCUUCUUUGAGCCGCUCUGCCCUCUGAUUUUGCUGCGUAGGGGAAUCUUUAUCAGGUUGGGCUACUUCCAGUUGUGCGAUGUAAAGAUUCGUAUUUUCUAGAAGGUAGACAAAAAACUCGCGUUCUCUUAAGGCAACAACCGGAAGAUUCUGCAGCGCACAGGGCAUACCAUUAUUGUAGAAACGACCUUUAGUACCGAUCUCCAACCCCCUUUAAAACUGGUUUUGCAACCGGUACCGUUAUGUCGGUCCUUUAGUACCAGAUCAAAUAAGUACCGGUUGGUAACCAGUAUCAACUUGUUUUGCGGCCAAAAAAAUAAAGAAAAAAACAGUCAGAAGGCUCGCGCACACGCGCAUCACAUGAAAUAUGCGUGUGCGGGGUCCAUGGGAUUCGAACCCAUGAAAUCAAGCUGCGCGCGACCCUUCGUUACCAUCUCACCUACAUAGCGCAUAUGCUUUCCUGAAGUAACCCGUGGAGGAGGCUUUAGUACCGGGUCAUAACACCACCCGGUACUAAAAAUGACUCUUCAGUACCGGGUCAUAACACCACCCGAUACUAGUAUCGGAUGGUGUAAUGACCCGAUACUAAAAGGCCUCUAGGGACCCUCAAAUUUGAACCCGGUACUAAUGCUAAUAUUAGUAGCGGGUCAAAGUGCAGCCAGAACUAAAGCAUGGGAUGAAAGGUCAUAUUUCUAGUAGUGUAUAGUUGUUGUGAAGGACUGACUUGGCUGUCCUCUCUCUUCUCCAUCCCCUUGGUCUUACGCCGCCGCUCGCACGCGAGCCGGUGCCCAACCAGAGGAGUGAGAGCUAGGGGCAGGUUGGGAGGUGGGGAUAGUGACUGGUGGCCAGGGUGAUGGUUGAUCCUGGUGGGGUUAGGGUUUUAGGGUUUUCGAGCUUCCUAUGGUCGGCGAACCUAGAGGAGGAGCUCAACAUCAGCUGCAACCCGCGAUGGUGGUGGUUUGGCCGGCGCCCGAGGCGAGGCAGCGCGGGAGUGCUGCCGGUGGGUUGGUGUUGGCACUCAUUAUUGACAACUAUUUUGUUCAUAAAAUAACACUCAAACUUGCUGCUGCUGCUGCUGCUGCCAUCGCCACCCUAGCCAUAAUAUAAAGGCAAAAUUUGCUAAAGGACAUGCAAAAUGAUGCUAGUUUGCUGGCGGGCAUCGUUGACCUUGUAAUAUGCUACAAGACACUCUAGUUGUGUAUCAAUUUGCUGAAAGACAUUGCUAUGACUAAAAUAAUGUUUCUGGACUGAGUUGGAGAGAGAGAUGGAGUGAAAUGUCUGUUUUGCCCAUGACCCCACUGGUCAGAUCCUUCUUCUUCCACCCUCCUUUGUUCUUUCUUCAACCAUUACCCAGCUCCAGCGUGUUGCAGAUCUACGAGGGUGGCGGCCUGGGGCGAGGGGCAUCGCUCGCCCUUGGAGGAGCGCUGCGAGCGACGGCGCGGGGGCGGCAACAGCGCGUCAGAACCUGACUGUUCGUUAGCUCCUCUCGCUGCUGGGGAAGGAGGGGGAUGGGCCAUGGACGGGGUUCCCUUGAAAACCUCAGCGUCGAGCUCGGGCGGCUACGCGCAGGCAGCACUAGGCUGCUUCACGGGGAGGGGGCGCGGCCAAUCAUUGGCACCCCACUGGUCCAAUGCUGAUGAAGAUGGUGCCAGCGUCGUGUGAGGACAUCUCAUCUCCUCGAGUUCCAUGGCCAGCACAGGUGAGCUGCCGCUACCACAAAACAGAGGUUUCGUGAGAGUCAAAAAACCUUAUGAAAAUAGCUAAAACCAUCAUGAAAAUAAUCCGUGACAUGACACUCUCACGAAAAUCCUCUCACAAAUAUGGUGCCAUGAAAAUACCAUUUUCAUGAGAGUGAACUGUCAUGAUUUUAUUUCGUGAGAGUAUUUCCUAUCAAUGACCUCCACGAAAUACUUUGUGCCACCAGGUCUUCAAGAUCAUUUUCAUGAGAGCUGAACAUCAGGAAAAGUCCGCCACAAAUGUUUUUCUUGGAGCCCCUAACUCUCAUGAAAAUCAUGCGGGCCGCCACGAAAAACAGCAUGACCAAAUGACAAAUUUCAUUUUCAUGUGUUCAUACCGCCAUGAAAAUGGUCAUUUUCAUGAGAGUUGAUGAAACAAAAAAUAGUGCCAUUUUCAUGAGAGUUCAAGCAACCAGGAAAAGACACUAAUAAACAUCCAGAUCCCAUCCAGCACACAUCCAUGCACAUAUAUAACCCACAUAUUGCUCCAGCACACAUCCAUGCAUAUACAAGAUCCAAAUGUUAAUAUAGUAGACAUCCAUGCCUGAACUAGUCUGCCACACAAGUCAUUGAUGCUACAAAUCCUACAAUCGCAGCAUGUGCAUACAAGUCACAGAAUGAGACAAUGUACCCAAAACUAAAAGGUUAGCAUCAACUGUGCUUCAACCAAAGUUGUCAUCCCAACUCUCCUCUUCAUCCAUGCCAUUCUUGUCGUGGCCGUCACUGUCAGUCCCCAUGGCAUUGCCAAUGCUGUGCAUGUCUUGGUAGGAACCUACAUGUGAUGAACUAGUAACCUGCAAAAAGAGCUCAAAGGAUCUUGUUCUCAUAUUGUAGCUGUGAAAUUCUUACAAGUAGUGUUGCAAUCAGUUCACUUUGAACCAAAAGAGCUCAAAGGAUCUUGUCCUAAAAGUUCCUCAUAAAGCUUAUGGGUUUGCUGGUGGAACUGGAAGGGCUUGAUGCAGCAGAUGCCAUUCUGCAAUAGAGAAAAAUUUAGAGAGCAGUACUAGUUAAAAUUGGAUGCAGAAGAUACACAUGAAACUAGUAUUUAUACAAGUCUAUACAAUUAAAAUCUAAGGAGACUUAUCAUCGUUUUCAUGUGUUGUGAAUUAAAAUAAUGAAGGAUACACUGUUAGGUGAAAAUUCAAGAAACAAAAUUUUGCAUAGAGAUAAAGGUCCAACAUUAUUACAAGUUAAGGUAGUUUUAAAUAUCCUUGUAAUCUUCCUUUGGUUUCCUCAACGAUUCGAAGACAAUAACCUUGCUUCUAUCAAUGAUAAUUAUAAGGAGAAUCCAGUGGAAACUGUGUAUUCGUAUUAGAACUACCUAAGGUUAAUUAGGUUAGGAAAGGAAAUUGAAAAUAGAUGGUACCCACACUUACUUAAAGUUGUCGGGCAAUAGUAUGUAAUGCUUGUAAUUCCGUUGCUCCAAGAAUUUGUAUAUGUGGUCCAAUGUAGACUUUGGUUGAUCCCGUAUCUGCUGUUGGUUAAAUAAGUGUUUCUAGCCAUUUCUAGCCAUUAGAACCGGGACUAAAGGGGGCUCUUUAGUACGGGUUGAUAUUACUAACCGGGAUUAAAGAGCCCCCAUUAGAGUUGGUUUUUGGAUGCGGAACUAACAACUCCUUUAGUCCUGAGUACGAAAACAACUGACAUAUUUGUUGCUGGAUGGAAGGUCCUUUCUCUACCGUGAAUAUUGCCAGAAAGAAUUGAAAGAGACUGCUUGCUAAAAAUAUGUCAUAGAUGUAGACCAAGCUACCAAGGAGGUAGACCAAACAUGAUACACACCAUGCGUACCUUGCUGUGCAGACUAUGCAUUGACAAGAUACCCGACCACAUGUUGGCCUCGGUCACAUCAAAAGAAUCAUGUAGGCCACCAAUAAACUACUUGAAGCGGCAUUCCGUAUCGUAUAUGCAUUGCCGGUUCAUCUGCAUUACAUUACAUAAAGCACUAUUAACUAUUUGAAUAAAAUGAACCAAUUUAAAAGUAAUGUGUUGUACUCUACUAUAGAAAGCCCUAUCACUGCCGGAUCCAAAAACAUCAUUGUUAAUGGUGGUUAAGUACCAAAUAUGACGGUCAAUAUUCUCAAGAAUAAUGGAGAAUUAGCAUUUCUUAGACACAUAUUUGGUUUUGAACAAUGUAGUUCCACAUGUCUUUGGAGAUUAUUUGGGUGUGGGUGAAAUAAUACAAAAAUAAGGAGAAAACACACUCCCAUGGCGAAGAAACACAACUCCAACCAAUGAGAGAUAGCCACAGGGGCAGCACACGGAUCCAUGGGCCCACUAACCGCAUCAAACCAUCUUACCAAGGCAGGUAGCACCCACAACCGUCAUUAGGACCCACCUGGAAGUCUACCAAGAAGAAGGUUGCGAGUGGGGCCAGGAGGGGUUCGGUUGAAUCAUCUCUAGCUAGCUCCCCUCAUCCCCAGCUGGUGGGUGGUGGUGGUUGAUGGUGUCCCUACAUCAGUUAGAGGAGAUUCCCCCAAAUAUUCCUCCUGUAAACCACCUCUAUGGACCUAUACAUAGAGGGGUGUGCUCUCCAUUCCAACACACACCACAAGUUGAAUCACUCUCUCCCUCUUUAGUUUCCAAGUUUAUGGAGUUAGGCUAGAGUAGCUCUGCUCAAGGUUCCAAGUCCACUUGGAGUUAAGCAUAUGUCUCUUGUAUCGUUAUUUCCUAAAUUGACUUUAUGCUUAGUUCUUAUAUGCAUGAGUUAGUCUAAUACCCUUGCUAUAUUGAUAUGCUCGGCUUAUAUGCUCGUAUGCUAGUCAUAUACCCUUGCUGUCGUAGUAUAGGCUUAUAUGCUCUCAUGUGUGCCUGUAGACCUUGCUAUAGUAUAUACUUGUUGUGCAUACAUACCAUGUAUAGGCUAGUCGAUCUAUACCAUGGCAUUGGUUCAAUAGCCAUGUUUUUGGUGGCUCCAACCCUAGUCACAAUAGCUCGGGACAGCUGGAGUGUUGUUAAAAAUGCAAGAGUGGUGCUUGGGUUGUUUAGCAUCGUUGGAUAUGGGUUUGCCCCACGGGUUUCUAACGGUAGGCGGCAGCUAGUGACAUCCCUGUCCGUCCUUCGUAAUCCCCCCACAUUCAGGUACGCCAUAAAUGUUCGUAAAUUAGCAGUAACUACGCCGGUACACCUGUAGGGUAUUGUCUCCCUGUAGUACCUUGGUGCAUAGAACUAAGUCCUAUACACUGUGUGUGUAUGUUUACGCUGAUAUGAUCUGUGCAGUAUAUAGGAUGUAUAUAUGAACCUAGAGCUAACUCCUAGUCCGUUCUCCAUAGCUUAGUUAUCUUGAGAUGAUUCUUCUGUAUGUGUAACACUACCCAUCUUAUCAUUAUCCUUGAUCCUGUCUUGUGUAAUAUAUCUACUCAUCCUAUGAUAUACUCAUAUGCAUAGUAAACUAUUUUGACCUACCCGCCUUCCUUUGGGAAAUAUGAUACCUUGGAAUAAUCCUAGGUGAAAUCCUACAACGGUAUAUCCAUGUAAAUGCGGAUUUAUUCAUGACCAUUAAAUAUACCAACAAUCAUCACUGUGAGUUUUGGGCGUCGUUAGUGAAGGGUUGGUAGUGAUGGGCAUCCCCUUCACCAAUGGACCUGGAACCGGCGGUGAUGGCUAUUAUAAAAAAGGGGACACCACCCAGCGUACCCCACGACCCGGCCGGCCGCACCUCCCAUCAUCCCCGCCAGCCGCCCUUCCUUUUCGCCGGCCGAGCAUGGUCCCGGCCUUUGUCCCUACCACCUCGCCUCCACCGCGACCCCCCGCCGAUGCCCUCGUGCCUGGCCCCCCUCAUCUUGCCGGCCACCCUCCCGAUGCGUCCACUGGGGCCCUCGCACCACCAACCGCCCUUGCUUAGAGAGGGAGAGAGAGGAGGGAGGUGAGGCCACGCACCUCGUCCUACACCGCCGCUGUUUCUCCUCGGCCCACCGCGCCUCACCCCACACCACAGCCGCGCCUUGCCAUCUUACCGGCUGUGACGCCUCAUCUCACCGGCCACCGUUCCUCACCCCCACUUCGGUCGUCGCCGCUCCUUGCCCUACCGCUGCUCUUUGCCGCUGCGAAUGAGCGCCGAGUGGAGGAGGAGGGAUGGGGCAGGAGGAGGGCAAGAUCCGGGAGGAAGGGAGAGAUCUCGGGAGGUGGAGAUGGAAGGAUAUGGCGGAAGGGAGAGAUCCAGAGGGAGAGAGCAGGGGAGAGAGGGGGGCGUGUGGGGAGAGAGCGCGUGUGGGGUGGGGCCGGGCUGGUGGGAUGGAAGGGAGAGGGGCUAGACGGGCGCAGUGCAUUCAACUGGAUGAAGUAAAUAUUUUGGAUUCGAGACCCCAGCUUUAUUAUCACCGCUGGUCCGUAGUACCAUCCGGUGCCUGCUCGUAAUUUAAUUUGAAUCUGCGGUGAUGUUUUAUUAUCACCAUCGGAUCAUAUAAAAAUCCGGCGGUUAAAAAUCCGCUGGUUUCGAUGAAAACCGACGGUGAUAGGAUGACUGUGAUAGUCUCUUCUCUAGUAGUGGUAUAUUAGUACCGGCUGCCGGAUGGUGUUGCCGACCAGUACUUCUCCGGGGGCGAUUCAGUACUGCUGUUAGCAAAGCUUGUUCUCUAUGAAUUUGGGGAUGGAAAGCUAGUUCUCUAGUUGUGAUUUGUUACAUAUAUAUCUAUGAUAGUCUAGAAAUUGCAUGUCCUUCGUUGACAUAGUUGAAGCUGCUUCAAGAAUUUACUUCGUGCAGUCGUGCAGCAUAUUGGAUUAUCACCUAGACAGGAUACAUAGGUGAAGCAUUGGAUGUGAUUGUGGCCGAUAAUUAUGCAGGACGCUGUUGCAAUCAACCACCAAGAAGUCUGGAGUGAUGGGGUUGCCUCAUCAAUAAUUUUUAUAUAUGGCUGCAGUAUUAUUAAGCCCACGUCAAUAAUUUUUUGUCCGCACCAUAUAUCGAUGGGGUUGCCUCAUCAAUAAUUCGCGCAACCAGACAAGCUGCAGACUCAAUAUGGUACGAAGCUAGUUGCUCAGCCCACAUGCUCUGAUAUAACAUUGACAUCUGCUGAUCUACAGUAUAUAUGACCAGAAAUAUUGUGCCCACCUCAAUAACUUUCUGAAGUAUCGUGGGGAAGAACCUACGCGUACUAUGCCUCGGAACUAACUGACAUAUCGGCCCAGGCGGUCUAGGCCGAUUGGACUGGCUCUUCCUUGUGGCUUCUCACAUCCCCUUCGUCCCCAAGUAAUUUCAGGUGUUCUGUAGUUUUCUUUUCACUUGCAUCUGAGCCUCCUAUAUCAAUAGCUUCGGGAUAAGAAUGCCUCUUGAUAACCUUCCAAAUCCUCGCUUGAUUCACAUUGAUUCCGAAAUCAUCUUGCCAUAUCUUCAGAGACUUAGGUCCUAAGGCAUCAUGGAGGAUUGCUCGCCAAGAAUGAGCACCAUUGGGCUCCUGAGGACCCUAGGCCGAUCAGCCCGGGCUCUAUAGGUCGAUUGGCCCAGGCCCUCUCUGGGCCUGUUGGCCUUCAUCUUUCUUUGAGUCGACGCUUAUUCAGGGCUUUGUCCAAUUAUAGUCCAUUAUAGUCUAAUUUCCUAAAAAACAGAAUGUCCUCCAAAAUACAAUGCAUAUGUGAAAACAACCCAAUUAUUAGGUAUGAUCAAUAGUUUAGGUAUUAAAUUAAUAUUAUUAUUUAAGAUAAACAGGGGUAAAGGGUGUCAUUAAUAACAAGCGCCAACAAGCGUCCUAGCUGUUCAAUAAAUUUUUUCUAGUACCGAUUGGUAACACUAACCGGUGCUAAUAUGUACCCUUUAUUACCGGUUAUUUUACCAGGUACUAAAGGAGACAAGAGCAUCCUAACAUAAGGUUAAUAUCAUCCAUUUCAUGAGUAAAAUACUAUGAUUCAAAAAUAAUUCAAAUCCCUUAAGACAAUACCUAUCAAAUGAGUAAAUUGUAAAUAGAGUAAUCUUGAUCAAACAAUGUCCUAAUGAAACGGAACACUUCUGGUUCGUGUAGAGCACAAUAUAGAAAACAGUAGGGUAGCUGUAUGAUUGACACGUGGUCCAUUAAUUAUUGAGCCAACACUAUGGACAUGUCUUCAUGAGUAGUGUACUAGUCAUAAUACAUGGUAUGCAGUAGGUGGAGGUAUUGACUUAGCCAUGCUAUGAGCACUUAGUUACAACAAACACUUUGCCAUUAUCGAGCAUCCCAAAUCACUACAAAAUCCAUAGUUUACCAUAUACUACAAAAUCUGAGUUAAAAUAAGAGCAUACACGGAAGAGUCCGAAUGCACGGCACAUUGAAUUACUAGACAAAAUUUAUGGGACAAGGUUUUGGGUAACCGCAUGAAAAAUAUUGGAUUUUACUGAACACUUAGUUACAAUUACCAUGCCCGUGAGCACUUAGUCACCACAAACAUUUAACCACUUUAGAUCAUCCUGAAUCCCUAUAAAUUCUAUACCUUACACCGUACCAUGAAAACGACAAGAACAGAGACAGAUGCGGUGAAAAUCUCCAGAGCAAGCCUGAAAUUAAAAUAAGAGGAGGCAGUCACUAUCGACAGGACACGGAGAUUGCUAGCCAUGACAGAGGAAGACAUGAUAUGAUAUUCACCUCUGAAAUGCAGCGUAGACUAAAUGAAGCACAAUUGCAAGUGAGUGUGGCAGAUAAUGGACCAUCGAGACCAUCGAAUGGUAUGAAGCAUGAUUAUCACCUAGACAUGAUAUCCUAGACAGGACGGUGAAUUGUAAAAAGAGUAAUCUUGAUCAAAGAAUGUCCUAAUGAAACGGAACAUUUUUGGUACGUGUAGAGCAAAAUAUAGAAAACAGUAGAGUAGUUGUACGAUUGAAACUGCAUCCAUCGACGUGGUGCAUGAAUUGUUGAGCCAACACUGUGGACAUGUCUUCAUGAACACCAUCUAGUGAGGACAGCAUGCAGAAAAAUAUAAAAACAUGUCAUAGGGAGGCAGACCAAUCUUGCGAGGUAGACGAAACGUGAUACACGAUCUGCCUACCUUGUCGUGUGGAUACCCCAAGUGAAGAUGUCAUAGAGGUGCAGACCAAGCUAGCAAGGAGGUAGAUGAAACGUGAUACACGGCCUGCCUACCUUGCCGUGGAUAUUAGUCCUGAUAUCAUUCUAUUGUUCAAGGAAUAACACUCAAUGCUGCUGCUGCUGCUGACCUGGCUCCAUAAAGUUAUAUUCCUCUAGCCGCUUGCACUAACUUUAUCUGAAGUAUUAUUCUCUCUGCACUGUAUAUAUGGUUACGGAGUUUGCUGGAGUAUCCGGGGGGAAGAACCUACAUAAUAUGUCUUGGAACUAACUGACAUUGAUUCACAGACAAGGUGCUGUUGUUGACAUGGUACAGUAAAUAAUAUAGUUUACCAUAUACCGUAUACCAUUAUAUGUUAGCUAAAAUAAGAGCAUAACAUGUCGCAGGAGUCCAAAAGCACCGGUUGAGGACCAGGUACAUUAAAUUACUAGAAAACAAAAGGGGACAAGGUUUAGGUAGCCACAUGAAAAACAUUUGAAUUUACUGUACCAUGAACACUUAGUUACCAUGCCGGGAGCACCUAGUUAACACUAACAUUUAGCCACUUUAGAUCAUCCCGAAACACCAAUGACCCUCAAUAGCGACAAAUUUUGGUUUAAAUGCCGUCACCAAUGAUCCUCAAUAGUGACGUGUUUAGGUUUAAAUCCCAUCACUAAUAACCCUUGGUAGUGACGUGUUUUGGUUUAAAUCUCAUCACCACUGAUCCUCACUAGUGACGUGUUUUUAGCAACACACGUUAUGAAUGACUUGUCAUUGGUGACAUGUUAAACGCGUUAUCUCAAUGGCAAAUCAAUGGUGACGUGUUUAAAAAAACAUGUCACUGUGAGAGUUAUUGGUGAAGGGUAAUUAAAAUGCAUCACUAAUUUUGUAGCAUUAGUUAUGAUAUAAUUUUGUAACGCAAAAAUCUACCAUAGUAAUGAGGUUUAGAGCCAUCACUAAUGUGGGUUUCUUAUCGUAGUGAUGCAAGCUCUACAAGGUGCUGUUGUUGCCAUUUUAAAGCAUCCCAAAUGACUACAAGAGUCCGGUUGAGGACUAAACAAAUUGAAUUACUAGAACCAAAUGUAUGUCCAGAACAAAGAAAGGGGUCAAGGUUUGGGUAACCGCAUUAAAAACAUUGAAUUUUACUGUACCAUGAACACUUAGUUACCAUUACCAUGCCUUGAGCACCUAGUUACCACAAACAUUAAUUUAGCCACUUUAGAGGUUCCACAAUCACUAUAAAUAAUAUACCAACACCGUACCAUGAAAACAUCAAGAAGAGAGACGGGUACAUGGACCACCAUCAAGUGAGUAGUGACAGCACGCACAAGAAUACCCGGAACCUUUUAGCUUGUCUGUAGUGAUCUGUUUUCUUCGCCACAAAUAAUGAAAGAGGCUGACCAAGCUAGCAACGAGGUAGAGCAAACGUGAUACACGUAGGUUUCAUUCAAGACAUCCAUGUAAGAUUCAUUCAAAACAUUCAUGGAAAUUUCUUGUAAGUUUUCAUGUAAAUUUCAUUCAAGACAUUUGUUAGAGGUGUUGUAUAUACACUUAACGUACAUAUAUCUAUGAUUUCAUGGUUGUUAGUGAUGGCAGAUGAGGAGCAUGCAAGGUGUUUAAUGGAGCAGAUUAUUGCUAGUGGUAGUGGCUCCAACCUGCCCGUAACGUACACCGACGAAGAGGGCAGCCAGGCGGACAUGUUCCUCAACAUGUCCGGUGAUGGCAAUGAAGAGCCCGAGCAAAACCUUGCCGUGACGGAAGGUUCCAUCGAGGUAUAUAUCAUUUCCAUUAUUUUACCCCAUCUAUAAUUUCAUAUUCAUUAUUACUAUGUGCUAAUUAAUGAAUCUUGAACCGUUAGUCCUCUAGAUCAACGAACCGAAAUAAGCCCCGAGGUCUUACAAAGAUAAUGCAGGGAAGGCUUCACAUCAUGGAAGUCACAGAAGAGGGCACAUCGGUUGCUCCCGAACAUGUGGCAAGAAAGUACGUGAGUCAAACCGGGGCAAUCGUAAGGGACAACAUGCCCAUCAGCAUCAGGGAAUGAAAGAGCAAUAGAAAUGAUCUAUACGCACCCCCGGAUACACAAAAGGAUAUGUUGUGGGCAAAUAUCAAGAAACACUUCACAUUUCCCAAAGGAUAUGUUGAAAAAUAUGUGAAAGCGUGGAUGUUGAAGAAGAUGGCCACCCAAUUCCAGACAUUCAAGAAGAUGUUGGAUGCCAACUUCAUCAAGAAGGGUCGAACUCCGGGUUUCAAUGAGUGGCCAAAGUUAAGGGACCACUGGGAGUCGUUUGUCGAAUACAAGACGAGCGAAGGUGGUGCGAGUAAGGUUCACAUCAAUGUUGCCAAUGCUAGCAAGGAGUACCAUCAUCAUCUAGGGCGACGUGGUUACAGCUCUGCAAUUCCCAGAUGGCGCAAGAUGGAACAAGACCUGAUCGAUCGGGGUAUCGUACCAGCAACUCUUGACUGGAUCGAUUGAAAAAUUGGUAUUAUGCUCAUGAAGGCAAUCUGAGCCAAGAGGAUCCGACAUUGGUCUUCAAUAAAACAAUACGUCAGAAGGUCGGAAGGCUUAUUAGGAACAUUGAAGAUGCUAAAGCUGGGAGGUUCAAGGUGGAUAGAGAGAAUGAUGAACUCACAUUGGCCCUCGGGACUGUCAUCUCUAGCACUUCCAGCUCCAGGACUAUCGUCACCACCGGGACCGUCGCUUCCUGCUCGAUCACAGUCUCCAUCUCCAGCACAUCCUGGUGGUGCGAGCGACGACGACAACAACACCCCUCCCUGCCCACCAUUGCCGGGACUAAGACCCGCAUUGAGUAAGGAACCUGCAACACCACUGAAGAAGUCGCGACCACCACCUUCAAGGCAAGUCAGCAAAAGAAGAAAGCAGAGAAGCCUAAACCCACUGAGAAGCCAGCGACUGAUAUGACCGAUGCGGAAAGAUGGAAGGCACUCAAAGAAGAAUGCAGGGAGUGGUUCAGCGAAGGCGAAGGUGAGAAAGUCGUAUGAAUCGAAUUCAAGGAUAUAUAUGAAGUGAACCAUCAGGAUGCCCUUGAUGUCUCUCUCAUCAGCGCCUAGGUUCUGUAAGUGUAUGUUUAUCUAUAAGUAAAUUUUGGCUCAUAUCAUUAUUUUUUUUGCGUGCGUCACCCUACUAACUUCGUCUUCCAUUUUAUGUAGGAUGCUAAUUCAGACGUGCCGCAUAGAAGCGUACUUCCAUGUUGGAUUCAUGGAUCCAUCCCUAGUUAACCAAAAGCCGAUACGGAAGUAGCUAGAGAAAACGUUGGAGGUGGUGUACAACCUCCUGGACAAACUAAACUACAGAAUAGGGGCAAUAUGUGAGGGUCUUGUAGGAUUCCUAGUGGACGAGGUGAUAAAUCCAUAAGGAGAAUAUCAUUCCAACGGACGAGCAUUAGACACACUGAGCAACACCUAGAUGGGAGGAUCCUAGGAAUGACCUCGACAGAUUUUGGUAUAAAUAGUAAUUGUGUAAAUACUAGUUUGAUUUGUAUAGGAAUAUACUAAGAAUUGUAUAUAUAGUAAUUGUACAAAUACUAGUUUGAUUUGUAUGAAUACUAGAUUGAUUUUAUUAUAAAAAAGUUUUAAGUCGUACGUGCAUGCGCCUACAAAGGCGCGGAUGCCUUUUAAUCCCAGUCGGAAAAACAAACUGGUACUAAAGGGGCUCGUGCCGCACCUGGCAUGACCACCCCUUUAGUCCCGGUUGAACGACCCAGGACUAAAGAUCUCCGCGUCUCAAAAAUUUUAUCUCGGAUGCUUUUUAGAGAGAUUUGAGGCCUAUCAACCAAGACUAAUAUCGAGUUUUCUACCAGUGAAACUAACUAACGUUCACAUGGUUUUGACAUUCACCUGCCAUUUGGUGUAGACAAGGGCACCCUAACAUAUGGUUAAUAUUAUUCUUGAAAGAAAAUCCUUUGAUUCAAAAUACUUCAAACCUAAUAAUACAAUACUUCUCACAUCUGAAAAAUAUGAGACGGCCCGACAGUAUUCUAAUCGACGCAAUAAUAUUUUGAGGGCAGCACUACUACAGCGACCCUCAUUCGUGCCGGUGCUGGGACUCCUAUCACGACCCUGAUACAAAUGAGGGUACAUUAUUGGUGCCAGUGCUAGAACAGCCACGAAUAACUUGCUAAACGUGCUGUUACACUCACUACAGGGACCAAGAAGGUAGAUAAAUUACACGACAUAGCCUUGGUUGCCGUGGAAGCGCCAAGAAGGGAGACAAAUUACAGGGACCACACCAUCAAGUAGAUAGUGACAAUAUGCAAAAGAAUACCCGCGCCUGUUAGCAUGUGAACUGACCACACCACGAAACGUGAUACACGGCAAGCGUACCAAGGCCUUGCUGUGCAGACUAUGCAUGGACAACACAUGGUACCUGACCGCUUUUGGCCUCAGACACAUCGAAAAACUGCAUCGUUCCACGUUGUACAUCCAUUGCUAGUUUAUCUAUAUUACAUAAUAUAUUAUUAGCUAUUUGAAUAGAAUGAACCAAUUAAAAAAUUGCGUUGUAUUUUUAGUACCGGCUGCAGGAUGGUGUUACCAACCAGUACUAAUUGGCCUGUAGGAGUGAUGGUUAUUAGACUUGGUACUGUUGUUAGCAUCAUUAACCUAAUUGUGCGCCGUAUGAAUUUGGGGAUGCAAAGCUAGCUCUCUAUGAAUGUGAGGGAUGGAAAGCUAGUUCUCUAGUAGUAAUUAUAUAUAUGACAGUCAAGAAAUCGAACACUAUGCUGCUACGAGUCACCAUCAUUUCCUUCAUUGACAAUCUGACAUAGGUGAAGCUGCUUCAAUAAUUUCCUUCGCGCAGUCGUGGAGCUUAUUGGAUUAUCACCAGGACGGGACACGGAAAUGGCCAGCAAUGAAGCUGAUUGCCGUCUGAGGAAGACUACAUACUUACCUAUGAAAUGAAGCGAUUGCAUAGACUAAUGAAGCAUUGCAUAUUUGCAUGUGAGUGUGGCAGAUAAUUCUGCAGGACAUGAUUGCAAUCCACGCACCAUCGAGAAGACUGGGGCGAUGGGGUUGCCUCAUCAAUAAUCACGUGGAUGCAUGCAUGCAUGUUCCCGCAACCGGACAAGGGUCUGAUAUAUGGCUAUAGUAUUACUGAGCCCACAUCAAUAAUUUCCACUGGUGUAUCGUGUGGGAAGAAUCAACAUACUACACCUCGAGUUCUUGGAACUAACUGACGUUCACAUGCAACCUCCACAAGGUGCUGUAUGCUUUUGACAUUCACCUGCCAGUUCGUGUAGAGAAGGACACCCUAACGUAUAGUUAAUAUUAUCCAUUUCAUGAGUAAAAUACUGUGAUUCAAAAAUACUUCAAAUCCCUUGAGACAAUACUUCUCACUUGACUAACCACUAACCAACCCCGAAACCCUAACUCAACUCCGAACCCUAACCCCUAACGGCAUAACCACUCCGUUUUGCCGGCGAGAUGGAGGAACUGGCUGGAAGGUAGAGAGGGCAGCGGUCCAGGGUUGAAAACGACGGGCGAGCGCAGUAACAUGUGGAGGAGGAAGUGCCACGUAUUCGUUCACCGCUAUUGGGCAGCGACACACGACACGCCCAAUAAGAUCUUCGCACGGUAGAAGGACGUCAUGUAUUCAAUAAUGUUAUUGGUCCCCCAUGUGCAGAAGGGCGCGCGCGUAUGGAAUAACAAGUAGGGACACUGCAACUAAUCUACUCUGCUCGUCCAGUCCCUAGCCUAUAAAUAGAUGCCAUGCUAGCUCUUGUUGUGCUCACAAUUAAUCCGAUUACACACGAGCUUCUCUCCCUGGCCAAGACACAACCAUAGUAUGAUGAAGAACAUGGCACUAGCCGGCAAUGGUAUGAAGAAGUUAAUCCUCGCUGUUCUCUUACUGUGUCUAGUUAUAGGGCAGAUACAAGUGGAAGCUAAGAGCUGCUGCCCAUCCACCACUGCAAGAAAUGUCUACAAUACCUGCCGUUUCACGGGUACAUCCCGUCCAACGUGUGCAAAACUGUCAGGCUGCAAAAUUAUCAGCGGGAACAAAUGCAAGCCCCCUAACGACCACCUCACCCUUGACCCGGACACUGGUAAAUAAUAAAUUUAUCUCACUUGAUUUCUUCGUGAUUUGAGUCGUUAAUGUAUUUUCCAUCUGAUGAAACGUAUUGGUUUUGCAUUGAAGAGGAAGUUAAUGUGCUUAACUUCUGCAAGUUGGGGUGUGCGUCGUCUGUGUGCAACAACAUCAACGCUGGUAAGCAACUUUUGCUCAGACAGAGAAAACAAUAAUCAUUAAUUAGCGGCAGCUAGAAUCCUAUAAUCUAAUAUAUAUAUAUAUAUAUAAUUUUAUCAGCUCUGGGAAAUGAAGAGGCGAACGAUGCCGUUGAGAGUUGCGACCAAGCCUGCUCUAGCUUCUGCAGCGUGCAUGUUGGCAGCGCCACCGUGGUUGCUUAAGCAAAUGCAUCCAACUAGAUCGUCCUUGUGCUGAAUAAUUGGAUAUCGUAUCCACUUAAAGCUGCCUUGUGUAGUACGUCUUUGUGUCUCUCUUUAUAUUCCAAUAAGGUCGGUGAUCUUGAUGCCACACACUCAGAUGUGUGUUCAUCUCCAGAUACUACUCCAUGCUACCUGCCCUUUGUGUUUUGUUCAAUAACUGGGUAUCAUAUCCCAGCCAGUAUGCCGUCUGUUUUGUGUUUGUUUCCUUCUAGUUCCAAAGGGGUCAUCAUGAUGUUACCUUCUUUCAAUAUGGUGCUUUGCAUGACUACUGUUGUAUGGUACCAUCUUGUGGCCAAUAAGUACAUCUUAUCCUAUGACCUUUGCUAUGACCCUUUGCAAAUAAGUAGAAGAUUGUUAUAAGCGUCAAUACUCCGUAUAAAUUGAUCGCUGCUGUGAGUUCCCUUUCAGCUUAUCGUAGGCAUACAUUAUUGCUAGCACGGUAAAGCCAACCAACACGAAUGAUGAAGUAAACGUAGCGGUACUUCUGUAUACCAACACCCUUACUUAAAUGUACCGGUGUCAUUCCCUACUGGCACAUAUAUUCUUAUAUGCUAGCCAGCUUGUAAAAUUAACCAAUUAAAAUAAUUAUUUCAAGAUAGAAAUAACUUAUCGGUUUCUGGAAGCAUGUGUAAUGUGAAUUCAAGGACUCGACGGAAGUUGAAUCACUUCAUCUAUAUUGCUUUCAGUAUUUUGGGUAACUAAAUUUAACAUUUGCACAUACAAAUGUUAAAGUACAAAUGUUAAAUCUAGUUACCCAAGCAGAAUAUGAAGAUAGUUUAUAGUAUAUAUAUACUAUAUAAAUCUAGUUAACAUUUAGUCUAAAUGUUAAAUCUAGUUACCUAAAAUCCUGAAAGCAAAAUGUAUAAAUAUAUAUCUUUUAAGGCAGUAUAAGCUUCGAUUCCUAUUGCUGCUCUGUUAAAUCUCAUCUUUCGUUGUGGCCCAACACUCUAGUAUGCAUGUUGCACCAAGCUUCUUUGAGCCGCUCUGCCCUCUGAUUUUGCUGCGUAGGGGAAUCUUUAUCAGGUUGGGCUACUUCCAGUUGUGCGAUGUAAAGAUUCGUAUUUUCUAGAAGGUAGACAAAAAACUCGCGUUCUCUUAAGGCAACAACCGGAAGAUUCUGCAGCGCACAGGGCAUACCAUUAUUGUAGAAACGACCUUUAGUACCGAUCUCCAACCCCCUUUAAAACUGGUUUUGCAACCGGUACCGUUAUGUCGGUCCUUUAGUACCAGAUCAAAUAAGUACCGGUUGGUAACCAGUAUCAACUUGUUUUGCGGCCAAAAAAAUAAAGAAAAAAACAGUCAGAAGGCUCGCACACACGCGCAUCACAUGAAAUAUGCGUGUGCGGGGUCCAUGGGAUUCGAACCCAUGAAAUCAAGCUGCACGCGACCCUUCGUUACCAUCUCACCUACAUAGCGCAUAUGCUUUCCUGAAGUAACCCGUGGAGGAGGCUUUAGUACCGGGUCAUAACACCACCCGGUACUAAAAAUGACUCUUCAGUACCGGGUCAUAACACCACCUGAUACUAGUAUCGGAUGGUGUAAUGACCCGAUACUAAAAGGCCUCUAGGGACCCUCAAAUUUGAACCCGGUACUAAUGCUAAUAUUAGUAGCGGGUCAAAGUGCAGCCAGAACUAAAGCAUGGGAUGAAAGGUCAUAUUUCUAGUAGUGUAUAGUUGUUGUGAAGGACUGACUUGGCUGUCCUCUCUCUUCUCCAUCCCCUUGGUCUUACGCCGCCGCUCGCACGCGAGCCGGUGCCCAACCAGAGGAGUGAGAGCUAGGGGCAGGUUGGGAGGUGGGGAUAGUGACUGGUGGCCAGGGUGAUGGUUGAUCCUGGUGGGGUUAGGGUUUCAGGGUUUUCGAGCUUCCUAUGGUCGGCGAACCUAGAGGAGAAGCUCAACAUCAGCUGCAACCCGCGAUGGUGGUGGUUUGGCCGGCGCCCGAGGCGAGGCAGCGCGGGAGUGCUGCCGGUGGGUUGGUGUUGGCACUCAUUAUUGACAACUAUUUUGUUCAUAAAAUAACACUCAAACUUGCUGCUGCUGCUGCUGCCAUCGCCACCCUAGCCAUAAUAUAAAGGCAAAAUUUGCUAAAGGACAUGCAAAAUGAUGCUAGUUUGCUGGCGGGCAUCGUUGACCUUGUAAUAUGCUACAAGACACUCUAGUUGUGUAUCAAUUUGCUGAAAGACAUUGCUAUGACUAAAAUAAUGUUUCUGGACUGAGUUGGAGAGAGAGAUGGAGUGAAAUGUCUGUUUUGCCCAUGACCCCACUGGUCAGAUCCUUCUUCUUCCACCCUCCUUUGUUCUUUCUUCAACCAUUACCCAGCUCCAGCGUGUUGCAGAUCUACGAGGGUGGCGGCCUGGGGCGAGGGGCAUCGCUCGCCCUUGGAGGAGCGCUGCGAGCGACGGCGCGGGGGCGGCAACAGCGCGUCAGAACCUGACUGUUCGUUAGCUCCUCUCGCUGCUGGGGAAGAAGGAGGGGGAUGGGCCAUGGACGGGGUUCCCUUGAAAACCUCAGCGUCGAGCUCGGGCGGCUACGCGCAGGCAGCACUAGGCUGCUUCACGGGGAGGGGGCGCGGCCAAUCAUUGGCACCCCACUGGUCCAAUGCUGAUGAAGAUGGUGCCAGCGUCGUGUGAGGACAUCUCAUCUCCUCGAGUUCCAUGGCCAGCACAGGUGAGCUGCCGCUACCACAAAACAGAGGUUUCGUGAGAGUCAAAAAACCUUAUGAAAAUAGCUAAAACCAUCAUGAAAAUAAUCCGUGACAUGACACUCUCACGAAAAUCCUCUCACAAAUAUGGUGCCAUGAAAAUACCAUUUUCAUGAGAGUGAACUGUCAUGAUUUUAUAAGCGUCAAUACUCGGUAUAAAUUGACUACUGCUGUGAGUUCCCUUUCAGCUUAUCGUAGGCAUACAUUAUUGCUAGCACGGUAAAGAGAACCAACACGAAUGAUGAAGUAAACGUAGCGGAACUUUUGUAUACCAACACCCUUACGUACCGGUGUCAUUCCCCACUGCCACAUAUAUUCUUAUAUGCUAACCAGCUUUGAAAAUUAAGCGAUUAAAAUAAUUAUUUCAAGAUAGAAAUAACUUAUCGGCUUCUCGAAGCUUGUGUAAUGUGAAUUCAAGGACUCGAUGGAAGUUGAAUCGCUUCAUCUAGAUUGCUUUCAGGAUUUUGGGUAACUAAAUUUAACAUUUGCACACACAAAUGUUAAUGUACAAAUGUUAAAUCUAGUUACCCAAGCAGAAUAUGAAGAUACUCUAUAGUAUAUAUGUACUAUAUAAAUCUAGUAAACAUUUAGUCUAAAUGUUAAAUCUAGUUACCUAAAAUCCUAAAAGCAAAAUGUAUAAAUAUAUAUCUUUUAAGGCAGUAUAAGCUUCAAUUCUCUGUUAAAUCUCAUCUUUCGUUGUGGCCCAACACUCUAGUAUGCAUGUUGCACCAAGCUUCUUUGAGCCGCUCUGCCCUCUGAUUUUGCUGCGUAGGGGAAUCUUUAUCAGGUUGGGCUACUUCCAGUUGUGCGAUGUAAAGCUUCGUAUCUUUUAGAAGGUAGACAAAAUACCCGCGUUCUGGAAGAUUCUGCAACGUGCACGUUGGCGCUGCCACCGUGGUUGCUUAAGCAAAUGCAUCCAACUGAAUCGUCCUUAAGCUGAAUAAUUGGAUAUGGUAUCCACUGCUUAAAGCUGCCAUGUUUAGUACGUCUUUGUUUUUCUCUCUUUAUAUUCCAAUAAGGUCGGUGAUCUUGAUGCCACACACUCAGAUGUGUGUUUAUCUCCAGAUACUACUCCAUGCUACCUACCCUUUGUGUUUUGUUCAAUAACUGGGUAUCAUAUCCUAGCCAGUGUGCCAUCUGUUUUGUGUUUGUUUCCUUCUAGUUCCAAAGGGGUCAUCAUGAUGUUACCUUCUUUUGAGGUGUCUAUGAUGACUUCGUUAAUAUCAAUAUUAACCAAUUCAAUCUGUCUUAACUAUUUGUAAGGGGUAUGAUGUAUGCAUGAUUAUAACAAUGAUUGCGCAUACAAUCGCCGCCAAAGAAACGGUCAAUACCAUUAAGACAUAUUACAGACAAUUCUCAUAAUCUAUAAUGAAUAUACAUAUUCACUACUGCAGAAGACUGUCAUUUGUAUCGGCUCAUACGUGCCAGGGCAAAGGUCACCCUUGCAUUAAGUACAUUUGCACGGUAAAGACAACCAACACGAAUAAUGAAGUAAACAUGCCGGUGCUUUUGUACACCAACACGCUUACUUAAAUGUACUGGUGUCAUUCCUCACCGGUAGCCGGCUUGAAAAUUAACCAAUUAGAACAAUUAUUUAUUGUAUCGGUGUGAUUUUUGACCUAUUGGAAUAUGAAUUUGACCGUUACUGCAUUCGUCAAGACUCAAGAGAGAAAUAACUGAUCGGCUUCUUAGAGCGUGUGCAAUGUGAAAUCAAGGACUGGAUGGAAGUUGAAGCGCUAGCACUAGUAGAGAAACGACUUUCCAUCCACCCCCUUUUGUCCCGGUUUAAAGUUGGCUCGGGAUAAAAGGUUCACCAACCGGGACUAAAACUCAGUCACUGGUGGGAGGCUCACCAACCGGAACCUUUUAUCCCGGUUGCAAAGGCUAAUGGGAAAAAAAGACUCUGAGAGGCCUUUUAUCCCGGUUUGAAACACCAACCGGGAUAAAAGACCCCCCUUUUAUCCCGGUUGGUAACACCAACCGAGAUAAAAGGGUCAAGAGCCUUUUAUCCCGGUUGGAAACACCAACCGGGAUAAAAGACCCCCUUUUAUCCCGGUUGGUGUUUCAAACCGGGAUAAAAGGGCCCCCACGAGGUGACUGGAAGGUGACUGGAAGGGGAUUAAAUCGUGGGGGACCCUUUUAUCCCGGUUGGAAACACCAACCGGGAUAAAAGGGGGUCUUUUAUCCCGGUUGGUGUUUCCAACCGGGAUAAAAGGGUCCCCCACGAGUUAAUACAAAAGGAUAGUAUCCCCUACAUAGUCAGAUGUGGUGUGUAGGUGGGAUGGUAAGGAAGCUACGCGCGAGCUCCGGAAUUUUUUUUUUUUUUUUUUGCAGCGUCGGCGCUCUCUACCCUUUUAUCCCGGUUGGUAUUACCAACCGGGAUAAAAGGGGGUCUUUUGUCCCGGUUGAGUGACCCGGGAUAAAAGACCCCCCCUUUUUUCCCCGGUUAGUUUAUCCCGGAUGCAUUUUCGGGAUAAAAGCACCCUACCAACCGGGAUUAAAGCUCACUUCUCUACCAGUGUAGCUUCAUCUUCCGCUGCAAGUUAAUUGCUUGGAUAAGAAGUUGUAGCCGCUGCAAGUUAUAAAUAGUCCCGCUGAUGCUGUGCUCCGAAGUCUAUACUAUAUAUGCGGAAACUAGAUUGCUUUCAGGAUUUUGGGUAACUAAAUUUAACAUUUGUACAUAAAAAUGUUAGUUUACGAAUGUUAAAUCUAGUUACCCAAGCAGAACAAGAAGAUAGUAUAUAGUAUAUACUAUAUAAAUCAAGUUAACAAUUAGUCUAAAUGUUAUAUCUACUUACCCAAAAUAUUGAAAGCAAAGAAAGAAUAAGUAUAUAUCUUUUGUUGGAAAAUUGGUCCACGGAGAGGCCCAUUUAGGCCUCGUUCGUUUCACCGGGAUGGGAUUCCAGUCAGGAUUACUUCCAAGUUCGGUUUGAGUGAUUCCACCCGUGUCACUCAAUCCGGCUAGGAUUCAUUCUAUGGGUGAGGAGGUAUGGUUUCAAUCCAGGCCAUCUAAUGUAGAAGGAUUCCAAUCCAGGCCGGUUUUCGUUCCAGGCCAGACUAAAACGAACAACACUUUCAAUGCAAGUCUGGUUUCAAACCGGGCCAUUUCAAACCACCCGGAAUGGACCUCGUUCCAGGCCAAUCCGGUGAAAACAAAUGAGGCCUUAAUGGAAUCCCAAAGCAAGAGUUCAGUGGCAUUCUAUAGUCCCAUGCUGCUAGUUUGAGUUGGUCGAAGCCAACUUAAAUAGGAGAGCUCUCUCACUUCUCUAAAUACGUAACUGAAGGAGAGAAGGGGGCUUGGGUUACACAACGCACGCACGCACGCAUAUUUGCGUUCUUUUCGCGUAACCAACCGCGUGACUUGAAACUUGCGACGUAGCGUGCUGCUAAGUCAAGUUGAUAUAACCUUUUUGCCGUUUGCAUGUAAUCUUUUGACAACGGUCAUUGGAGGUGAUAAGCACGCAGUCAAUACCUUAAUCUUGAGUUAAUAGGGUGGUUACUACUGCCAAUUAGUGGGGCAAUUUUGUAGGGGAAACGGUUAGCAGAGGGCUACCGUCUUCUCUAUAAGAAGUUCUGGAGACGUCCAGGAACACACAUGUACAUGUGAGAGACCCACAAAUUCCUUCCCUUCUCCCUUUUCCAUGUGGUGAAGUGUGCUGUGGUACUGAGCUGCUUGAUCUCGCCGCUCUUCUCCUUGGCAUGCACCGAGGAGGAGGGUGAGCGGUAUCUCCGAGCUAUUGCCGUCAGGAAGCCUGCACGAGGGACAACAAAAAGUUUUUGGGUAGCGCAACUGCCAGCACAACUCUCCCUCCGCCUCUUCUUCACGGUUGAUGGCCACCACAAGCAUAAACCUCGCCUUCGCAUCCACGCAAAAGGGUCGCUGGGGUGCCUUCUUGCAUCGCUUCUCAGCCUCCUUGACUUGCGGCCAGCCAAGAACUGCGCCACCACCUCGGGUGCACGCCACCACUCCAGGGCUGCUACCCCAUGCCUGCGGCCGCCGCCGGCCACCACGCGUGUGCAACCGCGUCGCACCGCUUCCUUGCUUUGUGCCACCACUGCUGCUGUACCACCAGCUCCACCACCUUGGGCUGGUCGCCAGAGUGACUGAUAACUUAUUAUCUGUAACUACUAUUAACUCAGGGAUACAUGCGUCUUUUGCUUCUCCUACUAAUAUGUCCUAAAAUAUCUAGGAUGCCUUAUAUUUCUGGACAGAGGAAGUAUUUGAAUAAAAUGAACCAAUUUAAAAAAAUGUGUUGUACACUACUACAGAAAGACCUAUCAGUGUCAAACCCAAAAAUGUUGUCACCGCCAGUUUUGGGCAUCAUUGGUGAAAGGUUGGCGGUGAUGGGCUUUCCCUUCAACAACGGCACUGGAGCCGACGGUGAUUGACAUUAGAAAACAAAAAAGGGGACCCUACCUAGCCACCCCUGCAACCCGGCCGGCCGUGCCUCCCCUCAUCCCCACCACCUCGCCUCCCCAUGACCCCCCGCCGGCGCCCUUGCGCCUAGCCCCCUCAACUGCCCAGCCGGCCACCCUCAUCACGAGAGAGAGGUGCAUGUUGUAUAAUUGCGUGAAUUUUUUAAUGUUUAAUUUCAUGUAAGUUCCGUGUAAUAAAUUGUACAAGUUUUAUUGUAUAUAUGAAUUCCAUAUAUAUAUAUAUAUAUUUAUAAUUUAAUGUAUGGUUUCAUGUGUAUAUUUCAAUCAUGUGUAUAUUUAGUAGAUUGCCGAUUUUCUUUUUCUACUAGACAAGGGUUGAUGUAUAAUUACGUGUAUAUGUUUAUUGUACGGGCAAUUAGGACAAGUUUUGUAUAAAUUUCUUUUAUUUGAUGGUUGUUGUAUGGUUUCAUGUAUAUACAUUUAUUGUACUACUUUAGACAAUUUUUAAUUUAAUGUUUCUAUGAUUAGAUGUGUGUAUAACUAAUUGUAUUAUUAGUUAAGAUGGGAGCUAAAGAGGAUGAAAGGUAUAUAAUGGAGCAGAUUAUUGCUAGCUCAAACGUUGCAAGAACCUACACCGAGGGUGAGGGUAGCUAGGUGGACAUGUACCUCAACAUGUCCAGUGAUGGCAAUGACGAUGAGGAGCACGAGCAUGACAUCUAUGAUAAUGCGGAACAAGACAUUGCAGAAUUGGAAGGUUCUAAUGAGGUGUGCUUCAUGUUGACAAUCUAGUUGGCUUUUUUUCGUUGGUCACACCUUAGUUACCAUAGAACUUCGUCUCGGGAGAAGAUUGGUGGUGGUAUGGUGAUUGGAAUUUUAUUUCCACGAAAUCUGAUUUCCAUCGAAUCAUAUCCCUUGUAUUUAUCUUCUUUUUAUUUGUGAGAGCAUCUUCUUUAUGCUUGCAAAACAAUUCAAGUGCACAUACUACCCCUAGGGUGACGAUUGGGAGUAGAAAUAAUUGCCAACAAAACAACACCACAUCCUAAGAUUCUUAACUUGUGGCAUAAUUAGUCUAGUAAAAAGAAAGAUAAAAACCUAAUGGGUGUAUGUGAGUGCAAUGUGUAUAUGCAUAUGAGUGGAAGGCAUAUAAGCAAAGACAAUAUUUACACAUAGUUCUAAACACCAUGUUUACAGCUAGGUUGCUGAAUUUCUCCAUAGCCAUAGAGAUUAAUUAACCAAGGUCAAAACACGAUGUCUAUCCCAAGAUCAGUAAUUAUUUAUAGCACAAGAAAAAGAAAGCGCAUUGCAAAGUUUAUAAACCAACCAAUACAGCAUGAAAACAAGAUGAAUAGCUAGCAAGGUUUAUUAAACUGAAUGAUGACGGUCUGUAAGCAAGUUUAAACACCAUCUUUACACAAGAUUGCAAAUGGAAAAUGCCCAUAUGAAGCACUAACAUGGAUAUGAAAUCAUUCAUCAUAAAGCGUAAAGAACAACCAAGCCAACCAUAUGCAAAGCAUGAAUGGAAUGCAAUGAAGGUGCAAGAGAACAUUUUUGGAUGAACACAUUAUGAUGAUGGCAAAAUGCAAUGCAUGCAGAAAAAAUAAAUAUGAACAUGAAUAUGAUGAUCAGGGGCGGACCCACUAUUGUGGCCUGGGUAUUCCUCGGCAUACCCAAUAUUUUUGGGAAAAUGUUUAGUAGUUUUUAAUGGCAUAUACAUGUAUAAUAUAGUUUAGGUGUUAAAAUUGAUAUUCACAGCUAUUUUGGGCUCCAAUUCGCGUCCAAACCAACCUGGCCCACAGACCGCACCCGGCCGCCCGGCCCAUCGGCCCAUCUUGUCACUGAUCCUCCCACCACCACACUCAGCCCGUCAGUUAGUCAGGUCCCGAGCUCCUGCCUGACCUAGUCCGCUACCACCGCCAGGCGCCAGGCACAGCUGUACACGCCGCCCCCGUCCACCCACGUCCGCCGCACGGCCGCGUCGCGCCCCCCCCCGGCGCCCGCUGCUGCCAGAACCCAUUAGGCCUCCACCGGCAAGUCCACCCACAGUCCCGCGCGACGCGGCAGCCUCUUGGCUCUCGGCGCUCGCGGCGCGCCAAUGCCUGCGCAGCCCCAGCAGGCGACUGCCCCCCCCCCCCCCGCAUCGGGCCUCGGCCCCUCCCCAGCUCCCCCUCCCCCCUCCACCAGGACUGCCUGCUGGCCCCCACCGCGAGGUAAUCGAAAUGGACUGCUCAAUCUCUCAAUCUGUUGACAUGAUGCACACGGUUGCAAAAAUAGAUGUGUCAAAAUAGAUGUAUUGCCAAUUGCUAUAGAUGCAUAUGGUUGACAUGAAGAAGUCAAAAAUGACAUUUGGUUCCUUGUAGGCAGUCAAAAAUGAAGAAGUCAAACAAUAUUGAUCUGAAAUCAAUGCGGGAAAGGGCUACGAAGACACACGGGUAGAUUCCCUUGUGAACUUUUUAUGUCGUUCGUCUAAAUAUAUUUUUGCAAUGGGCAUACCCUACUCUGAAAUCCUGGGUCCGCCACUGAUGAUGAUGGUCUAAACAUAAAACAAGCCUAGAUUAAUUAGCUACAACUGAAAUUAAGCAAAGGUUAAUGUCAUUGACCCUAGCUCUAUCCUAGCUUUUACUAAAGUCCCGGCACAUAUAGUGGUUGGGCCCACUCUCUCUACUUCCCUCUCUGCUGCAUGCACACACACGAGCAACUGGAGGCCCAACAAAGCCCAGAAGGGUUCGGCCGAACCCGUCCGAUCCAGUCUGAGCGCCGCUCCCUCCCAGCCUUCGCGCAGAUGCUCCUCCAACGUUCCUUGACCCCUCCCUCAGUGUCCCAUUGGGUUUAACAUUGUAGGAGAGGAGUCCCUUUUUUAAAAUCUCAACCACCUCCUCUCCUCAUUCACUCCACUCUCAUCUCCAUCAAACUCACCAAGAUCCACAUCGGAAAUACCUGCUUACCACCAUGGCUGGCAAAGCCCUCGUCCCUUUCACCAACUUGGGCUUGACCAUUGAUCUCGAUGGGAAAAUCACUCCAGCAAAUGUCAUUGUCCCUGUCGGCGAUCUGGCGAUGGAGGAGGUCCAGGCACUAGAGGUCGAGCCCCUAGCCAUCAUACCGCCCAAGGGGUAAAGCAGGAGCAUGACAGGCGCUGCUAGGGGUUCAGCCGAACUCCCAGUUCAGCCAAACGAGGACGGCGUCGCCUCGGCCUCCCGCUCGACUGCAUGCUUCCCCUUGCCAAGGAGGACUCCAGAACAGCGGGCGCGUGCGUCAAGUCCCUACAAAAGGCUGAAAUACAAUGAAUAUCCAGGGUCACCCUUGAAGAUGGGUGAACGCUACGCCGGGUCCUUGUUUGACUAGUACGGCGAUGCAUUCUGCCACCGCUAUGUCGUUGUCGAGAUUAGCGGAUCAAGACUUAGACUAGUAAAUUUCUUUUAUGCGCGUAAGGCUUCAGAUGGUGGCGUGGGAGACAUGGGUUUUAUACUAGUUCGGGCAAUGGAAUACCCUACGUCCAGUGUCUGGAGCUGCUUGUGUUGCCCACGCGGGGUUCUGUAGUAGGGGUUACAGGUGUGCGAGAGAGGGAGCUAAUCCCAGGUCUCUUAGGCGUGUUCCGGUCCUCUAGAUGGGAGAAGUGUGUUCUGUUUGCUUGGGAGUAUCGGUUGUGUCUGAGUUGUCUCCGGAGCCUCCUCCCGUCUCAGGUCCCCGAUUCUCCUUUCAUAGCACAAGGAGACCAUCGGGGUUACAGACGAGACCGAGCGUGGGGAGGAGUAAAGAGAUAAACAUAGCUAGGUAAAAAUACAACAAGAAAGGGGGGAACCAAGUUUCUAGGUCACCGGCGUCCUCGCCGGCCUUCGACUUCCGCCGGCGCAUUUGUCGGAGGAGGGUGGCCGCCAUCGCGUUCUGUCGAUGGCUUCCUCGGUGACUGUAGCCACCGGGCGUGAUGAUGGCAUUUCGUCGUGACCCUUUGUCUGUUGGGGGAGGCGGCGGAUCCUGCCAUUCUGCUGACGGCUCGCGGAGUGCGAACGUCGCAUCCCUGCCGCUGGGCACGCGGGGCGCGAGAACGUGCGAGGCUUCCCCCUACCCCAGGCGGCGCAGGCCAUGAGUGCCCUGUGGCAAAUCGGAGGAGGCCGCAGCUACUGUAGCUUGUACUGUGCAGCCACGUAUGGGUACUUGUGGCAGGUUGCGUGGUGGAUGCGGAUAUCCUUCUCCCUGACAGAUCUGCGGCGCAUUUAUGGCGAGAUCGACAUGGGGACCCACAAGACCCGCGCCCAAGGCGGAUACUUGUCUGGAGGGCCCGGGUUAGCCUGACCCCCUACGCUUGGGGUCGGGCGAGGCGGAGACUUGCGGCGGGGCGUCGGACGCUCCCGACACUAGACCUGCGGUCGCGCAAGGCGGAGCUUGGUCUUCCGGGGGUCGGGGGUGCCGGACCCCAGGAUGCGGGGUCGGGCGAGGUGGAGCGUAAUUCUUGCCUCCCAUGUUGGGCCGAUGGCAGUCUUUGUUACCUCUAGUGGGCUUGGGCCUUUAUGUUUUGUUGUUUCCAUGGGCUUCGAGAGGUCGUUAAUAUUUCCCCCCAACAGUAGCCCCCGAGCCUGUGGUGGAGUGGGGGCGCUCCUCCGGAGGCUACUAUCAUCGCCCCUAGGGAAUCCUCGCAGUUGAUCCGGGAUAGGAGGUGUUGUUUGCACGGCUUGACCGAGGGGGUCGAUUAGGCGACGCAUCCUGUGAGCGACUCGGUGCGGGAGGGUUUCUUGUUGUUCCCUUCUGUCUGAGAGCCUUAAGUCGAGACCACCUGCGUGGCCUUUGGUUGCAAGGCCAGCCCCCGAGCCCCCGCACGUUGCAGGGGACCGGUCGGAGGCUAGGUCGACUUUUGUUCAUUACCCUCAAGCGUCUGUUCGCUAGGACGGAGGGGGCGAGCCGUGCCAUGCUAUCCUCAUCGGACGAACCAUGGUGCUCAUUGAGUUACUAACGGGUUGAUUCGAGUGGGAUCCCGGUCCCCGUUCGGGGGGGGUCCGGCUUGGGCCAAGCUGGUGGCGUACCCCAGGCUCCGGUCGGCCAGUUCAUAUAGUUCCUGAGUCCGUUCGGUCGGACCGGGGGCUCAUUGCCUUUCUUCGGGGAAAAACCAUGAACUUUGAUGCCGGUCCAGACUCGAAUGUGAGAUUGAGACGCCCGGGGCUGUCGCGUGCCCGGGUGAUGGCCGCUAGCGGACCCGUCUCCUCUCACCCCUCACUCGGGGGUAUCCUGAGGCGGCUGUCGAACCCGUGGCGGGCCAGCCUUCGAACCUCUGGAUCGUAAUGGGCCGUAGGGGCGUUUUCAGCCCCGUAUCCCUUUUUACCUUUUGGUGGGCCUUGGGCCGAAUCAUGGAGGAGGUCGGGCCUUGGGCCGGAUGCGGAGGAUGUCGUGCCUUGGGCCGGAUGUGGGGGACGUCGUGCGUGUCUUCCGGGAGACGAAGUGGUGGAGGGUGCCAACCCGCGAAUCGAGGGAGGAGGGGAUGUUUCUACUGCAGGUCAUGCGCACGGUUUCCGAAAAGGCAGCGGGCGUGACGGGACGUACCUCGCGCCGCAUUUAUUGCGAUGGGGGCGUCUGUUCUGCUUCCCUCGUGCCUUCCCUAUAAAACGAGGACUUCGCCUCGCCGGUUCCGCCCGCCAUCUACCUUCAAGCCUUUUCGCCUCCUCGCGCGCCCUUAGCUUUCCUGUGCCCGCUUCGUCUUCCUCCGCCCAGUGCCGCGCCCUUUCUCCCCAUCCGCCGUCGAGUUCUUCUCCCUCCGGCGAUGGGAUCCUGGGCGCGUUCCCACUUCGGCCCCUCACGCGCCGAAGGCCUAGUGAGGAAAGGCCUCCUUUGCGAGAGGACGGAGACGGAUGAGUGGGGGUUCCCUGAGAUGGAAGAGGUGCCGACUCCGCCCACCGGCUACGUCGUUUCCUUUGCCCACUUCCACGAGAGGGGGUUUGCGACUCCGCCGAGCCUCUUCUUCCGCGGGCUUUUGUAUUACUACGGGCUUGAGCUGCAGCACCUCAACCCCAACGGGAUUCAGCACGUCGCGGCGUUCGUUGCGGUGUGCGAGGGGUUCCUGGGCAUUGAGCCCAACUUCUCGCUGUGGAAGUACUUCUUCACGGUCAGCCUAUACCAGAAGGCCGAGAAGAGGGGAAGCCAGCAGCGGUCGACCCCGGUGCCGAUAGGGUGCGUCGGAAUCCACCUCUGCCAUACUCGCGCCAAGGAGUAUAUCGCGAUGAAGACCGCGGCAUCCCACAAGGGGUGGCACCAGCAAUGGUUCUACGUGAAGAACUACUCCAACCCCCCCUGCCGGAGUUCACCGGCCGCAUUAUUGAAGCGGCGCCGGAGGUGUGGGUGUACGGCCCGGUGGAGAAGGAGAAGAAGCGGAUCACCGGCCUGCUGCAGGCCAUCGAGCACCUGAAGGAGAGGGGACUGACCGGAGCCGGAGUCAUCGGGGCGUACCACGCCCGGCGGGUGGCGCCGCUGAUGCUCCGGGUCCGCUCGCUCGCCGACAUGACCCCCGGUGCUCUCACCGAUGGCACUGUCCUCGCGACGGGUGCUCUCGCUGCCUCCGAGAUCCGGCAGCGGAUCCGGGAGGCGCUGGAGGACAAGGACGCCGAUUACCCGGUGCCCGGCCACCCUCCGAUGCGCCCGGACGAGAAUUUCAUUGAUCUGGUAAGGAUUUUGCGCGCCAGUUUCCCUCUCUUGCGUUUCUUGGUAUGCCGUUCUGACGCGAGGCCCUCUGUGUUUGCAGGGUAGCAUGACCCGGGUCGUCGACUUGCGUCCGCCAGUGUCGGAGGACGCCGAGUGGCGGUAGCAGAACCGUCUCCUUGCCGAGAAGCAAAAGUGACGCAAGGACAAGAGACAGCGAAGAAGAAGAAGAGGGCCGCCAAGGAGUUCCAGCGGCGGCGGUGGGGAUAGGUCGUGUCGGAUGACGAUGACGAUGAGAAGGAGGAGGAGGAUGACGAGGAGGAGGAGGAGUUUAUCCUGUCCCCCCGGUCAGGGGCGCUUGUUAUCCGGGAGCCGCGCUCCCAAGCGGCCAUGGGGGACAAGGCGGGCGAGCUGCCUGCCCGGACCCGAUCCUGCGAAGCUUUGGGGGCGCGCCCCAGGGGUCGGCGCAGAGCGCCCCCCGGGGGUCGACGGAGCCGACCCCCAUCCCUACACCUGCAGCCCAGGAGCAGAGGAGCAGCGACAAGCGGCCGUUGCCAGAUGCCCCGGGGUCGGCGUCCAGCUCAGAGGCGAAGCGCGCGCGCCGCCCUUGCGCUGGGGGAACGUGAGUUGAAUUUCCUUGCGAAUCUCGUUCCUUUCCAUGCAUUGUGUUUGUUUCCGCUGAUGCUGUUUGUUGUCUCACAGCACCGCCCCUCAAGGCCUUGUCCCGCCGUUGGCGCCAAAGAAGGCGUUGCGGUGUUGUCGCCUCUGCGGGGCGGACCGCGGCUCCGCCGGCGGCGAGUGGCGGGGUCACUGGUGAGACCGCGGGUCCUACCGCGGAGGUGGCCCCUGCGGCGGCAACCGGUGGAGUGGUGCCACCGCCGGGCAUGGGACAGGGUCUGGACCCCGCUCCGUCCUCCGCCUCUUCGGCCGACCCCGCGGUGCAGAGUAUCGCUCCUGGGGGCCCUCAGGCCGGGGAGGUGAUUGACCUCGACGCCGACGAGGUGGAGGAGACGGCGGCGGUGGAGACGGGGGCGGUUGCCCCAGCGGCCAUGACGGGGACGACGACGGCGACGGGGGAAGGAGAGUCUACCCCCGCGGCCACGGCGGGGACAGUGGCGACAGAGGAGGCGGGGACGCCCGCCCCGGCGGCUGCGACGGAGGAGGCGGCGGUGACGGAGACGGGGGCUUCCGCCCGGGAAGCCACAGCCGAGGUGGCAGCGGCGACGGAGGUGAAAGUGCCUGUUCUGGAGGCCACGGUGGGGGUGGGGACGCCUGCCUCGUGGCCACGACGGAGGGCGAGGCGGCCCCAGGGACACUUGCUCCGGCACCCGCGUUGGAGGCGGUGGCGCCGACGGGUUGGCCCGUGGCGGCCUCGACGGGGGCGGGGGUGCGUGCGCCGGGACCGUCGGUGAGGCCGGCGACUUCCGGGAUGGUGGUGCCCGUCUUGACGGCGGCGGCGGCGCGGUCGGCCCCCGCCCUUGCCUCUACCACUCCCAUUCCCAAGGCGUGGAGCGGAUCCGUCCUGCGUUGGUCGUCUCGUGACGACCCGCAGAGGCCCCUCUUCACGUUGGAUGAUGCCACAGAAUGGGGCAAGUGGCAGGCGCUGCAGGGCGGACUCGCUAACGUCCGCGCCGCUCUAUCUUCGGCGUUGGGGGAGCUGGACGGCGUCAUCUUCCCCGGUGGCCGGGUAUGGUGCUUUCUCCGUUGGUUAUUUUCUUCCCGUUACUUCGUCCCUGAUGGCACAUUGUUCUGCAGGCCCUCCAAGAAUGUAGCCGGGGAAAAUCUGAUUUCCUUUGGCUCGAGCAGGGGCUCUGGGAGCGCUUCAACUUGGAGUUGCAGCGGACCGGGGAGCUGACCAUGCAAGUCGCCACCGUCUAGCAUGUCAUCGACGAUCUGCGAAGGCACGAGCAGGCGGCACAGGAGGACGCGCGGCGGGCGGAGGCCAAGUUCCAGGUCGUUGCCGAAAGGGCUCGCUGCGACCGCGAGGAGUUCCAGGCCGUUGCCGAAAAGGCCCGCCACGACGCUGAGGAGCUCGCACGGCUGAAGGUGCAGCAUGAAGCUCUUCAGAAGAGCGGCAGAGGGCCUGGCAGGACCGGGACGCCGAGAAGGUCCGGAAGGAGGAGGCUGAGAAGGUGGCGGCCAACCUUGGGGCUGAGGUCAGCCAGCUCCAAGUGCAAGCGCGAGAGCUUCAGGCCUCCGUGGCCCAGGGGCUCGACCAGGAGCGCCAGCUGAAGGCCUAAUCCGAGGGUAUGACUCUGUUUAUUUCUUUGUCUUUGUGAUGUUGCGGUGAUAUUUUAUUUGGCGGGUUCUUCUGGAUGAUCCUUGCAGAUGAGCUCAACUGGCUGAGGGAGGUGCUUGACGCGGAGCGCGCUGAGCACGGCGACCUGCGGGACGCGGUCCGCGUCAUCUGUGACUUCCUUAGUGUGGUCCAGGGGGAGGGGACGAGCUCGCUGGCGGCUCGUGUCCUCGGGACGUACCGCCGGACCAGCGAGAUCGCCCUGGAAGCGCUUCGCACCGGCUUGAGGCAAGCCUUUGGGGUCUUCGGCUCCCACUAUUCCGGCAUCAACUUCGCCGGGAUGAGCGGGGGAUACGCCACCGGCUACUACGAGGCCGAGCUGGAUGAGAUCGACGUGUCGGUGCUCAGCCCGGCGGAGGCCUUGGUGAAGCUCCUCGAGGAUGAGGCCGUCCCGCCCGAAGAUCCCCGGACGAGUUAACUAUAUCGGGCUGGCGCCCCAGAUGUAAAUACGUUAGGGAAAGACUUGUUUUUUGUGAGGGCCGUAGAGGCCUUUUCUAUGAAUUGUCGUAAAAAAGUUUUUGAUUCCCUUUCUUGCUUUUUGGACUUGGAAAGUUUAGAGCACGUUGUCGGGCGUGUCAGUAAGCUUUGAUGAGCGAAGGCACCGUAGCCGCUGGGGCGUCGUUUUUUUUGCAGUCCGAUCAAUCUUGCCUGAACACCGUUCGUGCACUUUCUCCUUUUUAUGCCCAAAAGUUCAGAAAGAGGGUCGGCUCGGAAAGAGAAAGCGUUUUGAGAGGGUGUCAAGUGGCUUAGGUACUUGCGGCAGGUUGCGUGGUGGACGCGGAUAUCCUUCUCCCUGACAGAUCUGCGGCGCAUUUAUGGUGAGAUCAACAUGGGGACCCACAAGACCCGCGCCCAAGGCGGAUACUUGUCUGGAGGGCCCGGGUUAGCCCGACCCCCUACGCUUGGGGUCAGGCGAGGCGGAGACUUGCGGCGGGGGGUUGGACGCUCCUGACCCUAGACCUGCGGUCGGGCGAGGCGGAGCUUGGUCUUCCAGGGGUCGGGGGCGCCUUACCCCGGGAUGCGGGGUCGGGCGAGGCGGAGCGUAAUUCUUGCCUCCCAUGUUGGGCCGACGGCAAUCUUUGUUACCUUGGGUGGGCCUGGGCCUUUAUGUUUUGUUGUUUCCAUGGGCUUCGAGAGGUCGUUAAUAUUUCCCCCCAACACUAUGAGGAGGACUUGUGGGCAGAAAGUCAGCUACCACAAACUUGCCUCUGAAUAUUUGGAGUGCAAACAUUGGAUGGUGGUUGUGGAGAGCCCCAGCCAUACCUCGCACCCGUGGAGAGGUAAUUGUCGGAUUGCUUGGUUCGUCUCUAGAAUGCGACAAGGUCAGGCGCCACCUCUCACUGCUGCCAGUCAGAAGGCCGAGGGGCCAGUUUCAACAUAGUAAUGAGAAUCUCCGAAGGCCAAUAUGGUUAAGCAGCUAACCUCCAUGAUCAUAGACUUACGUUUAGAAAAUAGGAGGCUUAGCGAUGCGUUAACAGAGCAGAAGUUAGAAACAGAAGAACUUAAGGACGACUUCCGUGUCCUCCGCCUUGGUCUUUGUGCUAAGAUAAAGCGCUUGUACAAUGCCACGGGGAAUGACGGUCUCUACGAUGCAGCUCAAUAGACGUGCCCCUUGUAUCCUUUCCUUUAGGCACUUUAGAAUAUGUUUAUUUGUUUUCCUUCAUUUUAAUUUCCAAUAGAUUGUUAGCGCCUCCAAUUUAAUUUCAAUAAAGUGUAGACUCACCGGUCAUCCAACUUGAUGGAGUCCUUUUGUCACCUAGUUGUCUUUGGAAGAAGUAGCUGGGUACAAAAUAAGUGUGGGGGAGAGCCACAGACUCUCUAGAGCUGAAACAAUGCACAACACCCACAAAUAGAGAAAACCACGCUGCACCAGCACGUACGUGAAAGUGGAGCCAGAGCUGGACCCAUAGGGGUUUGGCCAACCCAAGGGGUGGCCCACUCGGGCCAUCUUCAUCCACCGCGUCGGUUUGUGUCUCUUUACCCCUGAUCUCCCUGAUUCAUGAGUUUGAAUGAAUUUUAAAUCUGAUCAACUAAUUCAAACUCAACUAAAAUGAAUCAACUGCUCCACCUGCUCUACAUGUUUUCUAUGGUUGGCUUGCAUAUGUUUUAUUUCAUGCUUAUCAUCUUGAUGCUUGUGAACAAAUAUCUUUAGGACAGCAUGCUCAUCUAAGUAGUUGAUGUGUAUGAUAUGGUUCGAUGAUAUGAUCUUCACUCUUAAUGCUUAAGUGCUUGGGAAAAUCUAUUUGAAAAUUUAAAAGCCUUUUUGAAAUCUCCUCUUUGAUGUGCCAAAGUCCUACCAAAGCCAUAUGAUAAGUUAUCUUGAAAAACCAUUUGCAUAUGUUGCUUGUCUUUGCAUUGAGCUUUGUCAAAUUGGUGUGACCCUUGUCACAAUUCUUUUCAUACUUUCAUGAUCAAGACUCAUGUGCACGCCAUAUACCCCUUGCUAUGCUUCUAUGAGAUGUUAGCAUUGUACCAUCCAUUCAUUCCACAAAAUAAAUGCUCCACCAUAUGUGUUGGUCUCCUUCUAAGAUUAUUGUUACAAAAGAGAUAUGGGCUAUCAAAAAAAAAUAUGAAUGUCCAAGAAAGUUGGACACAUGAAUGUCCAAUAAAAAGAAAAAGAAAGAUAGCCAUGUCCUCAGAAAUAUUUACAAAGGGAGAGAGAUCAUACAAAAAGGAGUUUCCAUUCCAUCCACCACAUCCAUACAUGUGCACAUCUUGAUCUGAUUGUAUGACUUAUUUUUCUCUUUGGAUCUGGUCUUUGACUUUGCAAUAUAUGUGAUGCAAGCAUGCCUUAUCCUUCAUAGCCUACCUUGAGCUCCACAUAUAGCCAUCAUUAGAAGUAGGAUGAAGAAAGGCAAGUCUAAUGCCUUGGUGAGGACAUAUACACAUUGAGUGAUCUGAGAGAAUCAAAUGAGGAGCUAAGCAAGGUUUUGUUUUGAAAACUAAUUGAAAAAUCCCAAGCUACUUGGCAUAAGGAGUUGAGGUGACUUGAUUCAAGACCAUUACAUUCCUCAACUACCCAAGAUGGCAUGAUAGACACUCCAAAGUUCACAAGUGCAGGUAUGGUUUGGAAUAUCUUUUAGGCUCGCUUCAUACCUUUGAAAGUUAUGUUUCACCUUAGUCCUUUCUCGUUCACUCAAGGAUAAGCAAAGGCUAAGUGUGGGGGUGUUGUUGAUGGCUCUUAAGUACAAAAUCUGCGCCAUCAACUCUUGCAUAAACACAUAAAAUAUGAGCAUCAACAAUAGUGGUAGGAGUUAUUACAAACGAAUUCCACAAGUCUUGGUGAAUAUUUGUAUGCAAGCCCAAUAGGAGAGAAAAGACACCUCAAAAGCAAGGAAACACACUCUCAACCAAUCAAGAGCAAGCACAUGGAACCAUGGGCCCACAACCAAAAGGAAAUCGACUACAUUCCAAACACCCUAUACCCACAUGAGAACCCAUAGGGCAGUGACCCAGAGCAAAGGUGAUGCCAGAGUGUAGAUGGUAGUUAGCAUGCCAAAUUUUGAACCGCAAGCGCUCGGAUUAGUUGUUUCUUUUCCCUUAGAGAUUCCCCCAAGGUUUAUCAAUCCAUGGAACAAGGGAUUUGCACGUUUCACUAAGCACUAAUCAAUGUAAUUGAAAGCUUUUCGAAUAAGAUAUGAUUAUGCUAACAAAGGAACUAAGCAAUCUAGAUUAAGAUGGAUAGAGAGUACAGGUUGUGAACAAGAUAGAUUAAACGCUUGUAGAUGCAAUCACCAUGCAUGAAUGAAUUAGAUCUAGGUGUUAUUGUGAGUGGUUGUGAACCAUGCCCAACACUUUCCCACCCGCAACAUUGUCACUACAUGUGGGUACUCAACUAUCGGAACAUAAGAACACAUCAAGAUGAUCAUUCUAGGUAAGCAAAUAAGCAACCCAAAGUAGCGCUGGCCAGCCUUUUCAUGAAAGAGCAUCAUCAAGAUAAGAUUGAUAACAAAAUAGAUCUCAACCAAAGGUUCAGCGAUUACAAAUCAAGAUCUUCGUAUAACCCCGAUGACAAAUAGAGGUAUUACCCCCAUGAUCUUACACAUGUUGAUGAAUUUUAGGGUAAAGGACACCCUGUAGAUCAACUGGACCAAAGAUGAUGAUGAACGGGGGCAGGGAAGGCCCAGGUUGAUCAGCCUGCGCACUUUUGAGCCGAUCAGCUCAGGGGGUUUCCUCCUCCCCUGGUGCUCCUCUUCGCGUGGCCUCCUCUGGAUCCAAUCUUCUCUUCAUUUCUCCUACUUGUGGCGGCAAUGGAUGGUGUUUGCAUGGUGAUUUCCUCUUCUCCCCAACUCUCCCUCCUUGAAGUCCAUGAGGGGGUAUUAAUAGUCUCCAAUAGGCGGCAGCUCUGGGUCAAUGUCAGUGAAAAAAUCCUAGAGAUCAUCGUACACUUCAUGCUGAGGAAACAAGAGGUUGACCGAGCCCUGGGAUAGACCAAGAGGAUCAUCCUAGAGGGUCCCAGGCUAAUCGGUCUAGGCCCUUCCUAGCCCUUCUAGUCCUCUCCUUCCUCGUGCUGGCUUUUCUCGAUGACCCUUGUCCAAAUAUCCAUGAAGCUCUAUAUACAUACCCCCUUGAUUAUGUUGUAUUUCCUGUCAAAAUACAAUGCUCCAAAAUACAACACAUAUGCAAUAAUAGGGUUAUUUCAGGUGCCAAUUGGUGGGUUAGUAUACGAAUAAGCAUGAAAAUACUGUUUAAAUGACACUAAAAGUGUGUCAAUAACGAGCACCAACAAUCCCCCCACGCUUAGAUCUUGCUCGUCCUCGAGCAAGUCUAGCGACUAAAAGAUCUUGAAUUAAACCUGAGCAAGCGAGUCAAGUACCUAGCCUUGAAACAAAAGAUUAGAGGAGCAGCAAAGAUAAUCAAAGUCUGGGUGUUCAAAGAUUUAUCUAAGCAAAGAUUCCCCUACAACUAUUAUUCAGAACCAAGUAACUUCAAAAAUCAACUACACUUAUUUUCUGGCUUUUUUCAGAGGGUUUUUCUUUCAUCAUAAAACAAUCUCCCUGCAACAAAAUUGAAAAAAGAAUUAUUUUCAAGGUGCUUACAUGUCGCUUAAAUGAAUGUUGGCUAUCCUACUUAUUUGCAAGCUCUCAUCUCUCAAAAUUCAUUCAAUUAUAUGGUGGAGUUUGGGUAAGGUUAGCUAGAAUCAACACGUAUAUUAUUGAAUUAAGAAAACCCUCUAACGGUGGCCUACCUUCCGAGCCAUUGAUCAUAAGAAUAUCCACAUAAUGUGAAGUUUUCAAGGAUGAGAAGAUAUAGAAUGGUGGACAUGUGCAAAGGCAAAGAAAUAUAGUGACUCUGAGGCACAAGCAAUGUCCUCGUCGUUGGAUUGCAUAUGGUUGUAAUGAAAAUAUGUUCCUUAAACAAGUCUAUCUUUUCUUUGCACCACUCUUGAUCUUCAUGACAGUAAAAACUCCUCCUUUAUUUCUUUCUCUCUUUUCCUAUUAUUUCUUUUUAUUUGUCUCAAUACUUUUAUUUCUUUAUUUCUUUAUUUUAAUCUCUUCUCUGAACCUCUUCUGAACACCACAUAAUAAAAAUAAGUUUUAGAUCCUUCCAGAGACCUUCCAGGAAUUUGCUACAUGAAAACCGAGGCAAGGAGACCCCAGGCCGAUUGGCCUAGCCACUCCUUUGCUCUCCUCUAGCUCUUCUUUCUGGUGAAGCUUCCUUAUCUUGUAUCUUUCCAAAAAUUUCAUAAAGCUCGACUAGAAACGGAACAGAUCUUCAUAUAAUGAGUUGUGUUCAAGGAAUUGGUAAUAAAAUUGAGAAAUUUGUGGUUCGGGUUUACGAAUUCAGUACAAAAAUAUGAUUGUUCCAAUGAAGAACUCUCAUUACUGAAUAUUGACGAGGCAAGCAUUCAAAGAUGGUAAAAAGGAUAUGAUCAAUUCUCAAAAUUAAAGCAAACCAAGAGAGAGCGAUCCUAAUUCAAUUCAAAGUGUCAAAUGUUGCUUAUGGUGGUAUGAAUAAAUAUUUUUAGGCAUUGGGUAGGAUAAAUAAAAACUCUCAACCUGGUUAAAAGAUAUUGAUCAAUCUUGUUUUUGCAGAGGUUUUAAAUAAAAAAUAAAAUUUUAAAUCACCUCCAAUUCAAAGCCUUACUCAUAAAUCAUAAUCAAAACUGAAGCACUUGAUCAUCAUAAAGCAUGGGUAUUGCAUAAACAAAUCGAUUACUAAAACUCCACAACUACGAUUUAGAAUUCAAGACAAUGCUCAUAAUCUAAAGUUGCAAAGAUAAAAUAAAAGACAACCAAGCCAAGGUAGACACUAAAAACACUUGCACGAUCCUUGAAUUUUAUUCAUGCUUCUUCUCACAAAGACGCUAAAGUAGCCAUGUAGGCCUAAGUCUUCCCAAAAGCUUAAGAAAACUACUACUUUAUCUACUUUUGGUUGAAAUAAAAAGACUAAUCUAGACUCUCACAUGAUUCGACUCGACCAAAUUAGAUCCAAAAACUCAUACGAGCGACGAUCUCCCCCCCCUCACGCUUAAAAUCUACGACCUCCUCGUCGUAGCCAUAUGGAGUACAAGGAAAAGAAGCUUGUAAACGCUCUAAUGACGCUACCCGCACUACUUGCACACGGGAUGGUUGCUGCUUCCUUCGCUUUGUUCUUCCUCAUGUUGCUGCACAUCCCGAAGAGCUUCCUCACGUUCCUCUGCAAGAACUUGAACUCGUCCUCCUGACGGCGAUCAUUAUCUUCUGCCUUUUGAUCCAGAGCUUGUAAGGCUUGCAUGAUGUCAUCGAACGCAUCGAAGAGGUAGUGGAUGUUCUUCCUGCAAGCUGUGGAACAUGUACGAUCAUGCUCCUCCGAUUCUGGCCCGUCGUCUUCUAGAUCCUUCUCUUUGCCCUUGUCUUGACGGUGGCUAUCUUGCUCCUUGCUCGCCUUCUUGCCUUCAGCCCAAUCCCAGUACGUGUUGUCAUCUUCUUCAUCGUCACGGCCUGCAGCACCCUAUGAUCCAUUGUCUAUCUUGUAUGAAAGAAUCAGAAGCUUGUUCUCCUCAGGGUGUCUUGCGCGGUGCAGCGUUUGCAAGUGCAAGACUUGCUAGUUCCUUUUACACAUUGUAAUGUUCAUUGCAUGCUCUAAUUGUUCUACAUUUGUAAUUUCUUGGUGAAGUUUGGUUACUGAUCCACUGUUUGAUUAACUCUUGGGCCCAAACACUGUACUACUUCUGAUUAGAUAUCUGUAUCUUGACUUUGACCAAAAAAAAUAUCCGGCAGUUUUUGCCAUUAAAGUUUCAUAAAUCAUCUUGCAAAAAUCGUACUAUACAACAAGGGACGGUUUAUUAUAAAAUAUACGUUCCCCUUAUCACAUGCCACUUCCACUCAAAAGGCAACGAAUCAGUUUUCAAUCCUGAGUGAGCAAUUUGCUUUUAUUACCGAUGCCUCCUAUUCCCUUGUGCACCAAGUUUAUUUUGGAUAGGGCUGCAAAAAACGACUAACCAGCUCGGAUUCUCCACCUGCAAAACCGCAUCUGCAGCAACCAACCCCACGCGGUGGAAAAAAAAACAAAACCUAGAAACCGGACGGGGGUGGAUGUGGGGCUCGGAGCCCAAGCAAAAAACGGAUCGGGAGCGCCGGAGCAGGCCAUCACCGGAUGUUAGAGAUAGAAAAUGGUUGAAGUUUGGAGUGGAAAUCAAACAAGCCUUGGAGCAAAGGAAAAAAAAAGAUCAAACCACUCAAGCAUUCAUUUGAUUUAGAAAAGAGAACAUUUGUUAAGGUGGGGAGUUGAAAUCAUCUUUUAAUUAGUUCCACGUAUCUGGUAUCAUUACAGUUGGUUUACUUGUGUAAGUAUAAGUAGCUCUGCCGAAGCCUUUGCUCCUAUAAUUUAGUAACUAGUACAAAUGGAUCAAUAGGAAAAUCAAGUUGCAAUCAUUUCUCAGCCAACCAAACCUAUGUAAAUCAAAUUAUUGUCCAUGCCCGGCAUGCACAGGUGCCUGCCAUGCAUGCAUUGUUGCUCCAUUGUAAUAACCAUUAUUGUCCAUCGAUGUUGCAGCGCAUGUGUGCACUGUGCAGACACCAAGCAUCGAGAUUAUGUACUAGUAAGGUGUUGAAAUAAUGGGCCUAGCCCAUAAGUAAUUUCAGAAUUUCAAAUAAAUCUCAAAGGCCCAUGUGGGCAAGAGGUGGAGUGGUGCAAGUCUUUAGUCCCACAUUGCUAGUCGAGGGGAGGGAUGACCAACUUAAAUAUGGAAGUUGUCUCCACUCCUCCAAGCUAUGUGUGAAGGGCGCGGGCGCGAGGCACUUGCGUGAAUGGUCCGCCGAAAUCUGGCCCCCCUUGCGGGGGCGCGGCUUCCUUUUGCCGUUUUAUUUUUUGGUUACUUGGUCGUUAAGUCAUGGAAUCCUAACCGGUUUAGAUCACGAUCGUGAAGGUUUUUGGGAAGCGCUCUGCGCGACUGCUCGAUCGCUUCUUCCGCUUCGUCAAGUUCUUCGUCGACUCCUUCACCACGGCUCGUCUACCUCUUCGUCGCUCGGGCCUCACUCGUCGUCGCGAACAACGUCAGGCUGCUGAUCGUCGUCGCCUGCUGUAUCCGGUAGUCGUCCAGGAGCCGGUUUUCAUCAAGAAAGAAACGUACGGUCUCUUAACUCACAUUAUGUCUUCCAUACUAGCUAUUAUGAUUGUUGCAGUCUGAUAGCUCUGGAUAGUAUGGUAGAAUGUCUGAUUCUAUUUGCAAUGAUAGACUUGUCUAGAUCUUGCGUAGACAUGUCUAGUUUAAUCUGCUGCUUGUUCAUCAUAUUCAUGAUUUAUUUCUGGAUUAAGUUAAAACUAAAAGUGCUUAUAUAUCCAACAUAAGGUACCAAGAACACGUGAAGCACCCGGGGGAGGCUGCUCCACUCCGCAUGCACAGGUGGGCACGGCACCACUACUCGUCUCCUUCAGGCUGAGGAUAAGUGAUGUACGCUGAUCAACAGACCACGACGGAACCAGCAAUAAUAGUUUCAGCCUGCCUCACAGUAAUUAAUAUAUCCUGUAUCCUCCGAGGACCCCUCCCCUUAAUCUUGGCCUAUUGCAUCCAAUAAUGAUAUGUGUGUUUAUCCAAAUUUACGGCACCUUUGGCGGGGGUUCCACCCAGCUCCGCCCUCUCCACCUUCGGUACUCCAUGGGAAACCAUUCCUUUGGAAUCAAGGAAGCUUGAACAGUAUAACGAAUAAAGUUUCAUAUAUCCAUUUGAUUUCACAUGAAAUAAAAUAUUCUGUCAGAACCAAUGGUUUCACUGAAGCUCCAGGCAGCGAGCGAAGGGGUGAGAGAGGAUAACGCUUACUGUGUGUUACCAUCGCGUGCACCAUGGAUGACCAACGCGCAGCCGAGAUGAAACGGCGGACCUAAACAGGUCCUCGCUAUUUUUGCAGGUUCUCGACCAGGCCAGUUCUUUAGGCCAACCUAUCAUUCACGAGUUAAACAUACGGUGGCUGGAGAAAUGUUCUAUUCUUUUAAACAAUACCAGCUGGUUCCUCCGUUUUUAUUCCACCAAUACAAGCACCACCUUGUAACAUUUCCUAUGUUUUUUUUCCUUUCGUCUGUUUUCUCACUACAUGCGUUGCUCUUUCAUGCAUUUUUUUCCAUUCCUGUAUUCCAAAUAGGUCUACAUGAACACAAAAUGAACUAGGGGACAGAAAAAGCCAGUGAAGUUAGUUUUGAGCUUCACCAGCUACUUGCUACAUAAAGUGUGCUAUAGUCGCAGAAAAGCUAAGCUGGAUCAGACGUGGCCGAAACAAUGCCAAAGAGCUAGGUCCCUAGCUGAUGGCAACACAUCAGAUGACUAGCCUGCUUUUCUGUAAUAAUGAUAUUGAGCAAUACACUGCAUGGCUAACCUGCUUUACAAUAAUUGUCAUUUUAUAAUAUUGGUCAUCACGAGAGAUGCACAUUGCAUACACCGGCCCAUCCCUAUAAAUAGCCAAGCCUUUCAGCCAUCUUGGGCACCUCCUCUCAGGGCCUCGUCUCACCAUCAGACAUCUCGUUCCCAGUUAUAAUUUGCGAGGUUAGAUCAGGCUGCGCCAUGGCGUCCGCAACUGCUGUCAAGAUCGUCGCCACCUUCAUGCUGGUGCUGACCAUGGGCCACCUGAUGGCCGAAGCAUCACCGCAGCCUCGGCGUGUGCUUGCAGAAACGGAGCAUGCUGCGGUGUCCGGGAAUCCUGGCCUCCCAGGUGAUGCUAGCGUCAUGCAGGUCCUCGAACCCGCCCUAGUUUCUCGGCUUGCCUGCAAACCAGAGUGCACAGUCCCUUGGCCUCCUUUUGUAUGUAUCUGCUAGAUCCUCUUCCUGGCUCAACGGAACUUCAGGGAAAUGGCUGUGACGUCGGCCAAAGAAUAAAUUGGAUGAACAUAAUAUACCCCGGGUAGUGUAGCUUGGGCUUUUGUUGAGCGUCUGGUGCUAGUUGUAUUUUGUUUGCUCAUGUGGCUUUGCUUCUGGUUGCAUAUUGGCUUUCCUAUCGCUCUCUGUUGCAGCUAUGGUUUCUGCCAGGUGUGUGUUAAUGCGGUUUGUAAGCGGUGCUUGUUCCUACCUUCUGUUUUCAAUAAAAGAAGUCGGAGUCUCCCUCCGACUCUUGUUAUCAGUCAACAAAAAUGAGUUGUAUCAUAUAUAUCUGCGUCUUUUUUCUACGUAUCUUUGGGCUGCUUCAGCUGGAAGUUUAUCGUAAGUACGUGUAUCAGGAUGAUCGUUUGAAUUAAAACGAAAUGAUAAUGUGUGGCUGCUAGAAAUGGAAUGAGCAUCUUACUAUAUUACUAAUUGGAAGCCUCCACGUGAAGCCACCUAGAAAUUCUAGGUGGACGUUUUAAAAAAAACAAAACUCAUAGAAGCCUCCACCACCUAGGAAUCCUAGGUGGACACUCUAAAAAGAGACAAAUCCUAGAAAUUCUAAAAAAAGAAAAAAAUAAUAACAAUAAGAUUUUUUUGCAGUCAAUUACAUAUAUUUUUUUGAGACACCGUGCUGCUAGCUCUUGCCAUUGCGACCAGUAAAGCAAGCAGAUAGUAAGAUGACAUGCGUGUGGAUUGAUUAAAACAAAUUCAGUUAGUUGAUUCUAAAUCGUAUGUAUCCUAAAAGGAAGAUAUGUGCGUGCAUGGUCCCUAGCGAUGACAUGUAGACAUGUAUUGCAAUUUCUUUUUUAAAAAACAUGUCUAUCUCUAAACCAACAAACAGAAAAAAUAUCAAUCUAAAUCUAAAUCUCUUCCGUUCUCACACGCCUAUUAAAGAGAAGACAACCAAUCCCAUCCAUGUUCCAUAGAAUCCAUCUAAAAGCUUGCUCACUGCGGACGGCAUUUGACGGCAAAUCAAUGAAAGAUCAUCCUCUCCAAAUAGCUGGACGGCAUCACCAUCUUUAUCUCACCAACCUACAGAGCUACAACGAUGUUGUAGAGAUCAACUAGGUAACCUACCAAUCACCCUCCCCUUUUCUAUAUGCUCUAAAGAACACGUGGAGUAAUUAUAGGCCUAUAGGAGCCGACUAACCUAGAUUAAUAUGAAAAAUAUUCCAAUAUUAAAAGCAAGCAGAUAGUAAUACUUGCCUUUGACCAUUUUUCUAGAACUGUUAUUCCUAUUGAAUGUUCAAGUGCUACGGCCAGGCAUCGAAUGCCUGCACGGAACCUUCCUAUUGAAUGGUUACUCUAGAGAUCAACGCACCGCGAGACAUUUUUAUGGAAUUUGUUUGAUUCCCCUUCUACAAUUAGAUUAAUUUUUCAUGGCAUAUAUUACUACUAUUAAAUUAUUUGUUUAUUGUCGGGCCUGCUGCAUGUGUGGUAUAUAUGACUUGCUUCUCACCAUUGUUCUCAAACUAUUAUUCCUAUCGAAUCUUUCUAUCGAAAUAUAUUUUAAUUACUUGAUUGUUGUUUGUGUACCAUAACUUCUGUAUAGAAAAAUUCCAUGUUUGUAGAUAAUGUCUUUUGUAUAGAAAAAUAGCCCAAUUAGAUCCAUCACCAUCUUUUGCUUAUGUAGUUGAACAAGUUGCAAUGUUGAACAAAACUUUAAGUGAAAUUAGACCAGGAAAAGGAAUUGUGGAACAUUAAGGCAAGGGUAACCAGAUUGUGGAAUGCAACCUUACUCAGUAGUGGCGAACAAUUAAGUCUUGACAUGAUCCUUAUUGAUCAAAAGGUAUGAUAGAUGUUCACUUUGAUUGCAUUAUUGGUAUAAUUUUUGGUUUACAAAUUAUUAAUGAUGAUGCAAAAUUAGGGAACCAUGAUCCACGGUGUUAUCAAUAAGCCCUAUAUGAAAAAGUUCAAACCAUUGAUUGAAGAAGGCAAUGUGUACAUAAUUGCAAAUGUCAGAAUCACACCAGAACCACAGAAGUAUCGGCCAGUGGAAAAUGACAGGAUAGUCAACUUCUUACCCACAACUGCACUAAAAACGAUCAAAGAUACUGAAGACAUUCCAAAGUAUAGUUUUAACUUCAUGAGCACGGAUAUGCUUUCAGCAAGAAUAAAUGUGGACAUGUACCUAUUAGGUAAAACAUUACUGGCUUUUCAAUUUUUACACUUCCACUCAUUAAAUGACCAUCUAAUAAUAAUACAUAUUUAUGUUUCAUAGAUGUUAUAGGUAUCUCAGCUCACAUUGGACCGAUAGAAGAAACAAGGACAAACUUCGGAUUUACUAAAAUCCGUGAUAUUGUGCUCCUGAUCGAGUAAUUCUCUUUUCUUUUGUAGAAAACAACUACAAAACUUUCAACAUUUACAUGUAUGUUAUAGAACUUCUGUUGAACUAAAAAAUAUCUUCUACAGUGCCCCUACAAAUAAUUAAUUUCGUAGUUGGAUAUUUAAAAUAUUUAUUAUUCACUUUUAAAUUUGUGGCCAUGAAGUUAAAGUUAGAUUUUGGGGAGACAAAGUUGAGGAAGUUGAUGAUAAGACAAAAUCCCAUGUCAUUGCAAUAACAUCUACAACUGUGAGUAAAUUUGGCAGUAAGUCUUCAUUCAAUAUGAGUUAUUCAAUAUUAGUCAUUCAACAAACUAACCUCGUAAGAAAAAUAAAUAAUUGAUGUUUUAUCAGGGUAUUCUCUAUCGUCAACCAAUGCAACAAAACUUUAUGUAGAUCUACCUAUUCCUGAAACUAAGGAUGCACAUGAUAGGUGAGAAAAAUUAGAUAUUGUUUUUCUAUUUUAAUCUAUGUAGCAUGCACUCUAACAUGAUACAUUCUUUCAUAUGAUAAAAAAAUGUUAGUUCAAUUGAAAAUAUUGUCAAAGAGAUUCAUAUUGAGGACCAUCUAAAAGGGACAUUGGAAGACCAAAUGCAGUACAAUAGAAGAACUUUAGAAGAAUUAAAUUUCAUAUUAUUUGAAACAUCAAAUCAGGUAUGGAUUAGUAUGUUCAUUGUACACUAUACUAUUUAAAGACUUACAUACAUAAUGAUGGUAUUGUUCCUACUUUCAGGAUGAGGUAUUUACUAUUGAAGCAACAAUAAAUGAAAUUAAUGCAACAUAUGGUUGGUUGUCACACCCGAUUUUAAGGACAAAAUUGAGUGCAUUAAAUACAUGUGCACCAGGAUCAAGUUACACACAUCCUAUGAGUACCGUCCUUCUUUGGCACAAAGAUAACCGGUGCUCCCCAUGGUGAUGAACUAGGCCGAAUAAACUAUUUUGCUGAUAAUUCCUCUAGUUGUUGUUUCAAUUCUUUUAAUUGUUCAACCAACAUUCUAUAAGGACGUUUGGAGAUAGGUGCAGUACCAGGUAAAAGAUCAAUAGCAAAUUCAAUGUCGCGGUCAGGUGGCAUACCUGGUAAAUCGUCGGGGAACACAUCCGGAUAGUCACACACCACUUUGAUAUCUUCCAAGGAUUUUCCAGCCAACUGAUUAACUGCACAAUCUGCUGCUGAGGGUAGAGUAGCUACAAACUCCACUUUCUCUCCAUCAGGACCUGUUAGCAGAACUGUCCUCUUGGCACACUGAAUCGUUGCAUCAAAAGCGGCUAACCACCUCAUCCCCAGAAUUACAUCGAUUCCACUGGACUCAAGGACGAUAAGAUCAGCCGGAAACUCUAUACCCAUUAUUCUCAGUUUAACUUGUGGACAGAUGUAUUGAGCCUUCAUUGACCCCCCAGGUGAACUCACUAGCAUAUGACGCCUCAUGGUAUGCAUGGGUAAAUUAUGCUUUGCUACAUAAUGACUAGUGACAAAAGAAUGCGAUGCUCCAGAGUCAAAUAAAACUGAUGCGGGGGCAGAGUUGACAAAGAACAUACCAAGCACUACAUCUGGAGCCUCCUUAGCAGUCUCGGCUUCCAUGUGGUUCACCUUGCCACAAACAAAGCUUUGCUGCCCCUGAUUGCCUUGUGGGGUCUGGUUCCCAUUCCUCGGUUGCUGCAUCUGAUUCUGCCGAGGAGCACUGCUGUUCUGCACGGGGGUAGCUGGCCCACCUCUCUUAGGACAAGAGCUGGCAUAGUGACCAACCUCGCCACACUUGAAGCAGGUAGGACCCACUGGAGCAUUGGGCCUUGUUGGAGUGCCAGUAGGGGUCAUCUGGCGGUUCUGCGUAAAGCUUGGGCGCGGAGUCUGCAUAGUCUGCAUCCCUGGAUGCUGGAACUGAGGGCUAGGGCGCUGGAAUGACUGCUGAGCAGGGCGCGGAAAUGAGUGCUGCCAAAAAUUCCCACUCGGGCCCCCUGCGCGGAACGGCGUCCCUUGCUGUGGAGCAAAGCGAGGGCGGGUGUUGCUUCCUGAAGACUACUGGGAAUUGAAUUUCCUCUUCAUCUCCCCGAGCUCGUUCCUCUUGUGUUCCAGGCCAAUUGCCUUGUCUAGCAUCUUCUGGAAACUGGGGAAGGUGUGCGACAUAAGCUGAUAUUGGAGUGGUCCAAUCAACCCAUCCAAGAAUAGCUCCUGCUUCUGCUCAUCAUCAGCAACAUCUUCGGGAGCAUAUCGGGACAACUGGACAAACUUGUCCCUGUACUCUGCCACUGUCAUGUUCCCCUGCUUGAGAGCAAGGAACUCCUUCUUCUUAAGCUUCAUCAAUCCGGAAGGAAUAUGAUGACUUCUGAAGCUAGUCCUGAAUUCAUCCCAGGUGAUGCCAUUAGCAUUGGCAUGGGUGGUGGUGUAAGCAUCCCACCAAUCAGCAGCUGGCCCUUCCAGGCGUCCUGAAGCAUACAGGACCUUCUCCCUGUCAGUACAUUGGGCGAUAUCCAGCAUCUUCUCCACUGUUUUCAGCCAAUCAUCAGCAUCUAAUGGAUCCGGAGAAUGUGAAAACGUCGGGGGCUUGUGGCUCAUGAACUCCCUAUGCCUGUCCCUUGGCGGCGGCUGCUGCUGGUUGUUGUUGUUGUUAUUGUUCAGCUGAGCUUGUAAAGCUGCCACGGUGUUGGUCAGUCCGGCGAGAAGCUGAGUCUGAGCUGCUAGAAACUGCUCCAUCCCUGCAGGUGCUUGUUGGUUCUGUUGCGGAGCGGUGUUGGGAUUGCUGCUGUUGUCCCUGUGGCGUGGCACUGUGGGACGGUCAACUCCUGAUCCGGACCUGGUGUUUACCAUCUGAGCGUUAGAGACAAUGGAUUUAGAUAGAUGUGUGAAAGAAUAACUGAGAAAGAUAAAGCGACCAGAUGUAAAAGUAACACAGAUUCUGUUAGCUCCAUUUAAUUAGGUGUGGUCGUCAGAAGAAGUGUCCAUAAAUUCUGAACAAUUACCAAGUCGUAACUUAUUAAAUUUGUAAACCAACCCAACUGGAAUCAUCUCAAUCGGACUUCUGGAUCUCGAGUUACAAAAUUAACAAGCUGACAGUGUCGGUCGAUAGGUUCAGAUUCUGAGUGCUUUACUAAUUCGCAUACACCUCCCAGACAGAUACACCAAAAAUUCUGAAAAAUUUACAGAUAGUACUCCACGAAAUUCUGAAACUAACCCCACUGGUUUCAUGUCAUUUGGACUUCUGUAGCUAGAGAUAUAAAUAAAAAAGUACUGGCGUGUCAGUUAAUGUCGAGAACAGAAUUGAAUGUCGCUUAGCUUGCGUGAUGGAUAGAUUUAGACAGAUGGUAGAUCAUGAUUAAGGAAGAUUAAAUACUGAUUUAGAACAGAAAUAAAACCCAACUAAGCACUUUAUUUAUUAAGACCAGUAUCGUGUGGCAAUUGCCCCACAUACCGCACUCAUUACAAAAUCCAACUCAAACAUGUAGCACAAAACCAAUCAUCUAAGCACACUUUAACUAACACACUCGAACGACGUCUAACGAUUACAAGAAUUUAAACUAAAACACUCCUAAUUUCCUAGAGGUCUUCUGCGGCGGUGCCGGGCGAGUCGUAGCGGGGACGCUUAGGCGACGGCGACGAAGCGGGAUGAACAGCAAACUCCUGCGGCGGCGGUGCUCCCGUCGCGGCAGCCAUAUUCGCAUCCCUCUCCCACCGGAGUUCCUGAACCUCCUGUUGAAGCUCCUGGAUGUGGUUGUUUGCUUCAUUCAAUGCGGUGAGAGCUGCCGACGUGUACUUGCGGAGGAAGUCUGUAGCCAUGUCAACCCCAUCGUUAGUAGCGAUGAAGGUUCUUGCUUCCCCACUAGCUCGGUAAGGAAGGAACCGAUGGUAAGUGUGCUGCAAUCGCGGCCGUUCCUUGUGGGAGACGACCUCAAGUGCCCUCCUGGCGGCCUCGGCAAUGCCGGAUUCCAUGGUCCUCCUUAUGGUCACAUCAUGGUGAAAAGCCUUCACCUCCCAUCCUCCCUCGUGCUCCUCACGAAGGACAACCUUCACCUCCCAAAAAGUGGGAUAGCGAGGGUGGGUGAACCGGGAGCACUUGUAGAGUGGCCUCAUGCCGUACCCCAAGCGGUGACAAGUCCACCUGAGUAUGUCGGCCAUGUGCACUCCUUGGCCAUAAUCUUCCUUCACCCAUUUGAUCCAUGUCUCGGGCUCGGGAUCUGCUUCGGGCUCAUCAUCCGUCAAGUCGACGACCGGUACGGGCGUCGGGGCUGGUGCAGGAGCGGGCGCCGGUGCUGGCGACGGUGCUGGUGACGGCGUGGUCUCCUGCUCCACGGUCACGGCGUCCCCGUCAGAGUCAUCCCCCGGAUGCUGGAAGAUCUCUUCCUCUUCUUCCUCGUCCCAAGGCUCCAUGGGGGCGUACGACGGCGCGAUGCCAUGACGCGGCGGACGGGUGCUCUUGCGUGCGGUCAACCGGGUGCGAGCCAUCUAACAGAAAGAAAGAAGAAAAUUUUAGAAUAAAAUUUUGAACAAAGCUAGAUAAUAAAAUAGCAAUAAGGAUGAGACAAAUCAAGUUUAAGAAUAAUUAAGUAGAUUUAAAUUAAGAAAGGUAGGAAUGGCUACUAGAUUAUUAUAAUCCUUAAAUACGACCAUUUUCUAACUAGGCUAACGUCCUACAGUCAACACGGCUCUGGUACCACUUUUGUCACACCCGAUUUUAAGGACAAAAUCGAGUGCAUUAAAUACAUGUGCGCCAGGAUCAAGUUACACACAUGUACGACAAUAGUGAAUAGUAAAGCCAGUGCUAAAUCGAAUAAAGAGAGUAUUAACCAUUAUUACAUGACCGAAUGUCUCAAAUAAACCACAAAGUCUAAUUAUUACGCAGCGGAACUCCAAAGAUGACGACGACUCCAUAGGCAGCUGACUGAAGAAACGUACGCCUAGAACUCCUCGAAGUCGUGGAAGUACUCCUCUUCCCAAUUAACUUGGUCUGAACAGCGGUUUUGCAAGGGUGAGUACACUUAUGGUUGGUACUCAACAAGUCGUGGGAAGUAGUGUAGUGUAAGGCUAAUUCAAGGUAUGGCUAAGGCGUAAAUAGCAUUCGCUUUUAAUUAAGUUGGUCAAAUUUUAUUAGCAUUUACUAAGUAUAAGUUCAUACCACCCGAAAUUAAACAUGAACAUAAAGUAAACCACAUGUGCAUGAAAUGAUAACAAAUUAAAUCCAUCUUCCGAUAAUAUUAUCAUGUGAGGGUCCAGGCCGCUCUUAACCGUGAGCACGGCUGAUUGAUCAGUUUAACACUCUGCAGAGGUGGCACAUCUUUACCCACAAGUCGCGUAAAAGUUCAAAAGAACUUUGGACCCAACCAUGCGGUGUUUGCAAGGCACCAUACCACACUUCCGAGGUGUGAUUGCAUAGGGACGCUACGAGGCCUUUACAAAGAUUCAUUAAUCAGUGGUAACCCGCUAAGGUUUCGGUGUCUGGCGUGCACCACCCAUCCCAGGUAAAAUGCAACGACUCAGUCCCCCCCCUUGAAUCAUCACGAGUAAGGUCACCCCAGACUAAGGUUUCUAAUUAAUCAGCCAAGACCAGAGCUAUUUAGUCUUGUGGUAGCACUGUUUUCCUGGGUGGUCGCUCCAUGUUCUGAUUAACAAAUAAUGAUCUUGUCUUAAUGAAAGGUAUAACAGAAAUAAGGCAAGAUUAAGCAUUGUUUUUAGUUAAACCACCAUGUACCAAGUAAGCACUAAGCAUGAGCUACCCAACAUAAAGUAAACCGGUUGGUCAAGGCAAAGGUAAAACAAUCUAGGCCAACCUUAAUUGGGACCCAUCAAUUUAAUCUUAAUAUGUGCACAGCAUAAAUGUUGAGUACGAGAAAGUAAAGGUGUAUAGGACAAAAAGGUAGUGAUCAAGGACACGACUUGCCUUCUUGGCCUUGCUCCUGCUGUUCGUACUCCUCGAAGGCUUGAUCGGCAACUCCCUCGAACUGCGGGGCGUCUACACGCAUCACACGAGCACAUACAAGCAAACAUGGGCAAAAGUAAGAAAACAGUAUACCAAACAUAGUCAAACAGAGAAAACAAGCUUGAAAAGAUGAUCUACGCUUUAAAACGAACACGCGGAUAUAAAGAACGCGAAAAACGGAGUUAAGAUGCAAAAGAUAUGAUUAAAACAAAAUCCAGGGACUUUUCUGUAAGAAAAACAAAACUUUUAGGGCCUAUCCGCGAAAACCGAGGGCUUAUACGUAAUUAUGCGUAUAAACCGAGGGUCUGAUGCGUAAAAACAUCAAACCCGGACGGCGGGUUGAUUUCUGGAAAGGUCAAGGGUUAAACCGAAAAAUGCGAGGGCAGAUCUGUAAAUACUUUCAACGCGAUCUGGACCGCGGGUUGAUUUGCGAAAAAGGCGGGGGCUAAAGUGCAAAAACUGCACGGCGCGGCUCGGUUGACCGGUACGCGAUCUUGAUUGACUCGCGUCCGGCCGUCGGAUUAAGAUCCGACGGUCGCGGUGAUCCGCGACAUCGCGGCGGCGGCGGCGAGCGGCGGCGAGCGGCGGCAAGCGGCGGCGGGUCGCCGGAGUUAGGCAAAAUAGCGCCACGAGGCACGGUUUAACGCGCGGGUUGCACCAAAAAAGAGAGGGGAACACGUCGAUCCCGUUUUGGGGGUUCUUGUCGACGGGGGCUCACCGGCGACGGCGAACGGCGGCGAGGAAGAGGCGGCGGCGCUAGGAGCUCGGGCGGCUAGGGUUUCGGGGAGCUGCGGCGCUGGUUUUGGGCGGAGGAGACUGGGAGGAGGCGGCGGCUUUUAUAGGGCUUGGAGAUAGAGCCGGCGCGGGUUCAAAUCCCCCGGAGGAGUCGGAGCGGAUGGAGUCCGGGGCGGAGACGGCGCGCGGCGGUUGCGGAGUUCUGACCGGAUUCGGCCGGAGGUGGGAGACGAUGGGUGGGGUCCACCCGUCAGUGGCGGAGGGGAGCGGUAGACGGGCCGGCGCGACCGUGGGCUGGCGCGCGCUCGUGGGCUGCGGGGAGCGGGAGAGAAGCGGCGAGCGGGCGCUGGCGGAGCAGGCCGAGCGGAGGUAGAGCUGGGCCGCGGAGAAAAAGGAGGAGGCCGGCGGGCUGCUUCGCAGGCCGGUAAGGAUGAGGCGGCCGGGCCGAAGAAGAAAAAGAAAAGGAGGGACAAGGAGCUUUCGGCCGAGGGAAAAGAAGAAGAAAAAGAAAAGGAAGAAGAAAAGGGAAAAGGUUUUGGAAUUUGAAUUUAAAUCUGAAAUUCAAAAUUUGAUUCAAACUCAAGCAACCAAAAAUUAUGCUCCAGCAUGAAUGCACAAAUAAUUCCUAUGAUGAAUUAAUUGAAUUAAAGAAAAUGAAUUUAAAUGCCUAGAAAUUAAAUAACACCCUAAUUUGAGCAAAUUUUAAUGAAUUUGAAUUAUUGAAAUUUUGGGUGUUACAUUGGUACUACAUCUCAUGUAGUAGAGGCGAUUGUAAGAAGCAACUUGAAAAGAAGUUUGAUCACUACUAUUGCAAUAAAUGUGACAAGAGAGCCGAACCUAAAGCCCAGUAAAUUAUUUAGUAGUUUACAAUCUUAUUAUAAUACUUCUAUUUCUAAUAGGAGAAUAAUAUUUUCAGAUUCAAAUUAAGCUUCAAAUAAGUGAUCCAACAACAAGUGCAACUUGUGUACUUUUGACAAGGAAGCAGAAAUGAUAAUUAAUGAAUGAGCAGAUUCGAUGAUCACCUCAGUUGAUCAUGAUAAUAAGUAGCUACCAAAAUCAAUUCAGGAAAUAUGUGAAGAAACAUUGAUUUCUCAAUUCAGAUUGACCGAGUACAACUUGACAAGUUUUAGACCUGAUUAUACUGUUUCAAAGAUAUUUUUUCCAAAAGAAAAGGGCAGUUCAAGAAUUGGUAUGGAAAGUGUAAAAAAGGUAACACUUUAUUAUUAAUUUUUUAUUGCACUUUUUUCUUUUGAAUCCGUAAUACUUAAUAAUUUUACUAUAUCAAUGAAACAAAUUCUAACCUAAAUUUAUUUUCUUUUUUAUUAUUUGUAGGAAGUAGAAGACAACUCAGACAAAUGCUACACGAUAACUACCGAGAAUGAAGAGGUAGACACUGAUGACUCUUUUACCGAGAAAGUAACAUUCGUAGAAGAAGCCAUAAGGACUGGGGAAAGAUUGGCUAGAAAAGUAUACUCACUUCCAUGUCAGUGUUCAUUCUAUUUACAAUACAUGCAAAAAAAAUAUUAUUCAUGCAAAAUUGCAGGUCUACUAAGCAUUAAAGGAAUAGCGGAUAGUGCAAUAUGUAAUCUGAGCAGCAUGCAUUACAAAGUGCUCUACUGCAAUUAAAUUAAAAAACAUGAUAUAUGUUGAAUUCUUAGACUUUAUUAUUAUACUUUUCUACGUGACAAUUCACAAUUUUUUAGAAAAAAGAAGAUCCCAGAAGAAGUGACCAUGAAAAAAGGUCUAUGACCAGCAAUAAGAAAAAAUGCAAGCAUAGAAACAAAUCCGUAGAAAACAUAGAAAAUAAGGUACUCCAUAAACAAAAGUAUUCUCUUAUAUUUUUAUUAAAUAUUUUUUUAACACUUGACAAGUUCUUUUUUAGGAUCAAUAUAUCAGCAAUUCAGAUGUCAUUGGAGAUGAAACCUUAGUUCAUCCAAAAGGUCAAAAAAAAACAUCUGAAGAAAGGUGUUUGGCUGAAAAGGAAAAGCAAAAAAGUGGUAAUGCAGACAAACACAUGCAGAAAAAUAUAAAAACAUGUCAUAGGGAGGCAGACCAAUCUUGCAAGGAGGUAUAGACGAAACGUGAUACACGACCUGCCUACCUUGUCGUGGAUACCCCAAGAAGAUGUCAUAGAGGUGCAGACCAAGCUAGCAAGGAGGUCGAAACGUGAUACACGGCCUGCCUACCUUGCCGUGGAUAUUAGCCCUGAGAUCAUUCUACUGUUCAAGGAAUAACACUCAAUGCUGCUGCUGCUGCUGACCUGGCUCCAUAAAGUUAUACUCCUCUAGGUGCUUGCACUAACUUUAUCUGAAGUAUUAUUCUCUCUGCACUGUAUAUAUGGUUAUGGAGUUUGCUGGAGUAUCCGGGGCGAAGAACCUACAUAAUACGUCUUGGAACUAAUUGACAUUGAUUCACAGACAAACUCUACAAGGUGCUGUUCUUGCCAUUUUAGAGCAUCCAAAGGACUAUAAAUAACAUAGUUUACCAUAUACCAUAUACCAUAUACCAUAAUAUGUUAGCUAAAAUAAGAGCAUACACAUGUUGCAGGAGUCCAAAAGCACCGGUUGAGGACCAGGUACAUUGAAUUACUAGAAAAAGACAGGGGACAAGGUUUAGGUAACCACAUGAAACAUUUGAAUUUAUUGUACUAUGAACACUUAGUUACCAUGCCAGGAGCACAUAGUUAACACUAACAUUUAGCCACUUUAGAUCAUCCCGAAUCACCAAUGACCCUCAAUAGUGACAAAUUUUGGUUUAAAUGCCAUCACCAAUGAUCCUCAAUAGUGACGUAUUUAGGUUUAAAUCCCGUCACUAAUAACCCUCAAUAGUGACCUGUUUUGGUUUAAAUCUCAUUACCACUGAUCCUCAAUAGUGAUGUGUUUUAGCAAAACAUGUUAUCAAUGACUUGUCAUUGGUGACGUGUUAAAACGCGUUAUCUCAAUGGCAAAUCAUUGGUGACGUGUUAUCUCAAUGUUAUCAAUGUUCUAUUCUUUUCAACAAUACCAGCUCGUUCCUCCGUUUUUAUUCCACCAAUACAAGCACCACCUUGUAACAUUUCCUAUGUUUUUUUUCCUUUUGUCUGUUUUCUCACUACAUGCGUUGCUCUUUCAUGCAUUUUUUUCCAUUCCUGUAUUCCAAAUAGGUCUACAUGAACACAAAAUGAACUAGGGGACAGAAAAAGCCAGUGAAGCCAAUUUUGAGCUUCACCAGCUACUUGCUACAUAAAGUGUGCUAUAGUGACGUGUUUUAGCAAAACAUGUUAUCAAUGACUUGUCAUUGGUGACGUGUUAAAACGCGUUAUCUCACUGGCAAAUCAUUGGUGACGUGUUUUAAAAAAACAUGUCACCGUGAGAGUCAUUGGUGAAGGGUAAUUAAAAUGCGUCACUAAUGUUGUAGCAUUAGUUAUGAUAAUUUAGUAACGCAAAAAUCUACCAUCAGUAUUGAGCUUUAGAGCCAUCGCUAAUGUGGGUUUCUUACAUAGUGAUGCAAGCUCUACAAGGUGCUGUUGCUGCCAUUUUAAAGCAUCCCAUGACUACAUGUUAAUAACAUAGUUUACCAUAUAUCAUAAAAAUAUUAGUUACAAUAAGCACAUACGCAUGUGGAAGAGUCCGAAUGCACCGGUUGAGGACUAAACACAUUGAAUUACUAGAACCAAAUGUAUGUUUAGAACAAAGACAGGGGUCAAGGUUUGGGUAACCGCAUUAAAAACAUUGGAUUUUACUGUACAUGAACACUUAGUUACCAUUACCAUGCCUUGAGCACCUAGUUACAACAAACAUUAAUUUAGCCACUUUAGAGCUUCCAGAAUCGCUAUAAAUAAUAUACCUACGCCGUACCAUGAAAACAUCAAGAAGAGAGACGGAUACAUGGACCACCAUCAAGCGAGUAGUGACAGCACGCACAAGAAUACCCGGAACCUGUUAGCUUGUCUGUAGUGAUCUGUUUUCUUCCCCAUAAAAUCCAUGAGUAUUGCCACAAAUAAUGAAAGAGGCUGACCAAGCUAGCAAGGAGGUAGAGCAAACGUGAUACACGGCCUGCCAAGAUUGCCCUGGAUACGCCAAUAAGAGCGACAGAUACAUGGAUCACACCAAUAUGGUGAAACGUAUAUUCAUCACACAAGCAAAGCUGGUCAGUUUAUCCAUGGUCAAAUUGUGGUCUUUGUUUUCACUUGAGAGCUAAUUGAGGCACUAUAAUAUGGGCAGGCCUAUCUUCAACAGACAUGACAGCUACAGGGAACUUGACAUAAUUUGCUGGGCCGCCUGUGCACAAUUAUUUGUUUUAUUGUCCUUGCAUAGAAUGCUAAAAUACUCUUUACAAAAUGUUGGAUCUAAUAUUUGAAAUAUAGAGUAGUAAUCAUAUAUUGAUCAACAACUUGAAAUUAUCUGUACAUUCUCGGUGAAGCUGUUGAACUAAUUUUUGCAAAUUAUUAAUUCAUCUCAUUACGUAAAGAAAAAAGUAAGUGGAUAAGAUAUUUCGUGGACCACAUCACUGCAAACAUGUCAUGGAGAGACAGACCAAGGAGGCAGGACGUGAUACACGACUUACCCUAGGUUGCCGUGGAACCGCCAAGAAGAGAUACAGAUACAUGGACCACACCAUCUUGGGAGUAGUGACAGCAUAUAUGCAGAAGAAUACCCCGUGCCUAUUUGCAUGCAUGUCUCAAGUGAUCUGUUUUCUUCAGAAAAUACAUGAGCAUUGCCAGAAAGAAUGGCAAGAGACAAACAUGUCAUAGAGACUUGCAUGUCUUGCCUUGGAUACGCCAAGAAGAGGGACACAUACAUGGAUAACACAAAUCUAGUGACACGUAUAUUCAUCACAAAGGCAAAUCUGAUAAUUUUAUCCAUGGAGCAGACCAAGGAGAAAUUGAUGACGGACAUGUGAUCUCUGUAUUCAGUUGAAAGCUAAUUGAGCUACACUAAUAUGAGCAGGACUAUAUUCAAGAGACUUGUUGAGAGCUACAGGGAACUUGUAAUAAUUUGCUGGGCGGCCUGCGCACAAUGAUUUGUUAUACAUAGUUGAAAUAUUUCAAGAAUUUAUCAACCUCAUACUCUGAAACCCUUGGUGCAAUGUACUCUGCUUUCCGAGGUAGACUGUUCACGUAAAAUGAGGUCAUGCGUAAGACGGAAUCGGAUUGGAUUCACAGGGAAUCAGAUUUGGAUAGCACCUUUUAGCAGGUUUUUAGUCAAAUGCAAAUUCGGAUCCACAUGUGGUUGAAUGCGAGUUCAAAAUUCUACUUGGAUAUCCAUUUAAUUUAGGUGAUAGCAAUUAGCACAAAAUGUUGGAUGAACAAAAUCAUAGUUAGACAUACAAUUACAUGUAUGGUUAAAGUAUAAUACAAUACACCAAGAUUAUUCCUUGAAAAUAUUUCUUAAAAAUAUUAUAAUAAAUGAAUAAAUAUAAUUGUGGCCACCAACAAAUAGUCGGUGGUCGCUAAGUUGGAGCCAUUUCUGGUUACUAAUGCGGCCUUCUCCUCGACCAGCGACGACAGCUGAGCUUGUUCCUUCUGACACUAAAUCAUCAGAGUCUUCCCUCCACUACUAUAGAAUGCACCUUUAGCACCAAUUGGGAAAUCCCCUUCAGUAUUGGAUGCUGCAACCAGUGCUAUAUAUCAAAAUGGAGACUAAAAGCCUCGGUCUUGGGUACCGGUUGCAUAACGCAUUACUAAAGGAGGCAAAAGAGAAAUGUAACAAAAAAAAUAUUUUGAAUUCCAAGAAUGUUUCACUAUUCAAGAUGACUAGCUGAGAGUCAACAGACAAGAUACUAGGAAUGUGGGUGCUUGAAUGCAUUUGUACAGAGGUCAUACUAUUUACAAACUCUUCUAUGUUUCCAUAUGACUACCUACUUCAAUGUCACGCGAGCCAUUCAGCUGGACACAUGGCACACUAGCUUGCAUGUCGAAUCCAUGAUUAAUUAUUUGCACUUGUGAUCUCUUACCAGUAUUUGUCCAGACUAGAAACGUGCAACACAUUUUUAGGAUAUGGACACGCAUAUAUUUGGACUAGUAUACAGGUCACCUUUGGAUGCGUACAAGGAUGACCGGGAGGGACUAAUGGAUACAAGGAAGGGACCAUCAGGAUUAAUAUUGACAUAUGCCACAUGACAAUCUUCAUUGUCAUGCAAUCCCUAUCAACAAUCAUGGAAUCCCUAGUGUACUAAUCCCUGGAGGGUUGUGUGGAAAUUUAUUUUACCUUGCGGUGAAAAUCUCAUGAGCAGUCAUUAGUUAAGCUGACUAGCUGAGAUAUAAUAGACAAGCUAGUAAGAUUGGGAGCAUCAAUGCAUCCAUACAGGGUCACAAUAUCCUUUCCAUUCACUUUUAUAUAUAACCCUACGAAUACAAGUCCAACGAAAUGCGGGCCUUUCGAUCAAGAUAAAUUAAAUGGCCCACUUGUAUUUCUAAUCCAGGAUUAACUAUGCCCUCUGUUCAUCUCUUGCAAGCACGUGCAACACAUUUUCACGAUAUGGACAUGCAUGGAGGUUAUUAUACUGUUUGGACAAACUCUGAUGUGCCAUGACCUAAAUGCUUAGGGCCUGUUUGGUUUGAGUUGCUUAUUAUAAGCAACUUAAAGUUGCUUAAAGUUGCUUAUUUGAAGUUGCUUAUUUUUAGUCUAAACUGUUUGGAUACCCUUGCUUAUGAGCAUUGAAUGAGUUGGACAUUGUCAAAUUUGCCCCAUGUGUUGCUACCCCUCCAAUUUGCCUCCCCACCCUUCUUCUUCCUGCACACGUCCGAUCCCGGGGGCCGACGGCGGGCAGGGAGCAGCAGCAGCUGGCCAGGGCGGCGGUGGGGCGGGAGCGGCGGCGCACACCAGCACGCGCUCGCACGCCAGGUGCUAGGGCGCGGCGAGGCAGUCGUCGUAGCCCACCGGGAGCGGGUGCUCGGGCGCGAGGCGGUACUCGACGGAGAUGCCGAGCGUCGGGCGCGCGGCGGCGAGCGCGUUGAGGAAGCGAUGGUAGUGCGGCGACGUCGCGGACUCCGCCACGAAGCCGCCGCCGUGGACGUACACCACCACGGGCAGCUUCGUCUUGCCGUCGGCGGCCGCGGCCGCGGCCUGGGGUGGCAGGUAGAGGCGGACGGAGCAGGAGCCGAGGUCGACGUCCCUGGAGUCGACGCCCGUGGCGGCGUCCAGGCUGGGCCCGACCGGCGGCGGCACGAGCGGGCGCUCGAUGCGGCCGCUCUUGUAAAUCCGACGGGUCUGUGCGGAGGCGGGCGGCGGGCGGGAGCGGCGGGUGGGAGCGGCGGCAGGUGGUGCGGAGGCCGGCGGCGGCGGGUGGCGCGGAGGAAGGGGAGCUGGUGAGUGGUGACAGGGGAGGGGGGGAGAGAGAGGGGGGGUAGGGUGCAUUGAAUGAGGGCAGGAGGUGUAAAGUGCACCUUUUAGUCCCCAUGAGCAACCAUAAGCAGCCCAAGAGUUGCUUAUUUGCUUAUAAUAAGCAACCUCAUAAGCAAGAGUGAUUGGUUUCAUAAGCAACUUAUUUGCUUAUUUUAAGUUGCUUAUGCAUAAGCAUGUGAAACCAAGCAGGUCCUUAACCUAUGGUUGUGGCACCACACAGUACAUAGUAUUUAAUAAUGCUAUUCGUUUGGUAUGUGCACAAGGGCACGCAUGAAAUGUCUGGCCCACGGUAAACAAGUACGGACGCUGCAAAUAAUCUACUCUGCUCGUCCAGUCCCUAGCCUAUAAAUAGAUGCCAUGCUAGCUCUUGUUGUGCUCACAAUUAAUCCUGACUACACACGAGCUUCUCUCCCUGGCCAAGACACAAUCAUAGUAUGAUGAAGAACAUGGCACUAGCCGGCAAUGGUAUGAAGAACUUAAUCCUCGCUGUUCUCUUACUGUGUCUAGUUAUAGGGCAGAUACAAGUGGAAGCUAAGAGCUGCUGCCCAUCCAUUACUGCAAGAAAUAUCUACAAUGCCUGCCGUAUCACGGGUACAUCCCGUCCAACGUGUGCAAAACUGUCAGGCUGCAAAAUUAUCAGCGGGGACAAAUGCAAGCCCCCUAACGACCACCUCACCCUUGACCCGGACACUGGUAAAUAAUAAAUUUAUCUCACUUGAUUUCUUCGUGUUUUGAGUCGUUAAUGUAUUUUCCAUCUGAUGAAACGUAUUGGUUUUGCAUUGAAGAGGAAGUUAAUGUGCUUAACUUCUGCAAGUUGGGGUGUGCGUCGUCUGUGUGCAACAACAUCAACGCUGGUAAGCACCUUUUGCUCAGACGGAGAAAACAAUAAUCAUUAAUUAGCGGCAGCUAGAAUCCUAUAAUCUAAUAUAUUUAUAUAUAUAUAUAAUUUUAUCAGCUCUGGGAAAUGAAGAGGCGAACGAUGCCGUUGAGAGUUGCGACCAAGCCUGCUCUAGCUUCUGCAACGUGCACGUUGGCGCUGCCACCGUGGUUGCUUAAGCAAAUGCAUCCAACUGGAUCGUCCUUGUGCUAAAUAAUUGGAUAUCGUAUCCACUUAAAGCUGCCUUGUGUAGUACGUUUUUGUUUGUGUCUCUCUUUAUAUUCCAAUAAGGUCGGUGAUCUUGAUGCCACACACUCAGACGUGUGUUCAUCUCCAGAUACUACUCCAUGCUACCUGCCCUUUGUGUUUUGUUCAAUAACUGGGUAUCAUAUCCCAGCCAGUGUGCCAUCUGUUUUGUGUUUAUUUCCUUCUAGUUUCAAAGGGGUUAUCAUGAUGUUACCUUCUUUCGAUAUGGUGCUUUGCAUGACUACUGUUGUAUGGUACCAUCUUGUUGGCCAAUAAAUACAUCUUAUCCUAUGACCCUUUGCUAUGACCCUUUGCAAAUAAGUACAAGAUUGUUAAAUACUCGGUAUAAAUUGACUACUGCUGUGAGUUCCCUUUCAGCUUAUCGUAGGCAUACAUUAUUGCUAGCACGGUGAAGACAACCAACACGAAUGGUCAAGUAAACGUACCGGUACUUUUGUAUACCAACACCCUUGCUUAAAUGUACCGGUGUUACUCCCCACUAGCACAUAUAUUCUUAUAUGCUAGCCGGCUUGAAAAUUAACCGAUUAAAAUAAUUAUUUCAAGACAGAAAUAACUUAUCGGCUUCUCGAAGCAUGUGUAAUGUGAAUUCAAGGACUUGAUGGAAGUUGAAUCGCUUAAUCUAGAUUGCUUUCAGGAUUUUGGGUAACUAAAUUUAACAUUUGCACAUACAAAUGUUAAUGUACAAAUAUUAAAUAUAGUUACCCAAGCAGAAUAUGAAGAUACUCUAUAGUAUAUAUAUACUAUAUAAAUCUAGUUAACAUUUAGUCUAAAUGUUAAAUCUAGUUACCUAAAAUCCUGAAAGCAAAAUGUAUAAAUAUAUAUCUUUUAAGGAAUCCCAAAGCAAGAGUUCAGUGGCAUUCUAUAGUCCCAUGCUGCUAGUUUGAGUUGGUCGAAGCCAACUUAAAUAGGAGAGCUCUCUCACUUCUCUAAAUACGUAACUGAAGGAGAGAAGGGGGCUUGGUUACACAACGCACGCACGCACGCAUAUUUGCGUUCUUUUCGCGUAACCAACCGCGUGACUUGAAACUUGCGACGUAGCGUGCUGCCAAGUCAAGUUGAUAUAACCUUUUUGCCGUAGGCGUGUAAUCUUUUGACAACGGUCAUUGGAGGUGAUAAGCACGCAGUCAAUACCUUAAUCCUGAG
RNAcentral lists this long non-coding RNA (204726 nucleotides) under Setaria viridis. RNAcentral describes it as "long non-coding RNA (SVIR_LNC007217)". Lineage: Eukaryota; Viridiplantae; Streptophyta; Magnoliopsida; Poales; Poaceae. The record is from RNAcentral.